GCGCACGCGCCUGCCUCAACUGGAGGAUGCAGCCACCGGCCCGCACCGCCAUGCGGACCCUCUUCUCCCCCGUCUCCGAGGCAAAAGGCUCCGCGGAGAAGAGAUGAGUCCAUAGAUCCCAGUGGGGGCAAUCCCCAAAAAAUCCUUCGCAAACCGUCGCGAUGGAGUUGGGGCUAAGGUUGUGCAGCUCCACCCCAUAGUGAUGCAGGAGCGCCCGCAUAAAACGGCUUGCUGGCACACCAAACCCCCGCUCAUGGAAGGCGACGAAACUCAGCACAUACCCCGACGGCGGGUUCGGGUCGGCCUCGCUCGGAGGGACCAUCCACUCCGGCCGCAGGACAUCAGAGAGGGGGCGGAGCAAGCCAUCGGCAACGAGGGCCUCCAGGUCGUCCACCGUGACAGUGGAAGAAGGCCAUGGGUCGCGCGGCGGAACGAUGGUUACCCGGUCGGCCAUCGCCAAGCAAAGGAGGUGGCGGCGGGGCGGACAAGGUGCGAGGUUUUCUUUCUCUGGCUAUUCACUUAGGUUGCAGAAACCUAAGCAGAGGUGAGCAGCAGAGUAAAGAACCACCACCAGACCCUCCUCCGAAUAUAUAAAGACCCAGGCAAGACCCGUUCAACGCUCGGCCCGAACCCGCCGCGAAAUCCAAAACUCGAAGGCGAAACGCCCGUUCCUCGAACGGCUCGCGCAUGCACAACGGCUGCCCCGCGAAUCACUCGUCUCGUCGCAUUAACUCUGCGACAGGACAGGCGACACCUUUGGCAGGCGAAGCGGGCGACGCUUCACCUCCGCCAUAAUGACCGCGUCAAAAAAGGUGCGCCACGUCGUUCAAUUUUGUAUCCUUUUCCUCUUCCCCUUUCUCUCUCUUGCUACAGGGACCGAGAAAGGGGAUACUCCGAAAGGGAUCCUUCUCCACGAAGGAAGCGGGCCUCGAGCCCCCCUACUGAUCAGAGGUUCAAAGGCUGGCCCCUCGGAAGGGUUCGACAGCCGCCUCAGAGCACUCGGGCUCCGCGCCCACUACUGGUCAGAGGUUUAAAGGCUUGCCCCUUGGAAGGGUUCGACAGCCGCCUCAGGCCACUCAGGCUCCGCGCCCACUACUGGUCAGAGGUUCGAAGGCUGGCCCCUCGGAAGGGUUCGACAGCCGCCUCAGGCCACUCGGGCUCCGCGCCCACUACUGAUCAGGGGUUCGUAGGCUGGCCCCCCGACGGGUUCGACAGCCACCCCAGAGCACGCAGAGUGAGGGAUGACUCUGGGUACGUUUGAUACAUAACCAAGGCUCGGGCUACGCUCCCGAGGUACCCUAGGACAUUUCCGAGACCAGCAGGAACGAUUCUGUAACGGAAUCCCAUCAGAGGGAGGCAUCGAGCCCUCGGACCCUAUCGAACGGGACCGGGUCCGGCAAAUCACCUGCAGGUACUUUUGGAGCGCGCCUCUGGGCCACUAGCCGACCCUUAUCGAACGGGGCACGGGCGUCCACUCGGAUCACCCGUUAGCAACUCACUGGAGACACCAUGUUCGGCGCCCACCUAGGGCAACAUGGCGCUUUCCCCCCUCCUCCUUGCGGAAAGGCGACGCAGGGGCAUAUGAAAAAAGCUGAGUCUGCCCUUGACCGUCCUCUCGCCCUGUGCAGAGGCUCGGGGGCUGCUCUCGCAAACCCAGCUCCGGCCAAACCGUUGACAGCGUCAACAUACCAGCCCAAGAACUCGAAACCUGACUAUGCACCCAGGCAACGACCAGUUCGCAUGAGGGAACAACCAGACCGGCCGAGCCAUCACGAAAGGCAUUAAGACCUCGAAGGAGUCAAACCACUCCUCCGUGGCCUCGGGGGCUACACCCGGCGGGUGCGCUCGCGCGCACCCACUUGAACAAAAUGCAACCGAGAAAGGCCGGUCCCCUUGCAAAAAAGUGCGACAAAGCCUCCAAGUGAGUACCCACACUCCCUUUGAGGCUCGGGGGCUACUGUCGGGGACCGUAAUUAGGGGUACCCCCAAGGCUCCUAAUCUCAGCUGGUAACCCCCAUCAGCACAAAGCUGCAAAGGCCUGAUGGGCGCAAUUCCGGUUAAGGCUCCGUCCACUCAAGGGACACGAUCUUGCCUCGCUCAAGCCCAACCUCGGGCAAGAACGGAAGACCAAGGCAGAUUCACGCCUCGCCCGAGGGUCUCCUCAAGCAACGGGCGCACCUUCGACUCGCCCGAGGCCCAGCUCGGGCAGGCUUCACGGAGAAGCAACCUUGGCCAGAUCGCCUCGCCAGCCGACUGGAUCGCAGGACCAUUCAAUGCAAGGAUUGCCUGACACCUUAUCCUGACGCGCGCUUUCCAGUCGACAAGGCCGAAGCGACCGCAGUCAUUUCGCCCCUCCACUAACUGACCUGACAGGAAAACAGCGCCGCCUGCGUUGCUCUGACUGCUGUGCCACCCACCAGGGUGAGGCUGACAGCAACCAAGUCCAGCCUCGGGCGCCAUAGGAAUCUCCGCCUCGCCCGACCCCAGGGCUCGGACUCGACCUCGCCUUGGGCGCCAUAGGAAUCUCCGCCUCGCCCGAUCCCAGGGCUCGGACUCGACCUCGCCUCGGACGACGAUCUCCGCCUCGCCCGACCCCUGGGCUCAGACACAGUCUCAACUCCGGAUGACGAUCUUUGCCUCGCCCGACCCCCGGGCUCGGACCCAGCCUCAACUCCAAAAGACGGUCUCCGCCUCGCCCGACCCCAGGGCUCGGACUCGACCUCGACUCCGGAAGAAGGUCUCCGCCUCGCUCGACCCCCGGGCUCGGACUCAGCCUCGACCUCGGAGGAGUCACCACCUCGCUCGGACCGACCACGCCACAAGGGGAGGCCAUCAUUACCCUACCCCUAGCUAGCCCAGGCUACGGGGAACAAGACCGGCGUCCCAUCUGGCUCGCCCCGGUAAAACAAGUAAUGAUGGCACCCCGUGUGCUCCAUGACAACGGUGGUUCUCAGCCCCCUACGGAAGCAAGGAUACGUCAGCAAGGAUCCGACAGCCCCGACAGCUGUGCUUCUACAGGGCUCAAGCGCUCCUCCGACGGCCACGACGCCACAUGAACAGGGCUCCAACACCUCUCCGACAGCCACGUCGGCACGUACAUAGGGCUCUAGCUCCUCUCUGCUAGACACGUUAGCACAUUGCUACACCCCCCGUUGUACACCUGGACCCUCUCCUUACGUCUAUAAAAGGAAGGUCCACGGCUCUCAUACAAAGGAGGUGGCCGCGCGGGAGAACGGGCAGCCUCACGCCCCCUGUCUCUCUCUCUCCCUCGCGAACGCUUGUAAUCCCCUACUGCAAGCGCAUCCGCCCUAGGCGCAGGACAACACGAGGCCGUGGGUUUCCCCUUACUGUUUUCCCCCCCUUGUGUCUCCGUCUCGCGCCGACCCAUCUGGGCUGGGACAUGCAGCGACAAUUUACUCGUCGGUCCAGGGACCCCCUAGGGUCGAAACGCCGACAGUUGGCACGCCAGGUAGGGGACUGCUGCGUGUUGACGAACAGCUUCUCGUCAAGCUCCAGAUGGGAAGUUAGAAGGGAUUUCAUAGCUAAAGGUCAGACUCAACCAAUUGGUCAUAAUUUUCCUCAAUCACAUAACAAAAGGAGCUUUCAAAAACAUUGGUUCAGACAACAUAGUUGGUUGGAAUAUAGUGUGGAGAAUAAUAAGGCUUAUUACUUCUAUUAUUACCUUUUUAAGCAUGAUCAAAUGGAUGAUAAAUUUUUCCAUGAUGCAUUUACAAAAGUUAGCUUCUCAUAAUGGAGAAAGGUUUAUACGACAUUUCCCAAACAUGUUGGUGAUCCUAACAUCAUACACAAUGCUGCAGCAACGACAUUCCAUGAUUUUUGUAACCAAAAGUCAAGUGUUAGUCAUGAGGUUUCAAAUUAUAGUAAAGAUGCAUUAGUCAAAUAUGAGACACGGUUGGAAACUUCCUUAAGUAUGGACAGUCUUCUUGCAUUGCAAGCUGAAUCAUUCUAAGGACAUGAUGAGACUAGUACUUCCUUAAACAAAGCAGUUUUUUUAGAAUUUCUAGAUUGGCACAAACAAAGGAAUGAAGAGAUGAGAAGAGCUUUUGAUGAGUUGUGGGGUUACAAGAUUACCACAGACCUAGAGAUACAAGAUGGGGAUCUCAUUACAAGACUUUGCUCCGUAUUGAGUCAAUGUGGGAAUCAAUAAUAGAAGUUUUAGAAAUUGUGCAUCAAGAUGAGCACAAUCCAUCAGGUGCUGGUAUCUUUGUUGGAAAAAUGGAGUGUUUUAGCUUUGUGUUUAUGAUGAAGCUGAUGUUACAUAUCCUAGAUAUCACAAAUGAGCUUUCUCUUCUCUUGCAAAAAAAGGAUCAAAAUGUUGUCCAAGCCAUGUAUUUGGUUGUUGAUGUGAGAACAUGUUUGAUUAAUUUGAGAAAUGAUGGUUGGGAGCCAUUGCUGGAAGAAGCCAUAACAUUAUGCCUUGCAAAUGAUAUCCUAAUACAAAAUAUGAGUGAUGUUGUACCACAUUUUGGUCGAUCAAGGAAAGGUGGGAGAAACAAUAUUACCACAAAGCAUUUUUAUCGUGUUGAUACUUUCUAUGAUGCUAUAGAUUCUAUCACCACAAAGUUCGAUCAUCGCUUUAAUGAACUAUCUUUAGAGUUGCUUGUGUGUUCUUCUUGUCUUGACUCAAGGAGUUCGUUCUCUAAGUUUGAUGUGGAUAAGCUUGCUCAGCUCGCGGAUAUGUAUUAUGAUGAUUUUUCUUUUGAUGACUGCAAGACUAUAAAAGAUCAACUAAGAACUUUUAUUAUUCAUGUACAAAGAAUUGAAGAGUUCAAAGCUUGUUAUGAUCUUGUGAUCCUAUCAAAUACAAUGGUUCAACUUGAGAGACAUAUUGUGUUUCCAUUGGUAUAUUGACUUAUUGAGUUAGCAUUGUUGUACCGGUGGCGACUGCAACAGUUGAAAAGGCCUUCUCUACUAUGGAGAUUAUUAAGUCUGAGUUGCACAACAAGAUGUACGAUGGUUCGUUAAAUGACUUGAUAGUGUGUUACAUUGAAAGAGAGAUUUUUAAAGGACCCGAUCUUUAGAAAAUUAAGAAGGCAUUUCAAAAUAAGAAAACUAGACAAAUGCAAUUGUCUAGGUCUCCUACAACUCGGCUCAACUAGAGGUAUAUUCUUAUUUCACUUGUUCAACAAUUUUUACUUCAAUUUGCCAUUGUUAACUUAUUUUUUUCUUUUUUCAGAUUUUAUUCGAUAUAUGGCAUUUGGUUGUAAAUGGAUUGUGAUCACGAUUACUCUUGAAUAAGGUAUUUUUCCAUAUCUAUCACUUAUUUACUAGCUACGAGUUGUUUUAAAUUGUGUCGUGAAUUUUCAUUCACCGUUGCGUUAGCAACACCUUGAUUUUUCGACGUCCUCCGCCACUGACUCAACCUUGGCGCAACACAUGGAGAUUGUAGCUUGACGCUUCAAAGACCAUGACACAAGCGAGGCAGUGAGGAAUACACAAUAGCCCGAUAUCAAUUAUUGAGUGUUUGGGCAACCCGCACAAUUGGCGUAGGAGUAUACCUUGAGCUUAGUUGACGGAGUAGCAUAGAUCUUGAUAUUCUGUUUGAUCGAGCAGCAAAGGUAUCUAAGGAUAUGCUUGCCAAAGUUCUAAUGCACAUCACAUGGAGCAUGAUAUGGAGGCAAGCCUUGUUCACAACAUAGGUGAUGUCAAAAUGAGGUGCUGAAGGGCGCCAAUAAUACUUGUCAGGCCAAUGGAAAUUAAAUUUAUCCACAUCAGCUACGUUGGUGGCUGACGGGAGUUAAAUAACUCCUAUCGGCUGUCAGACUAGCUGAUGGGAGUUACUAUCUGUCGGGUAUCAUAAUUAUGGGUACCCAGAUUAUGCCACUAAACAUGAUUAACACAUAACUGCUGAAAAAUCAUAAGACAUAUUCCCGAAGGUCAGGCAGGGUUGAAUCAUGAAUCGUCCGAGACCCCGCUUGACGGUCGCUCAAAACUUCACCUCGCCCGAGCCCAUCGUCAGGCGGAGGCCGCGCUAGAGAGAAAUCCUCAUCUUGCCCAAGGUCCUCUCUUCACAGAACGGCAAUAUCCGCCUCGCCCGAGCUCGUCUCAGAUUGGAGGACGACCCCAAGCCCAGCACUCAGUCAAAGGCCCUGGGAACCUUGGAGACAUGCACAUUUAAUGCGAUGAUUCAGAUAUCUACCCCACGUGACGACGCAGUUAAACAGGGAGCGAUGGGACCGUAAUCCCAUCUACUUUCACCAAUAACGAUGAUGCACGGUCGAGAAUAACGGACAGAUGUGAAAGUCGCCUAGAGGGGGGGUGAAUAGCGCGAAUCUGAAAUUUACAAAGUUUAAGCACAACUACAAGCCGGGUUAGCGUUAGAAAUAUAAACGAGUCCGAGAGAGAGGGCGAAAACAAAUCACAAGCAAAUAAAGAGUGUGACAUAGUGAUUUGUUUUACCGAGGUUCGGUUCUUGCAAACCUACUCCCCGUUGAGGUGGUCACAAAGACUAGGUCUCUUUGAACCCUUUCCCUCUCUCAAACGGUCACUUAGAUCGAGUGAGCUUCUCUUCUCAAUCACACGGGACACAAAGUCCCCGCAAGGACCACCACACAAUUGGUGUCUCUUGCCUCGGUUACAACUGAGUUGAUCUCAAGAAAGAAUGAGAAAGAAAAGAAGCAAUCCAAGCGCAAGAGCUCAAAUGAACACAAGUCACUCUCUCACUAGUCACUAUUUGAUUGGAAUUGAACUAAGGACUUGGGAAAGGAUUUGAUCUCUUUGGUGUGUCUUGUAUUGAAUGCUAUAGCUCUUGUAAUGUGUUAGAAGGUGGAAAACUUGGAUGCAAUGAAUGGUGGGGUGGUUGGGGUAUUUAUAGCUCCAACCACCAAACUAGCCGUUUGGUGGAGGCUGCUGUCGAAUGGCGCACCGGACAGUCCGGUGCGCCAGCCACGUCACCCGACCGUUAGGGUUCGACCGUUGGAGCUUCUGUCUUCUGGGUCACCGGACAGUCCGGUGAUGCACCGGACAACCACUGUGCACUGUCCGGUGCGCCUUCUGGCGCUGCUCUGACUCUGUCGCGCACUGUAGCGCAUUUAAUGCGGUUGCAGACAACCGUUGGCGCUGAAGUAGCCGUUGCUCCGCUGGCACACCGGACAGUCCGGUGUUGAACCGGACAGUCCGGUGAAUUUUAGUGGAGUGGCUCCGAGAAUUCCCGAGACUGGCGAGUUCGGAGUUGGAGUUCCCUGGUGCACCGGACACUGUGAGAGCACCUAGAGGGGGGGGGGUGAAUAGGUGAUCCUGUGAAACUUGAAAACUUAAGCCACAAAACUUGGUUAAUCGUUAGCACAAUAAUUGCCAAGUGGCUAGAUAGGAAUCUUCAACAAAACACAAUAACCAACAAGGAUCAAUCAUAGAGAUGGCACGGUGGUUAUCCCGUGGUUCGGCCAAGACCAACGCUUGCCUACUCCACGUUGUGGCGUUCCAACGGACGAGGGUUGCAAUCAACCCCUCUCAAGCAGUCCAAAGACCCACUUGAAUACCACGGUGUUUUGCUUGCUUUUUCUCAAUCCCGUUUGCGAGGAAUCUCCACAACUUGGAGCCUCUCGCCCUUACACUUGAAAUUCACAAAGAAGCACAGAGCAAGGGAGGGAUUAGCAACGCACUCAAGACAAGAAAUCACAGCAACACCACGCACACAAGUCGCAACGAGAGCUCACAACACAACUCAAUGAGUUCACCACUCAACUAGAGCUCUAAUUGCUAUCACAAAGAAUCAAAGGCGUGGAAUCGAUGUCUUGGUGCUUAGGAAUGUUGUAGAGAUGAUUGGUGUUUUCCUUCAUGCGCCUAGGGGUCCCUUUUAUAGCCCCAAGGCAGCUAGGAGCCGUUGAGAGCAAUCCAGGAAGGCUGAUCUUGCCUUCUGUCGACUGGCACACCGGACACUGUCCGGUGCCCGAUUUCUUUCCUUAAAUGGCGAAGCCGACCGUUGGUAGACUUGGAGCCGUUGGCGCACCGGACAUGUCCGGUGCACACCGGACAGUCCGGUGCCUCCUUCUAGCCGUUGGCUCGGCCACGUGGCCCGCGCAAAUCGCGCGGUCUACCGUUGGCCCGGCCGACCAUUGGCUCACCGGACAGUCCGGUGCACACCGGACAGUCCGGUGAAUUAUAGCCGUACGUCGCCGGUGAAUUCCCGAGAGCGGCCAUUUCGCUCGAGCCAGCCUGGCGCACCGGAUACUGUCCGGUGCACCACCGGACAGUCCGGUGCUCCCAGACUCAGCAGAGUCUUGGCUGCUCGAGCCAAGACAUUUACAAUUGGAUUUUCCUGUUUCUAGCACUUAGACACAAUACAUUAGUCCAUAAAACAAUGUACUAAGUCUGAGAAACAUACCUUUAUCCUUGAUUUGCACUUUGUCCACCAUUUUACACUUAGGCACCUGUGUUGGGCACUAAAUCACCAAAAUACUUAAAAAUGGCCCAAAGGCACAUUUCCCUUUCAAUCUCCCCCUUUUUGGUGAUUUAUGCCAACACAACAUAAAGCAAGUAGAACAAGUACAAAAUCAAUUCAACUAAGAACUCAAAAUUGUUUUGAUUCAAAUUUGACAUAUAUGGAUCACUCUAUGCCACCACUUGGUUUGUUUUUGCAAAUCAAACUCAAAUUCCUAUCUCUAAGUCAAAUCCACUUGUAGAGACAUAAAGAGAGGUUUUCCAAAGAAAUUUGAUCAAGGAUUUCAAAAACUCCCCCUUUUCCCAUAAUCAACACUUCUCCCCACAAGAGGCCAACUUUUGACAUAAGAGACAAUAAAAGAGUUUUGACAAACCAAAAGCUCUAAUCUACUAUUUUCAAAAUUUCUCAAGUGGUAGCUGAUCCAUUUAUCGCUUUGGCCUUUAUUUUCUCCCCCUUUGGCAUCAAGCACCAAAACGGGAUCAAUCUUGGCCCUUAAACCCCAUUGCCUCACCAAAAUCUUCAAAUAAGAACACAAAGGCAAUAAGAGUAUAAAGAUGAACUUGGAAAAGUUACUCUUUUUAUCGGAGUGCAGUGGAAGUCUUGCAUGGUCCAAGUCCACCUUUUCCCUUUCAAUUCUCCUUGGAGACUAAAACAACCAAACUCAAGUACAUGGUUAGUCUCAAAGGGUCAAGUUGUAGCACAGCUCCCCCUAAAUACGUGCAUCACUUGCAAACAGGACUUGUGAGGUCCAGGGAGUGUUUGUACAACUUGAGCACCACAAUAAGCAACAAAAUGCAGAAUGAACGUGAUCAAAGGCAUAAACACAUGUAUGCUACAUUUCAAUCCAAGUUCCACGAAUCCAAGAUAUUGAGCUCACUACGCAGCCUGCAAAAGGUCUUCUCAUCUAGAGGCUUGGUAAAGAUAUCGGCUAGCUGGUUCUCGGUGCUAACAUGAAACACUUCGAUAUCUCCCUUUUGCUGGUGGUCUCUCAAAAAGUGAUGCCGGAUGUCAAUGUGCUUUGUGCGGCUGUUCUCAACAGGAUUUUCCGCUAUUCGGAUAGCACUCUCAUUGUCACAUAGGAGUGGGACUUUGCUCAGAUUGUAGCCAAAGUCCCUGAGGGUUUGCCUCAUCCAAAGUAGUUGCGCGCAACACUGUCCUGCGGCAACAUACUCGGCCUCAGCGGUGGAUAGAGCAACGGAAGUUUGUUUCUUAGAAUUCCAUGACACUAGGGACCUUCCUAAGAAUUGGCACGUCCCCGAUGUACUCUUCCUAUCGACCUUACAUCCAGCAUAGUCGGAAUCUGAGUACCCAAUCAAGUCAAAGUUAGACCCCUUUGGAUACCAGAUCCCGAAGCAAGGCGUAGCGACUAAAUAUCUAAGAAUUCGCUUCACAGCCACUAAGUGACACUCCUUAGGAUCGGAUUGAAAUCUAGCACACAUGCAUACGCUAAGCAUAAUAUCCGGUCUACUAGCACAUAAAUAAAGCAAAGAACCUAUCAUGGACCGGUAUGCUUUUUGAUCAACGGACUUACCUCCUUUGUUGAGGUCGGUGUGUCCGUCAGUUCCCAUCGGCGUCUUUGCGGGCUUGGCGUCCUUCAUCCCAAACCGCUUUAGCAAGUCUUGCGUGUACUUCGUUUGGGAGAUGAAAGUGCCGUCCUUGAGUUGCUUUACUUGGAACCUAAGGAAGUAGUUCAACUCGCCCAUCAUCGACAUCUCGAAUUUCUGCGUCAUCACCCUGCUAAACUCUUCACAAGACUUUUGAUUAGUAGAACCAAAUAUUAUGUCAUCGACAUAAAUUUGGCAUACAAAAAGAUCACCAUCGCAAGUCUUAGUAAAAAGAGUUGGAUCGGCUUUCCCAACCUUGAAAGCAUUAGCAAUUAAAAAGUCUCUAAGGCAUUCAUACCAUGCUCUUGGGGCUUGCUUAAGUCCAUAGAGCGCCUUAGAGAGCUUACACAUGUGAUCGGGGUACCGUUCAUCCUCGAAGCCAGGGGGUUGCUCUACGUACACCUCCUCCUUGAUCGGCCCGUUGAGGAAAGCGCUCUUCACAUCCAUUUGGUACAACCUGAAAGAAUGGUGAGCGGCAUAUGCUAGCAAGAUACGAAUUGAUUCUAGCCUAGCCACAGGAUCGAAUGUCUCCUCAAAGUCCAAACCUGCGACUUGGGCAUAACCUUUUGCCACAAGCCGAGCCUUGUUCCUUGUCACCACCCCGUGCUCGUCCUGUUUGUUGCGGAACACCCACUUGGUUCCCACAACAUUUUGCUUGGGGCGAGGCACCAGUGUCCAAACUUCAUUGCGCUUGAAAUUGUUGAGUUCCUCCUGCAUGGCCAACACCCAGUCCGGAUCUAGCAAGGCCUCUUCUACCCUGAAAGGCUCACUAGAAGAGACAAAAGAGUAAUGCUCACAAAAAUUAACUAAUCUUGAACGAGUAGUUACUCCCUUGCUAAUAUCACCCAGUAUCUGGUCGACGGGAUGAUCCCUUUGAAUCGUCGCUCGAACUUGGGUUGGAGGUGCCUGAGGUGCUUCUUUCUCUUCAACUUGAACAUCCUGUGCUCCCCCUUGAUCAUGCGCCUCCACUUGAGGUACCUGUUCGUCAUCUUGGGUUGAGGGAUGCACCAUAGUUGAGGAAGACAGUUGAUCUUGCUCCAAUUGUUCCUGAGGCCGUACAUCUCCAAUCGACAUGGUGCGUAUCGCGGCCGUUGGAACGUCUUCUUCAUCUACAUCAUCAAGAUCAACAACUUGCUCUCUUGGAGAGCCAUUAGUCUCAUCAAAUACAACGUCGCUAGAGACUUCAACCAAACCCGAUGAUUUGUUGAAGACCCUAUACGCCUUUGUAUUUGAAUCAUAACCUAAUAAAAACCCUUCUACAGCUUUGGGAGCAAAUUUGGAAUUCCUACCCUUCUUCACUAGAAUGUAGCAUUUACUCCCAAAUACACGAAAGUACGAUACAUUGGGUUUGUUACCAGUCAGCAGCUCAUAUGAAGUCUUCUUGAGGAGGCGGUGAAGAUAGACCCUGUUGAUGGCGUGGCAAGCCGUGUUCAUGGCUUCCGACCAAAAGCACUCGGGGGUCUUGAACUCUCCAAGCAUAGUCCUUGCCAUAUCUAUGAGCGUCCUGUUCUUCCUCUCUACUACACCAUUUUGCUGAGGUGUGUAGGGAGCGGAGAACUUGUGCUUGAUCCCCUCCUCCUCAAGGAACUCCUCCACUUGAAGAUUCUUGAAUUUGGACCCGUUGUCGCUCCUUAUCUUCUUUACCUUGAGCUCAAACUCAUUUUGAGCUCUCCUGAGGAAGCGCUUGAGGGUCCCUUGGGUUUCAGACUUAUCCUGCAAAAAGAACACCCAAGUGAAGCGGGAAAAGUCAUCAACAAUAACUAGACCAUACUUACUUCCUCCUAUGCUCAGAUAGGCGACGGGUCCGAAGAGGUCCAUAUGCAGCAGCUCCAGAGUUCUUGACGUGGUCAUCACAUUCUUGCUGUGAUGUGCUCCUCCCACUUGUUUACCUGCUUGACAAGCUGCACAAGGUCUAUCUUUUUCGAAAUGAACAUUGGUUAGACCUAUCACGUGUUCUCCCUUUAGAAGCUUGUGGAGGUUCUUCAUCCCCACAUGUGCUAAGCGGCGAUGCCACAACCAACCCAUGCAAGUCUUAGCCAUUAAGCAUGCAUCUAGACCGGCCUCUUCUUUUGCAAAAUCAACUAAGUAAAGUUUGCCGUCUAGUACACCCUUAAAAGCUAGUGAACCAUCACAUCUUCUAAAGACAGACACAUCUACAUUUGUAAAUAAACAGUUAUAUCCCAUAUUACAUAAUUGACUAACAGAUAGUAAAUUAUAUCCAGACUCUCCACUAAAAACACAUUAGAGAUAGAAUGCUCAUUUGAUAUUGCAAUCUUGCCUAAACCUUUCACCUUGCCUUGGUUCCCAUCACCGAAUAUGAUUGAAUCUUGGGAAUCCUUAUUCUUGACGUAGGAGGUGAACAUCUUCUUCUCCCCCGUCAUAUGGUUUGUGCAUCCGCUGUCGAUAAUCCAGCUUGAACCCCCGGAUGCAUAAACCUGCAAGGCAAAUUUAGGCUUGGGUCUUAGGUACCCAACUCUUGUUGGGUCCUACAAGGUUAGUCACAAUUUCCUUAGGGACCCAAAUGCAAGUUUUAUCGCCCUUGCAUUUUGCCCCUAAUUUCCUAGCAACUAUCUUCCUAUCUUUUCUACAAAUAGCAAAAGAAGCAUUUAAGGCAUGAUAAAUUAUAGAUGGUUCAUUAAUUUUCCUAUGAACAUUAGCAACAUUUCUCCUAGGCAUAUUGUGAACAAUAUUUUUCCUACCAACAUUUCUAUCAUGCACAUAGGAAGAACUAGAAGCAAACAUGGCAUGAGAAUCAAAAGCAUCAUAUGCAUUAUAACUUCUAUAAGCAUUUCUAUAUUGUCUCAUGUCAUGAUACAUAAAAGCAUGGUUUUUUUAGCACUACUAGCCAUAGGGGCCUUCCCUUUCUCCUUGGUGGAGAUGGGAGCCUUAUGGCUUGUUAAGUCCUUGGCUUCCCUCUUAAAGCCAAGUCCAUCCUUAAUUGAGGGGUGUCUACCAAUCGUGUAGGCAUCCCUUGCAAAUUUUAGCUUAUCGAAAUCACUUUUGCUAGUCUUAAGUUGGUCAUUAAGACUAGCUACUUCAUCAUUUAAUCUAGAAAUUGCAACUAGGUGUUUAUUACAAGCAUCAAUAUCAAAAUCCUUACACCUAGUACAAAUUAUAACAUGUUCUACACAAGAAUUAGAUUUAUUUGCUACUUCUAAUUUAGCAUUUAAAUCAUUGUUAACACCUUGUAAAGUAGAAAUGGUUUCAUGACAAGUAGAUAGUUCAUAAGAAAGCAUUUCAUUUCUUUUAACUUCUAAAGCAUAGGAUUUUUGUGCCUCUACAAAUUUAUCAUGUUCAUCAUAUAACAAAUCCUCUUGCUUUUCUAAAAGCCUAUCCUUUUCAUUCAAGGCAUCAAUCAAUUCAUUGAUUUUAUCAAUUUUAUUUCUAUCCAAUCCCUUGAACAAGCUAGAGUAAUCUAUUUCAUCCUCAUCACUAGAUUUGUCCUCACUUGAAGAAGCAUAAGUAGAGUUUCGAGUACAUACCUUCUUCUCCCUUGCCAUGAGGCAUGUGUGACGCUCGUUGGGGAAGAGGGAUGGCUUGUUGAAGGCGGUGGCGGCGAGUCCUUCAUUGUCGGAGUCGGACGAGGAACAAUCCGAAUCCCACUCCUUGCCAAGAUGUGCCUCGCCCUUUGCCUUCUUAUAGUUUUUCUUCUUCUCCCUCUUGUUCCCUUGAUCCUGAUCACUAUCAUUGUCAGGACAGUUAGCAAUAAAAUGACCAAGCUUACCGCAUUUGAAGCAUGAGCGCUUCCCCUUGGCUUUGGUCUUGCUUGGCUGUCCCUUGCGACCCUUAAGCUCCGUCUUGAAUCUUUUGAUGAUGAGGGCCAUCUCUUCAUCAUUAAGUCCGGCCGCCUCAAUUUGUGCCACCUUGCUAGGUAGCGCCUCCUUGCUUCUUGUUGCCUUGAGAGCAAGGGGUUGCGGCUCGUUGAUCGGACCAUUCAAAGCAUCGUCCACGUACCUCGCCUCCUUGAUCAUCAUUCGCCCGCUGACGAAUUUUCCUAGGACUUCUUCGGGCGACAUUUUGGUGUACCUGGGAUUCUCACGAAUAUUAUUCACCAAAUGAGGAUCAAGAACGGUAAAGGACCUUAGCAUCAGUCGGACGACGUCGUGGUCCGUCCAUCGCGUGCUUCCGUAGCUCCUUAUUUUGUUGAUAAGAGUCUUGAGCCGGUUGUAUGUUUGAGUUGGCUCCUCGCCCCUUAUCAUCGCGAACCGUCCAAGCUCGCCCUCCACCAACUCCAUUUUGGUGAGUAAGGUGACGUCGUUCCCCUCAUGAGAAAUCUUGAGGGUGUCCUAGAUCUGCUUGGCGUUAUCCAAGCCGCUCACUUUGUGAUAUUCAUCCCUGCACAAUGAAGCUAGAAGAACAGUAGUAGCUUGUGCAUUCUUAUGGAUUUGCUCAUUAAUGAUCAUGGGACUAUCCGAACUAUCAAAGUGCAUUCCACUCUCUACAAUCUCCCAUAUACUAGGAUGGAGAGAGAAUAGGUGACUACGCAUUUUGUGGCUCCAAAAUCCGUAGUCCUCCCCAUCAAAGUGUGGGGGCUUGCCGAGUGGAAUGGAGAGCAAAUGUGAAUUUGAACUUUGCGGAAUACGAGAGUAGUCAAAAGAAAAGUUCGAAUUAACCGGUUUCCUUCUCUCGUAGUCGUUGUGGUCGUCGUCCUUUUGGGAAGAAGUAGACUCAUCGCUGUCGUCGUAAUAGACGAUCUCCUUGAUGCGCCUCAUCUUCUUCUUCUUCUUCCCUUCCUUCCGUCUAUGGCCCGAGCCGGAGUCGGUAGCUUGUCGUCCUUCGGCUCGUUGACGAAGGAUUCCUUCUCUUUGUCGUUGAUCAUGAUUCCCUUCCCCUUAGGAUCCAUCUCUUCGGGCGGUUAGUCCCUUUGUGAAGAGAACGCCUCUGAUACCAAUUGAGAGCACCUAGAGGGGGGGGUGAAUAGGUGAUCCUGUGAAACUUGAAAACUUAAGCCACAAAACUUGGUUAAUCGUUAGCACAAUAAUUGCCAAGUGGCUAGAUAGGAAUCUUCAACAAAACACAAUAACCAACAAGGAUCAAUCACAGAGAUGGCACGGUGGUUAUCCCGUGGUUCGGCUAAGACCAACGCUUGCCUACUCCACGUUGUGGCGUCCCAACGGACGAGGGUUGCAAUCAACCCCUCUCAAGCAGUCCAAAGACCCACUUGAAUACCACGGUGUUUUGCUUGCUUUUUCUCAAUCCCGUUUGCGAGGAAUCUCCACAACUUGGAGCCUCUCGCCCUUACACUUGAAAUUCACAAAGAAGCACAGAGCAAGGGAGGGAUUAGCAACGCACUCAAGACAAGAAAUCACAGCAACACCACGCACACAAGUCGCAACGAGAGCUCACAACACAACUCAAUGAGUUCACCACUCAACUAGAGCUCUAAUUGCUAUCACAAAGAAUCAAAGGCGUGGAAUCGAUGUCUUGGUGCUUAGGAAUGUUGUAGAGAUGCUUGGUGUUUUCCUUCAUGCGCCUAGGGGUCCCUUUUAUAGCCCCAAGACAGCUAGGAGUCGUUGAGAGCAAUCCAGGAAGGCUGAUCUUGCCUUCUGUCGACUGGCACACCGGACAGUCCGGUGCACACCGGACACUGUCCGGUGCCCGAUUUCUUUCCUUAAAUGGCGAAGCCGACCGUUGGUAGACUUGGAGCCGUUGGCGCACCGGACAGUCCGGUGCCUCCUUCUAGCCGUUGGCUCGGCCACGUGGCCCGCGCAGAUCGCGCGGCCGACCGUUGGCCCGACCGACCGUUGGCUCACCGGACAGUCCGGUGCACACCGGACAGUCCGGUGAAUUAUAGCCGUACGUCGCCGGUGAAUUCCCGAGAGCGGUCAUUUCGCUCGAGCCAGCCUGGCGCACCGGACACUGUCCGGUGCACCACCGGACAGUCCGGUGCUCCCAGACUCAGCAGAGUCUUGGCUGCUCGAGCCAAGACAUUUACAAUUGGAUUUUCCUGUUUCCAGCACUUAGACACAAUACAUUAGUCCAUAAAACAAUGUACUAAGUCUGAGAAACAUACCUUUAUCCUUGAUUUGCACUUUGUCCACCAUUUUACACUUAGGCACCUGUGUUGGGCACUAAAUCACCAAAAUACUUAAAAAUGGCCCAAAGGCACAUUUCCCUUUCACACUGUCCGGUGGCACACUGGAUGGUCCGGUGCGCCAGACCAGGGUUGCCUUCUGUUAUCUUUUGCUCCCUUUGUUUGAACCCUUUCUUUUGACUUGUAUUGGUUUAUUGUGAACCUUUGGCACCUGUAACAAUUAUAAUCUAGAGCAAACUAGUUAGUCCAAUUAUUUGUGUUGGACAAUUCAACCACCAAAAUCAAUUAGGAAAAGGUGUAAGCAUGUUUCCCUUUCAAGAUGGGACCACGGUCCCAUCUACUUUCACCAACAACGAUGAUGCACGCUCGAGAAUAACGGACAUUGUCCCCCCAUUCUGGCCACUGUUCCCGAACAACUCCGGAUGGGACACACACGCUUUGAGCACAACCUCACCCUCGAGAGAGAAUUCCGCCUCACUCGAAGACGGCUUCAGCCUCAGGAGAAGUCUCUGCCUCGCCCGAGCUCAGCCUCGACCAACUGCACCGGCAACAACUCCCCGCGAAUCCCGCAGGAGGUCACUCCGAUGACUGUACUAACCACUCCGCACGACUGCGUGCCCCGACAUAGGUUCGACCGUGACCUCGGGAGGAACCUCUGUCUCGCCAGAGCAUGGCCUCGGCCUAGAUAACAAAUGUAGUGUGAAUCAAGAGGCCGAGACGUGCACCUUGGAAUGGAAGCUGGACGUGAGGCUCUCUCCAAGAUUUACUGUACAACUCCAACGAUAUAUACAUCAUGCAUAGUACUCUAACAGUUCUUUGUAAAAGAUUCUCGUAUGUACAGGGACAAUAAACCCCUCAAUAUUUUCUAUAUGUCAAUUACAUCAUUCUUAACCCUAAUAAAGUCGUGUGACAUGAUACUAGUGUGUGUUAUGGUACUAUAAAUAUUAUAUGUUUUUAAUUUUUAAGAAAAUGAUAAACAAAUGUUAAUUAACUGAGUUGUACGGUAUAAGAGGAGCUGGAAUGGUGGGUCUGUUUGUUUCGGCUUCUCAGCAGCUUUUGGCUAGCUGUUGAUGACUGUCAAACACCUAACUUUUUAGAUAGUUUUUAUAAGAAUCACUUUCGUGAUAAUCAACUAAAAUUAUGUGAACAAAAAAUCGAUCGAGUCGUCACGAAAGUAAGAAUCCAUCACUUUUUAGAUCCUAAACUCUAUGAAUAUCUUCAACUCCCUGCACACACGUAAUCCUCGUGAUACUUAGAUUCUUUUCAUAACUAGAUUUUCAGAAAAGCUCGUCCGAAAAAGCUGAAACAAACAAGUCGUCAGAAAAAGCCGAAACAAACUAGUCUAAUCUACGAGAGAAAUUUGUAAAGAGAGCGAUAAUAAAAUAUAUUUAAAAAAAUAUAUAGGAAGAUGUACAGAGAGAAUCGUUGCUCGAAGACGAAGGACCCAACCCGUCGAAGCCGUGUAGGUGUAGGGUUGCUGUUUUUUGAAAGGAAAUGUAGGGUUGCUGUCAUCCUACAGUUCUACUAUUCAUCCUACUGAAUGCCACUUUAGAGUCCUAUGCUCGCAGUCAUGAACGGUACUUCUUUUUAGUGGCCAUCCAGUUUUUCGUACCAUACCGAAAUCAAAAGAAGUGCGAACCCAUCCAAACCACACCAAUCCAUUGUCAAAACUAAUAAAAAAGAUCAGGUAAUUAGAUUUUGCACCCCAUCUUCCACCAAACUAGACCAGCUUAAAAAUAAAUACACCACCCAAUAAACCGGUUAGGACCGAAAACGUUAGCAGCUUUAGUUGCAGCAGAGUCUGAACACACCACAUGCGCCCAUGUGCCUAAGUCUCUGGUACAUUAUAUACUACUCCUUCCGUUCCAAUUUAUAAUUCAUUUAACUGAUCUUAUUUUAAAAAAUUAGAAAAAAACUCAUUAUAGUUUUGUUUAUUAUCAAAUAUACAUAUGAUGAAUAGUUAAAGUUGGAGUAGAAAAAGUCAAACUUUUAUAUUUUAAAAUGGAGAAGUAUUAAAUCGUAAUUUACACCCACGCUGGUUGAGUUGUGGUAGCAAUAACGCCCGGAUCAAAGGUGACGUGGCAGCGUGGGCGGUCUGUAUCAACUGGUCUAAUCCUAAUAUGGAUCAGUACAUUAGAAUUAUAACGUGUCAAUUUGGUUGGUUAUGAUCAUGUUGAAACUGGACUGGUUGAUACCAAAUCACAUACUAGUGACCUGGUCAGUAUCGACCGCAUGUUACCACGUGACAGUUCUUGAUUGGUUCACACCAUUUUGAAUUUCAAAAAUAAAAAAUUAAAAGAAAUAGAAUCUGACCUAUAAAUAGAGAAGUGUGGGAGUUCAUUAACACCCCUCACUCUAAUUUUUUUCUUACCACUUCAUAUUACACUCCUCUCACUCUCGUUUCACUCCACUAAAUCAUUGUCACCAUAUCUUCCUCGAACUCGGACGUUAAGACGACCGAAGACGAAAUACUCAACAUGUUGCAUCAAACUAUGAUGGAUGUAGCGAUAAAGCUCGCCUUCGGGUCUUCAACGAGUAGGAGGCGAAGGACACAACAAUGGAGCUACAUCGAAUAGGAUCAUGAAGUUGUCCACGACAAUUUGAUGCAAGAUUACUUUAACGAACCGUGUGUCUACCAUCCACUAGUUUCGUCGAAGGUACCACAUGCAACGUCUCUUUCUUCAACUCUUGAAGAGGUUCGCUAAGCAUCCCCUAAUCCACUCUUAGAACUAAUGCGCUCAACCACAACACUUUCUCACCCCACCCCCACCACCAAAAAUGCAUCGUCGCCCUAUGCACACUCGCCUAUGGUAGCAUCGUUGAUUUCAUUUUAAUAUACCAAAAUAGUAAAAAAAAUCCGGUCUAAGAAUGCCUCAAGCAUUUCUAUAGGGGUGUUAUUUCAUGUUUUGGUGAGGAGUAUAGUCGAUGUCUCACUGUUAAUGAUCUUAGACGACUUUUAGUUAAGGGGAAGGAAGAGAAUUUUAUGGUAUAUGAUCGGAAGUAUAGAUCGCAUGCAUUAUUAGUGAGAAACUAUAUCAUUGGAUGGCGAGGAUCGUUUACAAGAGGGACAUUAGAUUCGUGACCAUCAUGCUCGAGGCUUGCCUUAUGACUUGUGGAUUUGGCAUUAGUUUUAUGGGUAGCGAGGACGAACAACGACAUUAACAUGCUUAACCAGUCGUCGUUGUCCACUAACAUUCUUAAGGGGAGAAGCACUAAAAGUAAACUUCACGGUCAAUGGACAUGAGUACAACCAUGGGUACUACCUCGCUAAUGGUGUCUACCCUUAUUAGCUGAUGUUUGUGAAGACAAUUCCCCUUCCAUAAAUUUUGAAGAAUCGGAUGUUUGCUGCAUGCAAGGACGACACAUAGAAGGAUGUAGAGAAAGCAUUUUGGAUCCUUAAAGUUCGCUUCCAUAUUCUCGCUAGCCUAGGUCAUUCUUUGCCCUCACCAAGUAUUCAAUGUGAUAUCAUGCAAGCAUAUCUCUACUACUCUAUAAGACUCUAAUGUAGACCAUCCAUGCACCGUGGUUCUGCCUCCUGUUCUGCCCCCCAGACUCUAGCAGGUGGGCCCGUGGCUCCUCCCCAUGUCAGUGUCUACGUCUCUCACCCUCACGCAACCUAGCAGCCCAUUUAACCAAAAACAAAAACAUAUUAGGAGCGAGAAGGUGAUGCGCGCGGCGUGGGUGUCGUGGCAGGGGAAGACGGAGCAAGCGUGGAUGGAAUGGCACUACGAGAAGACAAAGGGCUACGCGGAGGCGGUCUGUGGCGGGCCAGCCACUGCAGCGCGGAGGCGGCGGGGGAGGUUGAGAAGGUGAGCCGAAAGGAGGCGGUGUCGUGGGGUAGGGCGAGGGUCAGCGCCGUGCCGAGGGAGAAGAGGAUGGGCUCCGGCGGGUCGGCGUGGGUGGAGGCGGAGUGGACGGCGAGGGCGCAGGUGUCGAGGAGGAGGUCGCCGGAGUGCGGCGCGGAGAGGGUGAGCACCGCAGAGGCGUGUAUGGUGGAGGCGGCGAAGUCGAGGUAGAAGGUGAGCGCCGUGCACGAGACCACCGGGUGCAUGCCAUCGGUGUAGGAGUGGGGAUCGACUGGCGCCGUGGCUGCUCGCUCGGUCGCUCUUGCCGCGGCAAACGAGACGGGGCUAGACACUGGAGGGUUUGGUUCGAAAUCGAGCCGGUGUGUUUCGGUACCGUGUCGGUGGAUCGCCGAGGCCGAGGCGUCCAGGUUGAGCAGACAAAGCUUUUUGAGCUCUUCUUGGAAGGAACUGAUUCCUCCAUCGAAGCGAAUCGACUCUAGCAGGUGGGCCAGUGGCUCCUCCCCAUGUUAGUGUCUAUGUCUCUCACCCUCACGCAACCCAACAGCCCAUUUAACCAAAAACAAACACGGAUUAGGAGUGCAGCAUUGCAGACUGUCUUGGUGCCUCCUCGGGGCGCCUACACAACGAACUGAGAAACAGUACUAUAGCCUCCGCACCUGAGUUUAUAAGCCAGGUUAUGCAUCAUUUGGUAGUCCAUAUGGUACUAAUUUAAAGUUGCAACACCCAUAAAAACGAAGCCACAGACGUCGUGGGCUAGAUAUCUUAUUGCGGUCCAAAUAGAGCAGAGCGAGCAAAGUACUGGGGCGGCCCAUAUCUCUGACAAUUUCUUCGUGCGUGGCUCACUUUGUUCUCUCCACGCUAGACUAGCUCCCCUCCAGAGACAUAGCAACUGCUCCUAGUACUUUAUUAUUAUUGUAAAGAUUUUAAAAUAUGUUUUAAAAAGUAUCCAUUUAAACAAUGCCUAUAUAUAUCCGUGGAUUGCUGGAACACAAUAUUGUUUAUAUACCAAUGUGUUUUAUCAUAUUAAUUCCGUAGCAACGCACGAGCAAAUGACUAGUAUUAUUUAUGAUCAUUAGGGAUGAACGUGAAGGAUCAUAUAAUGAAGGAUCAUAUAAUGCGGACGACUACGAGAUAAUUGAGUUCUCAGUUGCAGCGUUGUCGGUGUUUCGAAACCCGGGGGGUCCCUGGACCGACGAGUAAAUCGUCGCCGCGUGCCCCAGCCCAGAUGGGUCGGCGUGAGGCGGAACGCGAAGGGGGGAGAGAGCAGCCGGAGGGAGACAGGCGUGGGUGGUGGAACCCGCGGCCUUCGUGUUAGCCCCGUGCCCAGGUCGGGUGCGCUUGCAGUAGGGGGUUACAAGCGUCCACGCGGGAGGGAGCGAGCGGCCUUGCGCGAGCGCCGUCCCGUCCUUCCCCGCGUGGCCAACCCUCUGUAAGAGGUCCCUGGACCUCCCUUUUAUAGGCGUAAGGAGAGGAUCCAGCUGUACAAUGGGGGUGUAGCAGUGUGCUAACUUGUCUAGCGGAGGAGAGCUAGCGCCCUAAGUACAUGCCAUCGUGGCAGCCGGAGAGGUCUUGGCACCCAGUUCGUGUGAUGUCGUGGUCGUCGGAAGAGCGCUGGAGCCUAGCGGAAGGACAGCUGUCGGGGCUGUCGAGUCCUUUCUGAUGUCCUCUUGCUUCCGUAAGGGGGCUGAGAGCCGCCGUCGUCACAGGGCAUGCGGGGCGCCAUCAUUACUCGUAUGGUGGAGCGAGCCAGAUGGGACGCCGGUCUUGUUCCCCGUAGCCUGAGUCAGCUCGGGGUAGGGUAAUGAUGGCGCCUCCUGUCGACGUGGUCGGUCCGUACCCUAGGUUGGGCGAGGUGGAGGCUCCUCCGAGGUCGAGGUCGAGUCUGUCUUCCAAGGUCGAGGUCGAGUCCGGGCCCCCGGGUCGGACAAGGCGGAGACCGUCGGCUGAGGCCGGGGCUGAGUCCGAGCCCUGGGGUCGGGCGAAGCAGAGUUCGUCGUCCUUCGGGGCUGAGCCCGAGUCCGAGCCCUGGGGUCGGGCGGAGCGGAGUUCGUCGUCUUCCGGGGCUGAGCCCGUGUCCGAGCUCUGGGGUCGGGCGAAGCAGAGUUCAUCGUCUUCCGGGGCUAAGCCCGUGUCCGAGCCCUGGGGUCGGGCGAAGCGGAGUUCGUCGUCUUCCGGGGCUGAGCCCGUGUCCGAGCCCUGGGGUCGGGCGGAGCGGAGUUCGUCGUCUUCCGGGGCUGAGCCCGUGUCCGAGCCCUGGGGUUGGGCAGAGCGGAAUUCGUCGUCUUCCGGGGCUGAGCCCGUGUCCGAGCCCUGGGGUUGGGCGAAGCGGAGUUCGUCGUCUUCCGGGGCUGAGCCCGUGUCCGAGCCCUAGGGUCGGGUGAAGCGGAGUUUCCUAUGACGCCUGAGGCCGGACUUGGCUGCUGUCAGCCUCACUCUGUCGAGUAGCUCAGCAGUCGGAGCGGCGCAGGCGGCGCUGUCCUCUUGUCAGACCGGUCAGUGGAGCGGCGAAGUGACUGCGGUCACUUCGGCUCUGUCGACUGGAGGGCAUGUGUCAGGAUAAAGGUGUUAGGCCACCUUUGCAUUAAAUGCCCCUGCAAUUUGGUCGGUUGGCAUGGCGAUAUGGCCAAGGUUGCUUCUUGGUGAAGACUGGGCCUCGGGCGAGCCGAAGAUGUGUCCGUUGCUGGAGGGGGUCCUCGGGCGAGACGUAGAUCCUCCGGGGUCGGCUGCCCUUGCCUAAGACUGGGCUCGGGCGAGGCAUGAUCGCAUCCCUUGAAUGGACCGAUCCUUGACUUAAUCGCACCCAUCAGGCCUUUGCAGCUUUGUGCUGAUGGGGGUUACCAGCUGAGAUUUAGGAGCCUUGAGGGUACCCCUAAUUAUGGUCCCCGACAGUAGCCCCCGAGCCUCGAGGGAGUGUUAAUACUCGCUUAGAGGCUUCUAUCGCACUUUUUUGCAAGGGGACCAGCCUUUUUUGGUUGCGUUUUGUUCCGGUGGGUGCGCGCGAGCGCACCCGCCGGGUGUAGCCCCCGAGGCCUCGGAGGAGUAGUUUGACUCCUUCGAGGUCUUAGUGCGUUUCGCAACACUUCGGCUGGUCUAGUUGUUCCCUCAUGCGAGCUGGCCGUAGCCCGGGUGCACGGUCGGGUCCCAAGUUCUCGGGCUGGUAUGUUGACGCUGUCAACGGGUUGGCCAGAGCCGGGUUUGCGAGAGCAGCCCCUGAGCCUCUGCAUAGGGCGAGAGGACGGUCAAGGACAGACUCGACUUUUUUACAUACGCCCCUGCGUCGCCUUUCCGCAAGGAGGAGGGGGGAAAGCGCCAUGUUGCCCUCGGAGGGCGCCAAACAUGGUGUCUCCGGUGAGCUACUGGCGGGUAAUCCGAGUGGACGCCCGUGCCCCAUUUGUUAGGGGUCGGCUAGAGGCCCGGAGGCGCGCUCCAAAAGUACCUGCAGGUGAUCUGCCGGACCCGGUCCCCUUUUGACGGGGUCCGAGGGCUCGAUGCCUCCCUCUGAUGGGACUCCGUUACAAGAUCGUUCCCGCUGGUCUCAAAAAUGUCCUAGGGUACCUCGGGAGCGUAGCCCGAGCCUUGGUUAUGUAUCGAACGUACCCAGGGUCAUCCCUCGCUCUGUGUCUGAGGCGACUGUGAACCCUUUGAGGGCCAGCCUACGAACCCCUGAUCAGUAGUGGGCACGGAGCUCGAGUGGCCUGAGGCGGUCGUUGAACCCUUUCGAGGGACCGGCCAUCGAACCUCUGACCAGUAGUGGGCGCAGAACCCAGGUGCUCUGAGGCGGCCAUUGAACCCCUCCGAGGGGCCAGCCUUUGAACCUCUGAUCAGUAGGGAGGCUCGGGGCCUGGUUUCCUUCACGGAGAAGGAUCCUUUUCAGGGUAUCCCCCUUUCCCGGUCCCUGUUGUAAGAGAGAGAAAGAGGAAAAGGAAAAGGACACGAAAUCGAAUGACGUGGCGUACCUUUUUUGACGCGGUCAUUAUGGCGAAGGCGAAGCGUCGCUUGCUUCUCCUGCCUGAGGCGCCGCCUGUCCCGCCGCGAAGUUAAUGCGAUGGGGCGAGUGGUUCGCGAGGUGGUCGUUGCGCGUGCGCGAGCCGUUCGAGGAACGGAACACGGGCGCGUCGUCUUCAUGCCGUGAGAGAGGGUUCUCUCGCUGCCCCUGGAUGGGAUGUAAGCUUGGCUGACGACGUGUCCGCUGCUCCUGCCCGCCUGCCACCGCCAUUACUGCCGGCCCAUUUUUUAGCCGUAUUGACCGUCGUGCCUGGAUGGCACUGCUGGGUCAUACGCACGGUUGCCUCGAGUCGCGGUACUGGUUCCGCAGUCGAGGAGGCGCGGUAGUGGUGCGAGUGGCGGUGCAGUUGCUCGCACGUAGCAAUCGGCGCGCCGGUUGCAUGACGCGUGGGCCUGGACCUCCAUGCUGGGCGCGUUGGAGUCGAAGGGGCGCACCCACUUGGCGCGGUUGCAUGCCGACUGCACGGCUGUCCACCCUUUCACCCGUUGGUCUGGGCGUAAGUGGCGGAAUGCUUGUAACCGCUGGGCAGUUGCAUGCCCUGCGCGCGGCGGUUUGGCUCCUUCUGCCCUGGACCAGCUUGCAUGACGCGUGGGGCCCAGCCCCCGUGCCGUAGGGGGAGGACCUUGGAGCGUGUUGGAGAAGACUCAGCCCGCGAUGGCUGAGGACGCAAGCGGGGAGAGUCGCCUUUAAAAAGAGGGUGACCUCCUUGAAAGGCGGCCAUGUCUUCGCGCUCCCUUAUGCACCGUGUCUUUCCACCUUCCGAGCCCCCGGAUGGGGGACGCCCGCAAUCCUUCCGUCUUGUCGUCGGAGGAACGCAACUUCGUGGGAGUUGGUACCUUUCAGCCAUCGUUCGGCUUCAAGGAUUUUCAUCAUGCAGCCCGGCUGCAUCCCCUCGUCGGUGGUCGCCCAAGGCGGUGACCACCAGCCCCUGGAUGGGGAGAAGCAAGCCGGGCUGCGAUCUUGGUCCCGCCCUCAGCUUCAAGGACGUUCGUCAUCCUUGCUGGGGCGGAGGCCGGGCUGAGCCGGAGCUCUUCCCCCCGUGCGGGCCGGCCGGUCACCUCCUCUUCCAGCUUCUGGUGGUGGAAACCAUCCUCCGGCCCUACGGAGGAGGCGUCCUCCAGCCAUGCAGGGGAAGUCGAACUGUUGCUGUCCAGCUAGGAUGCAACAUUCUGUCCUUCUCCUCGCUUUCGUGGCGAGGACGGGAUUGAGGACCUGCCGGUGCACCUUGCCCACUGUCGGCGUUGGUGGAGAGGCGGACGCCGCCGUCUAUGCUGACGUGGGGGCAGCUGGAGGAAGCUUGCCCCCCGUCGAGGCCGUCGGCGCCGCCUACGGGCCGGCCCCCGGCUCUUUGGCUUUAAUGUCUGGUUCGCGUUCCUUGAGUGGGGACACGAACGAGAGCCUUCCGGUGGCCGCGUCCGUCCUGGGACCAUAGCCGCUGCUGUGGGGAUGGAACCUGAGUUCCGUUUGUAUUGGCACUUUGAGUGCCGAUGUUUUGUUCAUUGCGGCCGUCGGGGCCUGAACAUGUGUGUAUUUUCGGCACGGAGCCGUGUUUUUUCUUCAUUUCGAGCACUAAGACUUGCCUGUUGGCUAUCUGAACCGCUUCACCGAGCGUGAGUCGCCUCGUGCGAAGGUGACGAGUGAGGCAUCCGUAUCCCGGAGGCGUAGGAGUCCCUCGGCUCGUUCGGCCUUGCUGUCCGAGGCUUCUCUUGCUUAGUUAAAGGAACCCCUCGGCCGCUCUUUGAUGAGCCAAAGCCGGAGGUAGCGGUGUCAGCAUGGACAGAGGCAGAGUUGGCUCAAAAAGAAGAUUUGGUCGGCCGGAGCCUGGCCGGGUCGUCCACUGGCGGGACCGACGCCGGAGUUGAGCUGCCGAGGCCACAAGCCGGGCUGAUGUCUUCGGGGGACAGCUGGCCGAGGCCUCGGGGUGGCCGGCCGAGCCGUCUGCUCGAGCCGGAUUCCUGGAGAAGACCCUAGCGGCGAUGGCCCAGGUGUGGUGCUGAUGUCGUCCUUCAGAGUGGGGAUCCUCCAACCGCGUCGCCGUCCGAGGCUAGGUCAGACCCCGCCGAAGGUGUAGUUGACGCCGAGGGUGCUGCUGUCCCCUUCAACUGUCGACGUCCGAGCCUGCAGGAUCGGGUUGUCUUGUAGCGUGUGUAUGUUUUCUGCGGCCGCCGAGGCCCAAACACACUGUCGUCGUGUUGUAAAGCUGCGUUUCUUUUCCUCUUAUUUCGAGUAUCCAGACUUAUUUGUCGGUAACAGAAUUGUUUGUGUGGGCGAGAGUUGCUUUUCACGGAAGGUGAUGAGUGAGGUAUCCGUAUCCCGGAGGCGUAGGAAUCCCUCGGCUCGGUCGGCCUUGCCGCUUACGCGCACUCUUACUCGUCCAUAGGGUUCUGUCACCGACGCAGUCGAGAAGGCCCGAAAAACCGUUCCGGCAGAGAAGCUUUCGAGCGUGAAGACUUGUUCGGUCCGCGGAAUCAGUUAUCCGAGCGCGAGUUACUUAUCGCAGAAGGUGAUGAGUGAGGUAUCCGUAUCCCGGAGGCGUAGGAGUCCCUCGGCUCGGUCAGCCUUGGCUGCUUACGUGUACUCCGUCGUUUUCAGGAUCCACUUUCGAAGUAGUCGAAAAGCACGAAAGGCAUUCUGGCAGGAAAGAUUUUUUUCUUUUUUCGAGGAAAAUUUCGACGCAGAGGGGGUUCCCCCCUUCUAGCCCCCGAGGGAGGGUCGGGCUUUGCCGAGGCAAGGCUGACCCUUCCUUGACGACCAGACUUUGUGUGUGAACGGGGUGUAUGAAUAACUUGGAAGCAUCUUAAGGGUAGAAGCGACAUAGCUGUUGGAUGUUCCAAGCAUUGCUGUAGACCUCGCCUUGACUGUUGGCUAGCUUGUAUGUUCCGGGCUUCAGAACCUUGGCGAUGACGAACGACCCUUCCCAGGGAGGCGUGAGCUUAUGCCGCCCUCGGACAUCUUGUCUUAGCCGAAGCACAAGGUCGCCCACCUGGAGGUCUCGGGACCGAACCCCUCGGGCGUGGUAGCGUCGCAGGGACUGCUGGUACCACGCCGAGUGUAGUAAGGCCAUGUCUCGAGCCUCUUCCAGCUGGUCUAGUGAGUCUUAUCGAUUAGCUUGAUUGCUUUGGUCGGCGUAGGCCCUCGUCCACGGGGAACCGUAUUCUAAGUCUGUGGGCAAGAUGGCCUCGGCCCCAUAGACUAGAAAGAACGGUGUGAAGCCCGUGGCUCGGCUCGGCGUUGUCCUCAGACUCCAGACCACCGAUGGGAGUUCCUUCAUCCACCGCUUGCCGAACUUGUUGAGGUCGUUGUAGAUCCGAGGCUUGAGUCCUUGCAGAAUCAUGUCGUUGGCACGUUCUACCUGCCCAUUUGUCAUGGGGUGAGCCACGGCGGCCCAGUCCACCCGGAUGUGGUGAUCCUCGCAGAAGUCCAGGAACUUUCUGCCGGUGAACUGGGUGCCGUUGUCGGUGAUGAUGGAGUUCGGGACCCCAAAGCGAUGGAUGAUGCUGGUGAAGAACGCCACCGCCUGUUCGGACCUGAUGCUGUUUAGGGGUCGGACCUCGAUCCACUUGGAGAAUUUGUCGAUGGUGACCAACAGGUGCGUGUAGCCCUCGGGUGCCUUCUGCAAGGGGCCGACGAGGUCCAGACCCCACACAGCAAACAGCCAGGUGAUGGGUAUGGUCUGCAGAGCCUGAGCGGGCAGGUGGGUCUGCCUUGCGUAGAACUGACACCCUUCGCAGGUGCGGACAAUUCUAGUGGCGUCGGCCACCGCCAUCGGCCAGUAGAAACCUUGUCGGAAGGCGUUUCCAACAAGGGUUUGAGGUGCUGCGUGAUGGCCGCAAGCCUCCGAGUGUAUCUCUUGUAGGAGCUCCUGGCCUUCGGCGAUGGGAAUGCAUCGCUGGAGGAUGCCCGAGGGGCUGCGGUGGUAGAGCUCCUUCCCAUCUCCCAGCAAGACAAAAGACUUGGCACGCCGCGCCACUCGCCGAGCUUCGGCUUGGUCGAGGGGUAGCUCUCCUCGGUGGAGAUAUUGCAGGUACGGGGUCUGCCAGUUUCGAUCAGGCGUGACCUCACUCUGCUCCCCCUCAAUGCGCAGUGCCUCACCCUCGGGAGCCGAGGGUACCUCGGGCUGAGCCGAGGGUGCCUCGGGUUGAGCCAAGGGUGCCUCGGGCCGAGCCGAGGGUACCUCGGACUGAGCCGAGGGCGUCUCAGGCUGGGCCGAGGCCUCCUCGGGCUCGGGCGUGUCGUCGGUCUUGACGGAGGGUUGAUGCAGGUCUCGGGAGAAUACGUCCGGGGGAACCGUUGUUCGCCCCGAGGCUAUUUUAGCCAGCUCGUCCGCAGUCUCGUUGUAGCGUCGGGCGGUGUGGUUGAGCUCGAGCCCGUAGAACUUGUCUUCCAGGCGCCGAACCUCAUCGCAGUAGGCUUCCAUCUUUGGGUCGCGGCAGUGGGAGUUCUUCAUGACCUGGUCGAUGACGAGCUGCGAGUCACCGCGAGCGUCGAGGCGUCGGACCCCUAGCUCGAUGGCGAUUCGCAACCCGUUUACCAGAGCCUCAUACUCAGCCACGUUGUUGGACGCCGGGAAGUGGAGGCGUAGCACGUAGCGUAGGUGCUUCCCGAGGGGCGAGAUGAAGAGCAGGCCCGCGCCGGCCCCGUCUUCAUCAGCGACCCGUCGAAAAACAUGGUCCAGAGCUCCGGUUGGAUCAGAGCUGUUGGGAGCUGGGUGUCGACCCAUUCAGCCACGAAGUCCGCUAAGACCUAGGACUUGAUGGCCUUUCGAGGGGCGAACGAGAUCGUCUCGCCCAUGAUUUCCACCGCCCACUUUGCAAUUCUACCUGAGGCCUCUCGGGACUGGAUGAUCUCCCCCAGGGGGAAGGAUGACACCACAGUUACCGGAUGAGACUCGAAGUAGUGUCGCAACUUCCGCCACGUCAGGAUCACCGCGUACAGCAGCUUCUGGAUUUGUGGGUAGCGGAUUUUGGUCUCGGACAGUACCUCACUGAUGAAGUAGACUAGCCUCUGGACGGGCAAUGCAUGCCCCUUUUCUCGUCUCUCAACCACAAUUGCGGCGCUAACCAACUGAGUGGUCGCGGCGACGUAGAUCAAGAGGGCUUCUCCGGCAGCGGGGGGCACCAAGAUGGGCGCGUUCGUGAGGAGCGCCUUCGGGUUCGCGAGGGCUUCCUCGGCCUCAGGGGUCCAAGCGAAGCACUCGGCCUUCCUUAAGAGGCGGUACAGAGGCAGGGCUCUUUCGCCGAGGCGCGAGAUGAAACGGCUCAGAGCCGCGAGGCAUCCCAUAACCCUCUGUACGCCUUUCAGGUCCUUGAUGGGCCCCAUGCUGGUGAUGGCUGCGAUCUUCUCCGGGUUGGCCUCGAUGCCUAGCUCGGAGACGAUGAACCCCAAUAGCAUGCCUCGGGGAACCCGAAGACACACUUUUCGGGAUUGAGCUUCACGCCUUUCGGCUUGAGACAUCGGAAUGUCACCUCAAGGUCGGAAAGGAGGUCGGAGGCUUUCCUCGUCUUGACUACGAUGUCAUCGACGUAGGCCUCGACCGUUCGGCCGAUGUGUUCACCGAACACAUGGUUCAUGCACCGUUGGUACGUUUGAGAGCACCUAGAGAGGGGGGGGGGUGAAUAGGUGAUCCUGUAAAACUUGAAACUUAAGCCACAAAAAACUUGGUUAAGUGUUAGCACAAUAAUCGCCAAGUGGCUAGAGAGGAGUCUCAACAAAACACAAUAACCACAAGAGAUCAAUCACAGAGAUGGCACGGUGGUUAUCCCGUGGUUCGGCCAAGACCAACGCUUGCCUACUCCACGUUGUGGUGUCCCAACGGACGAGGGUUGCAAUCAACCCCUCUCAAGCGGUCCAAAGACCCACUUGAAUACCACGGUGUUUUGCUUGCUUUUCUUAAUCCCGUUUGCGAGGAAUCUCCACAACUUGGAGCCUCUCGCCCUUACACUUGAAGUUCACAAAGAAGCACGGAGUAAGGGAGGGAUUAGCAACUCACACAAGACACAAAGAUUACAGCAAAUACGCACACACAAGACCCAGACUUAAGCUCAAAAGACUAGCACACUAGAACGGAGCUCAAAUCACUAGAAUGUCGAACAAGUGCGCAAGAAUGGAGUGUGAGUGAUCAAGAGUGCUCAAAGAAUGCUUGGAUGCCUCCUCCAUGCGCCUAGGGGUCCCUUUUAUAGCCCCAAGGCAGCUAGGAGCCGUUGAGAACAAUCCUGUAAGGCAGAUCUUGCCUUCUGUCGACUGGCGCACCGGACAGUCCGGUGCCCCACCGGACACUGUCCGGUGCAGAUAUCCUUCCUUAUUUGGCGAAGCCGACCGUUGGAGUCUGAGAGCCGUUGGCGCACCGGACACUGUCCGGUGCACACCGAACAGUCCGGUGCACCAAUGUGACCGUUGGCUCGGCCACGCAUCACGCGCGGAAUCCUCGGCCGACUGUUGCCCCGGCUGACUGUUGACUCACCGGACAGUCCGGUGCACCACCGGACAGACCGGUGAAUUUUAGCCGUACGCCGUUAAUCAUCUCCCGAGAGCGACGAGUUCGCCUGUGAACGGCGCAUCGGACAGUCCGGUGAAUUAUAGCCGUACACCGCCGUCGAAGUCCCGAGAGCAGCCUGUUCGCUAGAGCCAGCCUGGUGCACCGGACACUGUCCGGUGCACCCAGACCGAGCAGACUUUGGCUGAACAAUGUCCUCUCAUUUCCAAUUCAAUUUUUCCUGUUUCCAGCACUUAGACACAAUACAUUAGUCCAUAAAACAAUGUACUAAGUCUAGAAACAUACCUUUUGACAUGAUUUGCACUUUGUCCACCACUUUGCAUAGAUUAGCACAAAAGCACUUGUGUUGGCACUCAAUCACCAAAAUACUUAGAAAUGGCCCAAGGGCACAUUUCCCUUUCAACGUUGCACCCGCAUUCCUCAAGCCGAACGGCAUGGUAACAUAGCAGUACAUGCCGAAGGGUGUGAUGAAAGAAGUCGCGAGCUGGUCGGACUCUUUCAUCCUGAUCUGGUGAUACCCUGAGUAGGCAUCGAGGAAAGACAGGGUUUCGCACCAGCAGUGGAAUCCACGAUUUGAUCGAUGCGAGGCAGAGGGUAGGGAACUUUCAGACAUGCUUUGUUUAGACCAGUGUAGUCUACACACAUCUGUCAUUUCCCCCUUUUCUUUCUCACAAGCACAGGGUUGGCAAGCCAUUCGGGAUGGAAUACCUCUUUGAUGAACCCUGCCGCCAUUAGCUUGUGGAUCUCCUCACCUAUGGCUCUGCGCUUUUCUUCGUCGAAUCGGCGCAGAGGCUGCUUCACGGGUCAGGCUCCAGCUCGGAUAUCCAGCGAGUGCUCGGCGACUUCCCUCGGUAUGCCGGGCAUGUCCGAGGGACUCCACGCGAAAACGUUGGCGUUUGCGCGGAGAAAGUCGACGAGCACUGCUUCCUAUUUGGGGUCGAGCUCGGAGCCGAUCCGGAUCUACUUGGAGGCGUCGUCGCAGGGGUCGAGAGGGACAGACUUGAUCGUCUCCGCUGGCUCGAAGUUGCCGGCGUGGCGCUUCACGUCGGACGCCUCCCUAGAGAGGCUCUCUAGGUCAGCGAUGAGGGCCUCGGCGUACUCCACGCACUCCACGUCGCAUUCGUACGCGUGUCGGUACGUGGGCCCGACGGUGAUGACCCCGUUGGGGCCCGACAUCUUGAGCUUGAGGUAGGUGUAGUUGGGGACGGCCAUGAACUUGGCGUAGCAUGGCCUCCCCAGCACUGCGUGGUAGGUUCCUCGAAACCCGACCACUUCGAACGAGAGGGUCUCCCUUUGAAAGUUGGAGGGCGUCCCAAAGCAGACGGGUAGAUUGAGUUGUCCGAGGGGCUGGACGCGCUUCCCGGGGAUGAUCCCGUGGAAAGUCGCAGCGCCCGUCCGGACCGAGGACAGAUCGAUCCGCAAGAGCCCGAGGGUCUCGGCGUAGAUGAUGUUGAGGCUGCUGCCUCCGUCCAUGAGGACCUUGGUGAGCCUGACAUUGCCGAUGAUGGGGUCGACAACGAGUGGGUAUUUCCCCGGGCUUGGCACGUGGUCGGGAUGGUCGGCCUGGUCGAAGGUGAUGGGCUUGUCGGACUAGUCUAGGUAGACUGGCGCUGCCACCUUUACCGAGCAGAUCUCCUGAUGCUCUUGCUUGCGGUGCCGAGCCGAGGCGUUUGCCACUUGCCCAUCGUAGAUCAUGAAGAAGUCGCGGACCUCGGGGAACUCUCCUGCCUUGUGAUCUUCCUUCUUAGCGUCGUCGAGGGCCUUGCCACCCUCCGCGGGUGGCCCGGCCUUGUGAAAGUGGCGUCGAAGCAUGGCACACUCCUCUAGGGUGUGCUUGACGGGCCCCUGAUGAUAGGGGCACGGCUCCUUGAGCAUCUUGUCGAAGAGGUUGGCACCUCCGAGAGGUUUCCGAGGGUUCUUGUACUCGGCGGCGGCGAUAAGGUCCGCGUCGGCGGCGUCGUGUUUCGCUUGCGACUUCUUCUUGCCUUUCUUCUUGGCGCCGCGCUGAGUUGACGCCUCAGGAACAUCUUCCGGUGGGCGGCCCUGAGGCUGCUUGUCCUUCCGGAAGAUAGCCUCAACCGCCUCCUGGCCAGAGGCGAACUUGGUGGCGAUGUCCAUCAGCUCGCUCGCCCUGGUGGGGGUCUUGCGACCUAGCUUGCUCACUAGGUCACGGCAGGUGGUGCCGGCGAGGAACGCGCUGAUGACAUCCGAAUCGGUGACGUUGGGCAGCUCGGUGUGCUGCUUCGAGAAUCACCGGAUGUAGUCCCGGAGAGACUCUCCCGGCUGCUGGUGGCAGCUUCGGAGAUCCCAGGAGUUUCUAGGGCGCACGUACGUGCCUUGGAAAUUGCCGGCGAAGCCUUGGACCAGGUCGUCCCAGUUGGAGAUCUGCCCCGGAGGCAGGUGCUCCAGCCAGGCUCGAGCGGUGUCGGAGAGGAACAGGGGGAGGUUGCUGUUGGGGACCUUCGGCGUCCGAACGUCCUCAAAAACAGGAUUUAACAGUAUUUCUGUAGUACAAUGUGUGAACAGGUACCCUCGGACUAAAGUCGGCAUUGCAGUAGACCGGAAUAAUACGAAGCUUGAUACAGAGCCGAAGGUGUUGAGCAGGAAAGCUUCGGCGUAACAGCAAAGAGUGGAACCGACUUAAAGAUGAAAAGGCUAUUCAGACCUCGAUAGACUACUAUAGAGUUAUUAUCAAAUGUAAAGGGCAUGAAUGUAAUUUUGUAAGGGCUGUGUCCCGUGUCUAUAAAUAGGUGAACAGUAUCCCCGUACUGUUCACGUUGACUUGGCAUUCGCUUUUUGCGUCACGCUUGUACUGUCAUUUCCUUCCGAUUGAAGGUACACUUGUAGUUCAAUAAUAUUUUUGUUUAUGCUCAAUAAUAAUAAAUGAUUGUUCAUGUUUUCUUUUACAUUCUUUAUAUUUCAUCCUUCGUCAUUGUUUGAACUUAUGAAGGUAUGACCUUCAUAACCUUCGUCCGUAAGUCAUUAUAUCCUAGGGGAAAUAAUGCUUCGGAGGACGAAGGGCGUUAACGAUUAACAUUUUCUAUGUUGCCUUGUUCUUAACUCUUAGCACUUGAGAACAAGUCCCCAACAUUGGCGCCCACCUCCGGUGAACUCACUUCCAUUUCUUGAGCUUUUCAACACCUUCGGCAAGCAUCACCUUCGUCAUGCCGCCGAAGAAGGCUUCAGCACCAGGGGCUGGCACGCUGCAGCCGCUGGACCCCAAUCAAGACGUCCUUUCUCUUAGAGAGGCACGAAGCCAGAAGAGGAAGGCUACCAGUCCAACACAUCCGGAGGAUGAUCUAGAUCAGGAGAUUCAAAAUCUGGAAAUCCUUCAGCAGCAGGUUCAACGCAAGAAGGAGAAGAUGGCCAGGCUAGCUGAACUGCAGAGGCAGAUAGAUGAAGCCUCUGAAGAAGUUCGUCAUCUUGCUCAGGAUGAGCAACACCGAAGGCCUCAGCAUCAAGACCUUCAUCAGGAGGGCUUUCCCAACGAAGAUGACUGGUAUGACAAUUUCCAUCAUGGGAAUUUUGUUUUUGAUGAUGCUUCUCCCCUGUCCGCUGAGUUACAGGCUACACCUUGGCCUCCGUCCUACAAGCCGCCUCAGCUCCCCGUAUUUGAUGGCCACUCAGACCCGAAGCAGUUUUUGAUGAGCUACGAAGCAACAGUGUCUUCGUACGGUGGCAAUGCUUCAGUCAUGGCCAAAUCUUUCGUUAUGGCUGUCAGAAGUGUUGCUCAAACCUGGUAUUCCUCCCUUCGACCAGGAACGAUCACUUCAUGGCAGAAGCUGAAGGAUUUGUUGUUAACCAGCUUUCAAGGAUUUCAGACGAAGCUGGUCACUGCUCAGGCUCUGUUCCAGUGCACUCAGGACCACGAAGAAUACCUUCAGGCAUAUGUCCGAAGGUUCUUGCGUCUGAGGGCACAGGCACCAACGGUGCCCAAUGAAAUUGUCAUCGAGGCCAUGAUCAAGGGGCUUCGGCCAGGUCCGUCAGCUCAGUACUUCGCCAGGAAGCCUCCUCAAACUUUGGAGAAGCUUCUCCAGAAAAUGGAUGAAUACAUUCGGGCCGACAAUGAUUUUCGCCAAAGAAGGGAGGAGGCUUUCAGGUUUUCUGAAAUAACCAGGAGCUUCGGAGGGAGGUUUUACCCGAGGCAUGUGAGAUCAAUUCACAAUUCUACACAAAAUGAUGACAGAGGAAGCCAACAGCAAAGGCCACAAUGCUCCUCACAGGCUUCUGGACAACAGCAAAGCUCCUUCCGGCCACCAGCUCCAAGAGGCAGAGGCGCCAGGGGCUUCGGAGGAAGAUUUGGCGAUCAACCGAGAAGAAUCUUUUGCUUAUUCUGCGGUGAGAACAAAGGCCAUACUACCAGGAUGUGCCAUGUUACUAUACAGAAGCAAAAGGAAAUAGCUGAAGCAGCAGCACAACAAGCCCAGCCGAAGCAGGUCAUGCAUACAGCUUCGUAUCAUUCGCCCUACAUCCCAGAAUAUGUGGGCAACCAUCCUGCAGUCUCUGCUGCUUCGGCGAGUCAGCCUCAAGCUUCCUGGCAACAGCCUCCGCCUCCACCUCCGUUGCAACAAGGCCAGCAGCCAGAAGGGAGCCAAUAUGCUCCGCAUCAAAGGGACUUCAGAGAACAGUCCGAAGCUCGCACGGUCAAUAGCACUGUGCCAGAAUCAAAGCACAUCUAUUGACAAAUAUCCUACCUUAAUAGCAAUCUUUUUCAUUCAGUUUUAUUUUCUGUAAUAAAGGACAUUGUUUAGGUUUCAUGUAAUUAGUUUCGUUGAUUCCUACAAGAGAAAUAUGUUUUCUUCACAGGCUUGUGAUAAUAAAAAGGACCUUCGGACUACCGAAAAUUCUUCGAAGCAACAAAAAGUCGUUCUAAGGAACGCAGAGUAAGUUUGACGAAGUCACAAAAAGUCGUUCUAAGGAACGCAGAGUAAGUUUGACGAAGUCACAAAAAGUCGUUCCGAAGGGAGCGCAGUGUAAGUUUUCUGCUCCAAAGUCGUUCCAAAAGGAAUGCAGAGCAUACAGCGAAAAGUCAACGCUGAUACCGCCUAAGUAAAAGGCGAAGAAGCUCCAAAGACGUUCCUAAGGGAAUGCAGAGCUUACAGCGAAAAGUCAACGCUGAUACCGCCUAAGUAAAAGGCGAAGAAGCUCCAAAGACGUUCCUAAGGGAAUGCAGAGCUUACAGCGAAAAGUCAACGCUGAUUCCGCUGAAGUAAAAGGCGAAGAAGCUCCUAAGGGAGGCUUAUAGCGAAAAGUCAAUGCUGAUUCACAAAAAGAUUAUGUGUUUUAUCGCGCAAAUAUGCGUGUAUCUUCGGAAUAUCGCCUUACAUAGCAUAGCAUCAUCACAUCAUCUUUGCAUAACAUAAGCAUCAUACAUCAUACUGCAUGUGGCAUAAGGAAAUAUGAUAUUAAUCUUCGGAAAAACGCUUUGAAAAAGGGGCAAAUCAUGCCAAGUAACAAGGAGAAACAAUAUUGAUCUCUGAAGUAUAGCCUUGAAGAAUGUUUCUACGAAGCUUCAAAACUUUCCAGGAUACUUCGGAUAUUGUUGUGAUAAAUGGUAAUUCUUCUUCACGAAGCAUGAAAAGAAGGGAAGGUGUUUUUUCGCCAAAGACUCAAAAAAGGUACGUAUGUAAAGUUUCAUGCAUCGUAAAGAAUUGAACCAUAAAGAAAAAUAAAACAAAUAUGUUACAUACGGGAUUACAAGAUAUUACACAUGUUACAUUUAAAAUGUUUUUACAAUAGCAUCUAGUCUUCCCUAAGUACCACUUCUGCAGCUUCGUUCAACAGUCGAUCGACAACUUCAUCCAUAAUAGCUUCAGCCAUCUUUUUAAUCUCAUCGUCACCCUUAGGCCGUGCACCCGGAGAUACUUCAGUAGGAUCUGAGGAAGGACAGGACACGGCUACUUUGCUAUUACAAAUCAUAAACAAAUCUUAAAGCCUAAGAUUACAACACGAUAAAAACUAUUAGUUGAUACCUAAUUGACCUUCGGCCUCUGCGCUCUUUUUAGCAGCCUCAGCUACUUCUCUAGCAUCGUGAAUACCCUUUUCACUUCUUCGAAUAAUUUCUCCGGCCAUCUCUCGGCCACCAUUAUCCCAGAUAUCAGUAAAAAACUUUCCACCAAUUAUACUAGCUUCGGCCGAAGGAUCUUUUGUAUCUUCAAAGGACAAAGCAGCUUCGGACUGUGCUAAAAUUUUUACAUGUUCACAGCCCUCCUUCUCUAAGAUAGUGGCAAUCCCUCUGGCGCCAGAGAAGGCACAUAUAUCUCCUCGACUAUUUAAAAUUUCUUCAAAGGCUUCGGCUUCGUGGUUAAUCCAUUCGAUGACACCUUCGGGAUUGCCUCUUGAAAAGUUUUCCUCACUUGAGAAUGCGCCGACCUUGGCGAAGCUAGCCUUUAAUUUCUUGACACAAUCUAUAGAUUUAUUGUAGCAUCUCUUUUUGGACGAACGAAGCUCUUCAACAGUCACUUCUAGGUGAUCUGCCCAUUGAUCGCUGAGUUCACGCUUUGUUUCUUCAAGUAUGCGUUCUUCCUUGGCUCUGGCCAGUUGUUUCCGAAGGUCUUCAAUUUCGCGUUUCUGAGCUUCAGCUUGAAUUUUAAAAGCAGCUUCGUCCUCUUUUAUUUUAUUUAUCAAUGAGUAUAAUAUUUUGUCUUUUUCGAGACCUUCGUUCCUCAGUUCAAUUACUUCGGAACGAAGGUUGCUCAGGGCUAUUGUACACCCUUCGUCUUCAGCAUCUUUCUGUGCUCUAAGAGCAUUGCUAAGUAUCAAGCCCUGCAAAAAGAAAUAUGUGUGUGUGUCAGUGGGUUUAAACGAACGGAAAAAUACAAGGAUUUCAUAUAUCGUACCUUUAAGCUAUUGUAAGCCAGGCUGUCGGCCAGAUCGUUCUUCGACAGCACUGAGAGCCCGUCUUCUAAAGUCGGGAAUCCGAAGCUCUUGCUCAUCUCCCGGCAGACAGAAAUUUCCUUGCUGUCGGGAAGACAAUACAAGAAGUCUUCUUCUCCACUGCCAUUAAAUAUUAACGCCCCCUUUGGAUAUUUCAGUUUUUGGGCAUAAUGCUGGGCCUCUUGUUCUUCUUUUUCUGAUAAUUUUUUCCCCGAAGCAUGACGGAAAAUAUAAUCACGAAUUUUGGGGGAUGCUUCGGGGGCAACAACACCGGUUUCUUCAACAAAAGUUGGCUUUGUUAUUUUUUCUGCCUCACUUUCCAAAGGUUUUCCCUUUACGGGCUCUGAGGGCCCAGCUUCGGCUUCAGCCCCUUGCUCUGGGAUUGUAGAACCAGAAGUUUCAACUGUUGUUUCAGGAGUAACAGCAGCCUUCUUCGGAGGUGUGCUCGAAGAUUUGAUCGUUUCUAGUACAUCUAGCACAUUAGCCAUUCUCUUUCUCUUCGGAGUUACGGCUGGCACUUUUUCAUUUUUUGCUGUCCCAAUGAUUGCUGUAGGACUCAAAACUUCUGAUGUUUUGGAGCCCUCAGUUGUUUCCUUUAUCUCUUCCAUUUUUUCUGUGAAUGGCGCUUCGGCCUUCUCUUUCGUUUCUGGUAACAAAAUCUUUGAUUGCUCCAAUUUUGUCUUUGUUGGCACUUCGGCCGUUUCUGCGACUUCUGGCAGCAAAGUUGGCUCGGCUGGUUUUUUAGCUUCGGUGGCCGAAGAAGUUUCUCCGGUAAACUCAGGCACCGAAGCUGGUUCAAUAUAGCGCGGCCGAUGCGUGAGAACCUUUAUCUUCUUCCUUUUCGGUUCUGGCUCGCUAGGAGCAGCUGCAGUUUCUUCUUUUGCAGAGGUUGUGUUUUUUCUUUUCUGCCUUCGGAUGGGAUAGCAAUAGUCAGGGUAGACAAACCCAAUAGCAUCAAAUACCCGAUUCAGCCUCUUCUUUUUUCGGCCUCCGAAGGCUGCUGACAUUGCAGUAUCUUCGGCCUUCGAGUAGGUACCAAGCAGCUCAUCACUUAAAUUAUCAAUGCUUUUCAACCACUCAUCAUCUGGUUCAAUAAAUUUAUCUCCAAACUUAAAAGUGUACUUAAACCUGACAAGUCCACCUUCGUCGGCCUCUUUAAUGGUUUCUUGUGGCAUUUCCCAUUUCUCUGCAAGCGGCCACACCCUGAAAGCGAUGUGCUCUUGUACUAAGUCCCUUGUUCCUAUAAAAGAACAGACAAUGCCGAAGGCUCUCUGGCAUUCUUCGGCAGCUUCAUUCAUUUCAACCUUCGGCCUGCGAAGGCCGAAGCUUUGCCAAAUAGGGCGCAUAAUUAUACCCUUGAUAUCUUCUCGUGCUUUCAGAUCAUUUUUUACAUAGAACCAUUCUGUCAUCCAGCCGCUGGGCCAUCUUUUCCGAAAAGUUGGCACGGGGCAGCUUGAUCCAGACCGAGAAACAAAAUUGUAGCAGCCAAAGUUAUUGUGAUACUGUUCCUUACCCCAAGGUAUUGUCUCGUAUGAUAAUUCGUGCAUAUUGCAGAAACUUUUUGCAUCAGGCUUCAGACCUUGGCUUCGCACGGCCCACACAAAGAUAUUCAGCCUUAUGAUUGCCUCGGGGGUAAGUUGGUGAAGAUAGACUUCAAAAAUCUUCAGCACCUCCACGACGAAGCUGCUCAAGGGCAAUCGCAGCCCAGCCUUCAAAAAGCUUCGGAACACUACGACUUCAUUCUCUUCGGGGUGUGGACAAGUCUUCUCCCCUUCGUCGGCCCUCACAACGGACAAAUCCCGGAAAUACCUUCCUCUCAUGUUAACAAGAUGAUUCUCUUUGAUAGUUGAUUUACCAUAAACUGAAUGGCUUGGUCGCCAGGGGCGAUCUUCGGAGUCUUCGCCACCGCUGUCCACAUCAUAACUUUCACUGUCACCAGUAUCUUCAGACAGCCCUUCCAGAAUCUCCUUGGUGAUUUUUUUUGUGUUGGUCUUCGACAUCGCUAUAAGAAAUCCUAAGUUCUUCUCUUCAUCAAGACUCAGCUUCAUCUCAGCAGCAGCCUUCUUAGCAGCUUCAGACAUCUUCGGAAACACUAAAAAACUGUUUUCAAAGCCGAAGCUUCAAAGCUGAAAGCUUAGCAAAUCACAGCGCACAAGAGCUAAAAAUUGAGUGAGCGGGAGUGGUUGGCCAGAAAGCGUGCAAAAUGAGUUUGCGGUAUGGCCGUAUUUAUACGCUCGGUGCAUUGAAAGUUGAAAGACCCCACUUGUCAUUGAAUGUUGCUAUUCUAGCAAAGGGAAGGUGUUUUUUCGGACCUUCGGCGUAAAGCCUUCGUCCAUAUCGCAAUCUAAAUUUAUUAUUUCAAACAAAUUAAUAUUGCGAGGGGCUACUGUUGGGGACCUUCGGCGUCCGAAGGUCCUCAAAAACAGGAUUUAACAGUAUUUCUGUAGUACAAUGUGUGAACAGGUACCCUCGGACUAAAGUCAGCAUUGCAGUAGACUGGAAUAAUACGAAGCUUGAUACAGAGCCGAAGGUGUUGAGCAGGAAAGCUUCGGCGUAACAGCAAAGAGUGGAACCGACUUAAAGAUGAAAAGGCUAUUCAGACCUCGAUAGACUACUAUAGAGUUAUUAUCAAAUGUAAAGGGCAUGAAUGUAAUUUUGUAAGGGCUGUGUCCCGUGUCUAUAAAUAGGUGAACAGUAUCCCCGUACUGUUCACGUUGACUUGGCAUUCGCUUUUUGCGUCACGCUUGUACUGUCAUUUCCUUCCGAUUGAAGGUACACUUGUAGUUCAAUAAUAUUUUUGUUUAUGCUCAAUAAUAAUAAAUGAUUGUUCAUGUUUUCUUUUACAUUCUUUAUAUUUCAUCCUUCGUCAUUGUUUGAACUUAUGAAGGUAUGACCUUCAUAACCUUCGUCCGUAAGUCAUUAUAUCCUAGGGGAAAUAAUGCUUCGGAGGACGAAGGGCGUUAACGAUUAACAUUUUCUAUGUUGCCUUGUUCUUAACUCUUAGCACUUGAGAACAAGUCCCCAACAGUUACUGAUGAUGAGAUUAUCAUCGUCCGUUCCACCCAGUUGGCAGGCCAGCCGAUAGUCCGCGAGCCACAGUUCCGGUCUCGUCUCCCCCGAGUACUUUGUGAUAGUAGUCGGGGUUCGGAACCGGUUCGGGAACGGCGCCCGUCGUAUGGCGCGGCUGAAAGCCUGCGGACCGGGUGGUUCGGGCGAAGGACUCUGAUCCUCCCCGCUGUCGUGGCGUCCCCCACGCUUGGGGUGGUAGCCCCGGCGCACCCUCUUGUCGAGGUGGGCCCGACAGCUGUGGUGAUGGUGCUCGUUGUCGAGGCGACCCGGGGCCACAGGCGCUGUGUUGCGCGUGCGCCCGGUGUGGACCGAGGCUUCCCGCAUGAAUCGGGAAGUCGCGGCGCGAUGUUCCGAGGGGUACCCCUGCCUUCGGGAGGCAGAGCUUUUGGCCCGUCGGACCGCGGCGUCCUCCAGGAGAUUCUUGAGCUCUCCCUGGAUACGCCGCCCCUCGGUGGUUGAUGGCUCCGGCAUCGCGCGGAGAAGUAUUGCCGCUGCAGCCAGGUUCUAGCCGACUCCACUGGAAACCGGUGGCGGCCUUACCCUGACGUCAUCGGCGAUGCGGUGCUGGAUGCCCUGGGGGAGAUGACGUGCUUCUCCGGCCGGAGGUUGGCCCGCCCAUUCCUGCCCGAUGUCCCGGCGGAUCGACCCAAGCGUUCCUGCUUCCUCGUCGAGCCUGGCCUGCAUCUCGCGGAUUUGCUCGAGCUGUGGGUCAGGACCCCCCACCGGAACGGGGACCACAGCUAGCUCCCGAAGGAUGUCAACGCGAGGCACGGGCCUAGGGGGAUCACCGUUCUCCGGUAUACCGAGAUGGUUGCCUUCGCCGGGACCCCCUAGAUCGACGUGGAAACAUUCGCUACUUGGGCCGCAGUCCUCGUCGUCGAGGCUGCGACUACCGUCGGAACAGUCGGAAAGGCAGUAGUUGCAUGCGGUCAUGAAGUCCGGCAUGGCAUUGGGGUUACCUAGCCCGGAGAAAUCCCAACAGAGGUCGAGCUCGCCAUCUUCCUCGGACCCCGAGGGCCCGUAGGCCGAGACGGCCGUCAGCCGGUCCCAGGGUGACCGCACACGAUACCCUAGAAGGUUUGGACUCGCCUCUAUGGGAGUGUCCACCGAAGCGGAGUUGCUUGGUGGGUCGAGGCCGAAUCCGAAAGGCGCGAGAUGGGAAUCGGUCGGUACCUUUUGGUCGACGGGCGGUGACGAAGUCACGUCAGGGACUGACUGCACCGUCGUCUCAGGUACGAGGGUGACGCCCAGCAAGUCCUUCGCGAGCGUGCUGGCGUCGUCCGUUUGCUUGAGGUUGGUGUGUUGCGGGGAGACGACGCUCGUCUUCGUCUCAGACGCGAGGUCGAUGCCCGACACGCUCUCCAUUGGGGCCGGCACCGUCAACUCGCUCGACAGCCAACGAGGUGCCACCUCCCGCUUGGCCUUGGUUGCUCCGCCUCCUCCUCCGUCGGCGGGGGAGGGGACGGGACAAGUCCGAAUGUCGUCCUUCCACCACGUGGGGAAGGCGUCGUCGAUUUCCCCGCCGGCGGGCGGGUUGUCGACCGCCAUUGUCGCUGUCACGCGGCGGGGGAAGGAGUAUCAUGUCGUAGCUGUCGUCGAGGGACAUGAACUCAAGACUCUCGAAACGGAGCACCGUCCCGGGUUGGAGAGGUUGCUGGAGACUGCCAAUCUGGAGCUUGACGGGAAGCUGUUCGUCAACACGCAGCAGGCCCCUACCUGGCGUGCCAACUGUCGGUGUUUCAAAACCCGGGGGGUCCCUGGACCGACGAGUAAAUUGUCGCCGCGUGCCCCAGCCCAGAUGGGUCGGCGCGAGGCGGAACGCGAAGGGGGGAGAGAGCAGCCGGAGGGAGACAGGCGUGGGAGGUGGAACCCGCGGCCUUCGUGUUAGCACCGCGCCCAGGUCGGGUGCGCUUGCAGUAGGGGGUUACAAGCGUCCACGCGGGAGGGAGCGAGCGGCCUUGCGCGAGCGCCGUCCCGUCCUUCCCCGCACGGCCAACCCUCUGUAAGAGGGCCCUGGACCUCCCUUUUAUAGGCGUAAGGAGAGGAUCCAGGUGUACAAUGGGGGUGUAGCAGUGUGCUAACGUGUCUAGCGGAGGAGAGCUAGCGCCCUAAGUACAUGCCAUCGUGGCAGCCGGAGAGGUCUUGGCACCCAGUUCGUGUGAUGUCGUGGCCGUCGGAGGAGCGCUGGAGCCUGGCGGAAGGACAGCUGUCGGGGCUGUCGAGUCCUUGCUGACGUCCUCUUGCUUCCGUAAGGGGGCUGAGAGUCGCCGUCGUCACAGGGCAUGCGGGGCGCCAUCAUUACUCGUAUGUGAGAGCACCUAGAGGGGGGGUGAAUAGGUGAUCCUGUGAAACUUGAAAACUUAAGCCACAAAACACAGUUAAUCGUUAGCACAAUAAUUGCCAAGUGGCUAAAGAGAUGUCUUAGCAAAACACAAUAACCACAAGAGAACAAUCACAGAGAUGACACAGUGGUUUAUCCCAUGGUUCGGCCAAGACCAAUGCUUGCCUACUCCACGUUGUGGCGUCCCAACGGACGAGAGUUGCACUCAACUCCUCUCAAGUGAUCCAAUGAUCAACUUGAAUACCACAGUGUUUUGCUUUUCUUUUCUUAUCCCGUUCGCGAGGAAUCUCCACAACUUGGAGCCUCUCGCCCUUACACUUUUGAUGUUCACAAAGAAUCACGGAGUAAGGGAGGGAUGAGCAACUCACACAAGACUCACAAAUCAGAGCAACAACACGCACACAAGUCGCAACAAGAGCUCGCAACACAACCCAAUGAGUUCACAACUCCACAAGAGCUCUAUAUGCUAUCACAAAGAAACAAAUGCGCGGAAUCGAUGACUUGGUGCUUAGGAAUGUUGUAAGUAUACUUGGUGUACUCCUCCAUGCGCCUAGGGGUCCCUUUUAUAGCCCCAAGGCAGCUAGGAGCCGUUGAGAGCAAUCUAGGAAGGCUGAUCUUGCCUUCUGUCGACUGGCGCACCAGACUGUCCGGUGCCCGAUUUCCUUCCACAAAUGGCGCAGUCGACCGUUGGCAGCCUGAGAGCCGUUGGCGCACCGGACAUGUCCGGUGCACACCGGACAGUCCGGUGCCCCCUUCUAGCCGUUGGCUCGGCCACGUGUCCCGCGCAGAUCGCGCGGCCGACCGUUGGCCCUGCCGACCGUUGGCUCACCGGACAGUCCGGUGCACACCGGACAGUCCGGUGAAUUAUAGCCGUACGUCGACGAUGAAUUCCCGAGAGCGAUGAGUUCGCCUGUGAACGGCCCACCGGACAGUCCGGUGCACCACCGGACAGUCCGGUGAAUUAUAGCCGUACACCGCCGUCGAAGUCCCGAGAGCAGCCACUUUGCUCGAGCCAGCCUGGCGCACCGGACACUGUCCGGUGCACCACCGGACAGUCCGGUGCACCCAGAUUGAGCAGUCUUUGGCUGCUCGAGCCAUCUCUUCUCCAACUCGAUUUUUUCUGUUUCCAGCACUUAGACACAAUACAUUAGUCCAUAAAACAAUGUACUAAGUCUGAGAAACAUACCUUUAUCCUUGAUUUGUACUUUGUCCACCUUUUUACACUUAGGCACUCGUGUUGGACACUAAACCACCAAAAUACUUAGAAAUGGCCCAAGGGCACAUUUCCCUUUCAAUCUCCCCCUUUUUGGUGAUUUAUGCCAACACAACAUAAAGCAAGUGGAACAAGUACAAAAUCACUCCAAAUAAGAACUCGAAUUAUUUUGAUUCAAAUUUGACAUAUAUGGAUCACUCUUUGCCACCACUUGGUUUGUUUUUGCAAAUCAAACUCAAAUUCCUAUCUCUAAGUCAAAUCCACUUGUAGAGACAUAAAGAGAGGUUUUCCAAAGGAAUUUGAUCAAGGAUUUCAACAACUCCCCCUUUUUCCCAUAAUCAACACUUCUCCUCACAAGAAGCCAACUUUUGACAAGAGAGGCAACAAAAGAGUUUUGUCAAACCAAAAACUCUAUUCUACUAUUUUCAAAAUCUCUCAAGUUUCAAAAUCUCUCAAGUGAUAGCUGAUCCAUUUAUUGCUUUGGCCUUUAUUUUCUCCCCCUUUGGCAUCAAGCACCAAAACAGGAUCAGUCUUGGCCCUAGAACCCCAUUGCCUCACCAAAAUCUUCAAUAAUAAUACAAAGGCAAUAAGAGUACAUGAGAUGAACUUGGAAUAAGUUACCCUCUCAUCGGAGUGCAGUGGAAGUCUUUCAUGGUCCAAGUCCACCUUUUCCCUUUCAAACCUCCUUCGAGACUAAAUCAUCAAACUCAAGCACAUGGUUAGUCUCAAAGGGUCAAGUUGUAACACAUCUCCCCCUAAACAUGUGCAUCACUUUGCAACGGACUUGUGAGGUCCAGGGAGUGUUUGUACAACUUGAGCACCAUUAUUAAGCGACAAUAUGCAUAAGGAACAUGAUCAAAGGCAUAAACACAAGUAUGCUAUAAAUCAAUCCAAGUUCCGCGAAUCUAAGACAUUUAGCUCACUACGCAACCUGCAAAAGGUCUUCUCAUCUAGAGGCUUGGUAAAGAUAUCGGCUAGCUGGUUCUCGGUGCUAACAUGAAACACUUCGAUAUCUCCCUUUUGCUGGUGGUCUCUCAAAAAGUGAUGCCGGAUGUCUAUGUGCUUUGUGCGGCUGUGCUCAACAGGAUUUUCCGCCAUGCGGAUAGCACUCUCAUUAUCACAUAGGAGUGGGACUUUGCUCAGAUUGUAGCCAAAGUCCCUGAGGGUUUGCCUCAUCCAAAGUUGUUGCGCGCAACACUGUCCUGCGGCAACAUACUCGGCCUCAGCGGUGGAUAGGGCAACGGAGGUUUGUUUCUUAGAAUUCCAUGACACCAGGGACCUUCCUAAGAAUUGGCAUGUCCCCGAUGUACUCUUCCUAUCGACCUUACAUCCAGCAUAGUCGGAAUCUGAAUAUCCAAUCAAGUCAAAGGUAGACCCCUUUGGAUACCAGAUCCCGAAGCAAGGCGUAGCAACUAAAUAUCUAAGGAUUCGCUUCACUGCCACUAAGUGACAUUCCUUAGGAUCGGAUUGAAAUCUAGCACACAUGCAUACACUCAGCAUAAUAUCCGGUCUACUUGCACAUAAAUAAAGUAAAGACCCUAUCAUGGACCGGUAUGCUUUUUGAUCAACGGACUUACCUCCUUUGUUGAGGUCGGUGUGUCCGUUGGUCCCCAUCGGAAUCUUUGCGGGCUUGGCGUCCUUCAUCCCAAACCGCUUCAGCAAGUCUUGCGUGUACUUCGUUUGAGAGAUGAAGGUGCCAUCCUUGAGUUGCUUCACUUGGAACCCAAGGAAGUAGUUCAACUCGCCCAUCAUCGACAUCUCGAAUUUCUGCGUCAUCACCCUGCUAAACUCUUCACAAGACUUUUUAUUAGUAGAACCAAAUAUUAUGUCAUCGACAUAAAUUUGGCACACAAAAAGAUCACCAUCACAAGUCUUAGUGAAAAGAGUUGGAUCGGCUUUCCCAACCUUGAAAGCAUUAGCAAUUAAAAAGUCUCUAAGGCAUUCAUACCAUGCUCUUGGGGCUUGCUUAAGUCCAUAGAGCGCCUUAGAGAGCUUACACACGUGGUCGGGGUACCGUUCAUCCUCGAAGCCAGGGGGUUGCUCCACGUACACUUCCUCCUUGAUCGACCCGUUGAGGAAAGCGCUCUUCACAUCCAUUUGGAACAACCUGAAAGAAUGGUGAGCGGCAUAUGCUAGCAAAAUACGAAUUGAUUCUAGCCUAGCCACAGGAGCAAACGUCUCCUCAAAGUCCAAACCUGCGACUUGGGCAUAACCUUUUGCCACAAGUCGAGCCUUGUUCCUCGUCACCACCCCGUGCUCGUCCUGUUUGUUGCGGAACACCCACUUGGUUCCCACAACAUUUUGCUUGGGACGAGGCACCAGUGUCCAAACUUCAUUGCGCUUGAAGUUGUUGAGUUCCUAAACCCUAAACCCUCUGAUACCAAGUUCCUCCUGCAUGGCCAAUACCCAAUCCGGAUCUAGCAAGGCCUCCUCUACCCUGAAAGGCUCAAUAGAAGAGACAAAGGAGUAAUGCUCACAAAAAUUAACUAAUCGAGAUCGAGUAGUUACUCCCUUGCUAAUGUCACCCAAAAUUUGGUCGACGGGAUGAUCCCUUUGAAUCACCGCUCGAACUUGGGUUGGAGGUGCCGGUUGCGCUUCUUCCUCCAUCACGUGAUCAUCUUGUGCUCCCCCUUGAUCACACGCCUCCUUUUGAUGAACUUGUUCAUCGUCUUGAGUUGGGGGAUGCACCGUUGUUGAGGAAGAAGGUUGAUCUCGUUCAUCUUGUUCCUGUGGCCGCACUUCUCCAAUCGCCAUGGUUCGUAUAGCGGCCGUCGGAACAUCUUCUUCAUCUACAUCAUCACAAUCAACAACUUGCUCUCUUGGAGAGCCAUUAGUCUCAUCAAAUACAACGUCGCUAGAGACUUCAACCAAACCCGAUGAUUUGUUGAAGACUCUAUACGCCUUUGUAUUUGAGUCAUAACCUAACAAAAACCCUUCUACAGCUUUGGGAGCAAACUUAGAAUUUCUACCCUUCUUUACUAGAAUGUAGCACUUGCUCCCAAAUACACGAAAGUAAGAUACAUUGGGUUUGUUACCGGUUAGUAGCUCAUACGAAGUCUUCUUGAGGAGGCGAUGAAGGUAGACCCUGUUGAUGGCGUGGCAAGCCGUGUUGACGGCUUCCGACCAAAAACGCUCGGGGGUCUUGAAUUCUCCAAGCAUCGUCCUCGCCAUAUCAAUUAGCGUCCUGUUCUUCCUCUCUACCACACCAUUUUGCUGUGGUGUGUAGGGAGCGGAGAACUCGUGCUUGAUCCCUUCCUCCUCAAGGAACUCCUCCACUUGAAGGUUCUUGAACUCGGACCCGUUGUCGCUCCUUAUCUUCUUCACCUUGAGCUCAAACUCAUUUUGAGCUCUCCUGAGGAAGCGCUUGAGGGUCCCUUGGGUUUCAGACUUAUCCUGCAAAAAGAACACCCAAGUGAAGCGGGAAAAGUCAUCAACAAUAACUAAACCAUACUUACUUCCUCCUAUGCUUAGAUAGGCGACGGGUCCGAAGAGGUCCAUAUGUAGCAGCUCGAGGGGUCUUGAUGUGGUCAUCACAUUCUUGCUGUGAUGCGCUCCUCCCACCUGUUUACCUGCCUGACAAGCUGCACAAGGUCUAUCUUUUUCGAAUUGUACGUUAGUCAAACCUAUCACAUGUUCUCCCUUUAGAAGCUUGUGAAGGUUCUUCAUCCCCACAUGUGCUAAGCGGCGAUGCCACAACCAGCCCAUGCUAGUCUUAGCAAUUAAGCAUGCAUCUAGACCGGCCUCUUCUUUUGCAAAAUCAACUAAGUAAAGCUUGCCGUCUAAUACACCCUUAAAGGCUAGUGAACCAUCACUUCUUCUAAAGACAGACACAUCUACAUUUGUAAAAAGACAAUUAUAUCCCAUAUUGCAUAGUUGACUAACAGAUAGCAAAUUGUAACCAAGAGACUCAACUAAAAACACAUUGGAGAUAGAGUGCUCAUUAGAAAUUGCAAUUUUACCUAACCCUUUUACCUUGCCUUGGUUCCCAUCACCGAAUAUAAUUGAAUCUUGGGAAUCCUUAUUCUUGACGUAGGAGGUGAACAUCUUCUUCUCCCCCGUCAUAUGGUUUGUGCAUCCGCUGUCGAUAAUCCAGCUUGAACCCCCAGAUGCAUAAACCUGCAAGGCAAAUUUAGGCUUGGGUCUUAGGUACCCAACUCAUGUUGGGUCCUACAAGGUUAGCGCAGAUAUCCUUAGGGACCCAAAUGCAAGUUUUGUCUCCCUUGCAUCUUGCCCCUAAUUUUCUAGCAACUAUCUUCCUAUCCUUUCUACAAAUAGCAAAGGAAGCAUUUAAAGCAUGAUAUAUUGUAGAUGGUUCAUUAACUUUCCUAGGAACAACAUUUCUCCUAGGCAUAUUAUGAACAACAUUUCUCCUAUCAACAUUUCUAUCAUGCAUAUAAGAAGAACUAGAAGCAAACAUGUCAUGAGAAUCAAAAGCAUCAUAUGCGUUACAUCUCCUAUAAGCAUUUCUAGAUUGUCUCCUAUCAUGGUACAUAAAGGUAUGGUUCUUUUGCACACUACUAGCCAUAGGGGCCUUCCCUUUCUCCUUGGCGGAGAUGGGAGCCUUAUGGCUUGUCAAGUUCUUGGCUUCCUUCUUGUAGCCAAGUCCAUCCUUAAUUGAGGGGUGUCUACCAAUUGUGUAGGCAUCCCUUGCAAAUUUUAGCUUAUCAAAAUUACUCUUGCUAGUCUUAAGUUGAGCAUUAAGACUAGCCAAUUCAUCAUUAAGUUUGGAAAUUGAAACUAGGUGUUCACUACAAGCAUCAAUGUCAAAAUCUUUACACCUAUUGCAAGUUUCAACAAUUUCUACACAAGAUGUUGAUUUACUAGCUAUUUCUAACUUAGCAUUCAAAUCAUCAUUAACACUUUUUAAUUUAGAGAUGGAUUCAUGACAAGUAGAUAAUUCACUAGAGAGCAUUUCAUUCCUUUUAAUUUCUAGAGCAAGAGAAUUUUGUGCACUAACAAAUUUAUCAUGCUCCUCAUAUAAAAGAUCCUCUUGUUUUUCUAGUAAUCUAUUCUUGUCAUUCAAAGCAUCAAUCAACUCAUUAAUCUUAUUAAUUUUAGAUCUAUCUAAUCCCUUGAAUAAGCAUGAGUAAUCUAUCUCAUCAUCAUCACUAGACUCAUCCUCACUUGAAGAAGCAUAAGUACUAGUAUCAUGAGUGCUUACUUUCUUCUCCCUUGCCAUGAGGCAAGUGUGACGCUCGUUGGGAAGAGGGAUGACUUGUUGAAGGUGGUGGCGGUGAGUCCUUCAUUGUCGGAGUCGGAGGAGGAGCAAUCCGAAUCCCACUCCUUUCCGAUAUGUGCCUCGCCCUUGGCCUUCUUGUAAUGCUUCUUCUUCUCCCUUUUGUUCCCCUUUUCUUGGUCACUUUCAUUAUCGGGACAGUUAGCAAUGAAAUGACCAAUCUUACCACAUUUGAAGCACGAGCGCUUCUCCUUUGUCUUGGUCUUGCUUGGCUGUCCCUUGCGACCUUUAAGCGCCGUCUUGAAGCGCUUAAUGAUGAGGGCCAUCUCCUCAUUAUUUAGCCCGGCCGCCUCAACUUGCGCCACCUUGCUCGGUAGCGCCUCCUUGCUCCUCGUUGCCUUGAGAGCAAUGGGUUGAGGCUCAUGAAUAGGACCGUUCAACGCGUCGUCCACAUAUCUUGCCUCCUUGAUCAUCAUUCGCCCGCUUACGAACUUCCCCAGAACUUCUUCGGGCGACAUCUUGGUGUACCUAGGAUUUUUACGAAUAUUGUUCACCAAAUGAGGAUCAAGAACGGUAAAGGACCUUAGCAUUAGGCGGACGACGUCGUAUCCGUCCAUCGCGUGCUUCCGUAGCUCCUUAUUUUGUUGAUAAGGGUCUUGAGCCGGUUGUAUGUUUGAGUUGGCUCCUCGCCCCUUAUCAUUGCGAACCGUCCAAGCUCGCCCUCCACCAACUCCAUCUUGGUGAGCAAGGUGACAUCAUUCCCCUCAUGAGAGAUCUUGAGGGUGUCCCAGAUCUGCUUGGCAUUGUCCAAGCCGCUCACCUUAUGGUACUCGUCCCUGCACAAAGAGGCUAGCAACACAGUAGUAGCUUGUGCAUUUUUAUGAAUCUGUUCAUUAAUAAACAUGGGACUAUCCGUACUAUCAAAGUGCAUUCCACUUUCUACAAUCUCCCAUAUGCUAGGAUGGAGAGAGAACAAGUGACUACGCAUUUUGUGACUCCAAAAUCCGUAGUCCUCUCCAUCAAAAUGAGGAGGUUUACCAAGUGGAAUAGAUAAUAAAUGAGCAUUAGUACUUUAAGGAAUACGAGAGUAAUCAAAAGAAAAGUUCGAAUUGACUGGUUUCUUUCUCUCGUAUUCGUUGUGGUCGUCGUCCUUUUGGGAGGAAGUAGACUCAUCGCUGUCGUAGUAGACGAUCUCCUUGAUGCGUCUUGUCUUCUUCUUCUUCCCAUCUUUGCGUCUGUGGCCCGAGCCCGAGUCGUUGGACUUGUCAUCCCUUGGCUCGUUGACGAAGGACUCCUUCUCCUUGUCGUUGAUCACGAUUCCCUUCCCUUUAGGAUCCAUCUCUUCGGGCGGUUAGUCCCUUUGUGAAGAGAACGGCUCUGAUACCAAUUGAGAGCACCUAGAGGGGGGGGUGAAUAGGUGAUCCUGUGAAACUUGAAAACUUAAGCCACAAAACACAGUUAAUCGUUAGCACAAUAAUUGCCAAGUGGCUAAAGAGAUGUCUUAGCAAAACACAAUAACCACAAGAGAACAAUCACAGAGAUGACACAGUGGUUUAUCCCAUGGUUCGGCCAAGACCAAUGCUUGCCUACUCCACGUUGUGGCGUCCCAACGGACGAGAGUUGCACUCAACUCCUCUCAAGUGAUCCAAUGAUCAACUUGAAUACCACGAUGUUUUGCUUUUCUUUUCUUAUCCCGUUCGCGAGGAAUCUCCACAACUUGGAGCCUCUCGCCCUUACACUUUUGAUGUUCACAAAGAAUCACGGAGUAAGGGAGGGAUGAGCAACUCACACAAGACUCACAAAUCAGAGCAACAACACGCACACAAGUCGCAACAAGAGCUCGUAACACAACCCAAUGAGUUCACAACUCCACAAGAGCUCUAUAUGCUAUCACAAAGAAACAAAUGCGCGGAAUCGAUGACUUGGUGCUUAGGAAUGUUGUAAGUAUACUUGGUGUACUCCUCCAUGCGCCUAGGGGUCCCUUUUAUAGCCCCAAGGCAGCUAGGAGCCGUUGAGAGCAAUCUAGGAAGGCUGAUCUUGCCUUCUGUCGACUGGCGCACCGGACUGUCCGGUGCCCGAUUUCCUUCCACAAAUGGCGCAGUCGACCGUUGGCAGCCUGAGAGCCGUUGGCGCACCGGACAUGUCCGGUGCACACCAGACAGUCCGGUGCCCCCUUCUAGCCGUUGGCUCGGCCACGUGUCCCGCGCAGAUCGCGCGGCCGACCGUUGGCCCUGCCGACCGUUGGCUCACCGGACAGUCCGGUGCACACCGGACAGUCCGGUGAAUUAUAGCCGUACGUCGACGAUGAAUUCCCGAGAGCGAUGAGUUCGCCUGUGAACGGCCCACCGGACAGUCCGGUGCACCACCGGACAGUCCGGUGCACCACCGGACAGUCCGGUGAAUUAUAGCCGUACACCGCCGUCGAAGUCCCGAGAGCAGCCACUUUGCUCGAGCCAGCCUGGCGCACCGGACACUGUCCGGUGCACCACCGGACAGUCCGGUGCACCCAGAUUGAGCAGUCUUUGGCUGCUCGAGCCAUCUCUUCUCCAACUCGAUUUUUUCUGUUUCCAGCACUUAAACACAAUACAUUAGUCCAUAAAACAAUGUACUAAGUCUGAGAAACAUACCUUUAUCCUUGAUUUGUACUUUGUCCACCUUUUUACACUUAGGCACUCGUGUUGGACACUAAACCACCAAAAUACUUAGAAAUGGCCCAAGGGCACAUUUCCCUUUCAGUAUGGUGGAGCGAGCCAGAUGGGACACCGGUCUUGUUCCCCGUAGCCUGAGUCAGCUCGGGGUAGGGUAAUGAUGGCGCCUCCUGACGACGUGGUCGGUCCGUGCCCUAGGUUGGGUGAGGUGGAGGCUCCUCCGAGGUCGAGGUCGAGUCUGUCUUCCAAGGUCGAGGUCGAGUCCGGGCCCCCGGGUCGGACAAGGCGGAGACCGUCGGCUGAGGCCGGGGCUGAGUCCGAGCCCUGGGGUCGGGCGAAGCGGAGUUCGUCGUCCUUCGGGGCUGAGCCCGAGUCCAAGCCCUUGGGUCGGGCAGAGCGGAGUUCGUCGUCUUCCGGGGCUGAGCCCGUGUCCGAGCCAUGGGGUCGGGCGAAGCGGAGUUCGUCGUCUUCCGGGGCUGAGCCCGUGUCCGAGCAAUGGGGUCGGGCGGAGCGGAAUUCGUCGUCUUCCGGGGCUGAGCCCGUGUCCGAGCCCUGGGGUCGGGCUAAGCGGAGUUCGUCGUCUUCCGGGGCUGAGCCCGUGUCCGAGCCCUGGGGUCGGGCGAAGCGGAGUUUCCUAUGACGUCUGAGGCCAGACUUGGCUGCUGUCAGCCUCACUCUGUCGAGUAGCUCAGCAGUCGGAGCGGAGCAGGCGGCGCCGUCCUCUUGUCAGACCGGUCAGUGGAGCAGCGAAGUGACUGCGGUCACUUCGGCUUUGUCGACUGGAGGGCGUGCGUCAGGAUAAAGGUGUCAGUCCACCUUUGCAUUAAAUGCCCCUGCGAUUUGGUCGGUUGGCGUGGCGAUAUGGCCAAGGUUGCUUCUUGGUGAAGACUGGGCCUCGGGCGAGCCGAAGGUGUGUCCGUUGCUGGAGGGCGAGACGUAGAUCCUCCGGGGUCGGCUGCCCUUGCUUAAGACUGGGCUCGGGCGAGGCAUGAUCGCAUCCCUCGAAUGGACCGAUCCUUGACUUAAUCGCACCAAUCAGGCCUUUGCAGCUUUGUGCUGAUGGGGGUUACCAGCUGAGAUUGAGGAGCCUUGAGGGUACCCCUAAUUAUGGUCCCCGAUAAGCACCAACUAUUUCCCCCAAAACACAGAUGAUCUUUGCAAGUGUCCUUCAAUGUAUAAAAUAAUUUAAUGAAGUAUAUCGAUGAUCUGCACCAUAGAAAUUAGAUUUUAUUUUACAAAUUAUAUUGCUUCUUAUUUGUUUGAGUCAUAUAAAAUUUUGUUAUUUUUAUUAAUUGUGUAUUUUUAUAGUUGCUUAAUGACGCGUUUGAUGAAUUUUUCCUUAAUAAAACAUCAUGUUUUUAUUCUAAAUAAAAGUAUAUAAAAAAAGUUGAUGUAGCGCUCAUGUGAUUAUAAACUAACGAUAAAGAUUAUGAAUUGCAGCAGAUAAAGACUAACGACAGUCUACAGUAUGAUCGAUAACCUAACAAUCGUUAGGCCUUGUUCGGUUUGAAUUGGAUUGAGGGUGAUUAGAGCGGAUUAAAUCGAAUUGUUAGGGUAAGUAGAUCCAGACUUAAUUGAGCCAACGUCGACUAGUCCUCUAUAGUUUACACACGGAGACGUGACGCACGUUGUUUUUCACUAGGUCCAGCCUUAAUUGCGGCGACAUCCAGUACUAGUACUAAUACACUGUAGUUGGCACACACGGAGACGUGUAUCACGUUGUUUUAUUAUUUCGAAUCAUCAUGCUCAACCUCGACAUCUUAUUCUUCAUGAGGCCGCAGUUCGUCUCCCGCUCUAUAAAUAGCUGGCCUGCUCGCUCAUCCAUCACUCACUCACUCACUCAUUCACUCACACAGCAAAUACCCACAGUCCACAGCAAGAACCGAAGAUGUUCGGAAACAUCGGAAAGAUCCCGAUCAUCGGCGACCUGACGGGCAGCAACAAGAAUGCGCACCUCAAGGGCAACCUGGUGCUCAUGCGCAAGACCGUGCUCGGCUUCGACGUCACCAGCAUCGCCGGCUCCCUCAUGGACGGCCUCGGCGAGUUCCUCGGCCGCGGCGUCACCUGCCAACUCGUCAGCUCCACCGUCGUCGACCCCAGUAAGAGAAACCGACAAAAACAAAACUAGUAGAACUACGGCUACGGGUGCUGACCCUGAGACAACCAUCGCGACGAAAACGAUGACCCAUCGAGACAACGAGCGGAUCUAGCUAGAGUCUGGACAAAUUAAGAACGGAUAAUUACUUUUAUUUACACUAAUAUGUACAGUAUGCAGUAGUAGGUACUAGUAGCAAGGAGUACAUUUUACACGCCGCUCUGAAUGAUGAUAUUGACGCUGACCCUGACGUUGACCGGCGCCGGCGUGUGCAGACAACGGGAACCGCGGGAAGGUGGGUCAGGAGGCGAGCCUGGAGCAGUGGCUGCUGCACCCGCCGCCGCUUCUGGCCGGCGAGGACCAGUUCCGCGUCACCUUCGACUGGGAGGUGGAGAAGCACGGCGUCCCGGGCGCCAUCAUCGUGAAGAACAACCACGCCUCCGAGUUCUUCCUCAAGACCAUCACCAUCGACGACGUCCCCGGCCACGGCCCCAUCGUCUUCGUCGCCAACUCAUGGGUGUACCCGCAGUACAAGUACCGCUACAACCGCGUCUUCUUCUCCAACGACGUGAGUACCCCGUCGUCCGUCUCCGUCCAUUAGCGAACCAAGGAGCAGAGCCAUCGAUCGGUUGACAUGAACACACACGCAUUCUCCUUUCUAUGCGACGUACGCACACGCAGACGUACCUCCCCAGCCAGAUGCCGGCGGCGCUGAAGCCUUACCGCGACGACGAGCUCCGCAACCUGAGGGGCGACGACCAGCAGGGCCCGUACCAGGAGCACGACCGCGUCUACCGCUACGACGUCUACAACGACCUCGGCAACCCCGACGCCAAAAACCCGCGCCCCGUCCUCGGCGGCUCCAAGCACCACCCCUACCCGCGCCGCGGCCGCACGGGCCGGAAGCCGACGCAGACAGACCCCAACAGCGAGAGCAGGCUGACGCUGACCGACGGCGACGUCUACGUGCCGCGCGACGAGCGCUUCGGCCACAUCAAGAACUCCGACUUCUACGGCUACACCAUCAAGGCGUUCGUCGACGGCCUGGUGCCCAUCCUGGAAGGCUACCUCCUCGGCAUCGAGUUCAACUCCUUCAAGGACAUCCUGCAGCUGUACGAGGGCGGUAUCAAGCUGCCCGACAUCCCCGCCCUCGAGGAGUUCCGCAAGCAGUUCCCGCUACAGAUGGUCAAGGACCUCAUGCCCGCCGGCGGCGACUACGUCCUCAAGCUCCCCAUGCCCAAAAUCAUCAAAGGUUAAUAAAUUGAAUCUCACGCUGGCUGGUGAAUCAUUAAUUUCUGGCGUCAUUAAAAUGUCUCUUACUCCUCUGUUGGGCUCCCGCGCCGCAAGCAGAGGACAAGAAAGCUUGGAUGAGUGACGAGGAGUUCGCAAGGGAGACCCUCGCCGGCGUGAACCCCUUGAUCAUCAGGCGUCUCACGGUGAGCGUGGACGUACAGUCUUGCUUGAGCAAUUGGAUGUCGACCUUAUACAAGCAGUAACAUUAUUGUCCCGGCCGGUUACAGGAGUUCCCUCCGAAAAGCACCCUUGAUCCGAGCAAGUACGGCGACCAGACGAGCACCAUCACGGAGGCGCACAUCGCGGGGAGCCUGGAGGGCCUCACCGUGCAGCAGGCGCUGGACAGCAACCGGCUCUACAUCCUGGACCACCACGACCACUACAUGCCGUUCCUGAUCGAGGUCAACAGCCUGAACGACAACUUCAUCUACGCCACCAGGACGCUCCUGUUCCUGCGCGGCGACGGCACGCUCGCGCCGGUGGCCAUCGAGAUGAGCCUCCCCGAGCUCCGGGACGGCAUCACGGCCGCGAAGAGCACGGUGUACACGCCGGCGCCGCCGACGGCCGGCGCGGAGGCGUGGGUGUGGCGCCUGGCCAAGGCCUACGUGAACGUGAACGACUACUGCUGGCACCAGGGCAUCAGCCACUGGCUCAACACGCACGCGGUGAUGGAGCCGUUCGUGAUCGCCACCAACCGGCAGCUCAGCGUGACGCACCCCGUGCACAGGCUGCUGCUGCCGCACUACCGCGACACCAUGAACAUCAACGCCCUCGCGCGCCAGAAGCUCAUCAACGCCGGCGGCAUCUUCGAGAUGACCGUCUUCCCGCGCAAGUACGCCAUCGAGAUCUCCUCCAAAGUCUACGGCAGCUGGAACUUCACCGAGCAGGCCCUCCCCGACGACCUCAUCAAGCGGUAAUUAUAUAUUAAACUGAUCCACGACACUGGCCUCGAUCACUGCAGUGCAGGCUAUCGUCCGUCCAGCAGCAGCAACAGCUAAAAAAAAAAUUAACAAUCGUGCUGCUGCUCUGCUUCAUGCAAUGCAGAGGCAUGGCCGUUCCAGAUCCGUCGAGCCCCUACAAGGUGCGGCUGCUGAUCGAGGACUACCCGUACGCCUCGGACGGGCUGGCCGUGUGGCACGCCAUCGAGCAGUGGGUGACGGAGUACCUGGCCAUCUACUACCCCAACGACGGCGUGCUGCAGGCCGACGUGGAGCUGCAGGCGUGGUGGAAGGAGGCGCGCGAGGUCGGGCACGCCGACCUCAAGGACGAGCACUGGUGGCCCAAGAUGCAGACGGUGCCGGAGCUCGUGAAGGCCUGCACCACCAUCAUCUGGAUCGCGUCGGCGCUACACGCUGCCGUCAACUUCGGGCAGUACCCGUACUGCGGGUACCACCCGAACCGGCCGUCCGUGAGCCGGCGGCCCAUGCCGGUGCCGGGCUCCGACGCGUACAAGGAGCUGGAGAAGAACCCGGAGAAGUUCUUCGUGCGCUCCAUCACCGCCCAAUUCCAGGCCGUCGUCGGCAUCUCGCUGCUGGAGAUCCUGUCCAGCCACUCCUCCGACGAGGUGUACCUCGGCCAGCGCGACACCAAGGAGUGGACGUCGGACGCCAAGGCGCAGGAGGCGUUCAAGCGGUUCGGCGCGCGGCUGACCGAGAUCGAGAAACGCGUGGAGGCCAUGAACAAGGACCCGCGCUUCAAGAACCGCUACAGCGCGGCCCAGUUCCCCUACACCCUGCUCUUCCCCAACACCUCCGACAAGGGCGAUAACACCGGCGUCACCGCCAAGGGCAUCCCCAACAGCAUUUCCAUCUGAUUCGAUCGAGUCCUGGCCAGCGUUUCACCCAAAAAAGCAGAGCUAGCGGUGAUUCCCGUAUGUCAUCCGUUUCAUUUUUUACAUGAAUGAGAAGCGUGGUAAUAAAAAGGUUUGUAGUUGCGUGCGCGCCGUGUAUUCCUUGGUGUACUGGUGCUGGCGGUAACCACUUAUUACCAGGGAUCCUUGUAAUUUUUCCUGUUGGUUUCCCAAUAAUAAUGUGAAUAUAUUGGUCACAUGCAUGGUGUUUCCAAGGAUUUUUUAGCUAAUUACUUUUUUAUGUUUUGAACCAAUCAGUUGUCCGUAUUUUAUUACAGUUGUUAUAUAUCAUAUAAAUAGAUAUUGAGAUAUUUAUUCAAAUACAAUUAUUAUUUAUUUUUAAAUAAUAAGUUACGUGUGGUCUGAUGGUUAGCCCUAAAAUUCUGCAGAGGGGUGUGGGUUCGAGUGCUCCCUCUACACUAUUUUUUUGCGCGGUGUGAUUGCUGCGCGGACGGGGUCGGGCGCCUGGCCGCGCCGCAGUAGCCGGCGGCGAAACCAGUCAGGGGAUGUGUGGGACGGGUCCAGAGUAUCAUCGCCGAGAGACCCCAGCGCCUGCAAGGACGCUGGGCAUGGGGCCCACAAGGCACGGCACCAAGGCGAGGCGCGUGGGGCGAGCCAGAGUAUCAGCGUGUAAGGUGAAGUCGUGGUAGCACCAUAUAUGCACAUUAAGUUCUUAAUAAAGUAGUAUAAAUUACAAGUUAUUUUCAUUUUUUAAUAUAUAGUUCUUAUAUAUAAAAAAUCUAUGUAUCUAAAAAAACCUAUAUCUUUUGAACGGAGUAGAAUUUAAAUCAACUUAGGACCCUAUGGUGUACCAACACAUGAAAAAGUAUAGACUCAAAUCUUAUGAGCCAUAAGCAUUAGACCUAUAUAUAUAUAUAUAUAUAUAUAUAUAUAUAUAUAUAUAUAUAUAUAUAUAUAUAUAUAUAUAUAUAUAUAUAUAUAUACGAUAUACGGUGGCACUAAAAUGCACCUGGGUGCAUUCUCUAUAUUGAAUGCACCCAGGGUGCAAUAACACCCGAGCACGCCUUCCCAUAAGAGCACGCCCUCGACUCUCCUGUACGCACGCCUCCCUGCUCCCCGCCGCGAGUAUCCUCUAAUUGCAAACUUGAGUCUCUGUUUUUACUCCUUGAUUACCAUUGCAUGCUGUGUUGUUACUCCAGUUGCAACGUUUGUUGCUUGUUGAUUGCAACUAUGUGUAUCCGCUAAUUGCAAACUCAUGAUUGCGUGUUGUUCUGCAAGAUGCAAACAUACUUGAUGUGUUUGUUCCCAGGGUGCGGCAAACAUUUGAUACAAGGGAAGAAGCCUACCUCUUUUACCUUGAUUAUGCAAAGUUGGCUGGUUUUAGUGUCAGGACAAAGAGUUGUAAUUGCAACUGCUGGUGUGGUGUGAUUGCAACCCCGCAUUAGGUGUGAUUGCAACUGCUGUAUAAUUCUACCCAAAUAUCUGUUAAAAAAAUGUAAACAAAAUGAUUGCAACUGCUGGUGUGUUGUAAUUGUAAAUACUGGUGUGGUGUGGAUGCAACUGCUGAGUUGCUCUAAUGUGAUUGCAAGUACUGAAUAACUCUGGGAAAUUUUGUUAAAAAAUAUGAUUGCAACUGCUGGUCUGGUGUAAUUGCAACUGCCGGUCUGGUGUGAUUGCAACUUCUAUAUAACUAGAUGCAACUGCUGGUCUGGUUCGAAAAUUGUAGCAUUCUAUCGGGAGCGUGCGGGAGAGACGAAGACGAAGCGUCAGUUCAGCCUAGGUGGGGCGGUUGGCUCGUACCAGGUGCUCCUGGCGCGUAGGUUCGGCCUGGGUGCAUUCUCUAUAUUGAAUGCAUCCAGGUGUAAUAUAUAAAUACAGUAUAUAUAUAUAUAUAUAUGUGUGUGUGUGUGUGUGUGUGGAGCCCUGGGCUUCCAAUAGCACGGCGAAAGCCCUGGCCCGAUGUUGCCAACCGGUUCAGCCACACCAGGUCCGAAGCGUCUAUAAAAGAAGCUCUAGAUCGCUAGGGUUCAGUUUUAGCGACACCGACAGUUACGCCCCAACCCUGAAACGCGCGCGCGACGGCGGAUCCUGGGAGCAAGUGCACGAUAGCGGAUCUGAGGGACACGCUCGCGAUGGUGGGUCGAGGGACACGCUCGCGGCGGUGGAUCCCUGAGACCAGCAUGCGGCGAUGGGCCCCCUGAGGCGCGCACGACGGCGAGGUGGGAGCGGCUGUGGCAUCGAAUCCCGAGGGCACGCACGCGGCGGCGGCGGCCUCAUGAGGUGUGCACGACAGUGAGGUGGAGCCACGACGACGGAUCCCGAGGGACACGAGCGCGGCAGCGUCUCCCUGAGGUGCACGCGACAGCGACCCCUUGAGUUGCGCAUGACGGUGAGAUGGGAGCGGCUGCAGCGGCGCGACGGCGGAUCUCAGGGGCACGUGAGCAACGACGACACCCCUAAGGCGUGCAUGACGAUGAGGUGGGAGUGGCUGAUGCGACGGAUCUCCGGAUGCACUCGCACGAGGGUCGACCCCUGAACGCGUACGACUACAAUGUCAUCCAAGGUGGGAGCGACGAUGGCAGACUUCCCUAGGCGUGAGCGACGACGACAGCCUCCCCUAGACACGAAGUGGUGGCGCAUCCUAGAUGCGAGGCGGCGGUUUCGCAGGGCUGUGGUCCUAUUUUUAUACUAUUUUGUAUACAUAUUUAUGGCAAUUGUGGGGGAUGGAUAUCCCCCGGGUCCACUAAAAGAGUAAAAGACCUCACGAAAGGCCCAAGGGCCCAAUAAAUCGUAAGGUCAUUCUUUCGUGGGCCUGGGGAGAGACAACCAGCAAAGCAGAUCGACAUGAGGCCGGAUUGGUGCAAACCCGGACGACCCACAACGUCGAGCGAGUAACCACAACAGAGAUCCGAUUUUCCGCGCUGGAGCCCCCAUGCAACGGAGCCAUGCGAGGAUAAGUCGGCAGAACUACAAGGAGAUAAACUCGAGCAGUUCACUAUAUUUUAGCUACACAUUGUUAUCAUAUCCACAUGUAUGGCCCUACGCUCGAGUAUAUAAGGCCUAGGGGGCACCCCUUCAGAACGAUCGACCCUAUUACGUAGCCACCCACACCAACUCUCUGCACUCUCAAUUCAGAAGAGCUCUCUUGUAACCUUGUCCACCAAGCAUACUCACCAGGACGUAGGGUGUUACGCAUCUCUAAGCGGCCCGAACCUGUAAACCUUGUCCACUGACCCUCGUGCAAUCGGCACGAACCAUUUUGCUACAGUUGUCGACACCGUCCUACUCCUAAAAACACCUUGAGGGGCAACCCCGGGUGUGCGGUCGGACCCAAAACACCGACAGCUGGCGCGCCAGGUAGGGGGUGUGUUGACGAUCCAAGCUAGCUCAAUGGCCGUCACCUUCUACAGCAAGAUCACCCUUCGUCCCGGAUCCGUAUUCUGCUUCGGAACAAUCUCAUCCGUAGCAGACGAAAAGGGAACUCUACACCGCAUUGCGGAUCCACCUGAAAAGAAGUUUCCUCCAACAAACUCCGAAAAUGUCGGAGAAGCGCAACCUCCAGCUCUCCGGAAAAAGAUCGUCUCCGGAAAGUCGGGGGCCAAGGGCCCGCAGACCCGGAGAACUCCACUGUCUACUUCCCCGACAAGAGAAUGGACACAGAUCGCAAGGAAAAAAGAAACCAAGGGGAAGCAAGUUGUUCUUUCCGUUCCUCCGCCCUCAAAGGAGAACGGAAAGAAGGUCGCCACGACAGCAGUACCAUUCUAUCCCGACGUCCUCUUCAUCGGGAGAGCGGAGUCACCCACCGUCUCCGACGACGAGCCGACCGCACCCGGAGAAGAACCGCCUCAACGAGAAUCCCGCCGACGGAGGAACCGGCGCAUGAACGUUCGACGACACCACGCGGCCGGAGAACGGGAUCCGGAGCAACCUGUCUCGCGAGACGAGGUCUCGGAGAUAGGAGAAACUCCAGAAGAACGUGUCUUCAGAGAACGAAGAAACUCCCGACAACGUGAUCGCCGACGGGCUCAGGAACAAGCCGAGCAAGACGCAAGGCAACGCCGGGAGAAUCCAUUCUUCGGGCGCAACCUGAACCCCGACUUCGCCCGAGCCAUGAACAUGCCGAGCGAAGUCGGAGGAGUACUAGCUCGAAUAGCCGAUGGACUCCCUCGGACUCCUGACGCCGAGGGCUACCGACGACUGUUCACCCAGGCGGCCAACCAUCUUCUACCGCUUGCUCACCCGCCGAACGAUCUACGACACGCCAUCAACAGUCGUCGAGACGCGCGAAGCUCCAUCAAUGCUUCGCGUGAACGGCGGCAUGAGAACGAAAUCCGCCGCCGGGAGGAGUACGACAGGGAUCAUGGCAUCCCAGCUCGGAGCCAGGCCACCAGAACUGAGUCGGCAACGGCCUCAACAGGCGGUACCACCCGGGGACGGUCGAGGAACCACAACAAUUACUCCCCUCCUCGGGACAGACAUCAUCCCCGACGACAGGAGGACACAUGCGGAGUGUCUGCUCUUACUCCGCGCCUUAGGGCCAUCCAAUGGCCUCCAAACUUCAAGGUAUCCAAUGUCGACAAAUAUGAACCUAAGCAGGAUCCAGGGGGUUGGCUAGCCGUCUACACCACCACUGCUCGAGCUGCCGGGGCGUCCGAAGACGUGAUGACCGCGUACUUACCCAUUGUCCUUGGGCAAGACGCGCUGCAAUGGCUGCGACAUCUACCCCGACACUGCAUCGACAACUGAGGGGACUUCAGUCGACGCUUCACCGCCAAUUUCCAGUCCCUCUCCGACAAACCGGCGCAACCAUGGGACCUCAAAUCCAUCAAGCGCCGGGGGACGAAACUCUCCGGUUGUACCUCAAAAGGUUCCAGACCAUGAGAAAUCGUAUCCCUGAGGUCACGGAGGCGGCCGUGAUCGAGGACUUCUACAGAGGAUCCAAUGACUCGGCUUUCGUCCGAGCCAUACUACAGAAGGCGCCGACUACCUCCGAGGAGCUGUUCCGGGAAGCCGACCUCUACAUCACCGCUGACGAGCGGGCCCAGAACCUCGUCGGAGCAGCAAAGCCCGCGCCGGCAGCACCACGACGCGACGCGAACCAGCAACCCGACAAACGAUGGGAGAAGAGGCCUCGCGAAGAGGUACACGCCGCCGGACCACCUGCCUCUCGCACCUGAGGAGGACCUCGUGGAGGCGAGCGCACGCUGGACGACAUCCUCGACGCCCAGUGCCCGUACCAUAAAGACAUGCGCCACACUCUUCGUAACUGCCGGGACUUCAAGCACUCCGUCGGGCACGGCCGACCCUUCCAACCUCUACCUCCUCCUCCGCCGAGGGGAGGACCAGAUGAACCACGACAACCCCAUCAGCAGGAGGAGGGAGGAGGAGGAGCUUUCCCGCGCGUUGACAGGGAGGUCAACGUCAUUUUCGGUGGACACGGGUCGCAGGAGAACAAAAGGCAACAAAAGCUCAACGACCGCCAGAUACUGGUGGCGACCACCGGUCCUCCCGCCCCAUACCGGUGGUCGGAGCACCCGAUCACCUUCACUCGGGAAGAUCAAUGGCUCAACUUCGACCAUCCAGGCAAAUACCCGCUCCUCGUCGAUCCGGUGAUCCGAGAGAGCCGGGUGAAGAAGGUGCUAGUGGACGAGGGGAGCAGCAUCAACGUCACCUUCCCCCGGACACUCCAAGGCUUGGGAGUUCACCUCAAAGAGCUCCACGAGUCGGACACUCCUUUCUUCGGCAUCGUGCCGACGAAAGGGGAAUACCCGCUGGGCCACAUCUACAUGCCGGUCACCUUCGGAACUCUGGAGAACUACAGAACCGAGUUCCUGAGGUUCGAAGUGGCGAACUUCGACUGCGGGUACAACGCCAUCAUCGGGAGGCCGGGAUUGGCCAAAUUCAUGGUCAUUCCACAUUACACAUACAUGAUACUGAAGAUGCCAGGACCGCAAGGAAUCAUAACUGUGCGCGCCGACUUCCAAGGCGCCGCAGAGUGUUUCCGAGUGGCCAUUCAAGCAGCCCUCACCACCAAGCCGUCGACGGUCUCUUCAGCACAGGCGGACUCUAAGCCUGAGGAGGACCUCGCGGUACCGACAAACGAAGCUCAGGCCGCGACCUCUAUGCGGCCGACUGAAGAAACCAAGAGGAUCAACCUGGGGUUCGCUGAUGAACGCAAGACUGCCGUCAUCAGCUCCAGCCUGGACGACAAAUAGGAAAGCGCGCUCGUCCAGUUUCUGCAAGAUAACCGAGAUGUAUUCGCAUGGCAACCUGCGGAUAUGCCGGGAGUCCCAAGAGAACUGGCCGAGCACAAACUGAAGGUCUAUCCCCAGGCAAGGCCGAUUCGGCAAAAGCUACGUCGUUUCACGCCCGACAAGAGAGAGGCCAUUCGCGCCGAGUUAGCUCGCUUGGUCGCGGCUGGAUUUAUUAGAGAGGUGUUACACCCCGAGUGGUUGGCCAACCCUGUUCUUGUACUCAAAAAGAAUAAAGUGGAUUGGCGCAUGUGCGUCGACUAUACUGAUCUCAACAAACACUGUCCGAAGGAUCCCUUCGGGCUCCCAAGGAUAGAUCAGGUGGUGGACUCCACCGCUGGAUGUUCUGUGCUAUCUUUCUUGGAUUGCUAUUCCGGAUACCACCAGAUUAGUUUGGCGAAGGAAGACGAGGAAAAAACGACGUUCAUCACUCUGUUUGGUGCUUUCUGUUAUACCUCCAUGUCGUUCGGCCUCAAAAACGCUGGAGCGACUUAUCAGAGAGCCAUCCAAAUGUGCUUAGCCGAUCACUGGGGCAAGCGUGUGGAGGCCUACGUAGAUGAUGUGGUAAUCAAAACGGAGAAUUCGGAAAACUUCAUCGAAGACUUACAGCUGGUUUUCAACAGUCUGAGACGAUAUAGAUGGAAGCUUAAUCCCGAAAAGUGUGUUUUCGGGGUACCAGCAGGAAAGUUACUCGGGUUUAUUGUCAGCCACCGGGGAAUUGAGGCUAAUCCGGAUAAGAUUGAAGCUAUCAUGAAGAUGGAAGCACCUCGAUCACAAAAGAAGGUUCAGCGACUUACUGGGUGUAUGGCAGCUCUGAGCAGAUUUAUAUCCAGGCUGGGGGAAAAAGGUUUGCCAUUUUACAAACUACUCAAGAAGGUGGAUAAGUUUCAGUGGACUUCAGAAGCACAGGGGGCUCUAGAUGCACUGAAGAAAUUCUUGACAACACCACCAGUACUGAAGCCACCCCGACGAGCUACGUCAACUCAACCAGCUGAAGAUCUGCUACUGUAUAUCUCUUGCACGACUCAUGUGGUAAGCACCGCGUUGGUAGUCGAGCGAGCAGAGGAAGGACAUGCCUACCCAGUACAACAUCAUGUUUACUUCAUCAGUGAAGUUCUAGGCCCCUCAAAGAAAAAGUAUCCUCAAGUUCAGAAGCUAUUAUACGCAGUACUUCUAACUGCCCGCAAGCUACGUCACUACUUUGAUGACCACAAAGUCAUAGUAGUCACUGGUUUUCCAAUAGGGGAUAUUCUUCAUAACAAGGAGGCCAUUGGCCGAAUAGCCAAGUGGGCUUGCGAGCUGGGAUCUCAUGACAUCGAGUUUCGACCUCGCACUGCCAUCAAAACUCAAGCACUGGUUGAUUUCGUAUCUGAGUGGACUGAACAGCAAGUACUAGAUAAUCCAGAGACUGUAGAAGUAUGGCGAAUGUAUUUUGACGGCUCGCUGAGGCUGCAGGGAGCAGGAGCAGGGAUUCUCUUCACCGCACCUAGAGGCGAGCACCUCAAAUAUGCCCUCCAGUUGCUGUUUCCGGCCUCCAAUAAUGCAGCCGAGUAUGAAGCUUUGAUCCACGGAUUGAACAUCGCCGUAUCAUUGGGCAUCAAGAGACUGAUGGUAUACGGAGACUCUCUGGUAGUCAUUAGCCAGAUAAACAAAGAGUGGGAUUGUUCAAGUGAUUCAAUGGGAAAAUACUGCACCGCCGUCCGGAAGCUGGAAGAUAAAUUUGAGGGCCUGGAAUUUCAUCACGUAGAAAGAGAUCGGAACACAGCAGCCGAUGUAUUGUCCAAGCUAGGAUCCAGUCGAACUCAGGUCCCAUCUGGAGUCUUCGUGCAAGAAAUACUACAUCCAAGCAUCUCAGUGGAUCAAGCAGAAGAGUGCAACAUUAUAGAUCAACCUGAGUCAGACUCUGAUGACUGGAGAAGGCCAAUUAUCAAGUACAUAAAGAAUGAAGAAGAACCAGAUGACAAGAACUCAGCUGAGCGCAUUGCCAGACAGUCGGUUCACUACACACUCAUUGGGGAGACAUUGUACAGAAGGGGUGCGUCGGGCGCCCUCAUGAAGUGCAUUCCCUCAUCUGCUGGGAAGCAACUUCUGGAGGAGGUCCAUGAUGGGCAAUGUGGAAUACAUGCAGCCUCCAGAACACUAGUCGGGAAGGUCUUCAAGUCAGGAUUCUAUUGGCCAACAACAAAGAAUGAUGCAGCAGAGUUAGUUCAGAGGUGCGAAGCUUGCCAAUACUUGUCAAAGCAACAACAUCUGCCGGCACAGCAAUUGCAGACCAUACCAGUAACUUGGCCUUUCGCAUGCUGGGGACUGGAUAUGAUUGGACCUUUCAAGAAAGCUCAAGGAGGAUACACUCAUGUAUUGGUAGCAAUCGACAAAUUCACUAAAUGGAUAGAGUUCAAGCCCAUUGCUUCUUUAACCUCUGCUAAGGCCGUGGAAUUCAUACAAGACAUAAUAUUCAGAUUCGGGAUACCAAACAGCAUCAUAACCGACUUAGGAUCCAACUUCACAAGUUCAGAGUUCUUCGACUUCUGCGAGCAAAAGAGCAUUCAGAUCAAGUAUGCAUCUGUAGCACACCCAAGAGCCAACGGGCAGGUUGAGCGAGCUAACGGGAUGAUACUAGAGGCACUCAGGAAAAAGGUUUUCGAUAAGAAUGAAAAAUUCGCAGGAAAGUGGAUAAGGGAGUUGCCCUAUGUCGUUUGGAGCCUAAGAACCCAACCUAGCCGAGCUCUGCAUGGAAAUACUCCUUUCUUCAUGGUCUAUGGUUCGGAGGCAGUGCUGCCCGCUGAUCUCAAGUUCGGGGCGCCAAGGUUGAUCUUCAAAAACAUAGCAGAAGUCGAGGCCACCAGGCUGGAGGACAUUGAUGUACUUGAAGAAGAACGACUGAAUGCGGUAAUCCAAUCAGCACGGUACCAGCAGACUCUAAGACGCUAUCACGACAAGGUUGUGCGACAGCGAUCCUUCUCAGUAGGAGAUCUCGACCUCCGCCGAAUUCUAACGGGGGAGGGACGGCACAAGUUAUCGCCCUUAUGGGAAGGACCCUUCAUAGUAGCAGAAGUCACUCGGCCCGGAUCAUAUCGCCUCACUCAGAUGGAUGGCACAGAAGUCGGGAACUCCUGGAACAUAGAACACCUCAGGAAGUUUUAUCCCUAGCUGUAUCUCAAAAAGCUAUCAGGACGACGAUGUAUUCUGUAAAGUGGAAAUAUGUCAUCAAUAAAAAAGAUGUUUCAAAGAUACUCAAUUUGUUCACGACUGACUUGCAUUCUUACUUAACUUGGGGUGACCACUAUGCCCUGCUAACGGAGCAAUCGACUUAACUCGGCAACGACUUAAGGCGGUGCGACAUGCUCACGCUUACUUAACUCGGGGUGACCACUAUGCCCUGCUAACGGAGCAAUCGGCUUAAGUCGGAAACGACUUAAGGCGGUGCGACAUGCUCACGCUUACUUAACUCGGGGUGACCACUAUGCCCUGCUAACGGAGCAAUCGGCUUAAGUCGGAAACGACUUAAGGCGGUGCGACAUGCUCACGCUUACUUAACUCGGGGUGACCUCUAUGCCCUACGAACGGAGCAAUCGGCUUAAGUCGGCAACGACUUAAGGCGGUGCGACAUGCUCACGCUUACUUAACUCGGGGUGACCACUAUGCCCUACUAACGGAGCAAUCGGCUAAAGUCAGUGGCGACUUAAGCCGAUGCAACAUGCUCACGACUACACAAUUCAGGGUGACCACUACGUCCUAUUAACAAAAGCAAGCGACUUAAGUCAGCAGCGACUUAAAGCGAUCCGACGAGAUUACAAUUACUCAUAUAAGGAUGACUUCUAUAUCCCGCAAACGAAUUUCAUAACCAUCGCGCUUUGUUUUACUACUGCAAAUUCACGGACUGAUGAAUUCUGAGACAAUACGGGAAUAACAAUGUCGUUUAAGUACUAAAAUGACGUCCUCUAAAUGUCUGACCAUGCUAACCGCGCGCUCAGAGCACGCAAAACGUUUCUCUACUUGGUGAUAUUUUUCUCAGGAGCGAUCGACGAGGAAGGACGACUCGAGGAAUCAGGGGCAGCGUUCACAUCAGCCCUUAUAUCUUCAGGAACAACCACGCCGGGUCUCCUCAUCAAGAUUCGCCCCGCCCGAAUAGCCUUGUCCAUGGCUCUGUCGCGCUGGGCUCUGAGAGUAACAGAAGUUUCUUCGGCAACCUUGGCAGCCAGUCGAGCAGUUUCUAACUCCUGGACAAUGGAUUUCUUGGAAGCUCGGAGUUCUUUGAUGGUAGCGUCCUUCGCUGAUAUCAGCUGCCUGAGACGGGUCACUUCAUCCGCGGAUUCCUGCAGCUUACAGCGUUGAUUGUCCAAUUCUUCCAUAGUAAAGCGGUGACUCCUCUCCAAGAUGGUCAGCGAGUUACUAGAAUCAUGAUACAAUCUGUCAAGACUUUCACGAGAAGCAGCAAGGAUACGUUUUUCUUCCUGCAAGCAAAAGUCAACCCCCUCAAAAACCGAGCAAGUAAUAGGAACACAACAAGGCAAAGCACAGUUUUGUAAAUCACCUUCUCAGAAUUGAGCUGAGCAUGAAGAGAAGAACUCAGCGCAUUGGGGUCAUCCAAGGCAGCGGAGACCUGACCCAGUUCAGUUUGGCUCUGAGAGUACUUUUCCUCAAAAUCGGUACACCGCUGGACCAAUUCAGCCUGAUCUCGGGAAUGCUUUUCCUCAAGAGUUGAAAUCUGCCGAGUUAUUCCUGGAAGGAGAUAAUCAAACAAAAAGGGGUAAGAAUAUAAAGCAGUCCACAGUGAAGGCAAAGAGAAGCAAAAAAGCACUAACCAGCGUUGGUUGCCUCCAAUUCAGAGACGCGACGUUGAAGUGACACUGGAUUCCAACAUGCAAGAGACGAAGCUACUUCUGGGACAGAAGCACCCUGUAGCCUCAGCUGGCUAGCCAUCCCAUCCACCAAAGCCUGAUGAGGAGAACAGAUGAGUGUAAUGACAGCAGUUCAUGCAAUGUGAAAAUCAAGCUAAAAUGCAUCACCGUACCUGAAGGUUGGAAAAGAACGAAGGGAUCCCCAAAUCAGGAGAGAUCAAUUGAUAACCAGGUGUAAGGCCACCGCCCGAAGCAGCUUGCAACAAACCAGCAGAAACCAGCUCGGUACCAUCAACAGAGCUCAACACUCGGUCAGCGGGGACGCUGCCCUCUAAAGCGACUCCAUGGUCCAAGGUUUGGGCUACCACCAUACAGCCAGAGUGUGGAGGAGAUCCCGCAUGAACGUCCAUGGAAGUACAGGAGGGAGACCCCGCUCGGGCACCCUCGGGGGCUGGGUCAUAGUUUGCACUGCCCACUUGAGUUGGAUCAUCCCCGGCAGCACCCUCGGGGGCUGGGCAGUGGCUUACACUCCCCACCCGAGCCAAGUCAUCCCCGGCGACAUCCUCGGGGGCUGGGCAUGUGUCAGCACCAUCCUUGGGGUCCAAGUUCUCUGCAGUAGCCACCUCUAAGGUUGACGGGCCCUCAGCUACUUCCAUAGGACCAGGACGAUCCAAGUCAGUCUCCCGACCCUCGAGAUCGCGCUCUAAGGUCGACGAGGCACAGGAUGACCUCAACCCAGCAUCAGGCACGUCAGCGCAAACCUCCAUUACACCAUCAUCCACUGGCUCUGAUAACAAGUCCUCUAGGACCAUAUCCUCAAGAGUCUGAUCAAAGUUGGCCAGGGACAGUUCUUGUAGACCAAUGAGGGCAGACAAAGCAGGAGAUGGAACUCCACUACUUUCACCGCUGGCGAUGAACUGCCGACUGUUUUUCCGAGUCAAAGGAAUUUCAUUUUCUUCCUCCUCGUCAUCCACGUUGGCAACACAAGCAGCACCCCCAUUGGGAUCAGCAACAGAUGGAGCACCCACAUCGGGAUCAGUAGCGGGUUGGGUACACCCAUUGGGAUCAGCAUCAGCAAAGUUAGUCACUGGCAUUCCUUCAACGGUAGGAACCGAGGUACCGACAUCCCGAUCCAAACUGGAUACUCGCUGAAGGCGUCUCUUUUUCUUUUUCUGCUCAUCAGCAGAAGGAUCAGGUUGAUUGGCUCGGCAAGGGCGCCUCGGGCGAGUACUGACAGGCUUCUGAGUAUCCAAAGUUGUAUCAGCCUCUGUGAGGGGCGCCACUACCAACACCCCAGCAGGAGCAGCGUCGGAAGAAUCCUCAGCCAGCAAAUCAAGCAUAGCGCUUAUCUCUGCAUCACUAGGGUUCAAGGGCACCUCAAAAUGGACCUGCCGUUCAUCAUCAGGAAUCUCCCCAAGUGAGGCAACCAAGGCACUAACUUCUUCAGCAGAGGGUCGCACUCUAAGGCCCAAACUGCCAUCAUUGACAGGUGGGUUCGACACAAAAGGGUGAAGGCUUUGGGAGGAGGCAGGUUCCAGGCCGAGUAUGCCACUGGAGCACCAGCAUUUGACACUUUGCCCCUAAGGAUCAUCUCAAGUCGGCUUACCAAGUCUGUAGAGGAAAUUCUUCUGUUGGUAACCCGAGUUGAGUCGGCUAGCCCUCGAUACAGAUAAGCUGGGUAUGCCCUGUCUUUCAAUGGAUGAAUAUUCUUGAAAACAAAAUCAGUAACCACGGCUUCAGCUGUCAGACCCCUCUCUUUCAGCAGUCCAACUUAAGCUAGCAACACACCUGCCUCAGCUACCUCCUGAUCUGUGGGAGACUCAGUCCAGCUUGGGGUGCGAACGUCCGGCUGUCUUCCCGACCGGGAGGGGAGGGAAUUCCCAUAAUUCUCAACUACGAACCACUCCAAGCACCAUCCCUUGAUACUGUCCUUGAGAGGGGUCUCGAGAUAUUCAGUCUUCCUCCCGUGGCGCAUCUCUAAGCUGGCACCCCCAACCAACUGAUGUUGUCCCCCGGCCAUCCCAGGGUGACAAUGAUACAAGUAUUUCCACAAACCGAAAUGCGGCAGCACGCCAAGAAAGGCCUCGCAUAAAUGAACAAAAAUGGAGAUUUGCAGGAUAGAAUUGGGGUUCAAAUGGGUCAAGUUAAGAUGGUAGAAAUCAAGGAGGCCGCGAAAAAAGGGAGAAAUGGGAAGGCCAAGGCCGCGGAGAAGGAAAGGGGCAUAGACAAUGGACUCAUGGGUAUCCUCAGUUGGAACAGUAAACCCAUGGCAAAUCCGCCAAGAACAGAGUUCCCGCGGAGGAAGAACCCUGAUAGACAUCGUUCAGGCUGUUGGGGUCAUGUGGUUACCUGCGAAAGGCAACUGGCUGUUGGGGUCGAUUGGAGGAAUCACCACAGCAGACGAACUCGAGUUUUUCCUCUUAGGCGCCAUCUCGAUUCUAUCGGCGAGCAGAGUGGAAGGCGAAUUGCAGAGGGGAUUUGGAAGCCAGAAAGCAAGAACUAGGGCAUGGAAAGCAGAGGCGGCUAAAAGCACAGCACUUAUGGGAUAUUCCCGAGCCAGAUACCGUUUCAAAAAGUGCCCAGUCAGCACCCGGCGGUUAUUUCCAAAACACUGCUGUGCCACGUGGUCACCCGGCGGUUAUUUCCAGAACACCGGUGCGCCACCUCAUCACUCGGCUAUCAUCCUCAAAGUGGCUCGCGUGGCCUGCUAUCACUCCGCGUUGCCUCCAAAACGCUGAUAUCGUGUUCAGUCGCUCGGCAUUACCUCUAAAAUGCUGACGUCGCUUUCCAAUCACUCGGCGUUGCCUCUAAAACACUGAUAUAGUGUUCAGUCGCUCGGCGUUGCCUCUAAAACGCUGACGUCGCCCUCCAGUCGCUCGGCGUUACCUCUAAAACGCUGAUAUCGUAUUCAGUCGCUCGGCGUUGCCUCUAAAACGCUGACGUCGCCCUCUAGUCGCUCGGCGUUACCUCUAAAACGCUGAUAUCUUAUUCAGUCGCUCGGUGUUACCUCUAAAACGCUGACGUCGCCCUCUGACAUCGUCUCAAGUCGCUCGGCAGUUAUCUCUAAAACUCUGACAUUGUGUUCGGUCACUCCGCAGUUACCUCUAAAGCGCCAACGCCGACUACAAGUUACUCGGCAGCUAUUUCUGAAAGCAUCAGUUUGAUGCCCAAGUCAUUCACUUACUGUCUCAAAGGAAUCAGCUUCACAAAUGAGCAGGACAAUCAUCAAGGAGAAGCCAACAUCAUUCUUUCAUUAGAAGGAAGAUAACAUACUUACAAAUCAACUCUUUACGAGUUGAUACUUCCCUACUACUACUACAUUACAUUACUGCUACUACUACAUUACAUUACUGCUACUACUACACUAUGCUAUACUACUCUACACUACUACUACAUUAUUCUAACUAUACUAUACUAAUAUCUAAAAGACCAGUGGCAUCUAGCCAUUGGCCCUGUUGCUGCCGCCGCCGCUGCCGCCCCUGGUGCUGCCCCUGCUGCUGCCGCCCCGGUUGCUGCCCCUGCUGCCGCCGCCGUCACUGUCCUUGCUGCCGCCGCCGCCACCCUUGCCGCCGCCGUCACCGUCACUGUCGCCACCGCCGCCGCCGCCGUCGUCGUCGUCGUCCUCGCCGCCGCCGUCCGAGUCCUCCUCAUCCGAGGAGUACUCUGACUCAUUCGAGCCCUCGAGCCCGGAGCGCUCGACGGCCCGGAUGUACGUCCAGACCUCCGCCGCGAGCCCCUGGGAGUCGUCUGAGUCGUCAGACGACUCACGCAGGGGGAUGGGAGCCGGAGACCCCUCAGACUCAGAGGAGAACUCCUCCUCUGAGUACUCCGAGUCACCAAACUCCUCCGAUGGAGGAGUUGGCUCACGCUUGCGCUUAUUGUUCUUGCCCAUGGUGGAAGCAAAAGGGAGAGAAGAAAGAGAAGCGACAGAGAACAGCGAGAGAUGUGAAAAAGCCAGAGAGACAAUGGUGUUAUUUAUAGAAGGAGAAGGCAACCGCUCACCUCCAACCGCGGUCACCGAACAGUCGCAAAAAGCAUUCAAUAAGCACUCUAACCCGUCUGAAGACGCGUCAGGCGGCUGACGCCGUUUCACGCAACACAACACCCAUUGGGACUCCAGUCAACAGCGCGGAGGAUAUGAUUACACCCGCCGUCACAUCACAUUACUACUCAGAAGCAGCCGGCUAAAACACUCAGCGUACCAAGCUGUCCCUUGCCCACACCCAUUGGGGGGGACGUCCAGGAAAUAUCGGUAUAUUUUUCAAAAAGGUCACAUCUGUGCAGGGCACGCAGUGAAUACCUCAAGACAAAAAUGAGAUACCAGUAAUGAUCAGAGGAAAGCCAAAUAUAGCCAGUGAAGUACAAAAUAUGGCCGACAGAAGCGACGUGAAGACUAGACAGAGAACGUCCAUCAAACGUCCAAUCAGUCGCAGAGCAAAUAAAUUGCACUACCUAGCAAGAUAUGGAGGGAUUGCGAACUCGGCUGCUAAAGACAAAAUACAUGCUGACCUCUGAAGCAUAAUAUUGAUGACAUAAUGCUGACCUCCAAAGCAUAAUGCGGAUAGCUUCAUGUCAAUUUUUACAAACAGAAAGGAUCAUUCUCAGUAAAGAGACACAAAAGGAAGACCUUCAAAUGGAUUAUCCUCAAAAAUCCAUUUGAAGGUCGGGGGCUACACCCAUUGGGUGCACCUCCGGUGCACCCCAUGGAUUAUCAUUCCAAGCCAAGAUAGUGCCGACUUCUAAGGCAUGGGACAAGAUUAAAAACAAGGCCGGCCCUCAACCAAAACGCAGGAGCACAAAUGAAAAUAAUUUCUGGGGAAGACCUUCGAGUAGAUUAUUUUCUAAAAUCUACUCGAAGCUCGGGGGCUACACCCAUUGGGUGCACCUCCGGUGCACCCAAUGAAGUUCAGAGUCCUACAAAUUGAAAUGCCGGCCUCUAAGGCACAAGCACGAAACAAAGCUUCGGUUUACGAGUGAUCAAAGCAGGAGGAGACAAUAAGAAGUCGUUUUCUUCAAAUCCCUGCAAGCUGGACCUGGGAUCUUUGGGCUGAUUACCUCUAAAUUAACCCAAAGAUCGGGGGCUUGUGGGGGAUGGAUAUCCCCCGGGUCCACUAAAAGAGUAAAAGACCUCACGAAAGGCCCAAGGGCCCAAUAAAUCGUAUGGUCAUUCUUUCGUGGGCCUGGGGAGAGACAACUAGCAAAGCAGAUCGACAUGAGGCCAGAUUGGUGCAAACCCGGACGACCCACAACGUCGAGCGAGUAACCACAACAGAGAUCCGAUUUUCCGCGCUGGAGCCCCCAUGCAACGGAGCCAUGCGAGGAUAAAUCGGCAGAACUACAAGGAGAUAAACUCGAGCAGUUCACUAUAUUUUAGCUACACAUUGUUAUCAUAUCCACAUGUAUGGCCCUACGGUCGAGUAUAUAAGGCCUAGGGGGCACCCCUUCAGAACGAUCGACCCUAUUACGUAGCCACCCACACCAACUCUCUGCACUCUCAAUUCAGAAGAGCUCUCUUGUAACCUUGUCCACCAAACAUACUCACCAGGACGUAGGGUGUUACGCAUCUCUAAGCGGCCCGAACAUGUAAACCUUGUCCACUGACCCUCGUGCAAUCGGCACGAACCAUUUUGCUACAGUUGUCGACAUCGUCCUACUCCUAAAAACACCUUGAGAGGCAACCUCGGGUGUGCGGUCGGACCCAAAACACCGACAACAAUGUCAAUAGGUUUUUAUGAUUUAUAUUUCAGUUCAUGGCUCCGCUUUCAUCUAUUUGUCUGUUUAUGAUAUGUCUAUUCAUAUUUUACGUAAACGAUUUAUUGAUUUUUUGUAUUAUCUCGUUUACUUAAUCCAGUGUGUAUUGGGUUCCUACCAUUUAUGCCAUAUGUAUAAGAUAUAUUUACGACCCACACAUUUAUGAAACAAAAUAGAAAUUUAGAAAAAGGUAACCGCUCUAAAAAAAUGAGGUUAUUUACCACGAUUCCAUAAAUCUCGUGUAUGCCGAUCCAUUUCCUUUUCAACUCACAUUCUUGUCAUCCUAAAUUUGUGCACAUGCAGUAGAAAAUAGAUUUUUUACGCAAUCUACCGUAGUGCAUAAAUAACUUUACCGUGUAGUAUAAUUAGUAUCAGUAUAUAUCAUAAACUGGUUCUAACGAGCCUUGAUGCAUGGAUGUUGGAGAGAUCCUAUAUUUAUGAAGGAUAUAAAACAUUUAAAUAAGUUUUUUUGUUUCCAUACAUGUUUUCGUUAUGAAAUAGAUCGAUGAUUUACACUAAAAUUCAUACCCAUUUACGCUGUUUUGGUUCACGUUUUACGCUGAAAUCCGCCUGAGCUCCUACGAACGAUUGGCUCCAUAUCUUCUGUUCUGAUAUAUACGGUAACUUCUAGCUUCAUGGGCGCGCUAAUCAUGGUGGUGUGUGGACCCACAUGAAUGAACCAAUGAAAGGUUUGUUGCCCUCUCCUGUUAUGUAAGUCUAAACCAUUAAAUAUGCUAGCAUAAACACGAGUAGGAACCAACUACCCGACCAGCGAACACGAUGCUGGCCCACCUUCGUCCAUCCCAACUCGACCCCACCACGUACGCACCUUCUGUUUACACAAAACAUAACACAUGCUUACACAUGCAUAAACAUGCCCCACAAUCGCGCAGACGCACGCGCCCCACUGGCCCGACCUGACGACUCGCGUGACCACUACCCUGGCUAGGGCUUCCCAUGCCUAUCGGAAGCCCUGGGCUUCCAUUACCAACAACCUAUAAAUAUACCAAUAAAAAUACAUACAUUAAUUUGCAUGCUUUUAUCUUUGUUUAUGUCAUAAUUCAAUACGCAUGCGCAUAUAGAUUUUAUCUAAUCUCUAUCCAAGAUUAAUAAAACCAACCAAUGGAUAGUUGUUGGGGAGAGCCCCUCAUCCAAGGUCCAUUCUAACAGGGGAUUGUCAAGUUUAUGACUCUAGGACAACGGACGAAACCAGAUUUAAAGCGCAAAGAAGCUUUAGAUCAAGGCCAUAGUUGAAGUGUCACACCCGGAUUUAAGGGAUAAAGUUGGGUGCGUCUCAUAUGUGCGCCAAAGAAGAACAUCACAUAUAAUAACAAAGUGUAUACAGAUAAAUGUCACAAGUAUCAUUAUUACAUAGCGGAAGUCUUACAAAAAUAAAUGAUAAUAAUAAAGCGAGCUAAACAUCCAUCCUUGGUGCCAUAAAACUGACUGGAAGACACCACCUACAUCAACUUGUACUCCUCAUUGUACGGCUCCUCCUAGACCACAUGUUCUUCUCUUGUGGGGGGUUUAUAUAUCGCAAGGGUGAGCUCACAAAAGAUCAUAGCUCAACAAGUUGUGUGGAAUUAUGUGCAUGAACACACCAAAGGUGGGAGUUCAUGUGAAGUGUAAGGCUGACCAAUAAAUAAGGGUUAAAGCUGAGUAUUGUUUUUAAUAAGUUGGUCAAGUUUUAUUAGCAGUUACUAAAUGUAAGUAGAUACUAAACUAGAGUAAUAGUAGAUCAAAAUUAAUAAUAAAUCCUGCGAUGCAAAUGACAAAUUGAAUUUAAUUCCAUAAAUUAAUCAUGCAAGAGUCUUGAGCUGCUCCUGACCGCGAGCACGACUAGUAUACCACUUUUACACUCUGCACAGGUUGUACCCUGUACCCACAAGUCGUGUAUCUCAUCUCACCAGGGUUAGCUAGACCUUUAGACACUACCAAGGUGAAUGGCUAGGAAUCCACUACGAGGCCUUCACAAAGUUCUAUUAGCUUCAGAGAACCCGCUACAAUUUCUAGGAAGAGCAAUGCAGGAAUCCUCCGUCUGACCGCCAUCGCAGCAAAAUCAAUCCGAGAACCUCCCUACACACCUACUCCCCUACUGACCUUGUCCCUUUCGGGUAAGGUAGUCAUCCACUAACUUUCCUAGUUAGUCAGCCAAAGGUGUCCCAUUCCACCCUUGUGGUGGCACGUGUUUCUCAAGUUAAGCUCGAUGUUCCAAUUAACAUAGUUGUCUUAUCACGAACAGAAAUAGAACAGAAAUAAAGAAUGAACAAGUGUAAUAGUUAUCUCAACACCAAAAACUAUAUAUAGCAAUAGCAAUGACUACCCAAAAAUUCAGGGGUAAACAAGGUGAAAAGAUAACCAGACUAGGGUGACCUAUUGGGUCCCAUCAAAAUUAAGCCUAUGCAUGAUAAAAUGAUUAUAGCGAACAUUAUUGGGUAAAUAAAAGUGGUCAAUGACACAACUUGCCUUCAAUGAUCUCAUGCUCAGCAACUUCUACAUGCUAAACACCCGGAUCCUCUGUGGCUUGCUCGUCUACUAGCAACAUUACAAACAAACAUGGUAUAACUGAGAGCACCUAAAGAGGGGGUGAAUAGGUGAUCCUGUAAAAAAUAAAUACUUGUAGCCACAAAACUUGGUUAAGAGUUAGUGCAAUAGGACCAAGUGGCUAAGUACCGAGCUUUUGUGAAACACGAUGAUCACAUAGAAGAACAACGCAAAAGACACGGUGAUUUAUCUCGUGGUUCGGCCAAGUAUAACACUUGCCUACUCCACGUUGUGGCGUCCCAAUGGACGAGGGUUGCACUCAACCCAUUUAAAGUGAUCCAAUGAUCAGCUUGAAUACCACGGUGUUUUCCUUUCUUAUACUUUCUCCUGUUUGCGAGGAAUCUCCACAACUUGGAGCCUCUCGCCCUUACAAUUGAUGAUCACAAAGAAGCACAAAAGUAAGGGAGGGGAGAGCAACACACACAAGACUCAAAACGAGAGCACAAUCAUGCACACAAAGCCACAACUUGAGCUCACAACACAACUCGAGGAGUUCUCUACUCAAAUGGGGCUCAAGUCACUAUCUCAAAGAAUCGAAUGCGCGAGAAUGGAGUCUUGGUGCUUAGGAAUGAUCAAGGAAUGCUUGGGUUUUUCCUCCAUGCGCCUAGGGGCCUCUUUUAUAGUCCCAAGGCAGCUAGGAGCCGUUGGAGGCAAUCUGGGAAGGCAAUUCUUGCCUUCUGUCGGGUGGCGCACCGGACAGUCCGGUGCACCACCGGACAGGCACUGUUCAGUGCCGGUGCAGACCGCCUUCCUAAAAUGGCACAUCCGACCAUUGCAGAGUUGUAGCCGUUGGCGCACCGGACACUGUCCGGUGCACACCGGACAGUCUGGUGCCUCUUGCCGACCGUUGGAGCGAGCCACGCGUCGCCCGCGGAUUUGGCGGCCGACCAUUACGCUGGCGGUCGUUGGCUCACCGGACAGUCCGGUGCACCACCGGACAGUCCGGUGAAUUAUAGUCGUACGCUGCCGACAAAUUCUCGAGAGUGGCUAGUUCGCCAGAAGCCAGCCUGGUGCACCGGACACUGUCCGGUGCACCACCGGACAGUCCGGUGUGCCAGACUGCGCUGAGUCUUGGCUGCUCCAGCCAACUCUUUUCCUUUUUCUCUUUUCUCUGAUUCUAGCACUUAGACAAAUAGAUUAGUACACAAAAACCAAUGUACUAAGUCUAGAAACAUACCUUCUUGUUGAUUUGCACUUCAUUCAUCAUUUGGCACAUAAUUACUCACUCAAUAUGUGUUGAGCACUUAAUCACCAAAAUAUACUAGAAAUAGCCCAAGGGCACAUUUCCCUUUCAAUAACAGAAAUUAACAUCACACCAAACAUAAAUACAAAAUACAUAAUAAUAAUCUACGCAUCGAAACGAGAUCGUAUGAACAAGAAUCACUAAAUUCGAAGUUACUAUUAUCAAGUUAUGAAUUUCUGAAGUUCUGUAGUGUUUGGUACAAAAUUAAUUGAGUGAUCAAUUCUAAUAUGGGUUUCAUGUUAAAACAAUGUUACCAAGUGAUAGACAAUAUUAAUAAAAAUUAUAGGAAUUGGAAUGGACUAAAAAGGAGUUAAAAUAAAUUUUCUAGGAAUUAAACAAGUUUCUGUAAUUUUUUUGCAUUAAAAAUUAUUUUCAAAAUGAAUUAUCUGGUUUUCCCACUUCUCUGGACUGCGCGCGCAAUUUAAACCAAAAGCUAGGGGCCUCGGCGCAAAGAUUCCAAAGACUCGGAACUCUGUGUCGUGGACUGCGGGUUGAUAACUGUCGGCGUUUCGAGACAGGGGGGUCCCAAAGCCGACGAGUGAGUGUGCUGCGUGCCCCAGCCCAGAUGGGUCGAGCGCGUGGGCGAGCGCGAAGGGGGGAGAGGCGAGGUGGCCGGAGUCGAGCGUGAGAGAGGUGGAAGUCCCGCGGCCUUCGUGUUCGUCCCGCGCCCAGGUCGGGUGCGCUUGCAGUAGGGGGGUUACAAGCGUCCACGCGGGUGAGGGAAGCGAGCGGCCCCAAGAGAGCGCCUGUCCCGUCCUCGGUCCCGCGUGGCCAACCUCCUCUAAGAAGGCCCUGGUCCUCCCUUUUAUAGUCGUAAGGAGAGGAUCCAGGUGUACAAUGGGGGGUGUAGCAGAGUGCUACGUGUCUAGCGGAGAGAGAGCUAGCGCCCUAGGUACAUGCCAAUGUGGCAGCCGGAGAGGUCUUGGCACCUUGCUGGCGUGAUGUCGUGGCUGUCGGAGGUGCGACGGAGCCUGGCGGAGGGACAGCUGUUGGAGCGGUCGAGUCCUUGCUGACGUCGCCCUGCUUCCGUAAGAGAGCUGGGGGCCGCCGUCGUCACAGAGCUUGUGGAGCGCCAUCAUUGCCCAUCCGGCGGAGCUGGCCGGAUGGGACGCCGGUCUUGUUCUCCGUGACCCGAGUCGAUUCGGGGUAGGACGAUGAUGACGCUUCCUGUUGACGUGGCCGGUCUGUGCCCUAGGCGGGGUGACAUGGGGGCUCCUCCGAAGCCGAGGUUGAGUCUGUCUUCUGUUGCCGAGGCCGAGUCCGAGCCCUGGGGUCGGGCGAGGCGGAGGUCGUUUGGCCGAGGCCAGGGCGGAGUCCGAGCCCUGGGGUCGGGCGAGGCGGAGUUUCGUCGUCUUCCGGGUCUUAGCCCGAGUCCGAGCCCUGGGGUCGGGCGGAGCGGAGUUCGCCGUCUUCCGGGUCUUAGCCCGAGUCCGAGCCCUGGGGUCGGGCGGAGCGGAGUUCGCCGUCUUCCGGGUCUUAGCCCGAGUCCGAGCCCUGGGGUCGGGCGGAGCGGAGUUCGCCGUCUUCCGGGUCUUAGCCCGAGUCCGAGCCCUGGGGUCGGGCGGAGCGGAGUUUGCCGUCUUCCGGGUCUUAGCCCGAGUCCGAGCCCUGGGGUCGGGCGGAGCGGAGUUUCGUCGUCUUCCGGGUCUUAGCCCGAGUCCGAGCCCUGGGGUCGGGCGGAGCGGAGUUUCGUCGUCUUCCGGGUCUUAGCCCGAGUCCGAGCCCUGGGGUCGGGCGGAGCGGAGUUCACCGUGGCGCCUUUGGCAAGGCCUGACUGUCUGUCUGACUCACUCUUUGCGUUAAAUGCUCCUGCAACUCGGUCAGUCGGUGUGGCGAUUUAGUCAGGGUUGCUUCUGAGCGAAGCCAAGGCCUCGGGCGAGCCGGUGAUGUGUCCGCCGUAAAAAGGGGGGCCUCGGGCGAGACGGAAGUCUCUCGAGGUCGGCUGCCCUUGGCCGAGGCUAGGCUCGGGUGAAGCGUGAUCGAGUCACUCGUGUGGACUGAUCCCUGACUUAAUCGUACCCAUCAGGCCUUUGCAGCUUUAUGCUGAUGGGGGUUACCAGCUGAGAAUUAGGCGUCUUGAGGGUACCCCUAAUUAUGGUCCCCGACAGUAGCCCCCGAGCCUCGAAGGGAGUGUUAGCACUCGCUUGGAGGCUUUCGUCGCACUUUUUUGCAAGGGGGACCAGCCUUUCUCGGUUGCAUUUUGUUCCGGUGGGUGCGCGCGAGCGCACCCGCCGGGUGUAGCCCCCGAGGCCUCGGAGGAGUGGUUACACUCCUUCGAGGUCUUAAUACCUUGCGUAAUGCUUCGGCUGGUCUGGUCGUUCCCUCAUGCGAACUGGCCGUAGCCCGGGUGCACGGUCGGGGCCCAAGCUCUCGGGCUGGUAUGUUGACGCUGUCAACGGUUUGGCCGGAGCCGGUUUUUGCGAGAGCAGCCCCCGAGCCUCUGCACAGGGCGAGAGGACGAUCAGGGACAGACUCGACUUUUUACAUACGCCCCUACGUCGCCUUUCCGCAAGGAGGAGGGGGGGAGUGCGCCAUGUUACCCUCGAUGGGCACCGAACAUGGUGUCUCCGGUGAGCUGCAAGCGGGUAAUCCGAGUGGGCGUCCGUGCCCCGUUCGUUGGGGGUCGGCUAGGGGCCUAGAGGCACGCCCAAAAGUACCUGCGGGUGAUUUGCCGGACCCGGUCCCCUGGCGACGGGGUCCGAGGGCUCGAUGCCUCCCUCCGAUGGGAUUCCGUUACAAGAUCGUUCCCGCUGGUCUCGGAAAUGUCCUAGGGUACCUCGGGAGCGCAGCCCGAGCCUCGGUUAUGUAUCGAACGUACCCCUGGUCAUCCCUCGCUCGGUGUCUGAGGCGACUGUGAACCCUUUGGGGGCCAGCCUUCGAACCCCUGAUCAGUAAUGGGCGCGGAGCCCGAGUAGCCUGAGGCGGCCAUGGAGCCCUUCGGGGGGCUGGCCUUCGAACCCCUGACCAGUAGUGGGUGUCGGGCCCACGCGAUCUGAGGCGACUGUUGAACCCUUCGGAGGCCAGUCUUCGAACCCCUGAUCAGUAGGGGGGCUCGGAGCCCGGUUCCUUCGCGGAAAAGGAUCCUUUUCGGGGUAUCCCCCUUUCCCGGUCCCUGUUGCAAGAGAUAGAGAAAGAGGAAAAAGGAAAAGGAAACGAAAUCGAACGACGUGGCGUACCUCUUUUUGACGCGGUUAUUACGGCGAAGGUGAAGCGUCGCGCGCUUCUCCCGCCAGAGGCGCCGCGUGUCCCGCCGCGGAGUUAAUGCGGCGGGGCGAGUGGUUGGCGAGGCGGCCGUUGCGCGUGCGCGAUUCGUUUGAGGAACGGGUCACGGGCGCACCGUCUUCACGCCGUGGGAGGAGGCUCUCUUGCUGCCCCAGGAUGAGACGUGAGCCUGGCUGACGACGUGACUGCUGCGCCCGCCCGCCUGCCACCGCCAUCACUGCUGGCCCACUUUCGGUCGCUUUGACCAACGCGCCAGGCUAGCGCUGCUGGGUCACCUCGAGUCGUGGCAUAGGCUCCGCAACCGAAGAGGCGCGACGGUGGCGCAAGUGGCGGUGCGGUUGCUUGCAUGCAGCAACUGGCGCGCCGGUUGCUUGACGCGUGGGCCUGGGCUUCCAAGCUGGCGUGUCAGAAGUCGGAGAAGCGCGUCCACCUGGCGCGGUUGCAUGCCGUCUGCAUGGCUGCCCGCCCCUUCUGCCCGUUGGUCUGGGCAAAAGUGGGGGUCGCUUGUAACCGCUGGACAGUCGUGCGCACCACGCGCGGUGGUUUGGCUUCUUCUGCCCUGAGCUGGUUUGCAUGACAUGCGGGACCCAGCCCCCGAGUCGCAGGGGAGGGCCUUGGAGCGUGUUGGAGAAGACUCAGCCCGCGGCGUCUGGGGGCGCACGUAGGGAGAGUUGCCUUUAAAAGGAGGGAGACUCCUUUCGGAAGGCAACCAUGUCUUCUUCCUCCCUUAUGCGUCGUGUCUUUCCAUCUUCCAAGCCCCCGGAUGGGGGGUAUCCGCCGCCUUUCCGCCUCCUCGUUGGAGGAACGCAACCCCGUGGGAGUUGGUACCUCUCAGCCAUCGUUCGGCUUUAAGGAUUUUCAUCAGCCGGCCCGGCCGCACCCCUACGCCGGCGAUCACCCAGGAUGGUGACCACCAGUUUCUGGGUGGGGAAGAGCAAGCCGAGCUGCGAUCUUGGUCCCACCCUCAGCUUCAAGGAUGUUCAUCAUCCUCGCUGGGGUGGGGGCCACGCUGAGCCGGCGCUCUGCCUUCCGCGCGGGUCCGCGGGUCGCCCUUUUCCGCGGCGUUUGGGGGUAGAGGCGCUCGCUGGCCCUGCGGACGGCGCGGACUUAGACAACGUGGGGCUGAUCGACGGCGGGCGCCGUCACCUCCAGCGUGUCGAAGUCGUCGGCCGGGCUUCCGGCGGCCCCUCCUGCCGGAGGGCGACCGCCGCGCCGUGUGCACGGGAGGACCGCCCACGAUGCUGCGCGCUGUUAGGGCGGCGUUCGUGUUCUGGGGUGGUCCUGCUUUUGCACUGGGACGGCGCCCUCGCGCAGAGGCCGGUGCCCCACUCGCCUGGGAGGAUUCGAGUGGGGAUCUGCCGGGGGGCUGGUGUCCCCUGCCAUCGGUGCCGAGGCGGAGGCGGCUCGAGAAGUCCUCGUCACCGACGGGAUCACUGCCACCACCCGCGCCCCGGGCCACCGCGCCGGCGUGCUUGUCCUCGCCCCUCGAGUGUCGGCGGGGGCGAGAGCAAGAUCGCAGCAGCGCCAGCCCACUGUCGCCGUAGUCAGAACGGGCGGCGGCGAGCCGCUCGUCAGUCUUCUGCUGCUCCGCAGGCCUUCCCCAUGGAGUGGGGUCGUUCGUACCCGCGGAGGGGGAACCGGAGUUCCGUACGUAAUGGCACUUCGAAUGCCAGUGUGUUUGUUCAUUGUGGCUGUCGAGGCCUGAACAUAUAUGUAAUUUCGGCACGGAGCUGUGUUUUUUCCUCAUUCUCGAGCACUAAGUCUCGCCUGUUGGUUAUCUGAACCGCUUUACCAAGCAUGAGUCGCCCCGUGUCAAGGUGACGAGUGAGGUAUCCGUAUCCCGGAGGCGUAGGAAUCCCUCGGCCCGUUCGGCCUUGUUGUCUGGGGCUCCUCUAGCUUAGUCAAAGAGACCCCUCGGCUGCCCUUCGAUGAGCCGAGGCCAGGGGUAGCGAUAUCAGUAUGAACAGAGGCGGAGUUGGCUCGAGAAUGGGAACCUGGUUGGCCGAAGCCUAGUCGUGUUGUCCGUCAGCGGAGCCGACGCCAAAGUCGAUCCGCCGAGGCCUCGGGUCGGGCUGGCGCCCUUGGAAGCCGGUUGGCCGAGUCCCCAGGGGUAACCGGCCGAGCUGCCUGCUCGGGUCGGAUUCCCGGAGGGGUCCCUGGACCGCGCCGCCAUCCGAGGCUGGGUCGGACAUAGCUGAAGACGCCGUCGAUGCCGAGGGUGCCGUCGCCUCCCUUCAUCGUGAAGACCCGAGCCUGCAGGAUCAGAUCGUCUUGUAGCGUGUGCCUUCUGCGGCCGCCGAGGCCAGAAAACACACCCUCGCCGUGCUUGCGAAGCUGUGUCUUUUUUCCUCUUGUUUCGAGCAUCUGGACUCUGUCGGUAACAGGGAUGUUUGUGUGAGCGAGAGUUGCUUCUCGCGGAAGGGACGAGUGAGGUAUCCGUAUCCCAGAGGCGUGGGGAUCCCUCGGCUCGGUCGGCCUCGCCGCUUACGCGUACUUUCACCCGUUCAUGAGGCCCUGUCCCCGACUUAGUCGAGAAAGCUUGAAAGACUGCUUCGGCAGGAGAGCUUCCGAACGUGAAGACUUGUUCGGUCCACGGAGUCGCUUUAUCCGAGCGCGAGUUACUUAUCGCAGGAGGUGAUGAGUGAGGUAUCCGUAUCCCGGAGGCGUAGGAGUCCCUCGGCUCGGUCAGCCUUGGCUGCUUACGUGUACCCCAUCGUUUCCAGGAUCCGCUUUCCGAAGUAGUCAAGAAGCACGAAAGUAAUCCUGCUAGAAAGAGAUCCUUUUUCAAGGAAAAAUUCGACGCAGAGGGGGUCUCUCCCCUUUUAGCCCCCGAGGGAGGGUCGGGCUUUGCCGGGGCUAGGCCGACCCUUCCUUGACGACUAAACUUUGCGUAGGUGCGAGGUAUAUGAACAACUUGGAAACAUCUUAAGGGUAGAAGCGACGUAGCUGUUUGAUGUUCCAGGCGUUGCCGUAGAUCUCGCCUUGAUUGUUGGCCAGCUCGUAUGUUCCGGGCUUCAGAUCUUUGGCGAUGACGAAUGGCCCUUCUGUAACGCCCUGAAUUUGGGGGUAGAAUUUUUUUUCUUCUUUUCUCUCACCAAAUUCGGGCGUUACUCUCUUUUCUCUUUCCCUGUUUGCUCCUUCUUCCCAAUUUCAAACCAGUAUAGCGGCAUGUGUCCGUGUCAUGUAUAAACCAAAACCUAAGUGUCAUGGGUGUUGCAUCAUGCCGAAGCACAUUUCUUUGUCUGAUGAUGAGUGUUCGUCUCGUUCCGUUCCGGAUUUCGGUUCGCGAUUUAAUUCCGUUUAGUGGUCGCGCUCGUCGUGGGUUUUCGAUCCGCGAAGUGGCCCGGCCCAGCCCAAUCUAGUCCAGCCCAGCCGACCCGGCCUGCCCCGGCCUGCGCGCCCCUGGCACCCAAACCCCCCCCUGCGCCCCCUCCCCUCUCUCUCUCAUUUGGAUCUCCCGCGCAACAACCUCUCCUCUCCCUCUUCCACCUCUCUCUCCCCGUGGUGCCCUAGGAUUUGGAGACGGCGAUCACCGGAUUUUGGACCCCGAGGUGAGCUCCCCUCCCCUCCCCUUCUCCUCUCUCUCUCUCCCUCCUCUUCUCCCCCGCGCGCGCACCCUCCCUCUUCCCCCUGCCCGCGCCCGACCCCGUCCCUGCCCGGCGCGGCGGCGCCCCUGCCCGCCCGCUCGGCCCCUCCCCGCGGCGGCGCCCCUGCCCGCCCGCUCGGCCCCUCCCGCGGCGGCGCUCGGCGCCCGCCCCCGGCUCGCCCGCCCGGCCUCCCUCCCGCGGCGGCGCUCGGCUCCCCGUCCCCGGCCUUCCCCCCCGCUCGACCCCUCCCCGGCGCGGCGGCGCCCGCCUCCUGCCCCUCCCCGCGGCGGCGAUCCCGCCCGCCCCCUGCCCGGCCCCGCGUGGCGGCGCCCGCCCUCCCCUGGCCCGCGGCGGCGCUCGCCCGCCCCUUCUCGCCCGCGGCGGCGCCCGCUCGCCCCUGCCCGCCCGGCGGCGCUCCCCGCCCCUCCCCCGCGCGCGGUGGCGAUCCCGCCACCCGGCUCGGCCGCCCCCGUGCCCGCCCGGCCUCGGUCGCCCCUGGCCGGUUCAACCGCCCCCCUGGCUGGUUCAACCGCCCUCCCCCCGCUCGGUCGCCCGUUCCCCGUCCCGGCCUCGCCCGACCGUAUCUUCGCUUGCCCGCGCUCGCGGUGAUUAUUCGUUAAUUAGCGUGUUGCGUCGCGCGCUUCGCCGCGCGACGGAUUUGUCUAAAUUCAGAUUCUAUCUUGUGUUGCGUCGUGCGCUUCGUCGCGCGACGAUCCAUUUUUUUGUUUCAGGUUGUUUAAGGUGUAACGCCGCGUGUGUAUUCACGCGACGUUCCACUUUGGACUCAGUUUAGUCGACGUAUGCCGUCGUGCGCUUCGUCGCGCGACGCUUAACGUCUCCUCGUAACUAAGGCGAAGUGUCUCGUUGCGUGCUCGGUCGCACGACGAGUCGUUAACUUCUUAAUUUGUUUUAGAGAGCUUUGUCGCGCGUCUCGCCACGCGACCAUCUUUUUGUUUAUCUCCACCUGCUUAUAAUAAUUAGACAUGAAACAUGACUUUACUUUACGCUAAACAUAGUGUCUACAUUAAAUUUCCUUCCAUUAAGCGAGUAGUUAAUUUAUAAUCAUGUAACGUGAUCGUUUCUCGACUGUCUUUUCCUCUUUCUCUCUUAACCGUACUCGCGAGCCCGCGUAGAACGUCUGUUUACUUAUUGCAUUCUAUUGUAUGGUGUACUGUUCUUUUGUAUUAAAUAUGUGGAUGUAUGUAUGUUUGCGCUCGCAUAGAGAACGAUCCGGUUGAAGAGCCCGAAGAACUCGCAGGAGAAGCCCCUGAGCAGCAGUCGGUUGGUGGAGGCAAGUGUCCCUUGACCUAUCUCUGUCCUAUUCAUUCUUUAAUUCACCUCCCGCUUUACAUAUUUAUACCUAAGGUUUGACUAGCUUUUGUUAUCCCUGUCCUUGAUUACCUAUUUGGGUUGGAUUAUUACUGUUUAGCUUUAUGCUAUUGCUCAAACUCUAAUCAAUGAACAUGAUGAGAUUAUCUAUGAUACGCUGUUUUCCCUUCUCUUAUUAUGAUGUUGUACUUGUGACCUUCAAGGGGGCUCGAGCGGUUUCUCGAGUGCCUCUCCGUAAGGACCUGUUCUAUGGAUGACCGCCCGGGAAAACAGUGCAACCAUGAGGGUAGAAUGGGGUGCCCUUAGCUGAAUAAUUAGAGGAUCCGGGGUGUAGUUCACUUAGCCGUCGUGCCGUCAAUGGGGCUCGGUGUAUGCGGCUCGCUCUGCCAAGGUUGAUUUGUCCCUUGGGGAGGAGUGCGGUACAUUUAGGAAACCUAACGGGUGGCUACAGCCCCGGGGAAUCUUUGUAAAGGCUACGUAGUGAUGCCCUGCUGGGUCACCUUGGUAGUGAUCAAUGGAGAGUCAUGAUCUCCGGGCAGAAUGGGAAUCACGGCUUGUGGGUAAAGUGCACAACCUCUGCAGAGUGUCUGAAAACUGAUAUAUCAGCCGUGCUCACGGUUAUGAGCGGCCAAGGGAGCUCCAGUGAUUAGUGGUACUUGAUCAGAGACAUUGUGGUACAGGUGGCUAUGAGAUCGAUGGUUCUGGUUAUGACUAUGGUGCUGGUAAGUGGUAUUCUUUCCGUUUGGAAAGGGUACAUCGGGUUAAUAACUUGGGUUAAUGCUAAAACUUGGCUUUCUACUAGUAAGUAAUAAUCUGACCAACUAAAAGCAACUGCUUGACUUAUCCCCACAUAAAGCUAGUCCACUACAGCCAAACAGGAUACUUGCUGAGUAUGUUGAUGUGUACUCACCCUUGCUCUACACACCAAACCCCCCCCAGGUUGUCAGCAUUGCAACCACUGCUCAGGCGAAGAUGAAGCUGUGGAAGGAGACUUCCAGGAGUUCCAAGACUACAACGAGUUCUAGGUGUGGGUUAGCGGCAACCCCCAGUCGGCUGCCUGUGAAGGCCGCAGUUAUCUACGUUUCUUUUCCGCACUUUGAUUUAUUGUAAGAACUAUAUGGACGUCUCAGACGCAUGAUGUAAUCAACUAUUAUUCCCUUUUAAUACUAUUUUGAGCACUGUGUGAUGAUGUCCAUGUUAUGUAACUGCUGUGUACGUGAAUAACUGAUCCUGGCACGUACAUGGUUCGCAUUCGGUUUGCCUUCUAAAACCGGUUGUGACAUAAGUGGUAUCAAAGCCGUGCUGACUGUAGGACCGCUAACCUAGAGUAGAAUGGUCGUUCUAAGGACUAUAGACCUCUGUCUCUGCCUUGACUUUGAUAUCCCUUCAAAAGUUGGUCAUACCGACCAAACCUAUGUUCUACUAUAUACAUUAUACCUUGCUGAAAAUCAUGUUUUAUUCUAAUCCUUCAUUCACUCAUGAUUCAUUAUUUGCUGGUCCUAUUAAUUCUGUUCUCACCCUUUUGCUUGCGAUGUCUUUUGUAGAUGGCUCGACUUAGACACACUGCACGAAAGUCAGUCAUCCCCUUCUUACCCUCCUGCCUUGCUGAGCGUCCGCUUCGCCGUCCCGUGGCCGGACAGUCCAGCCACUUGGAGAGACUACACCACCGCCUGCAUGAGGAGCAGGAACGUCGACGACAGGAGCAGCAGGGCUCUUCUUUCUUGCUCCACCAGGAGAUAGAGUCUGUGAGGAGCUGCUCCCCUGUGCUUCCUCUGGAGCCGCCCCCUGCACCACCACUGGGCGUCCCAGCUUCUGGAGUAGCUGCUGGAGGAGACCCAGACGACGGAGGAGGCGACGACAGCUCAAGCCACGACACCGACUUCUCUGCUAACCUUGAGCCGGAAGGAUGGGUUGCUCGACCCAUCACUCGCGACGCUGCUCGCGGGUGUCACUUCCACGAUGCGCUCGACACCCUGCUACGUCGGGCAUUUGACCGGAAUACUUGGUCCGUCGAGUAUCGCUGUGUGGUCUACCAGCACAGUCGCGGGGUCUACCCGGACCGCUGGGAGGCAACCUGCUUGGUGCGCUGUCCGGAGAACAGUCUCCAGGGUGCUGAGGUCUGCUCAGAGCACUAUUCUAUCUCUGAGCGGAACUCAGCUGAGGCAGCCAUGCAAGAUGCUGCACGGCGUGCGCUUUCGCACUACUGCUCGGUUUUCGGUGGGGCAACUGACGGUCUUGACCUGAAGUAUUACCCCCGCCGUUCAUCUGGCAGCACAGGAGGCGUGAUUGUCUCACCUGUCGGUGAGGGCAAUCCUAGGUUGAGCAGCACAGUCAACCUAGCCGCCGUGCUAAACACGGAGCUGGACCAUGCACUAGAUGAGCUGAGUAGGGCUCGUGCUGAGAUCGCCCUGCUGCGGGCUGAGCGCGCGGAACGUCGUCACCUGGAUGGUGGUUCCCCCGCUCCCGUCGGGACUCAGCACCCGUACCGCUCACCUCAGCGUGGACACCAGUCUUAUGGCAACCCCGACUGCAAGACCAAGAUAACUCUAGAACCAUAGAUCGUUAGAGUUGGAUCUUGUAAUUAAUACGAAAUAUAUACAUAGAAGCUUCAGUCUUAGCGUUAGUCUCGCUCUUAGUUAAGUCUUAGUUAGACAGGGUAGUUUGCUAUAUCCUGUGCAUUUAUGUUUGUCAUGAUGAACUAUGUUUGGUUUGGAUCUUUGUAAUGAUUGUCACCAGAGUGUGGGUAUCCCCUGCAUUUUGGUUUACCUAUUAUGUUAAUAAAGUUAGUUAUAUAGUUGGGAAACCCAUUAUUCCACUUUCCUCUUUAUCUGAGAAGCUGUGUGGUCUGUGUUGGAGAUCAGUGAAGAUGCUCAUCUGUUCAGUGCUGUUGAAGAAUUCUAUUCUCUUUCCUUAUGCUGCAAGAUUUGCCAGAUCAGUUCUGAUGUGUGGUUGCAUUCUGCAGAUGUCAGAGAACAGGCGCAGAGGAGGAAGGCGUGCUCAACAGGAGCGAGCCGCUCCGCAGGAUGAGGUGCCCCAGCAGCAGCACCUGCCGCCCCCGCCCCCGAUGUCCAUCGAGCAGAUGUUUCUGAUGCAGACUCAGGCAGUUCAAGCCAUCGGUCAGACUUUGGCCGCCAUUCAGCAGCAGCAGCAACAACAGCAGCAGGCACCACCUCAACCUCAGAUGCCUCAGAUGCCCAGAGACAAGCGUGCUGAAUUCAUGAGAGGUCAUCCACCAACGUUCGCUCAUUCUUCUGACCCUAUGGAUGCUGAAGACUGGCUGCGCACUGUGGAGCGGGAGUUGCAUACCGCUCAGUGCGAUGACAGGGAGAAAGUCUUGUAUGGUCCCCGUCUGUUGAGAGGAGCAGCCCAGUCAUGGUGGGAGUCUUACCUCGCCACCCAUGCCCACCCUGACGCCAUCACUUGGGAAGAGUUCAGAGGUAGCUUUCGUCAGUACCAUGUUCCUGCAGGUCUGAUGACAGUGAAGAAAGAGGAGUUCCUGGCUCUCAAGCAAGGGUCAUCGUCUGUCAGUGAAUACCGAGACAGAUUUCUGCAAUUGUCUCGCUAUGCUCCUGAAGAUGUCAACACUGACGCCAAGCGACAAUACCGUUUCCUGAGAGGCUUGGUUGACCCUCUGCAGUACCAACUGAUGAAUCACACUUUCCCGACAUUCCAGCACCUGAUUGACAGAGCAAUCAUGACAGAAAGGAAGCGUAAGGAGAUGGAGGAUCGUAAGCUCAAGAUCAGUGGACCCCAGCCUGGAAGCAGCAAUCGUCCUCGUUUCUCAGGCAAUCAACCUCAGCAGUUCAGGCAAAACCAGCGUCCACCUCAGCAGCAUCAGCAGUUCCAAAGGCAGUAUCCUCAGCAUCAGUAUCAGAACCGUCAGAACAAUCAGUCAGGAGGUCAGUUUCAGAGGCAGAAUCAGCAGGCACCUCGCCUUCCUGCCCCAGCAAACCAGCAGAACAGUCAGGCAGCACCAGCUCAGGUUGGAAACAGAGCAUGUUUCCACUGUGGAGAGCAAGGCCACUGGGUGAUGCAAUGUCCGAAGAAGGCAGCCUAGCAGCAGUCAGGCCCCAAUGCCCCAGCAAAGCAGAAUGUGCCUCAGCCUGGAGCAGGCAAUCGCCCUCAGCCGCGUUAUAAUCAUGGAAGGCUGAACCACUUGGAGGCUGAAGCAGUUCAGGAGACCCCCGGCAUGAUAGUAGGUAUGUUCCCAGUCGACUCCCAUAUUGCAGAAGUGUUAUUUGAUACUAGAGCAACGCAUUCUUUCAUUACUGCAUCGUGGGUAGAAGCACAUAAUCUUCCAAUUACUACCAUGUCAACCCCCAUUCAAAUUGACUCAGCCGGUGGUAGAAUUCGAGCCGAUAGAAUUUGUUUGAAUAUAAGUGUGGAAAUAAGGGGGAUAGCGUUUCCCGCCAACCUUAUAGUAAUGGGUACUCAGGGAAUAGAUGUCAUCCUAGGGAUGAAUUGGCUAGAUAAGUAUCAGGCAGUUAUCAGCUGUGAUAAAAGGACAAUCAAGUUGGUGUCUCCACUAGGAGAGGAAGUGGUGACCGAGUUAGUCCCGCCUGAGCCAAAGAAAGGAAGUUGUUACCAGAUGGCCGUUGAUAGCAGUGAAGCAGACCCAAUUGAGAGUAUCAAGGUUGUGUCCGAGUUCCCAGAUGUGUUUCCAAAGGACUUACCGGGUAUGCCACCAGAGCGGAAAGUUGAGUUUGCUAUAGAGCUUCUUCCUGGAACCGCCCCUAUCUUCAAGAGAGCUUACAGAAUAUCCGGACCAGAGUUGGUUGAGCUUAAGAAGCAGAUUGAUGAGCUGUCAGAGAAAGGUUACAUCCGGCCAAGCACCUCGCCUUGGGCCGCCCCUGUCCUAUUUGUGGAAAAGAAAGAUGGCACCAAGAGGAUGUGCAUUGAUUACCGAGCUUUGAAUGAAGUCACGAUCAAGAACAAGUAUCCCUUGCCCAGAAUCGAAGAUCUGUUCGACCAGUUGAGAGGAGCCAGUGUGUUCUCCAAGAUUGAUCUGAGGUCAGGUUAUCAUCAGCUCAGGAUCCGACCUUCGGACAUUCCGAAGACGGCAUUCAUUUCCAAGUAUGGUUUGUAUGAGUUCACAGUGAUGUCCUUUGGUUUGACCAAUGCGCCAGCAUUCUUCAUGAACUUGAUGAACAGUGUAUUCAUGGAUUACCUUGAUAAGUUUGUGGUGGUAUUCAUUGAUGACAUUCUGGUUUAUUCUCAAAGCGAAGAAGAGCACGCAGAUCAUUUGAGGAUGGUGUUGCAGAGAUUGCGAGAGCACCAGUUGUAUGCAAAGUUGAGCAAGUGUGAGUUCUGGAUCAGUGAAGUCCUGUUCUUGGGUCACAUAAUCAACAAAGAAGGAUUGGAUGUGGAUCCGAAGAAAGUGGCAGACAUUUUGAACUGGAAAGCGCCAACAGAUGCUCGAGGAAUCAAGAGCUUCAUUGGAAUGGCCGGAUAUUAUCGGCGAUUCAUUGAAGGGUUUUCGAAGAUUGCGAAACCAAUGACAGCGUUGCUAGGCAACAAAGUUGAGUUCAAGUGGACCCAGAAAUGCCAAGAGGCCUUUGAAGCGCUGAAAGAGAAGUUGACUACAGCGCCUGUCCUAGUCUUGCCUGAUGUGCACAAGCCCUUUUCGGUGUAUUGUGAUGCUUGUUACACAGGUUUGGGAUGUGUGUUGAUGCAAGAGGGAAGAGUUGUGGCUUACUCGUCCCGACAGUUGAAGGUUCAUGAGAAGAACUACCCAAUCCAUGACCUAGAGUUGGCAGCAGUGGUUCAUGCACUGAAGUCAUGGAGGCACUAUCUGUAUGGACAGAAAUGUGAUGUUUACACAGAUCACAAGAGUCUGAAGUACAUAUUCACUCAGUCAGAGUUGAACAUGAGGCAACGAAGAUGGUUAGAGUUGAUCAAAGACUAUGAGUUGGAGAUUCAUUACCAUCCAGGCAAAGCAAACAUAGUGGCAGAUGCUUUGAGCAGAAAGAGUCAAGUCAAUCUGAUGGUUGCUCGUCCGAUGCCUUAUGAGUUGGCCAAGGAGUUUGACAGGUUGAGUCUCGGAUUUCUGAACAAUUCUCGAGGAGUCACAGUUGAGUUGGAACCUACCUUGGAGCGCGAAAUCAAAGAAGCGCAGAAGAAUGAUGAGAAGAUCAAUGAGAUCCGGCGACUGAUCCUAGAUGGCAGAGGCAAAGAUUUUCGAGAAGAUGCAGAAAGCGUGAUAUGGUUCAAAGACCGCUUGUGUGUUCCCAAUGUCCAGUCCAUUCGGGAGUUGAUUCUUAAGGAAGCUCAUGAGACAGCCUAUUCGAUUCACCCUGGCAGUGAGAAGAUGUAUCAGGAUCUGAAGAAGAAAUUCUGGUGGUACGGAAUGAAGAGGGAAAUCGCAGAGCAUGUGGCUAUGUGCGAUAGUUGUCGAAGAAUUAAGGCAGAGCACCAGAGACCUGCUAGAUUGUUGCAACCGUUGCAGAUCCCUCAGUGGAAAUGGGAUGAAAUUGGUAUGGAUUUCAUAGUCGGAUUGCCUCGCACUCGAGCCGGCUACGAUUCCAUUUGGGUAGUAGUGGACCGCUUGACCAAGUCAGCCCACUUCAUACCUGUCAAGACCAACUACAGCAGUGCAGUAUUGGCAGAGUUGUAUAUGUCUCGGAUCGUUUGUCUUAAUGGUGUGCCAAAGAAGAUAGUGUCAGACAGAGGAACGCAGUUCACCUCUCAUUUCUGGCAGCAGUUGCAUGAAGCCUUGGGCACGCAUCUGAAUUUCAGUUCAGCUUAUCAUCCGCAGACGGAUGGUCAGACCGAAAGGACCAAUCAAAUUCUUGAAGACAUGUUGAGAGCCUGUGCAUUGCAAGAUCAGUCCGGAUGGGAUAAGAGAUUGCCUUAUGCAGAGUUUUCCUAUAACAACAGUUACCAGGCCAGUUUGAAGAUGUCACCAUUUCAGGCGCUCUAUGGAAGGAGUUGUAGAACUCCGUUGCAAUGGGAUCAGCCUGGAGAAAAGCAAGUGUUUGGGCCAGACAUUUUGCUGGAAGCCGAAGAGAACAUCAAGAUGGUCCGAGAGAAUCUGAAGAUAGCGCAAUCGAGGCAGCAAAGCUAUGCAGACACAAGAAGAAGAGAGCUGAGUUUCGAAGUCGGAGACUUUGUCUAUCUGAAAGUGUCACCGAUCAGAGGAGUCAGAAGAUUCGGAAUGAAAGGCAAGUUAGCACCCCACUACAUUGGUCCGUAUCAGAUUCUUGCAAGACGUGGAGAAGUGGCCUAUCAGCUCAGUCUACCAGAAAAUUUGUCUGCUGUGCAUGAUGUCUUUCAUGUGUCUCAGUUGAAGAAGUGCUUGCGUGUGCCAGAAGAGCAGUUGCCAGUGGAAGGUCUUGAAGUCCAGGAGGACUUGACCUACGUUGAGAAGCCAGUGCAAAUCCUUGAGGUUGCAGACAGAGUCACCCGAAGGAAGACCAUCAGAAUGUGCAAGGUCAAAUGGAAUCAUCACUCUGAAGAAGAAGCAACCUGGGAGCGUGAAGAUGAUCUGAUGGCUAAAUACCCUGAGCUCUUUGCUAGCCAACCCUGAAUCUCGAGGGCGAGAUUCUUUUAAGGGGGAUAGGUUUGUAACGCCCUGAAUUUGGGGGUAGAAUUUUUUUCUUCUUUUCUCUCACCAAAUUCGGGCGUUACUCUCUUUUCUCUUUCCCCGUUUGCUCCUUCUUCCCAAUUUCAAACCAGUAUAGCGGCAUGUGUCCGUGUCAUGUAUAAACCAAAACCUAAGUGUCAUGGGUGUUGCAUCAUGCCGAAGCACAUUUCUUUGUCUGAUGAUGAGUGUUCGUCUCGUUCCGUUCCGGAUUUCGGUUCGCGAUUUAAUUCCGUUUAGUGGUCGCGCUCGUCGUGGGUUUUCGAUCCGCGAAGUGGCCCGGCCCAGCCCAAUCUAGUCCAGCCCAGCCGACCCGGCCUGCCCCGGCCUGCGCGCCCCUGGCACCCAAACCCCCCCCUGCGCCCCCUCCCGUCUCUCUCUCUCAUUUGGAUCUCCCGCGCAACAACCUCUCCUCUCCCUCUUCCACCUCUCUCUCCCCGUGGUGCCCUAGGAUUUGGAGACGGCGAUCACCGGAUUUUGGACCCCGAGGUGAGCUCCCCUCCCCUUCUCCUCUCUCUCUCUCUCUCCCUCCUCUUCUCCCCCGCGCGCGCACCCUCCCUCUUCCCCCUGCCCGCGCCCGACCCCGUCCCUGCCCGGCGCGGCGGCGCCCCUGCCCGCCCGCUCGGCCCCUCCCCGCGGCGGCGCCCCUGCCCGCCCGCUCGGCCCCUCCCCGCGGCGGCGCCCCUGCCCGCCCGCUCGGCCCCUCCCGCGGCGGCGCUCGGCGCCCGCCCCCGGCUCGCCCGCCCGGCCUCCCUCCCGCGGCGGCGCUCGGCUCCCCGUCCCCGGCCUUCCCCCCCGCUCGACCCCUCCCCGGCGCGGCGGCGCCCGCCCCCUGCCCCUCCCCGCGGCGGUGAUCCCGCCCGCCCCCUGCCCGGCCCCGCGUGGCGGCGCCCGCCCUCCCCUGGCCCGCGGCGGCGCUCGCCCGCCCCUGCUCGCCCGCGGCGGCGCCCGCUCGCCCCUGCCCGCCCGGCGGCGCUCCCCGCCCCUCCCCCGCGCGCGGUGGCGAUCCCGCCACCCGGCUCGGCCGCCCCCAUGCCCGCCCGGCCUCGGUCGCCCCUGGCCGGUUCAACCGCCCCCCUGGCUGGUUCAACCGCCCUCCCCCCCGCUCGGUCGCCCGUUCCCCCGUCCCGGCCUCGCCCGACCGUAUCUUCGCUCGCCCGCGCUCGCGGUGAUUAUUCGUUAAUUAGCGUGUUGCGUCGCGCGCUUCGCCGCGCGACGGAUUUGUCUAAAUUCAGAUUCUAUCUUGUGUUGCGUCGUGCGCUUCGUCGCGCGACGAUCCAUUUUUUUGUUUCAGGUUGUUUAAGGUGUAACGCCGCGUGUGUAUUCACGCGACGUUCCACUUUGGACUCAGUUUAGUCGACGUAUGCCGUCGUGCGCUUCGUCGCGCGACGCUUAACGUCUCCUCGUAACUAAGGCGAAGUGUCUCGUUGCGUGCUCGGUCGCACGACGAGUCGUUAACUUCUUAAUUUGUUUUAGAGAGCUUUGUCGCGCGUCUCGCCACGCGACCAUCUUUUUGUUUAUCUCCACCUGCUUAUAAUAAUUAGACAUGAAACAUGACUUUACUUUACGCUAAACAUAGUGUCUACAUUAAAUUUCCUUCCAUUAAGCGAGUAGUUAAUUUAUAAUCAUGUAACGUGAUCGUUUCUCGACUGUCUUUUCCUCUUUCUCUCUUAACCGUACUCGCGAGCCCGCGUAGAAUGUCUGUUUACUUAUUGCAUUCUAUUGUAUGGUGUACUGUUCUUUUGUAUUAAAUAUGUGGAUGUAUGUAUGUUUGCGCUCGCAUAGAGAACGAUCCGGUUGAAGAGCCCGAGGAACUCGCAGGAGAAGCCCCUGAGCAGCAGUCGGUUGGUGGAGGCAAGUGUCCCUUGACCUAUCUCUGUCCUAUUCAUUCUUUAAUUCACCUCCCGCUUUACAUAUUUAUACCUAAGGUUUGACUAGCUUUUGUUAUCCCUGUCCUUGAUUACCUAUUUGGGUUGGAUUAUUACUGUUUAGCUUUAUGCUAUUGCUCAAACUCUAAUCAAUGAACAUGAUGAGAUUAUCUAUGAUACGCUGUUUUCCCUUCUCUUAUUAUGAUGUUGUACUUGUGACCUUCAAGGGGGCUCGAGCGGUUUCUCGAGUGCCUCUCCGUAAGGACCUGUUCUAUGGAUGACCGCCCGGGAAAACAGUGCAACCAUGAGGGUAGAAUGGGGUGCCCUUAGCUGAAUAAUUAGAGGAUCCGGGGUGUAGUUCACUUAGCCGUCGUGCCGUCAAUGGGGCUCGGUGUAUGCGGCUCGCUCUGCCAAGGUUGAUUUGUCCCUUGGGGAGGAGUGCGGUACAUUUAGGAAACCUAACGGGUGGCUACAGCCCCGGGGAAUCUUUGUAAAGGCUACGUAGUGAUGCCCUGCUGGGUCACCUUGGUAGUGAUCAAUGGAGAGUCAUGAUCUCCGGGCAGAAUGGGAAUCACGGCUUGUGGGUAAAGUGCACAACCUCUACAGAGUGUCUGAAAACUGAUAUAUCAGCCGUGCUCACGGUUAUGAGCGGCCAAGGGAGCUCCAGUGAUUAGUGGUACUUGAUCAGAGACAUUGUGGUACAGGUGGCUAUGAGAUCGAUGGUUCUGGUUAUGACUAUGGUGCUGGUAAGUGGUAUUCUUUCCGUUUGGAAAGGGUACAUCGGGUUAAUAACUUGGGUUAAUGCUAAAACUUGGCUUUCUACUAGUAAGUAAUAAUCUGACCAACUAAAAGCAACUGCUUGACUUAUCCCCACAUAAAGCUAGUCCACUACAGCCAAACAGGAUACUUGCUGAGUAUGUUGAUGUGUACUCACCCUUGCUCUACACACCAAACCCCCCCCCCCCAGGUUGUCAGCAUUGCAACCACUGCUCAGGCGAAGAUGAAGCUGUGGAAGGAGACUUCCAGGAGUUCCAAGACUACGACGAGUUCUAGGUGUGGGUUAGCGGCAACCCCCAGUCGGCUGCCUGUGAAGGCCGCAGUUAUCUACGUUUCUUUUUCGCACUUUGAUUUAUUGUAAGAACUAUAUGGACGUCUCAGACGCAUGAUGUAAUCAACUAUUAUUCCCUUUUAAUACUAUUUUGAGCAAUGUGUGAUGAUGUCCAUGUUAUGUAACUGCUGUGUACGUGAAUAACUGAUCCUGGCACGUACAUGGUUCGCAUUCGGUUUGCCUUCUAAAACCGGGUGUGACACCUUCCCAGGGGGGCGUGAGCUUGUGCCUCCCUCGGGCGUCUUGCCGCAGCCAAAGCACUAGAUCGCCCACCUGGAGGUCUCGGGACCGGACCCCUCGGGCGUGGUAGCGUCGCAGGGACUGCUGGUACCGCGCCGAGUGUAGUAAGGCCCUGUCCCGAGCCUCCUCCAGCUGGUCCAGCGAUUCUUCUCGGCUAGCUUGGUUGCUUUGAUCGGUGUAGGCCCUCGUCCUCGGGGAGCCGUAUUCCAGGUCAGUGGGCAAGAUAGCUUCAGCCCCGUAGACCAGGAAAAACGGCGUGAAACCCGUGGCGCGACUCGGCGUCGUCCUUAGGCUCCAGACCACCAAGGGGAGUUCCUUCAUCCACCGCUUGCCGAACUUGUUGAGGUCGUUGUAGAUCCGAGGCUUGAGCCCUUGUAGAAUCAUGCCGUUGGCACGCUCUACUUGCCCAUUCGACAUGGGAUGAGCCACGGCGGCCCAGUCCACCCGGAUAUGGUGAUCCUCGCAAAAAUCUAAGAAUUUUUUGCCUGUGAACUGGGUGCCGUUGUCGGUGAUGAUGGAGUUCGGGACCCCGAAGCGACGGAUGAUGUUGGUGAAGAACGCCACCGCCUGCUCGGACCUGAUGCUGUUCAGAGGUCGGACCUCGAUCCACUUGGAGAAUUUGUCGAUGGCGACCAGCAGGUGCGUGUAGCCCCCGGGCGCCUUCUGCAAGGGACCGACGAGGUCCAGACCCCAUACGGCGAAGGGCCAGGUGAUGGGUAUCGUCUGCAGAGCCUGAGCGGGCAGGUGGGUCUGCUUCGCAUAGAAUUGGCACCCUUCGCAGGUGCGGACAAUUCUAGUGGCGUCAGCCACCGCCGUUGGCCAGUAGAAGCCUUGCCGGAAAGCAUUCCCGACAAGGGCUCGGGGCGCCGCGUGGUGGCCGCAAGCCCUCGAGUGUAUUUCUUGCAGCAGUUCCCGACCUUCGGCGAUGGAGAUGCAUCGCUGGAGGAUGCCCGAGGGGCUGCGAUGGUAGAGCUCCUCUUCAUCGCCCAGCAAGACAAACGACUUGGCGCGUCGCGCUACCCGCCGAGCCUCGACUUGGUCGGGGGGUAGCUCUCCUCGACGGAGAUAUUGCAGGUACGGGGCCUGCCAAUCUCGAUCAGGCGUGGCCCCGCUCUGCUUUUCCUCGACGUCCAGUGCCUCGCCCUCGGGGGCCAAGGGUACCUCGGGCUGAGCCGAGGGUGCCUCGGGCUCGGGCACGUCGUCGAUCUUGACAGAGGGUCGAUGCAGAUCCCGGGAGAAGACGUCCGGGGGGACCGUCGUUCGCCCCGAGGCUAUUUUAGCCAGCUCGUCUGCGGUUUCGUUGUAGCGCCGAGCGAUGUGGUUGAGCUCGAGCCCGAAGAACUUGUCUUCCAGGCGCCGAACCUCGUCGCAGUAGGCCUCCAUCUUCGGGUCGCGGCAGUGGGAGUUCUUCAUGACUUGGUCAAUGACGAGCUGCGAAUCACCACAGGCGUCGAGGCGUCUGACCCCUAGCUCGAUGGCGAUCCGCAACCCGUUGACCAGAGCUUCGUACUCGGCCACAUUGUUGGACGCCGGGAAAUGGAGGCGCAGCACGUAGCGCAGGUGCUUUCCAAGGGGCGAGAUGAAGAGCAGGCCCGCGCCGGCUCCUGUCUUCAUCAGCGACCCGUCGAAAAACAUGGUCCAGAGCUCCGGUUGGAUCGGAGUCGUCGGCAACUGGGUGUCAACCCAUUCGGCCACGAAGUCCGCCAACACCUGGGACUUGAUGGCCUUCCGAGGGGCGAACGAGAUCGUUUCGCCCAUGAUUUCCACCGCCCACUUUGCGAUCCUGCCCGAGGCCUCUCGGCACUGGAUGAUCUCCCCCAGGGGGAAGGAUGACACCACAGUUACCGGAUGAGACUCGAAGUAAUGUCGCAGCUUCCGCCUUGUCAGGAUCACAGCAUAUAGCAGCUUUUGAACUUGUGGGUAGCGGAUCUUGGUCUCGGACAGCACUUCGCUGACGAAGUAGACCAGCCUCUGAACGGGCAAUGCAUGCCCUUCCUCUUGCCUCUCGACCACAAUCGCGGCGCUAACCACCUGUGUGGUCGCGGCGACGUAGACCAAGAGGGCUUCUCCAUCCGCUGGGGGCACCAAGACAGGCGCCUUCGUAAGGAGCGCCUUCAGGUUGCCGAGGGCUUCCUCGGCCUCAGGGGUCCAAGCGAAACACUCGGCCUUCCUUAAGAGGCGGUACAGAGGCAGACCUCUUUCGCCGAGGCGUGAGAUGAAGCGGCUCAGGGCCGCGAGGCAUCCCAUGACCCUCUGUACACCUUUUAAGUCCUUGAUGGGCCCCAUGCUGGUGAUGGCCGCGAUCUUCUCCGGGUUGGCUUCAAUGCCUCGCUCGGAGACGAUGAACCCUAGGAGCAUGCCUCGGGGCACCCCGAAGACACACUUCUCAGGAUUGAGCUUGACUCCUUUCGCCUUGAGACAUCGGAAUGUCACUUCAAGGUCGGAGAGGAGGUCGGAAGCCUUCCUUGUCUUGACUACGAUGUCAUCGACGUAGGCCUCGACUGUGCGAUCGAUGUGUUCGCCGAACACAUGGUUCAUGCACCGCUGGUACGUCGCACCCGCAUUCCUCAAACCGAACGGCAUGGUGACAUAGCAGUACAUGCCGAACAGCGUGAUGAAAGAAGUCGCGAGCUGGUCGGACUCUUUCAUCCGGAUCUGGUGAUACCCUGAGUAGGCAUCGAGGAAGGACAGGGUUUCGCACCCAGCGGUGGAAUCCACGAUUUGAUCGAUGCAGGGCAGAGGGUAGGGAACCUUCGGACAUGCUUUGUUGAGACCAGUGUAGUCUACACACAUCCGCCAUUUCCCCCCUUUCUUCCUCACAAGCACAGGGUUGGCGAGCCAUUCGGGAUGGAAUACCUCUUUGAUGAACCCUGCUGCCAUUAGCUUGUGGAUCUCUUCGCCAAUCACUCUGCGCUUCUCCUCGUCAAAUCGGCGCAGAGACUGCCUGACGGGUCGGGCUCCGGCCCGAAUAUCCAGCGAGUGCUCGGCGACAUCCCUCGGUAUGCCGGGCAUGUCCGAGGGACUCCACGCAAAGACGUCGGCGUUUGCGCGAAGAAAGUCGACGAGCACUGCUUCCUAUUUGGGGUCGAGCCCGGAACCGAUCCGGACCUGCUUGGUGGUGUCACCACUGGGGUCAAGAGGGACGGCCUUAACCGUCUCUGCUGGCUCGAAGUUGCCGGCAUGGCGCUUCACGUCUGGCACCUCCUUGGAGAGGUUCUCCAGGUCGGCGAUGAGGGCCUCGGACUCGGCGAGGGCCUCGGCGUACUCCACGCACUCCACGUCGCAUUCGAACGCGUGUUUGUACGUGGGGCCGACAGUGAUGACCCCGUUGGGGCCCGGCAUCUUGAGCUUCAGGUAGGUGUAGUUGGGGACGGCCAUGAACUUCGCGUAACAUGGCCUCCCUAGUACGGCGUGGUAGGUUCCUCGGAACCCGACCACCUCGAACGUCAGGGUCUCCCUUCGGAAGUUGGAGGGCGUCCCGAAAUAGACGGGGAGGUCGAGUCGCCCGAGGGGCUGGACGCGCUUCCCAGGGAUGAUCCCGUGGAAGGGCGCAGCGCCUGCUCGGACGGAGGACAGAUCGAUGCGCAGGAGCUUGAGGGUCUCGGCGUAGAUGAUGUUGAGGCAGCUGCCUCCAUCCAUCAGGACCUUGGUGAGCCUGACAUUGCCGACAACGGGGUCGACGACGAGCGGGUAUUUCCCCGGGCUCGGCACAUGGUCGGGGUGGUCGGCCUGGUCGAAGGUGAUGGGCUUGUCGGACCAGUCUAGGUAGACUGGCGCCGCCACCUUCACCGAGCAGACCUCCCGGCGCUCUUGCUUGCGAUGCCGAGCCGAGGCAUUCGCCGCAUGCCCUCCAUAGAUCAUGAAGCAGUCGCGGACCUCGGGGAACUCCCCUGCUUGGUGAUCUUCGUUCUUGUCGUCGUCGCGGGCCCUGCCACCCUCGGCGGGUGGCCCGGCCCUGUGGAAGUGACGCCGAAGCAUAAUGCACUCCUCGAGGGUGUGCUUGACGGGCCCCUGAUGGUAGGGGCACGGCUCCUUGAGCAUCUUGUCGAAGAGGUUCGCACCUCCAGGGGGCUUCCGAGGGUUCUUGUACUCGGCGGCGGCGACAAGGUCCGCGUCAGCGGCGUCGCGUUUCGAUUGCGACUUCUUCUUGCCUUUCUUCUUGGCGCCGCGCGGAGUAGACGCCUCGGGAGCCUCUUCCGAUGGGCGGCCCUGGGGCUGCUUGUCCUUUCGGAAGAUAGCCUCGACCGCCUCCUGGCCAGAGGCGAACUUGGUGGCGAUGUCCAUCAGCUCGCUCGCCCUGGUGGGGGUCUUGCGACCCAGCUUGCUCACCAGGUCGCGGCAACUGGUGCCGGCGAGGAACGCGCCGAUGACAUCCGAGUCGGUGAUGUUGGGAAGCUCGGUGCGCUGCUUCGAGAAUCGCCGGAUGUAGUCCCGGAGCGACUCCCCCGGCUGUUGCCGGCAGCUUCGAAGGUCCCAGGAAUUCCCGGGGCGCACGUAUGUGCCCUGGAAAUUCCCAGCGAAGGCUUGGACCAAGUCGUCCCAGUUGGAGAUCUGCCCCGGAGGCAGGUGCUCCAACCAGGCGCGAGCAGUGUCGGAGAGGAACAGGGGGAGGUUACGGAUGAUGAGGUUGUCGUCGUCCGUCCCACCCAGUUGGCAGGCAAGGCGGUAGUCCGCGAGCCACAGUUCCGGUCUCGUUUCCCCCGAGUACUUCGUGAUAGUAGUCGGGGGUCGGAACCGGGUCGGCAAUGGCGCCUGUCGGAUGGCCCGACUGAAGGCCUGCGGACCGGGUGGUUCGGGCGAGGGACUCCGAUCCUCCCCGCUGUCGUAGCGCCCCCCACGCCUGGGGUGGUAGCCUCGGCGCACCCUUUCGUCGAGGUGGGCCCGACGGUCGCGUCGAUGGUGCUCGUUGCCGAGGUGGCCCGGGGCCGCAGGCGCGGUGUUGCGCGUGCGCCCGGUGUAGACCGAGGCUUCCCGCAUGAAUCGGGAAGUCGCGGCAUGAGGUUCCGAGGGAUAUCCUUGCCUUCGGGAGGCAGUGCUCUCGGCCCGUCGGGCCGCAGCGCCUUCCAGGAGAUUCUUGAGCUCUCCCUGGAUUCGCCGACCCUCGGUGGUUGAUGGCUCCGGCAUCGCGCGGAGGAGCAUCGCUGCGGCUGCCAGGUUCUGACCAACCCCGCUGGAUGCGGGCGGCGGCCUGACCCUGACAUCGUUGGCGACGCGGUGCUGGAGACCUUGGGGCAGGUGACGUAUUUCUCCGGCCAGGGGUUGGUCCGCCCAUACCUGCCCGACGUCCCGACGGAUCGGCUCAAGCGCUCCUGUUCCCUCGUUGAGCCUGGCCUGCGCCUCGCGGACUUGCUCGAGUUGUGGGUCGUAACCCCCCGCCGGAGCGGGGACCACAGCUAGCUCCCGUGGGAUGUCGGCGCGAGGCACCGGCCUAGGAAGAUCACCGUCCUCCGGCAUGCCGAGACGGUUGCCUUCGGGGGGAUCCCCUAGCUCGAUGUGGAAACAUUCGCGGCUUGGGCCGCAGCUCUCGUCGCCAAGGCUGCGGCUUCCGUCGGAACAGUCGGAUAGGCAGUAGUCACAUGCGGUCAUGAAGUCCCGCAUGGCACUGGGGUUGCCAAGUCCGGAGAAAUCCCAAUAGACGCUGGGGUCGUCAUCUUCCUCGGACCCAGAGGGCCCAUAGGUCGAGACGUCCGUCAGCCGGUCCCAAGGUGACCGUAUACGAAACCCCAGUGGGGUUGCACUCGCCUCAAUGAGAGCGCCCGCCAAAGCGAGGUCGUUUGGCGGGUUGAGGCCGAGUCGAAAUGACGUAAGAUGGGAGUUAGUCGGUACCUUUUGGUCGACGAGGAGCGACGUAGUCGCAUCGGGGACUGGUUGAACCGUCAUCUCAGGUACGAGGGCGACGUCCUGCAGGCUUUCCGCGAGCGCGCCGGGGGCGUCGAUUCGCUCGACGGCCAACGAAGCGCGGCCUCCCGCUUGGCCUUGACGGCCCCGCCUCCUCCUCCGUUGGCGGGGGAGAGAACGGAGCGAGCUCGAAUGUUGUUCUUCCACCACGCGGGGAAGGUGUCGUCGAUUCCGCCGCCGGCGAGCGGGUUGUCGGCCGCCAUUGUCGUUGUCGCGCGGCGGUGGAAGAAGUAUCAUGUCGUAGCUGCCGUCGAAGGACAUGAACUCAAGAGUCCCGAAACGAAGCACCGCCCCGGGCCGGAGAGGUUGCUGGAGAUUGCCCAUCUGGAGCUUGACGGGGAGCUGUUCGUCAGCACGCAGCAGGCCCCUACCUGGCGCGCCAACUGUCGGCGUUUCGAGACAGGGGGGUCCUAAAGCCGACGAGUGAGUGUGCUGCGUGUCCCAGCCCAGAUGGGUCGAGCGCGUGGGCGAGCGCGAAGGGGGGAGAGGCGAGGUGGCCGGAGUCGAGCGUGAGAGAGGUGGAAGUCCCGCGGCCUUCGUGUUCGUCCCGCGCCCAGGUCGGGUGCGCUUGCAGUAGGGGGGUUACAAGCGUCCACGCGGGUGAGGGAAGCGAGCGGCCCCAAGAGAGCGCCUGUCCCGUCCUCGGUCCCGCGUGGCCAACCUCCUCUAAGAAGGCCCUGGUCCUCCCUUUUAUAGUCGUAAGGAGAGGAUCCAGGUGUACAAUGGGGGGUGUAGCAGAGUGCUACGUGUCUAGCGGAGAGAGAGCUAGCGCCCUAGGUACAUGCCAAUGUGGCAGCCGGAGAGGUCUUGGCACCUUGCUGGCGUGAUGUCGUGGCUGUCGGAGGUGCGACGGAGCCUGGCGGAGGGACAGCUGUUGGAGCGGUCGAGUCCUUGCUGAUGUCGCCCUGCUUCCGUAAGAGAGCUGGGGGCCGCCGUCGUCACAGAGCUUGUGGAGCGCCAUCAUUGCCCAUCCGGCGGAGCUGGCCGGAUGGGACGCCGGUCUUGUUCUCCGUGACCCGAGUCGAUUCGGGGUAGGACGAUGAUGACGCUUCCUGUUGACGUGGCCGGUCUGUGCCCUAGGCGGGGUGACGUGGGGGCUCCUCCGAAGCCGAGGUUGAGUCUGUCUUCUGUUGCCGAGGCUGAGUCCGAGCCCUGGGGUCGGGCGAGGCGGAGGUCGUUUGGCCGAGGCCAGGGUGGAGUCCGAGCCCUGGGGUCGGGCGAGGCGGAGUUUCGUCGUCUUCCGGGUCUUAGCCCGAGUCCGAGCCCUGGGGUCGGGCGGAGCGGAGUUCGCCGUCUUCCGGGUCUUAGCCCGAGUCCGAGCCCUGGGGUCGGGCGGAGCGGAGUUCGCCGUCUUCCGGGUCUUAGCCCGAGUCCGAGCCCUGGGGUCGGGCGGAGCGGAGUUCGCCGUCUUCCGGGUCUUAGCCCGAGUCCGAGCCCUGGGGUCGGGCGGAGCGGAGUUCGCCGUCUUCUGGGUCUUAGCCCGAGUCCGAGCCCUGGGGUCGGGCGGAGCGGAGUUUCGUCGUCUUCCGGGUCUUAGCCCGAGUCCGAGCCCUGGGGUCGGGCGGAGCGGAGUUUCGUCGUCUUCCGGGUCUUAGCCCGAGUCCGAGCCCUGGGGUCGAGCGGAGCGGAGUUCGCCGUGGCGCCUUUGGCAAGGCCUGACUGUCUGUCUGACUCACUCUUUGCGUUAAAUGCUCCUGCAACUCGGUCAGUCGGUGUGGCGAUUUAGUCAGGGUUGCUUCUGAGCGAAGUCAAGGCCUCGGGCGAGCCGGUGAUGUGUCUGCCGUAAAAAGGGGGGCCUCGGGUGAGAAGGAAGUCUCUCGAGGUCGGCUGCCCUUGGCCGAGGCUAGGCUCGGGUGAAGCGUGAUCGAGUCACUCGUGUGGACUGAUCCCUGACUUAAUCGUACCCAUCAGGCCUUUGCAGCUUUAUGCUGAUGGGGGUUACCAGCUGAGAAUUAGGCGUCUUGAGGGUACCCCUAAUUAUGGUCCCCGACAAUAACCGAUAAACAUAGGGUCUCUUAUGCAAACAUACACAGCGAAAGGGUAUCACCGGUUCUCGGACGUCCGAUCUAACACUAACACCCUCAAUUAAAUCGAAGGCCGCUCAACACCCCCGCCACCCGAUUAGGAUCCAAGAGUCCGAAUUGUCCCAGCGGUACAUCCGUUCUACGAUUGAUCCAGGUCGUUCCCUUGCAAUCUACGCCUAGGAUUUAAAACACUCAAGACCGCAUCUGCACCAAUUGUGAUCAAUCCAGUGGCCCAGAUUACUUCUACAUCGUGUCAUGCUCUGGACCAUCGAUCUAUCCAUCAACCGCCCACAAACCCGUCUUCCUUCCCCGACCAACUCCCCAAAACAGAAGACAACGAUGUAUACCACCGCCGGCGAGGCAAAUCCUUGACCCAGGUGCACCAAACUUCAAUUCAAUGGCUCUACACAUUGCGGUAAUCAAGGCGAACAUGAGUGAGGUUUCCAUACUGGGAAUCGCGCGUGCAGGCAUGUUGUCCACGGGGCGGAGCGGCUUCACGGUGGAAGGCAGGGCCCGACGAGCAAUUCCCAGCUACCAGGUGGUCGAUUCCGCCCGCAAACGGCACGGACAGCUUCCUGAUGGCUCGCGCAAGCCCACAACCCAGCCCAAGAUUCCAGCCAAUGGCGAGAAAUAGAUUGGCGGCGGCAGAUAUUACUUGACGUAGGGGUGUGGUUCUCUCUCCCUCUCCUUCUCGGCUCGGGCUCUAACACAUUCGCGAGACGACACUCCUAGGAGCGGCACAUGCGCUUAUAUGCAGAGAGGGCUUCGAUCUCGCAACGACCUCCCGAGUUCGUGGCAGACGGUGGUCGCACGGAAGUCGGCGCAGCAAGCGGGUUCUCGUGUGAUGGCGACAGAGAAUGACUUGCGGGCCCCGUGACGCAGCGACCACACGCGCCCGCGGAGUUCUCGGAUCGCCGUUUCGCUCUCGGACCCACGCGCUAGUGAAUCUCCCCCACUCACCCGACUAUGCGGAGCUGACCAACCGGGUCCACCAGCUAGCGACCCGCAGCGCACGCAGCGCACUUGUCUGGGCCACACGAAGGAAGGAUAGGUGGGCUGAGGGAGGUUUGGGCCCAUUUAGGUUUUCCAUUUUAUUUCUUUCUUUUCUUUUCUGGUUUCUUUUUCUCAAAUUUUAGAAUUCAAACUCAAAUUUGGUUGGGAAUUUUUUAUUCCUAAAUUAAUGUACAAUUCCAAGACCUCAGUAUGGACAGGGACAUCUACUUAUAUAAUUUUCUUUCACAUUAUAAUUAAGAUUUUUCUUUUUACUCUUUUCUUGGGUUACUUCCCAUUUCUAAAUAUUCAAAUUAGGUCUUAACUCACCUUUUGAAAUCCACAUUAAUGUGAUCAUUAUCAUUAUUAAAUGCACACACAAUUAAACUCCAACAUGAUGCAUGAUUUAUUUUAUAGGUUAUUGGCUAAUUACUCACUUAAAAUGUGUUUGUUCACAUGUGCUAAUGAGUGGAGGCGACACACAUAAAGAGAUCAAUCUCUAUUUUCAUUAUUUACAAUUUCGACAUUAGAUGAAGCUUUAGACGGAUAAUAGAAGCACAAGCGCUAAGAGCUGAAGCCUUAGCACGGGUAGCCCUUCCAGCAAAGAAAGACGAAGCCCUCUCGGAAGAAGAGAAGUCUGUUAGGUAUCAAUAGAGACUGGAUUGGGUUUAACUCAACUAAUCGUCUCUUUAAUCGAGUCUUUGGUUGGGAUUCCCCAUGCUAACCUCGGUUGGAGCCUCGGGUACACGACACUAUAAAAGGAUUAAGGGGUCGCAGGAAAGCCAACGCAAGUACCUCGCCCCAAAACCCUAAUCUCCACAGAAGUCCCAUCACCUAAGCGUCAAAGUGUCUAGAAGCGCGACAACCCAUAGCAGCUCAGAUCUUGAUGCAUGUUGUUCCUUUACAGGGUAACGGAGGUGACGCCGACGACAGCGAACUCUCCAACAACAACAACGAAGGUAUGUUUCCCUAUUUCUCUCAGAACAGAUCUACUCGUCAUCGAGGUUUUCCAAUUACAGGUUGGUAUUCUAGAGGCUUAGGAAUCGAUCCUAUGCACCAUAGAAGCUAACAAAGUCAUGCACGACAUAUUAAAGCCAUCUCCAGUAGGUCGUGUAAAUGGACAUGCAAAGUAUUGUUUGUUCUUUAUAUUACACUGUUUAUAUAGUGAAGUUUGAAAUAGAGAGUGUGAUAGGGAGUCUGGUGAAGAUAGUAUAAGGAUAUGGAAUGACGAAAUUGUACCUCUGAUGUUCCGUGUAAUUGUUAUGUAAUUGAGAGGAAAAUUUUGUAAAUUUAUAAGAUGUACAACAUCGACCUGACCAUAUAAAUAUAUGAACUUACCACAACAACGGGAUCGGCCAUUUGAUCUCGUGCCUAUAACAUCUCUCAAGAGAGCCUCCAAAGUUAUAACAACAAAAAAACAAAGUUAUAUUAGUGGUGCAUUCAUAUCAGAGUUGUCAAGGGUAUUCUUUAUGUUGCAGAAAAUAGUGUGUUAUAUAUAUAGAAUUGUUAAGUGAUUAUUUACCUUCGUCUAAUAUAAUAUCAAGUUUCACAUGUGUUCAUCUUCAACUUAUUAUGUCAAUAUUGAGUUGCAAAGCUUCAUUCAUCCUUUCUUGCCCUUCUAUCCGGUGAAACCAUUGGAGAGGGGAGAAGUCAAAGGGAAAUGGCAUCAACAUUUCCUACAAUCGAUUUUGGUGUUUGAUGUCCAUCACAAACUAUAUGGACUAACUAGUUUGCCUAGUGAAUGUUUUUAUUAGGUGCAUAAAGUUCACAUAAACAAACAAAUAAAAUGAUCGAGGGAAUUCUACAAAGUUUGGAGCAUACAAGUUUUGGUGCAGUCAGUGGUGCACCGGACACUGUCCGGUGUGCACCGGCUAGAGCACCUCACGAACUGGCCGCUCUCGAGUUUUCUCAAAGCUCGUCCACUAAAAUUCAUUGGACAGUCCAGUGCACCACCGGACUGUCCGGUGAGCCAACGAGCAACAGUCAACUUCGCCCAACGGUCAACUGCGCGCGCAGUCUGCAGUACCAGAAGUCAGAAGACGGCCUACAACGUCAGGUUGCACCAGACUAUCCCGUGUGCCAAUAGACUGUCCGGUUCCGUAAGAAGACAGAAGACUUCAAUGGUAAACAUCUCCAAACCCCAACGGUCAGCUGACGUGGCACUCACCAGACAAUGGAUAAUGCAGUGUCCGGUGUGCCCAUCGACAUCAAAGUCAGUCAAUGACUAGAAAGUGGUUGGAGGCUAUAAAUACCCCCCAACCACCUCCAUUCAAGCCAUCCAAGCUUCUCACUAUUCUCAUUCAAUACAAGAGCAAAAGACUAGACUCUAAAGACAUAACCAAAGCAUCAAAUCCUCUCCAAGCUCUAAAUCAAGUCAAGUGAUCAAAAGUGUUUAGUGACUUGAUAGAGGGUGAUUUGUGUUUCUUUUGUUUCUCUUGUUGCUUGGUUGCUUUCUUCUUCUCACUCUAAUCUUUCCAAGUGUUUUGUAAAGCUAGCAAGAGACACCUAAUUGUGUGGUGAUCCUUGCAGGGUCUUAGUGACCCGUGUGAUUAAGAAGAAGCACUCGACCGGUCUAAUUGAUCGAUUGAGAGAGGGAAAGGAUUGGAAUAGACUUGGCCUUUGUGGCCUCCUUAACGGGGAGUGGGUUCUUUGGAACUGAACCUCGGGGAACAAAUCACCGUGUUCAUUUGUAUUAAUCUUCAUCACUCGAUUUGUUUCUUCCCUCUCCUCUCUCUAAAGUUCCCUUGCUCAUAUUGUUUUGAGUUGGCUCCCAAAGUUAUCCGUAUUGAUUAACUCAUAGCAAGAGCAACUAUCUUCCGCACUCCUAACUCAUUAUUAUUUAUUUCUAAUCCUAACCCUGGGUGAAGUAUGUGUUCAAAGUUCAUAAUUUUCAAGUUUCACCUAUUCAUCCCCCUCUAGGCGACUUUCAAGAAGGAUAUAAGAUAAUUUUGUUGCCCUGUUGUGUUUCUUUCAUGAAUAUCGAUAGAUCCCCAACAUCAGCCUAUAUAUGUUUUUCCAUCCUAUUCAUAGUUUUUUUCUCUAUUUGCACUUGCACAAACCAACAUAUGCUCUUAAAUACUACGACGACAUCAAGGUCAUAUAAACCUGCAACAUGUUCCUCAUGUCAGUGGUAAAGCUUAAAGUGAAAUCUAGGAUGGAGUAAUUGUGUGCCUCAUAACCAUUAUUUACUUCAAAUGGAUAUCAAAGAGUAGGAAGAUCAUAGUCAUCUUAGUUAGUUUUAAUAUAUUAGUAUUAAUAUGAAUGUGUGGUUUAGAAACAUCUAUGCGUGCAUAAACUAUGGUUAUCUAGAUAUUUUUUGUAAUAGUAGUUGUUGGUAAUUUAGAAGUAGAUGUUGGCAAUUUAGAUGUAGAUAUAAGGGUAUAUUCUAGUUCUUUUUCAUAAUGACAAAAAGUGGUGAUUUAGUACAAUUCAAGGAGUUGCUAGAUUACACUCCCUCUAUCCGAAAUUAGUAUUUGUUUUAGCUCUUGGUUUUAAAUGGAUGAUGAAGAAUCUAGACACAUAUAUAAAAACACAUACAUUAAAUAUUGUAUGAAUCCAUUAACAUCCCAAAAUGAAUUUUAAUUUGGGACAGAGGGAGUAUAUCAAGUUAUGAUUUAUAAUUCCAAAUUGAUGUUGUCUUUCAUAGUAAUUUUAAAAUAUAAUAGAUCUUAUAGUUGUUAUUAAUAAUGGUGAAUAAAGUCUACUAAAUUGAUGGUUUGAUGUUUAUAACAAUUUAUAUUUGUCGGGGAUAAGAUCCCUAGUCCCUGGAGUUCAUCGGUCAACAAGCACAUCCGAGGAAAGCCACAAACAACUGAGGCUCGUCGGUCAGCUGGAGGAGACAGGUAGCGCCUGCUCUGCAGGAACCCACCCCCAGACGAACCCCACGGCACCAAUCCUAGGGUCAUACGUGGAUGAGUCUAAAGGGGGGGGACGGGCGUACCAAACGGAAACCACUUGAGUGGAUCCCUCGUCAGGCCUGAGACUAAUCCAUCAUAUGUAACCAGCUACAAGCCCCUUGGACGACAGAGCACUCAUGACCCACGAACCCCUUGGAUUGUGGCGCAUUUAUGGCUCGCGCACCCAUGACCUACGACGCACUCAUGACCUACUAGGACUAGGCCUGAGUGCGCAGACCUCUGGUAGGGCACAACAUGGCGAACCACGUCGAGCCUUAUGCUACGAAGGCCAGGGGUCAACAUAGCCCGAAUGAUAGCGCUCAGGCCACACGCCGCCCACCAUAAAGAGUAUGAGACAACCAAACAACCACGAGCACGCUUGGCUUUACCCCAUGGUAGAACGCUCGGUUUUACGGUUGCCCGGUGGCUCCUUGAGGAAGCCAUCGCUAGCCAGUCCCCUCCCUGGCCUAUAAAAGGAGGAGGCCGACCCAAGGCUCUAGGUUGGACGGGCAUGACCUGGAUCCCUCUAGCUAGGAUUCAGGCCCCCAGACACACGAUGGACGCAAGGAUGGGCCCCAGACGAGAAGACACCUAGAAGGACAGAUGGAUAGGAGGAGGACCCAGAGGCCGGAGCCCCGCCGCCAAGCCAAUACUAAGAUAGGACUCCACUUUGUAACCAACAACGCCACGAAUAAGAGACUUGGGAGCCUCUCUUUUGUCUCUCACCCACUUGUAACCCCUACUACGAGUUCUGGUCAUCAAUUGUGCUGGUAGCGCAAGGCACCGAUGACUAGAAGUAGGGACGUUCUCCCGAACUAGUAUAAAUCUUGUGUCCACCGCGCACACCAUUCGGAGCUGGAACACGCACAACAAAUUUACUUGUUAGAUCGAGGAUCAAAACACCGACAAUUGGCAUGCCAUGUAGGGACUACGUGUCCCGACGAAGUUCUUUAAGCUCCGAAUGGCAAGCCACGACGUUAAUCGGUCUCCUAGAAUGAUGAUCCAUAUCAGGAGCCUCGACUUCUCCCUCAACGACGAAGGCGAAGUGGUCAGGGCCUCAGAAGCCCGACCCCCUCUGCCGAGGAAUCACGACACGACCGCGAGGGCCAGCAGAGGCCCCCGCUUCGACUACACCCCCAAAGUGCCCAUCCGCUUUGGGAACCUUGAUUUCAUCAUCAACCAGGGGGUGAUAGGGCCAGACCAGUGCUCGUGCGACCUCCUCCGCUCGAGAGGUCUGACAUAGUCUCGGAGGCCCUUGGCGGCCUCAGCCUCACCCCACGCGGGCGGUGUGAGAGGCAUAGGCUGGCCCCGCCUUCCAAGGCAACCAAAAUAAGGCGACAGAUCGUGAUCCAUAUGGGACCAAAGCCCUCAUAUUACGAUCUGUCGGCUUUCUUCGCAUCCUAUGCAGAGCUUUCUGCGUCAUAUUACGCUGUCAGCAAAAUGAGAUGCCACGCAUGGUAGGACACAGAGAGAUCAUGGGACGUAAUGCUUCGAAUGAGAGCCCAUGGUAGAUGCCCGACCAGAGAAGAUCCAUGUCGUGCUUGUAAAACCAUCGAAAGGUUAUGAAUAAAGCAUGGUUUUGGAACUACACUCGAUGCCAAAACACAGUAAAUAAGGGGAGAACCUCGGUUAAAGCCCUAGACCUUUCUCUCCUCCCCCCUCUCUCUCCCUUUCUCGUUUCCCCUUAGCAACUUUCAGGAUAGGAAGUGUACCAAGAGCCGAACGGGGCAUGAUGAACAACGACGAUCUCGACAGAGUAACGAGCGGGAACCCCAUCACAAAACUAGCUAUGUUACUUUAUCUCUUCUGAACUCAUGUGCUUUGAGUUUUUCUUGCCUUUUGUUGGAAGGGUCUUUGGUGAAACAAGACACCAUACCACUCUUUAUCUCUCGGGGCACCCUCGAUGGGCAGGGGGCCUCAGGACAAAGUAACUAGAUACCCCCGUCAUUGAACCCUAGGAAAGGCAUUGAGUGGGGUGGCCCUGUAUCAGUUUUUGCUAGAAACAGACCUAUGAGACGGAUAACGUGAGUGGAAGGACCCACCGGGGAAGCUGGUCCUAACUACGAACACCUAUGCCUUGAAGGCUACGAGAAUGGUCAGCAGUGGAACAUAUGGUCCGAGUGGGUGGUCCAUAUGGGCCACGGUACACCCUAAGAUCAGAUAAAAGUAGUUAGUAUAGUGGUGUAAGUGUUAUUUCUUGGACUAGCAGUCAAGGUUCGAGUCUUGCUAUCCCUAUUUUUUGUUUCUUUUCUUGAUAUUUUUUUGACACACCCUAAGCAUAGCUGCUGGGUCCGCCACUGUCCAAAACCCAUCUCUACGGAACGACCGCUAGCAAAGACGAACCACAAGACACGACGCAAAAAACCCUGAUGGCGUUUAUUAAACAUAUCUCUGCUUGUACAAUUUUUCUAUAAAAAAUUAAUCCUCUGCCUUUUCUCUUUAGGAAACAUGAAAAAGCGAGCAAUCACAGGACGGGCGCCGCGUGAUGGGUCCUGUCAACGCUCUCAGGUCUCCGAAGCUCACCAUGUCGCCGACGACUAGAACAUCUCGGGCGAGCUCAACUUCGCUUGAUCGAGUCCUCACCAAGGGGCCGAGCGGCGAUUAAGGCGUGGUGGACCCCGAGCUGGAACGCGACGCCCUCCAGUUCAGGAAUGUGGCCAGAGAUGAGUGUCAUUCGGGGAGUCAGGGCAGACAUUUUCCUCAACUACGAUGACCGCAUACGAGGUCAAUGGUCAUAGCCACACUAGAGCGCUCGGUGUGAAGAGCCCGAAGGCGCUCCACCGCACGAGAAAGCUACUCUAUCACCAUCGUAGGCGAAAAACAGGAAAUCCCAUGAGAAAACUACUAGGUCUAGGAGGGCUAAAAAUUGAGGAUGAAAGAGCAUGAGCCUCACCUUCUAUCAAGAACCCAGAUGAAUGUCCUUCAACAUCACGCACCAGCGACCGUGCUUCGGUAAGACCCAGCUGGGCCCUCAAAGAGCCCUCCCUCGCUUCAAUCGUAGGGAGCUCAGGCCUCGCCAUCUUACCAAGCUCGGACCCCGCCACCACAACUCCCUCAGCAGCCGUACCUUGAGGGGACCAUCUCCCUAGACUGGGAGUUAGAGUGAUGGCACAAGCUCGCCCCCAUAGGCUGCCCUUAGGGCAGGGGAUCUUCGAUUGGGAAAGGCUGCAUGAACAAUAAAAUAAACUCCUCAUGAUAGCAAGAUAGGAAAAGAGACAUGUGGGAUGGCACAAGAGGCUUAUGAACUCGAUGAAGCCUAGGUCAGGGCACAUGGGAGGACACUCGGGGAUAGAACGCAAGGACGAUCGUAACGCCCCAUAUGCCUACUUCUGAACCUCUAGGGCCUGGCUAAGCCAUCAUGCGAUGUCCGAGUCGCUUGGGAGGAUCCUAGUGCCUAGGGAGAAGAGAUCCUUCCCCAUAUGAUCUAGAGGCACAAGUCGGGCCUUUAGAGGAGCCACCCCUUGUUGAAGAUAGACAUUGAUAGUGCCCACUCCUGUAACUCCUUUCUCUCAGAGGAUAAGCACCCCUUCCAGAUUUUUUGGAUUCAAAAUUUCUCUUUAGGUGUAACAUCGCGACUACAAUUAAAGGGAGCCUAUGACGGGAUGCUCCGGUCGAUGCCAAGAAGCUACAGCCCAGGCAAGGGCCCUUGACUGACGUCUCGUGGGUAAAACCAUCACAUGUGCCAACCCUUAUUACAUAAGGAAAGGGGAAUCAUGAUAUACUCAUGCGACCUCCCGCUGCGAAGGCAGAUACUAGGGCACCCGACCGCCCAUGCUUCCAUUGUUCUUUGCUCUUUCUUCUUCCGUAACAGUUCGACACAAAAGAAGUAUCGCCAUAAGGUGAGAUUGGGCUCGACACUUAGAUGCCUUUCGCACAAAGCGAUAAAAGCAGCUAUGUGCUAAAUCCCAUUCAAAUUCAAAUAUUGAAGUUGCAGCUGCAAAUACUUGAAGAGGGUCACGAUGAAAGUGAAAGGGAAAUGUGCCUUUGGGCCAUUUCUAUAAGUGUUUUGGUGAUUAGAUGCCCAACACAUAUUGAUUGAGUUCUCAUGUGCUAAAUGAGUGAGAAGUGCAAAUCAAAGAACAAGGUAUGUUUCUAAACUUAGUGAAUUGUUUUUGAAUACUAACGUGUUUAUAUAAGUGCUAGAAACAGUGCCAAGAAAAGAGUUUGAGAAGAUAUGGCUCAGUGCAGCAAAAACCAGCUCCAGCCGAGCACACCGGACUGUCCGAUGGUGCACCGGACAGUGACCGGUGCCCCAGGCUAGGCCGGCUGUGAACUGGCCACUCUCGAGAAUCGGCCGAGCAACUUGGAUAAAAAUCACCGGACUGUCCGGUGGUGCACCGGACAGUCUGGUGAGUCUUUAGCGCCCGCGCCCAAGUCUUCAGCGACGAACUCGUCGUUCUCGGGAAAUGGAAAAGGCACCACAGCUAUAAUUCACCGAACUGUCGGGUGGUUCACCAGACUGUCCAGUGAGCCAACGGCGCUUGCAGCCAACGGUCGACCGCACAAUCAGCGGGCGACGUGUGGCCCGCGCCAACGGUCAGUUGGGCUCACUGGACUGUCCGGUGUGCACCGCACAGUGUCUGGUGCGCCAACGGGACCGUUGGCUCAACGGUAGGAUGCGCCAGAUAAAGAAGGAGAUCGCGCACCGGAGAGCUAUAGGACCUGUCUGGUGCACCACUCGAAAGUUGAUCUUCAACGGCUCCUAGCUGCCUUGGGGCUAUAAAAGGGACCCCUAGGCGCAUGAAUGUAAUAUCCACUUUGUAAGAAAAGUCUAAAAAGAGAAAUUUCAUUCCUUUAUAUAUUUGUGAGUCAUCUAUGUGCAUCAUCUCAUGUGGACACCCUACUUAACAAGAAUAAAUGGGUAACAAAAGACACUCAAAUAACUUGUGCAUCCUUUGGAGUUUUGUUUGCUUGUGCAUUAAAAUAAUAACAAUGAUAAUUCUAGAAAAAAAAUAACAAUGACUUGAAAUGAAGUUUGAACCCUAAAUUGGAAUUAGGGUUUUGAAAAUAAGAAGAAGGAAGAUGAUAUAAAAAUAAUACAAUUAUAUUUCUAAAAUAGGUACCCUUAAUUUCAGAAAAAUAGUAGAGAAUAAAUUUGGCAUAAAUUCGAAUUUAAAUUCGAAUUCAAAUUAAACUUAGAAAAACAGAAAAGAAAAUAAAAAGGAAACGAAACUCAUUUGGGCUGCCGUACCUCAAUUGGGCCCAUUAAGUCUUUCCCUCCACGCAGCCCAGCUCCCACCGCGGCGCCGACAGGCGGGACCGCCUUGUCAGCCGCACGACCCAAGCCCAGUUUCUUCUCGCCGUGCUCUGGCUGACACGCGGGCCCAGGAAACCAGCCGAUUGACACAAGCGUCGCGCGGCCCACUCUAUCACUUCCGCGUGGGACCCGCUGGUCUGCGCGAGCUCCACCUCCGCGCGUCCAUGGCGCUGACCGCAACCACCUACGCGGAAUUCUGGGUCGGCCAAGCUCGGACUCCGCCGCUAUGCUAUAAAACUGAGGCCGAUCCCCCUAGCAACAGCUCCCAUGGUUGCGCUGGUGGACAAGCGCCUGUCACCCAGGAAUUUCUCAACCGAAACCCACGACCACCGUCGACCGCACGCAGCCGUGGUCCGCCCGCCUGUGCGCAUAAUCCUCGGUAUGGUUCCCUCAAUCGCGUUCGCUUUUGUUCCCGCAUCGUGUAAAGCCAUUUGGAUUAGAGGAAUAGAGUUGUUAGGGAGGGGGGAUUUGUUGCCGGACUUGUGCUCCCGCUGCUCGUCGUGGGUGUGCGUCGGUGUUGCGCGAAUUCCGGUGAUGGUUGGACCAGCGCGUUCGGGUGGGUUUGGGCAUCGCGUAUAAGUCAUGGGGGCCCGGGAUUGUAACUAGGGCGCCGGAUUCACUCGCGCCGGCGAGCUCACCACCGCCUGGGUGGGUGGCGCCACCGUCGGGCCGCGCUGGGAGGAAGACAGACCUAGGCCAUCAGAUCCGAAUCGUGAGGAUGGGAUUAGAUCCAGUAGGGGCGGGUGUAUGGCCGUUGGAUUAGGAUUGUGUGGAUCAGGGCGCAUGCCAGUAGGGUGAUGUGGUCUUCUGAUCUGAACCGUAGAUCUAGAUCCGAGGGCCACGGAUGGAUAUCGGCUUCAUUAAAUCCUUACCCUUGAUCUUAGAUCCAGUGGCCGUAAUCGCAUACCUCUUCAUUUAUUGGCGAUCUGAUCCGGACCGUCAGAUCUGGAUCGUGCGGCCCUAGAUCCCCGAUACCCAUUCGCCGUGUACAUUUAUUAAAGAGUCCCUCUGUUUUCGGAAAACCAACCCGCGGUCCUCGGGAACUAUUCUCUGUGUCUGGAGAUUCUUACCCCGAGCCCCCUGUGCUUCACAGAAAUUGAGGCCCAGUCCAGAGAUCGUUUAAAUUGAAUAAAUGAAAUAGAAAAUAGUUUUUUAAUAGGAAAAUAAUUGCUAUAACUUCGAUAAUUCAUAGAAAAUGCAUAUGAACUCCAAAUUACUUCAUUCUAGUUCCUAAAAUUUUGUAAUUUUAUUCUCUAGCACUUAGUGUCUCUGUUUUAUCAUGACAACAGUAAGAAAAUUAAUCCCACACUUAAUCCUAUUUUAAACACAUAAAACCUUUGUAAAUUCAUAUCUUAAAAUCUAUAGCUCCAAAAAUUUCUAUUCCUAGGAUUUUAUUUUAAUAUGUAGAUUAUUACUGUGCAUCUUGUUUAUAUGUUUGGUGUGAUGUUAAUUUCUCUAUAUACACUGUGCUUGUUUGUAUUGUGGCGAGUAGAAGAGCCCGUUACUGAGGAUCCUGGUGAGCAGCAGGUUGAAGUAGCUGAGCAGGAGCUCAUUAAAGGCAAGUUGUGCCCUUGACCACUUUUUACCUAAUAAUGUUCCUUAAUAUCACUUACUCAUGCAUAGGUUAAUUUUGAUGGGACCCAAUAGGUUACCCUAGAUUGUUUAUCUCAUUACCUUGUUUACCCCUGAAUCACUUGGGUAGUUUGCUAUUGCUUUACAUGAAUUUGGGUAUAAUUAUUUAUCAUAUCUUUGUUCCAGUUAUUUUGUUAUUCUAUUUAUGUUCAUGUCAAGAUCAUUAAUGUUAAUUGGAACAUAGAGCUUAACUUGAGAAACACGUGCCACCACAAGGGUUUAUGGACGCCCUUGGCUGAUUAAUUAGGAAAGCUAGUGGAGGACUACCUUACCCGAAAGGGGCAAGGGCAGUAGGGGAGUGGUCAGUGUAGGGAGGUCCUUGGUUGAUUUUGCUGCGAUGGCGGUCAGACAAGAACCCUGCAUUGGAGCUUCCUAUAAACUGUAGCGGGUUUUCUGAAGCUAGUGGAACUUUGUAAAGGCCUCGUAGUGUUACCCUGCCUCGCCUCCUCGGUAGAGGUGUAUGGGAAGUCGCGAUCCCUUGGCAGAUGGGUAACAUGACUUGUGGGUAAAGGGUACCACCUCUGCAGAGUGUAAAACUGGUAUACUAGUCGAGCUCACGGUCAUGAGCAGCUCAGGACUCUCUGAUGAUUAACUUAUGGAACUAAAUUCAAUUUGUCAUAUGCAUUGCAUCGCAGGUGAUGUUGUUACUUUUGUUCUACUACUUAAUUGGGUUGGUAUUUACUUAUACUUAGUAAUUGCUAAUAAAAUUUUGACCAACUUUAAAAGCAAUGCUCAGCUCUAACCAUCCUCUUUGGUAAGCCUUACACUUCACGUGAGCUCCCACCUUUGGCGAGUUCAUGCACAUUAUUCCCCACAACUUGUUGAGCGAUGAACGUAUGUGAGCUCACUCUUGCUGUCUCACACCCCCCCACAGGUCAAGAACAGGUACCGCAGGAUGAGGCACAAGGAGGAUGCUGCGAUGAGUUCGUGAGAGAUCUAGGUCGUCGUCUCCCAGUCAACUUUGGGUUGCUGGACCGUUGUCUCCUUAUAUGUAAUUAUUUAUUUUGUAUAGAACUCCUAUUAUAUAGUAAAAUUGUGACAUUCGAUCCUGUGCCAUGAUUCAUCAUAUGUGUGAGACUUGGUCCCAGCACACCUGGUGAUUAUGUUCGCGCCCGGGCUUUGGGCCCCUAAAACCCGGGUGUGACAGAAGUGGUAUCAGAGGAAUGUUGACUGUAGGACGAAACCUAGAUAGAACUGGACAACCCUUAUGUACUUACCUCUGCUACUCUGAUUCUUUUCUAAACUUAUCUUAAUCUUUUCUCAUCUAAUUCCGCUUACUCUGAUUAUUCUUAUCUUUUCUUUCUAAAGACAAAUGUGGAUUUCACACUUUGAAAUCCUGUACCUAAAGUGACCUUUAGGAAUAGGAGACCUACUCCUAGAAACAAAAACAAAAGUAUUUUCUUUGUAUCUAUACGCUUGAGUGUUUGUUCUUAUGAUAAUUGUCUGAUUUGGACCUUUGAUUGAGUGUGAAUAGUUUUGGAAUAAUGUCCACAAUUACAUCUGUAUAUACAUAUAGGCAUAAAUAUAAAUAAAUAAAAUUCAUGAGAUAACUAAACAACUUAGAUUAUCCAACAUUAAAGUGUAUCUAUUUUAUAUAGAUCCCUCUUAUCUCAAAAGAAUCACUCUUACUAUAUUGGAUCCCUCUUAACCUAAAGGAAUCUAUCUUAUCUUAAAUGAUCCGUCUUAUCUUAAAAGAUUCUCUCAUAUCUUAAUUGACCUAUCUCAUCUUAAAAGAUUCUUUCUUACCUUAAUUGAUUUGUCUUAUCUCAAAAAGAUUUUGUCUUAUUCUUAGAGACUUAUCUUGUCCUAAUAAUCAUACUUAUCCUAACCACUUUGCUUAUAUCAUAAUAGUGUAGCACACAUGAUCUAUUCCAAAAUAAAUUAAGUGGAUCUUAUCCAGUCUAAUCUAGUUAUAUCCAAUCUAACCUAUACCCUACCUCAUCUGAAGAUCUGUUUCUACUAAAUGAAGCCCAACAAGAAGGUUAACCUCGAAAAUGAAGGAUACAAGUAAAAAAAUAUCUUCGGAUGAAUCAUGAUCCACUAUCCAGAAUAAAUGUUUCUGUUACCUAACUUUUCCCCAAGUCCUCUUUAUACUCACCUAGCAUCAAACAAUAUUUUGACCUACAUCAUGUAGUCAUGUAGUCCAUCUCAUCCAUAACUAUCUUAACCAUAUUCCCCAACUCCGAUAAAACACACACCUCAAAUCAGUGAGACCAAGACUGGAGAAGAAAAGAUCGACACCGGCAAGGAAGGACAUUAUAAUCAAAGCGAAUCUCAAGAUGACUCAAGACUUAAACAGUUCGGAUGAAGUAUUUUCCUUACCAUAACCUUUCUUACCUCAACCUGUUCGGCUUACAUCCUACAUAAUAAGUAGCUGGAUACCUAUGGUCUCCACAUCACCUAGUAUUGACUAUAAAAAAAGGAAUAAUAAAGUCUAAUUGACCCAUGUGUUGCUAAUAAAUUAUGCAUCAUGCUGAGAUUUUUGUUUGUGCACAUGUGUUGAUACAAUAUGAGUAUACACCCUUUCCUUACAAAAUCUCGAGGACGAGAUUUCUGUUAAGGGGGGUAGGAUUUGUAAUAUCCACUUUGUAAGAAAAGUCUAAAAAGAGAAAUUUCAUUCCUUUAUAUAUUUGUGAGUCAUCUAUGUGCAUCAUCUCAUGUGGACACCCUACUUAACAAGAAUAAAUGGGUAACAAAAGACACUCAAAUAACUUGUGCAUCCUUUGGAGUUUUGUUUGCUUGUGCAUUAAAAUAAUAACAAUGAUAAUUCUGGAAAAAAAUAAUAACAAUGACUUGAAAUGAAGUUUGAACCCUAAAUUGGAAUUAGGGUUUUGAAAAUAAGAAGAAGGAAGAUGAUAUAAAAAUAAUACAAUUAUAUUUCUAAAAUAGGUACCCUUAAUUUCACAAAAAUAAUAGAUAAUAAAUUUGGCACAAAUUCGAAUUUAAUUCGAAUUCAAAUUAAACUUAGAAAAACAGAAAAGAAAAUAAAAAGGAAAAGAAACUCAUUUGGGCUGCUGUACCUCAAUUGGGCCCAUUAAGCCUUUCCCUCCAUGCAGCCCAGCUCCCACCGCGGCGCCGACAGGCAGGACCGCCUUGUCAGUCGCACGACCCAAGCCCAGUUUCUUCUCACGGUGCUCUGGCUGACACGUGGGCCCAGGAAACCAGCCGAUUGACAUAAGCGCCGCGUGGCCCACUCUGUCACUUCCGCGUGGGACUCGCUGGUCUGCGCGAGCUCCACCUCCGCGCGUCCAUGGCGCUGACCGCAACCACCUACGCGGAAUUCCGGGUCGGCCAAGCUCGGACUCCGCCGCUAUGCUAUAAAACUGAGGCCGAUCCCCCUAGCAACAGCUCCCAUGGUUGCGCUGGUGGAGAAGCGCCUGUCACCCAGGAAUUUCUCAACCGAAACCCACGACCACCGUCGACCGCACGCAGUCGUGGUCCGCCCGCUUGUGCGCAUAAUCCUCGGUAUGUUUCCCUCAAUCGCGUUCGCUUUUGUUCCCGCAUCGUGUAAAGCCAUUUGGAUUAGAGGAAUAGAGUUGUUAGGGAGGGGGGAUUUGUCGCCGGACUUGUGCUCCCGCUGCUCGCCGUGGGUGUGCGUCGGUGUUGCGCGAAUUCCGGUGAUGGUUGGACCAGCGCGUUCGGGUGGGUUUGGGCAUCGCGUAUAAGUCACGGGGGCCCGGGAUUGUAACUAGGGCGCUGGAUUCACUCGCGCCGGCGAGCUCACCACCGCCUGGGUGGGUGGCGCCACCGUCGGGCCGCGCUGGGAGGAAGACAGACCUGGGCCAUCAGAUCCGAAUCGUGAGGAUGGGAUUAGAUCCAGUAGGGGCGGGUGUAUGACCGUUAGAUUAGGAUCGUGUGGAUCAGGGCGCAUGCCAGUAGGGUGAUGUGGUCUUCUGAUCUGAACCGUAGAUCUAGAUCCGAGGGCCACGGAUGGAUAUCGGCUUCAUUAAAUCCUUACCCUUGAUCUUAGAUCCAGUGGCCGUAAUCGCAUACCUCUUCAUUUAUUGGCGAUCUAAUCCGGACCGCCAGAUCUGGAUCGUGCGGCCCUAGAUCCCCGAUACCCCUUCAUCGUGUACAUUUAUUAAAGAGUCCCUCUGUUUUCGGAAAACCAACCCGCGGUCCUCGGGAACUAUUCUCUGUGUCUGGAGAUUCUUACCCCGAGCCCCCUGUGCUUCACAGAAAUUGAGGCCCAGUCCAGAGAUCGUUUAAAUUGAAUAAAUGAAAUAGAAAAUAGAUUUUUAAUAGGAAAAUAAUUGCUAUAACUUCAAUAAUUCAUAGAAAAUGCAUAUGAACUCCAAAUUACUUCAUUCCAGUUCCUAAAAUUUUGUAAUUUUAUUCUCUAGCACUUAGUGCCUCUGUUUUAUCAUGACAACAGUAAGAAAAUUAAUCCCACACUUAAUCCUAUUUUAAACACAUAAAACCUUUGUAAAUUCAUAUCUUAAAAUCUAUAGCUCCAAAAAUUUCUAUUCCUAGGAUUUUAUUUUAAUAUGUAGAUUAUUACUGUGUAUCUUGUUUAUAUGUUUGGUGUGAUGUUAAUUUCUCUAUAUACACUGUGCUUGUUUGUAUUGUGGCGAGUAGAAGAGCCCGUUACUGAGGAUCCUGGUGAGCAGCAGGUUGAAGUAGCUGAGCAGGAGCUCAUUAAAAGCAAGUUGUGCCCUUGACCACUUUUUACCUAAUAAUGUUCCUUAAUAUCACUUACUCAUGCAUAGGUUAAUUUUGAUGGGACCCAAUAGGUUACCCUAGAUUGUUUAUCUCAUUACCUUGUUUACCCCUGAAUCACUUGGGUAGUUUGCUAUUGCUUUACAUGGAUUUGGGUAUAAUUAUUUAUCAUAUCUAUGUUCCAGUUAUUUUGUUAUUCUAUUUAUGUUCAUGUCAAGAUCAUUAAUGUUAAUUGGAACAUAGAGCUUAACUUGAGAAACAUGUGCCACCACAAGGGUUUAUGGACGCCCUUGGCUGAUUAAUUAGAAAAGCUAGUGGAGGACUACCUUACCCGAAAGGGGCAAGGGCAGUAGGGGAGUGGUCAGUGUAGGGAGGUCCUUGGUUGAUUUUGCUGCGAUGGCGGUCAGACAAGAACCCUGCAUUGGAGCUUCCUAUAAACUGUAGCGGGUUUUCUGAAGCUAGUGGAACUUUGUAAAGGCCUCGUAGUGUUACUCUGCCUCGCCUCCUCGGUAGAGGUGUAUGGGAAGUCGCGAUCCCUUGGCAGAUGGGUAACAUGACUUGUGGGUAAAGGGUACCACCUCUGCAGAGUGUAAAACUGGUAUACUAGCCGAGCUCACGGUCAUGAGCAGCUCAGGACUCUCUGAUGAUUAACUUAUGGAACUAAAUUCAAUUUGUCAUAUGCAUUGCAUCGCAGGUGAUGUUGUUACUUUUGUUCUACUACUUAAUUGGGUUGGUAUUUACUUAUACUUAGUAAUUGCUAAUAAAAUUUUGACCAACUUUAAAAGCAAUGCUCAGCUCUAACCAUCCUCUUUGGUAAGCCUUACACUUCACGUGAGCUCCCACCUUUGGCGAGUUCAUGCACAUUAUUCCCCACAACUUGUUGAGCGAUGAACGUAUGUGAGCUCACUCUUGCUGUCUCACACCCCCCACAGGUCAAGAACAGAUACCGCAGGAUGAGGCGCAAGGAGGAUGCUGCGAUGAGUUCGUGAGAGAUCUAGGUCGUCGUCUCCCAGUCAACUUUGGGUUGCUGGACCGUUGUCUCCUUAUAUGUAAUUAUUUAUUUUGUAUAGAACUCAUAUUAUAUAGUAAAAUUGUGACAUUCGAUCCUGUGCCAUGAUUCAUCAUAUGUGUGAGACUUGGUCCCACCACACCUGGUGAUUAUGUUCGCGCCCGGGCUUUGGGCCCCUAAAACCCGGGUGUGACAAUGAAGCAACACACCAAACAUUCACUAAGCAUCCUAAGACUCCCAGACUCCGCCUCCAUGCAUUUGAUUUGUUGUGUUAGUGAUUUGAGCUCCGUUCGAGUUGUGAACUCCAUGUCCUGUGUUUCUUGCUCAAGUCUUGGCUUGUGUGCGUAUGUGUGCUGCGGAUUCAAGUCUUGUGUGCGUUGCUUUCCCUCCCAUACUGUGCUUCUUUGUGAUCUAUAUUGUAAGGGCGAGAGGCUCCAACCUGUGGAGAUUCCUCGCAAACGGGAGAAGAACACCAAAAAAAGACCAUGGUAUUCAAGUUGAUCAUUGGAUCACUUGAAAGGGGUUGAGUGCAACCCUCAUCCAUUGGGACGCCACAACGUGGAAGUAGGCAAGUGUUAUACUUGGCCGAACCACGGGGUAAAACACCGUGUCUCUUGUGCUGCUUUCCUCUGUGAUUGUUUUGUUCGCAAGAGCUCGCUUCAUAGCAACUUGAUUAACUCGCACUAACACUUUUAUAAUCAAGUUUGUGGCUAUUUAGUGUUUUGAUUUCACAGGAUCACCUAUUCACCCCCCUCUAGGUACGAUGCUCUCAGAAAGGAUGAUGAGGGAAGGUGAGGCCUUGCUCGUGGAAGCAAACAGACGAAACCAUAUAACCGAGAGGUGGCAUCAUGGCCUCCUCAAUGCUCAGAAUCAGCCAUCCGUCGUCGUCAAGUAGAGCAUGUCGUCGAGGGCCCAAAGGUUCUACGCUAGUCCGCCAUAGGAAGCGCGAAGGACAACCCGUGUACGAGAAGGAUAGGCCAAGCGAGGAAGACAAGGAACAAGGGAACCGAAAGCACGAUGGAGAAUAUAGGUAGUGUAGAACAAUUAAAUAAAAGUCAUUCUGUGAAACCCUACCGAUCAGUGCUAGCAGAGAUGACCUGACAGAUGAGGAAGCAGGCCUGACCCACCAUCAUGUUAGGCCUCAGGCUACGCCAUCGCCCUGAGGCAGAGGCACGAGUAAGUUAUUUCCAUGUGCAUAAUAAACAGGGGGACACAAAGGUAAAAGUCACUAAGGUGGGAUUUCUCCCGGAUUACAUCGUCCUCUACAUGAAGGUACCCUGAGUCCCAUGGUGCCACAAUUCUAGGCUCGAGGGUUGAACGCGUGGCCAGACACCCAAAAAGAGGGGAAACUACGACUAAGGUAGGGCGAAAAGCUCAUCACUCCUCUCUCCCAUUCUAACACCUGGUGCAACUACAAGAGCAGAAGCCCAUGCCAGGGAACCAAAAGGUGGACACCAAAGUAGGCCGUAAGGCACCCAUCGAAUCAGAUCCUCCGAGGAUAAGGCGCCGAUGAUCCCACCAGCGGUCUCGCCAUAAUCCUAGAUCAGGCUCUCGAAGGCCGCGAAUGAAGCACCUAGGGAAGGGCCAUUGAAGCACGAAGAUAAAUCCCAGUGCGGAACUGGGCAAUGGCAAAUGCAACAAUGGAUCCAUGGUGAAUGUCGUGUUCCACGACAUUUCGGACAUGACUCGGGAUGUCGAGCAAGCGCUGCAGACGGGUCGCCCUGCAGGCACGGUUGCUCCAAGUCACCACAUCGAUCUCCUAGCGAAGCUCCACCAGCUCGGCCUCCUACACUGAUUAGGAACAAAAAAGGUAUAAAGGUCUGAGCAUCCCUGGAGAGUGGGGAGUGAUGAAGAGCGAAGCAAAUAGCUUACUCGACUCGUGGGCCUCCACAACGUCUAACCGCGCUUGGAGGCCCGCGGUGUCCUCACAACCGAUCGAGAUGCCUCCAGUCUGCCCCGUAACUCGGCCAUCGCUAGCAGUAGAAGGGCCAAGGUUCCGACCCCGCGGGGUGACAGGUGGGGGAGGGAGCUGCGACAACUCGCCUCAAUAGGAUGACAUGGCUGAGUUGGGGGCUGGCACCGAUCAGCCUUAUGGACACCACGGGACGACCAACGAUGGUUGGCGCAUUGGAGGCAUCGUACGCCAGGGAUGAUGGCUUGGGCUCACCGCCGCUAGGGCCAGCCCUUGAUUCUCCAUUCGGAGAGGUCGAGGGGGAGGACGAGAGCGAUAUGACUUCUCCUGUAACGCUUGAGCCCAGCACCCGACGAACAAAACCAGUCACCAAGAUGACAGAGGAGCAAGAAAAAGGACAAGUUCCUAGAAACCACCCACCUUUCUCGUGGCAAGCGACUCUUGGAACGACCUUAGUGAGGAUACUCUAGAGCGGGACACUUGCCAUGGUUCAUGGUCAGCUGGGAGGAUCCUAAAGGGUUUUAGACAGUGUUACCCUCUUAACAGAAUGUUGUUCUUAGGAAGCAAGGGAGCGACGAUUGAAAUCAGUUGGGGGAAGUGCAGAGGGACCCUUUACUUAUAGCGCCUGACUGGAUCUCGGAAGCCAAUAGCGGGCCUCACGAGCCUCUCCAACUAAUUGGUUGCGAGCGACAAAAGGGACAAGACGACGCCAGACCCGGGAGAAGCCCCCGAGGGGAAAUACUAUCCCCCUAGGGGCUCAGGGGCUACUAUCGGGGAUAAGAUCCCUAGUCCCUAGGGCCGAUCGAUCAGCGAGCACGUCCGGGGAAAGCCAAUAGCAACUGGGGCCCAUCGGUCAGCUAGAGGAGGCAGGUAGUGUCUGCCCUGGAGGAACCCACCACUGGACGAGCCCUGCAGCACCAAGCCCGGUGUCGAGAGUGGUAGAGUCUAAUAGGGGGUCGAACAUAGCGAAGGGAAACCACUCGAGUGGAUCCCUCGUCUGGCCCGAGACCGACCCUUCAUCAGUGACCGGCAGCAUUAACUACGUCUCGCGCCGAGCCAUAGCGGAGUUUUUAGUCCGCCUCCCAUUUAUAGCCUACGAGCCACUCAGACCAUGAGCACUCAUGACCUUUGAACUGCUCGGACUGCGACACAUUUAUGGCCCACACACCCCCACCUACGACGCACUCAUGACCUACCAGGACUAGGCCUGAGUGCGCAGACCUCUGGCAGUGCACAACACAACGAACCGCGCCUAGCCCUAGGCUAUGAAGGCCAGGGGUUGACAUAGCCCGAAUGAUGGCGCUCGGACCCCACGUUGUCCGCGUUGCUCGCCAUAAAGAGUACAAGACAGCCAAUCGACCACGAGCACGCGUGGCUUUACCCCAUGGUAGAACUAUCGGUUUUACUGUCGUCCGUUGGCUCUUUAUUUAGGCAGUCGUUGUUGGCCGACCCCCUUCUUGGCCUAUAAAAGGAGGAGGACGACCCGAGGCUCCAUGUUGGACGGGCACAACCUGAAUCCCCUGGCUAGGAUUCGGGCCCCGGGCACACGAUAGACGCAAGGAUGAACCCUAGACGAGAAGAUGCUUAGAAGGACCGACGGACAGGAGGAGGACCCAGAGGCCGGAGUCCACCACCAAACCAAGACUUAGCUAGGACUCCAUUUUGUAACCAACUCCACCACGAAUAAGAGACUUGGGAGCCUCUCCUCUCUCUCUAUCGCCUGCUUGUAUCUCGUACUAUGAGUUUUGAUCAUCAAUGGUGUCGGUAGUGCAAGUCGUCGAUGGCUGGAAGUAGGGAUAUUCUGCUCGAACCAGUAUAAAUCUUGCGCCUACCGUGCACACCGUCCGAAGCCUGGAACGCACACAACAAAUUUACUUGUCGGAGUAAGGUUCGAAACACCGACAUUAUUAUUUAUCUUUUUUUUUGCAUCGUGCCAGGUAAGAUUUAACUUAGAGGCUCUCUUGGCGGACUCAAGUUUGAAAUAUGAAGACAGCAUGUAUUUUCAUCCUUUAUAAUUUUUCCUUUGUGUGUCUGUGAUAUGAUUUAAUUGAUUGAGACUUAUAUAAAACUCCUGUUGUAUCUCUUUAUAUAUAAAUAAACUUAUAUAAGCUGCCUUUAGUUGAUCGAAACAUGUUUAAUUGUUAUGAGUGCGGCAUACCUACGGCAAAAUGAACUAAAAGGUGAUGGUUAUGCAUGAAUACAUUUUCAUCAUUUAUACACCUUACAGUAAAAAUUUGCGCAUUCAUCACAAAGCAUGCGCGCUCCACCAAAUAUCUACCCUGAUGAGAGAGGAGAGAUAAGGACGUGGAACCAUAGAAGAAGAUGAGCAUGACAUUGUCGAUACUACAUGAUUGGUCCCUGUCACCAUAUAGCUAGCAGAUAACAUUAAUUAUAGUGAUUAUGACAUUAUAUGGUACGAUUAACAAGUUUAGGGACUUGGUAUAUGUACUCAAAAACGUUAGGAAUCCAGAUGACACUCAGCGUUGGCAACUCUAUUUUUUAAAGAGAUUUCUAUUUUCUCAAAAGAAAAUAAACUAAUUUUGCUUUGAAAAAUUAAAUUUCCUUUAUAAAAAAUAAGGUUGCCAAACUAGCCACGGGAACUUUAUUUUCUAAAAAAAAUCUAUUUAAAAAAUGAACUAAUUUUCGUUGAAAAAAUAAAAAUCCAUUGAGAAAAUAAGGUUUCCAUACUCGUCCUUAAACGUCAAAUCUAAUGUCUCUCGGGACGGUGGACCCCUACGUACAGCUCGGCACAACGUGUUGCCUUGCCGCUCCUUUCCUACUCUCAUGAUGGCGGUAGGCGUAGGAACGUCGAACAUUGCGAACACUCGUACACACGGGAACGUGGACCUUGCCGCGGCAGAUGGCAGACGUGUGCCGCAUGCGGAAAAAGAAAAUGGCAACAGGCAAGCACACGUCCGGUCCAGUUCAGCUCCCUAGGCCAUACCUACCGAGCAGCAGAGAAUCCAAAGCUUGGCGCUAGGGUCCCUGCAGUCGAUCAACUGGUCCAGGCCAACUCUUUCAUCAACCUCAAUAUAUUUAUAGAUAUCCAUCAUACAAGUUGAUUUCGGGAUGGAAGACGAGAUUCGGUACAUAUAUUAGAAAAAAAACGCUGGCCGGACGCCGCGCCACAGAUCGACGUACAGGGCAGGGAGACUGGGGUCCAUCGAUCCCGUGCACCAGCUCUGAUUGGUUGUUAUUUUUUGUCAGUGGUAAUUGUAUAUUAAAGCACCCUAUCGUAUCUGUCUAAACGCUGGAUUAAACACGGGGCAUGUACAGUGGAGAGACACCAAAACGGUUCUCUAAGCACAGGAGACAACUAAGAGACUCUAUUGUACAAUGGAGUGUCUCUAAACGUAGUCUAUUAAUAAAUACAGAAUUAAAUGUAUUUGUAUAGCAUCAGAUCGAUAGAACAGACGACAAAUUCGUACAGUGGUAAGUGAGGCGUCUGUUGUUACUUGGUUUACGAGCCAGAGGCGUCUCUUCACGGAGAGACGGCUCUAAGAUUUUUUUGCAAAUAACCCCCUAAAACACCUUAAGAGCCUUCACAUUAAACACCACUGUACAUGCCCUAAUCAUGUCCCACUGGGUCGUCAACCAUUUCCGUCUCACGAUCUGCCAUUACUGUUUUGUUUUUUGUUUUUUUGCGAUCGAGAGACUGAUGGGAACCGCUGAACGAAGCGCCGCUUGGCAUAUACGGCAAUACCCUACAGCUCCCACAAGCGAAAUGAUUUUAGUGAUGGUGUGUUGAUGAAAGACGCUUAAGGUUUUUAGUUUGUUCCACUAAAAUUUAGUGGUUAGGAAUAAAGAUUUUAAUGGAAAAGAACCCUCCACGAGCUUCUUUUGACGGCUAUUCAUAUAUAAUCCUAUAUUCCAGAUAUAGACUGUCAAAAUGAAUAUUUGUCACUCUACAUGACUUCAAACUAAAACCUUGUCACCUACACUAUUUAUUAUUCUAAAUUAUAAUAUAUUUUGUUUAUUCACAUCCAUAGCUUUUUACUAUACAAUAUAUAUAUGUUAUAUCUAUAUAAAAUACUCGCUCUGUCCGAAAUUAAAAUUUGUAUUAUAUAAAAUACCCGCUAACCUGUGACAUGUUGAGUUCAAUAAAUUUAUCAUGCUGGAUACAAAGAUAAUAUGUUAUUUUAUUAUAUUCCAUUUUUUAUGAAGUAUUGAGCUUCAAAUUUUAAUAUUUAGUACUUACUUUUACGAUUCAAAUGAUCAUGUCUACUAUAAUAUUUAGGGGUAUGGUACCCUAUGGAUACCCUCUACCUAUGGUGUGUAUGGGUUACUUUUCUACUCAUGAUAAGUAGUGGGUACAUGUAAUAUGAUAUUUUUUUAUCUGGUAGGUAUAAGUAUGGCUUUGUGUGCCCAUCGGAUAUCUUGCCCACCACCAUCCCUAGUAAGAGGCAAUGAUGCAUAGUAUUAUUUUUUAUAAACUAAUGUUUUAAUUUCUAAGCCUUUGUUAUUGAAUGUAAUAGCAAUAUUAAUUACACCGAUAAAAUGCACUACUAGCUCUUUAUCAGACAUACGGCUCAAUGUCGAGGGUUUGAGUUCCAUUUUUCAGUAAAAGAAUCGUCAAAAGUGCGCUCAAAUAACUGACUGAAGCUAAUGAUAAACAAGAUAAGAUUCGCGCAUAUUAAGUGAGAGAAGCCUUGUUGUCAUGACUUGAAUCGACUCGUAGUUUAUAUUGAGAGUAGCACUAACUCGGUUCUCGAAUAUUUAUGAAUCGCUAGUUUAUUUUUUCAACUAAAACACAACAAUAAAAAAGAACUGAGGAUUAGUAGUAGCAGCAGCUAGCCGGAAAGUGCGUGGUGCUCGACCCAGCAGACGGGGAUAGAUGGGGACCAAGCACCCGUACCGUACGUGUCUGUCUGCUCUGUUCAUCGCGUGAUGGCGUAGGGUAUGGAUAAUCGUACGCGCGAACGUGGAUCUCGCCGCGACAUGCCACCAACCACUGGGGGACGUGUCUGGCAAAUUAUUGGAUGGAGACUUGGGCGUACGUCCCAGCACAGAGCUCGUGCGCCGCAUGGGGACGUGGUAUGGCAACAAACACGUUACGUUAGACUAUCUCUCCGAUCCACACCUUCUGAGUUCUGACGCUAGGGCAGCAGAAUUUGGAGCUCCUUUUUUUUUUAACCAGCAAUCAACUGCUCUCCAGGCCGACUCUCAAUAUACUCCAUGUGCCAGCUCUGAUCGGUUGUUAUAUGUUUGCGUUUAUCUAGAUCUAGCACUAUUACCGAAAAAAUAAAUCUAGAUCUAGUAUUACUCCUUCCGUUCCAGAAUAUAAGUCGUAAUUACUUUUUGUUCUUGUCCUACAAUAUAAGGCUUUGUUCGGUCAUAAGGGAAUAAAUCCCACCAUGGAUUUAAUCCGGAUCUGGAUUGAGUGGAUCAAUAUGUCACACUCAAUCUCAUGGUGGGACUAAAUCCAACAUUUAAUUCAUGUAUCUCUCAAAACUAGCUAUUUUUUUGAUCCAUAGAUUUUAAUAUAAACUUGUGCAAUAUCUUCAUGGAUUUGUUCCAUACCUAAUGAGCUAUGGAUAGAAUACAUGCCUUCCAUAGUUUAAAAAAUUCCCAAACCCUUGAGUUAUAAUCCAUGAUGGGUUUAACCGAAUAAAAAAAAUUUGAGUAAGCUUGGACAGUGCCGGUCCUGACAUUUUAGAGACCCGGGGCAAGACUUAUAAUGGAGACCCUUGAUAAUAUUAAUUAUUACACGUAAUUACAGUGCAUAUAUAUAUAUAUAUAUAUAUAUAUUGUUUACAAAUAUUUAUGUAUAUUUGAAAACGUUGUUCAUAUUAAAUACAAAGUAACUAAAAUAUAACAUAACAUCUCGUAGAAAAAUGGGGUAUAUAUGUGUCCAGAUGACUCAAAAGAAGGUUACCUCGAACAAUGAUCAAAUAGAUGUAAUACGUUGUGAGAUCAAUCGAUUAUGUCAUGUUAGUUUCGUGUUCGCUAUGUAGGGAAAGACAAAAGCACUGUCGUACCCAAUGUCGUGUGUUGGCUACCGAGAGGAGAGGGCACGACCGCCUGUCUGUUUGCGACUGAGAGCCUAGGCAGAUGGGCAUGAGACUAAAAAGUACUACUACUAGAAUAUAUAAAUCAAGAUUAAUGGGUUACGUCUAAUUCUCCUUGCUUGUUGUUGCCAUGUUGUUGACUUAUAAUUAAGUCUUUAAAAGUUUUAUAGAGCUAACAUAUAUAUAUAUAUAUACAAUAUACGCUAUAUGGCUGUAUAUAUUUACUGUUAUUUAGUAACUAAAGUGAGGCCCUAUUAAGUUGGGGGCCCUGGUCAGGGGCACUGCUCGACCCCCGCCAUGGCCGGCACUGAGCUUUGAUUAUUUUGGGGUAUGGAUUGUGACAUGGAUUUAAUUCCAAUCCAUGCUAAUACAGAGCUGGAUUGGUGUAAACGAACAAGGCCUAAGACGUGCCCUUUCUAUGCAAGAAUUAAAUAUAUUUCUUAGGAGGUGUUUGAAUAAACUAGAGAUAAUAGUUAGUGACUAAAAUUAGUUGAGACUUCUAAACACUCUAGCUAAUAGUUCACUUGUUCGCUAUUUUUGAUAAAUUAGUUAAUAGUUAGGUAGUUAUUUGUUAGCUAGCUAAUUCCAUUAACAAUUUUUAGUCAACUAAUUAUUAGUUAUAGUGCAUUCAAAAUACCCCUUAGUCUUUAAAUUAUAGGUGGUUACACCUUAUAUACCGGUACGAAGUAAGUAAUAUUUAGACCAGUGAAAGUGAGAUCUACCGUGAAUUUAUCAUAAAACUAUGGAUGUUUGGCCUUACGAUAGGCCUCACAUUCAGUGUCUCGAGGGAAAAAAAAAUAACUUCUAGAUAUUCUUCCUCGAUGGCGUACGCAAGGCGGCACCAGCUGGUACGACGGCACUAAAAGGCGCCUCUCAACUCUCAUGCCCCUUUCUCUCAUCAAGUCAUGUACGAUCUAAAGUAAAGCUAUUUAAACGGUUUUUUAGAUACAAGAUACAACUAAAAUGUUGUAUAAUAUAAAUCUAAACCUUUAGAUCAUUAAUAAAGCUAAAAGAUAUUAUAUACAUAAAGUCUUGAAGAGAUAGACUUUUAGUUAAGAACAUGUCUCUUGAUUUUUUUUCACUAUAUACUAUAAAGACCCUUCAAAAUACCCCAUUUUUUCACUAAAUACUAUAAAGACCCCUCAAAAUACCCCAUUUACUGGUGUUUUACAUGCCGCCAUCACGGUUCAAAGUUUCACACUGCUUCGUAUCUUCUUGGUAAACACGCCACCCUUCUCUAUUAAAAAAUACUCCAUCCAUUCCAAUAUAUAAGCGUAACCACCUUUGAUUUAAAAACCAAGAAAUACAUUUAAUUCUCUCUAUAUCACUACAUCGGUGUACGUGUGAAUAGAGAGAGCACGCCUUAAUUUUUUAGGCAGAGAUGGUUCAAAAUUUUCAUACCCUAAAUUAAGUUCUGUGAAGACAUUUUUAUUUUUAAACAACUUUAGAUUGAAAAAUAAUCAAAAGCAAAGUUAUAAUUUAUUUUUUUAUUUAAGUUUAUUUAUGGUCUCUAAAAUAUUAAUUAGUACUCACUUAAGUUAUUGUAUCAGCCAUUAGGCCAUAAGUGAAACGAUUUUAGUGGUGGAGUGUCUAAGGAAGGACGCUUAAGGUUCUUAGUUUGACCCCUGCGUCGAAAAGCGGUCAUAUUUUGGCCUGUCUCUAGAUUCCAAUUUGUAAAGGCAACUAGGAUUUCCUCUCUGACCUGCCUAUAUAUUUCAGUCUCUAUGAGCAGCGAUUAGGUUUUCGAUGUGUCUAUAUAAAUCGAUUUCUAGCAAAAGAUGGAAAUCACCGGUUUUUAGAGACAUACAAAUAAUGUCGGGUGGAGCAGUGAAAAUACAUUCAAGUUUUCCCUAACAGGGCGUUUGGAUCCCUUCAUUUUAUAGGAAUUAGAAUUCACUCAAUAAAAUAACUUAUUUAGUUUGGAAUUUGACAUUCCAUCACUUUCUAAAGUUUAUAUAUAAGUCUAUGUCAAAUUUAUGUGGUGAGGGAUGAGAAAUGAUUUUAUACAUUAGUAGAAUUUGUUUCUAAUCUGUAACUAGCAUGACACUCUUCGUCAUACUCAUUUAUAGUAAAAAUAUAGCACAUAAACAUCUUUAAUAUCUUGCUAAUAAUAGUAUACAAAUAUAUUUUGUAUAAAACCAAAUUAGCUUAAUUGAUAUAUGUCUAAACUAUUAUUAUUAGGGUAGAAUUCAAUUCCAAUGAUCUAAAGGGGACAUAAGAGCAUAUUCGACGACCUUUCUAAAUUUUACUCUCUAUAAAUCAUUAUUUAGAGAGUCAUUUGAGUAAAAAAUAGGUCUUAUAUAUUUGUAACAACCUUCUUAUAUCUUGUGCGCACUUUAGUGCAACUCCAUGGGUCUCUCUAUAUCCUUUCUAAUGGUUAGGAAUAAACAUUUUAGUGAAAAGUACCCUUCAAGAGCUUCUUUAAAUAUUCAUAGCUUUUUACUAUAAACCAUAUACUCCCUCCGUUCUAAUUUAUAAUUCAUUUGACUUUUUUACUCCAAAUUUGAUCGGCUUGUCUUAUUUAAAAACAUAUUAUUAUUAUUAUUAUUAAUUUUUACUAUGAUAUCGUUUAAUAUAUAAUAUAAUUUAAGUAUGCCUUUGGAUUUUUCAUUUUCCGCAAAAAAAUUGAAUAAGACGAGCCAUUGAAACUUGGUUUAGAAAAUUGAAAUGAAUUAUAAAUUAUGACGGAUGGAGUAUAUAUUAAUAUAUUAUGUACAUAUACAUAAUAAACACUGUAAAUCUAGAGAUACCAUAAAGUCUUACAAUUUACGAUGGAGAAGGUAUAAAGUUGUGGAUUGGGUUGACCACUACAACUUUGGUAUUGACCAUAUCAACAUCCAUGAUCAUUUGAAAAUUUGUAUUUUAAAAUCUAAGAACUUAAAACACAUAUUUUUGACUCUAAAUGAUUUCAAGUCAUAAGCUUGUAAACUACUACCUUCGUUUUCGAAUAUUUGUUGUCCGUUAGUUCAUUUUUGAACUAGAACAUGACAAAUAAAAAAGAGGUAGUAUAAAGUUAUAGAUUGGAUUGGAAUACAGUGUUAAUACCUGGAGUAAUAGAUUUAGGGUCUGUUUGGUUGGGCUGUGGCUGUGGAAAAAGUUGCUGUGGGCUGUGAGCUGUGGAAAAAGCUGCUGUAGGCUGUGUGCUGUUAAAAAGCUAAAAAUCGUUUGGUGGAAACCACUAAAAGUCGUUAAAAGUUCUUCGAUAUAUGUUUUCACAGUUCCAUCCAAAAGCCACUAAAAGCAGGUCCAGGGGUGCUUUCAGUUUUGCACUACGAGAAAGUCGGCUUUUAGAAAAAGCUGCUUCCUGGAUCCAGCCCUUUGGUUGGCGUUUGGCUUUUAGGGGGCAAAAGCCAAAGCCAAAAGCCAAACCAAACACACCCUUAUCAAUUCGUAGUUGAGAGAGAGGGAGUAGUCGGAUGGGACUGGAGGUUGAUCCCCCAGAUGGAGGCCAAGCACCCGUACGUGUAUGUCUGGUGCCCCGCAACUCUCCUGUUCAUAGGGGUGAAAAAGGUCGAAAACGAUUGGUAAACACUAAAACAUUUUUAUUUUCAUAUUUUUUUUCCAGAAACGAGAUUUAAAACAGUAACUCUGGAAACGAAAACAACAUCGAUAAUUCGGAAACAUCUGAAAUGAAAGUUCAGUAUGAAAAUUACACGAUUAUGAUGGUAAAAACGGUAACAUGUACCAUCAAUUGACUUCAAAAAUUCACGCAAGUCAUACAUUUAUAUAAAAUUAGUAAUAAUAUAUAAGGUAGGAGGUCACAAUAAAUAUAUAAGGCAAGAAGUCAUACAAUAAUAAAAUCAUUAUUAUGUAUCUAAAUAAAGUAAAAUCAAGAUGUGUAUAAUGAUGACACUUACAUUGUAAUUGUACUCCUACUACUUGACAUAGUCAAUAUAAUUAGUGUUCUCUUGGUCCUUCUUAAGUUCUCGUGCAAAUUUUGAAUAUAUGUAUCAAAAGUAAUAACAUGUAAGAAAACAUAAAAAAGAUUUAAUAAAAGUUUUUAAGUAGUUCUAAACUAUAUACUAUUAGAUAGAUCUUGAUUUUAGGAAAUUAAUACAAUUAGUGUCAUAUUUUUAUAAGCUAAAAUGAAUCUAUUAUGAAUUUAUAAAGAUUAGUUCAGAUUUAAUAUUUUCUGAAAAACACCGUAUUUAUUACCGAUAAAUACAGAUAAUAAAAUACCGAUUAAAAUGAUAAUUUUUGGAACGGUCGGAACAGACCUGAAUCAUUUCAGUUUCUAAUUCGGAUUUUUUUUAACCAUUUCUAUUUAUAUUUAGACUUAAAUUUUGAUAAAACUUUAUAAACGAUUCCGGUAUAAAAAAUUAUCGUUUCCGUUUUCACGCAUGUUCAUCGCGUGAUGGUGUAUACGGUGUGGAUACUCCGAAACGUACACGUACUAGGGACAUGGCAGCAACCAAAGAUAAUCAAAGAUAUUCUCAACGAUUUUCGGGAACGUGGAUCUCGCUGCGGCGGCAUGGCAAGAACCUCUAGCGACGUGUCCGGGAAAUGAUUGGCCGGAAGUAAGGACUUGGGCGUACGUCCCAACACAGAACUCGUGCGCCGCAUGGGGAAAUGGCAGCAAGCACGUUCGCUCCGAUCCGCACCUUCUGUGCAACAGAUACCCAAAGAUUGGACGCUAGGACCGUGAAAUUUGCAGCUCAUUUUUUUUUACCUGCAAUCAACUGCUCUCCAGGCCGACUCGACUCUCAAUAUAUAUCCAUCGUAUCAGUUGAUGAGUUGAUUUCGAGAUGGAAGACAAUAAACUACUGGAAAAGUAAAUCUAAAUUUAACAUUCACUCCGUACAUAUGUUAUAACUAGGUAGUUGCCCGUACGAUGUCACGGAACACAAAUUGCGAGUCUCCAAUAGACUUAGAGCCCUGACGACAUGCGGCGUGAAUACAAAUUACGUGUGGUAGGGUUUAGAAUGUAUAAAAUGACGGUUUUCUAUUAUCGCAACGAGUCGGCUGAUACCAUAUUUACGUUGAUUUUGGACGAUUUUGACUAAACUGGUACUUAUAGAAGCGAGCUGAAAAGCUGAGCGUUUGACUGUCUGUAGCAGCUUUUGUUGGUCACAAGCUGAAAAAGGUUGAAACAAACAGAUCAUUGUAGCGCUAAAUUGAUUCUCUUCGAAUGUGCCGAAUGUGCGUUCAAUAAACGUGUGAUACUUACUCCAGGACUAAGAGUGCCUUAAUUAACCAUUCACGGAGUAGCUGCACAGUCGCCUUUUUUGUUCAACUUUUUUCUCAUGAUCCUUUUCAGAAUCUAGCUGCAGUGAGAAUUUAGUUAUGAAGUGGUUCCUAAUGCGAGAGUGUAUUGGUGAAGUGGUUCCUGAUGCAAGAGUCGAAGUUACUCAAGGACUGGUACCGACAUCAAUGGAAGGAAUGAAGUGGUGACUGGACAAUAUUUAUUUCUAAGAAACUAUACAAUAGUUCAAGACAAACUCAACAAUAGUUACUGAUAAACAGAAAAAUAGUUCAUGAGAUUGAACAAUAGUUCCUAAGAAACUGAAGAAUAGGUCCUGGGAAACUAUACAAUAGUUCAUGAGAAAAUAAUCUCUAGUUCCUGAGAAACUUAAAAAUAGUUCAGUUGAGACUGAACAAAAGUUCUCGAGAAACUGAAGAAUAGUUCCCGAGAAACUAUAAAUAGCCUCAGUAGUACACAAACUUAGCCAUUUAGAGCCACAAUAUAGAUAGAUUGCUAGUACCUCAUUCACAAAAAGCAGGUUUCUCUUAAACAUAUGCUUUUUAGCCACAACAAGCACACGUACAUAGAUUUAGCUCUCUGUAGUACAAGUGCAAUGCAUUACCUCAUCACUACACUUAAUACAAAAGGAACUACAGUGUGUACGCCGCGGAACUGAUUUCAGAUUCAUAAGUAAAUACAGAAGGAAAAAAAUACAGAACAAUGUGGGUGUGCAUGUUCACACUUAUAUAGAUCAUUACAAUAAUAAGAAGCUAUCCUUCGAAAAGUAAACAAAAGCCUCCCCUGCCCCUACACUAAUUAAGUAAACAAGGCCCAAUAAACAAUUACAACCCUGAGUUAAAAUAAGGGCACCAACUACUAUGGGCACACAGCAAAGUAGUGUAAGUAGUAACACUAAAACUAAAACCUCAGUAAGCCUUAAUACAAUCGGGAAAUACUAAAACGUUUACUCUAAGAAUUAGUCAAUACUAAAAAAUCCUGUUUCAGUCAGUGAGACUCAUUCCGGGGUGAGUCUUAGAGCGUGGAGUCUGCAAUUUGGAUAGUCGAGAGCAGUCGAAUGAAUGGACUAAGAGCAGCUCUAGUGUUGGUAGGAAUCUAACCUCGCGGAUGGAAACUGAACUAUCAACACUGCAGCAGUCAAUCGCUCACUGUCAGUAGCAGAAUUCGACCUCCAAACAUGGCUAUGUGCGAGGGAGUAAAAUAUUCAGCCUUCACUGCUCUGACCUCUUUAGUGCAGUACAAUUUCCUCUUUCUCUUGGCUGUUUUGGAGAUUGAACUCGAUGAGAAAGGAGUAGAUUACACUAUUUUAUUUGGUUGUAGGCUCCACUAAAUCGAACUCAGCAGUGGAGGCGGCGAACUCAGCAGUGGAGGUAGAGGUCGAAGGGAGGGGGAGAUGCCAUCUAGCCACGGAGACACCAUCUAGCUUGACCUUCUUGACUUGUUAUUCGGCGGUGGCUUUUGCGAAGGAAGAAAUUAGAACCAUUAAGUAGAUUGAAGGGCGAGGAAAAACAAUGAAGCAAGAAGAGAAGGUCGUACAGUACCUGGGGGCGGAGACGGUGGCGGAUUGGGGCUAGGGUUAGGGUUUUGGGCGGGGCGCUGGAGUCUGCAGGUGAAGCGAAGGAGGUGGUCGUUGAGGCCGUUCAUCGUAGGGGUGGCGGCAGGGAGACGACGAUCCUUAGGGACGGUGGUGACGGGUUCAUCGAUGUCGUCGUCGUUGAGAUCGCCGCAGAGGUCGAAGGGAGGGGGAGACGCCAUCUAGCCACGGAGACGCCCAAGAGGCAAGAGGCAAGGGGACGGAAUCGAAUCGAAGAUGCGCAGUGGGGAUGGGUGCUCUUCCUCGUUGGUUCAUACCUAUCUCACUUGCCGAGGAGAGGAAGGAGAGGGCGAGAGGCAGCAGCGAGCAUGUGUGACCCAUGCUCCUUAGGCACUAGACAUGCGGGGGCGGCAACGAGGAUCCCGCAUGGUUGUGGGGAUGGAGGCGCCUGCGCACAUGGCGGGGUUGGGGGAGGCUGCAUGCAUGGCGGGGAUGGGGGUGGCUGCGCGCAUGGCGGGGAAGGGGGCGGUUGCGCGCAUGGCGUGGAAGGAGGCGGCUGCGCGCAUGGCCGGGAUGGAAGCGGUUGUGGGAGCAGAUCCGGCGCUAGGCGUGACUCGCAAGCGAGGAUGGCAUCGCAAUCGGACGGUGGGGAUGGACGCAAUCGGACGGUCGGGAUAGAGGCGGGGGCACGUUUAUGCCUGGUCUACAGUAUCGUCUUAAGGAUUAGUAGAGAAAAUAACUUCGAGGUCUUCUUGUUCCUUCGCAUCAUAUGCAAAGAUGUUAAUUGACCACGAUCUAAAUAUCUCUUCAUAAUAAGUUAGAGUUAUUAAUUAAUUUUAGUUAAAAAUAAAAUGGAAUAGAUCUUGAUAUUAAUUAGAUGUGAUCCUUAAAUUUCAUAUUGUAAAAUCUAGAGCCAAUUAGCACCCUAUGCGUACGACGACAACAACAGACAUAGUCGUUGUGGCGCGGCCCUCGUCGGUGCGUCUAGUGUCUACACGUACGAGGCCGUCGUCGAUAGUAUGCUACAUGCGUACCUAGGGAUGGGCGUUCGGGUUACCCGAAGAUUUCGGGUCGGGUAAUUCGGGUAUUUAAAAUUUCGGGUUUUGAAAAUCGAUACCCGCAAUUACAACGGGUUUUGCAAUACCCAAAAAUUCGGGUACCCGGAAUUUUGGGUUCGGGUAUUUCUGAACUACCCGAACUGUUGUGUCGGCUUCAUAAAAACACAUACACCCUAUUAAAUUAGUAUAAAAAUACAGUUUGAAUAAUAAUAUACAUGAACAUAUAAAACACAAGCAAUCUACAAUCACAAGUUAUGCACACUUACACAUAAUUAUAGAUGUACAAAUUAAUAAUUAAACAUGACAUGAGUAUAUGACACAUGAAAGUUUGGGUAAUUUGGGUAUUUCGGGUACCUGAUUGUGAUACCUGAAUUACCCAAAAUAAAUUCGGGUUUUGCAAGUUGGUACCCGAAAUUCUCGAACAAAAUUCGGGUUUCGGGUAUUCCGGGUUCGGGUUCGAGUAUUCCGGAUUCGGGUUUUUGGUUACGGUUUUCUUGCCCAGCCCUAUGUGGCGAUACUCAAGGCGUUGCGUCUGCUCUCCACCCCCUUCAUCUCGCGAGUCCAGGCACGGCACGGAAAAAAGCACGGCCCAGGUACGGCACGACAUGACCCGAAAUAUUUUAGUGUCGGGCCGACACGGCCCGAUAUAUCGGGCCUGGUUUGGGCCGAGGUCGCGGCCCAUGGGCGGGCACGAGCACGACCCAUUUAAUGCAGGCACGAAAUGGCCCAUAUAGAGGCACGAAAAGGCCAUAUAUUUAUCAAAACCAUACUUUAUUCCACACUUUCAUGUACUUGAUAAAGAACACAAAGCUAGAGAUAAUGUUAGUUAUAUGUUUUUUCUAGCUUUAAAUUAGAGUAUGUGAUGUAAUUUUAUUUUUGUUAUGAACAUUAGAUAAUGAACUGAACUUAUGAACUUUAUAUAGAGUUGAUUAUCCUUUAUUUCUUUCUAAUAAAAUGAUUUGUAAAUAAGGUAGUCAUUGCAUAGCUCUGGUAACUUAAUACAAAUAUUAAGUUUGCUUUUUGUCAAAUUUAUUUGUCUUAUCUUUUAUUUGUUUUAUUAACUCUGAUGUGAAUUUCGGGCUCUGAUGUGAAUUUCGGGCCCUGAUGUGAAUUUCGGGCCAAAAACUGAAUUUUGGGCUCUAAUGUGAAUUCAGGCUUUUAUAAUUUCGGGGCGUCCGAAAUGAGCCCGACACGUUUAAGUAAUCACGGGCCGGGUCGUGGGCUGAAGGCUAAGCCCGUGGCCGGCCCGAAAUUCAAACGGACUAGACUAGCUCGAAAUUUAAAUAUUACGGGUCUUUUCGGAUUUGGACCAGACAUGACGGACCGAAUGUACACCUAUACUCGCGACCAGUCGGCUGCUCUGGUAGUGUUGUCCUCUUGUGAGUCUCCUCCUAGAGCCCACGCGACGCCUUUACGCCCUAGUCCUGGCUCACGCACCGACACAUGCAGCCCGGCCAAGGAAGGACGUGAAGGGAUUACUGCUCCGGGUCUAGGUCAGUGAUUGCAAUCUCAGCCGAUAAGUGCCGUUUUUUGGUAAAAAUUAUCGUUACCGGUACUUACCGAGAAGCAAAAAAUAUGUUCACUUUUUAUUGUAUUUCGGUUUAGAAUUUAAAUAUAUAAAAGUCAAAUUUUGGUCAACAAAAUGGUUUUCAAAGUUAGGUGAUCCCUGGUCCAGGCUCAGGCUCACGCUCACACAUCCCGCUUGUGUCCUGCACGGACGCGGAGGGGCAGCUCCUGAGAGGAGGCCAGAGGCGGCACUAGCACUAGUGACUCUGAUUGGCGGCGAGGUAUCACGACGGGAAGAGAGAAAACAAACUAUGCUGAUAGUUUUUUUUUCUAACUCCACUUACUUCAAUUUGAAUUUGUCAGACCACCUCUUAAAAAACUUUUUUAAAAAGAAAAUUUUUAAAGUUGAACCGUUUGAGCAACUUUUUUUGAGAUAAACCCCCUGGUCUAACUUGUGAACUGCUUAAGCUAACUUUUCGUAUAGCAGAGUUGUUUUUAGUUACUAUAGAGCUCAUGAUGCUGUACCAAAACAACUCCUUUACAUCUAAUCAAGAUCCACUGGAUCAUCAAUUAUCUCCGUCUGACAACAAUGAUAUCUUCAAACGAGAUGCUAUCUUCCUCCUCGGUUCUAAAUUAUUUGUUAUUUUAUUUUUUAGUCAAAGCAGUUUAAAUAAAAUUAUAUAAUAAAACAAUAAUAUUUAUGAUACAAAACAAGGUUUAUUAGUGUCGGCGUUUCGAGACCGGGGUUCCUCGGGCCGACGAGUGAGUGUCGCCGCGUGCCCCAGCCCAGAUGGGUCGAGCGCGAAGGGGGGAAAGGAGCGAGGCGGCCGGAGACCGGCGUGAGAGAGGUGGGAAUCCCGCGGCCUUCGUGUUCGUCCCGCGCCCAGGUCGGGUGCGCUUGCAGUAGGGGGUUACAAGCGUCCACGCGGGAGAGGGAAGCGAGCGGCCCCGAGAGAGCGUGUCACACCCGGUUUUAGAAGGCAAACCGAAUGCGAACCAUGUACGUGCCAGGAUCAGUUAUUCACGUACACAGCAGUUACAUAAUAUGGACAUCAUCACACUGUGCUCAAAAUAGUAUUAAUAAGGGAAAUAGUCGAUUACAUCAUACGUCUGAGACGUCCAUAUAGUUCUUACAAUAAAUCAAAGUGCGGAAAAGAAACGUAGAUAAACGCGGCCUUCACAGGCAGCCGACUGGGGGUUGCCGCUAACCCACACCUAGAACUCGUCGUAAUCUUGGAACUCCUGGAAGUCUCCUUCCACAGCUUCAUCUUCGCCUGAGCAGUGGUUGCAAUGCUGACAACCUGGGGGGGGUUUGGUGUGUAGAGCAAGGGUGAGUACACAUCAACAUACUCAGCAAGUAUCCUGUUUGGCUGUAGUGGACUAGCUUUAUGUGGGGGUAAGUCAAGCAGUUGCUUUUAGUUGGUCAGAUUAUUAUUUACUAGUAGAAAGCCAAGUUUUAGCAUUAACCCAAGUUAUUAACCCGUUGUACCCUUUCCAAACGGAAAGAAUACCACUUACCAGCACCAUAGUCAUAACCAAAACCAUCAAUCUCAUAACCACCUGUAAACCAAAAGGUCUCUUAUCAAGUACCACUAAUCACUGGAGCUCCCUUGGCCGCUCAUAACCGUGAGCACGGCUGAUAUAUCAGUUUCAUAACACUCUGCAGAGGUUGUGCACUUUACCCACAAGCCGUGAUUCCCUCUUGCCUCGGGCCGAUCAAACCCUUAAACACUACCAAGGUGAAUAGGCAGGGUUUCACUACGUAGCCUUUACAAAGAUUCCCCGGGGCUGUAGCCACCCGUUAGGUUUCCUAAAUGCACCGCACUCCUCCCCAAGGGGCGAACCCAAACUUGGCAGAGCGAGCCGCAUACACCGAGCCCCAUUGACGGCACGACGGCUAAGUGAACUACAUCCCGGAUCCUCUAAUUAUUCAGCUAAGGGCACCCCAUUCCACCCUCAUGGUUGCACUGUUUUCCCGGGCGGUCAUCCAUAGAACAGGUCCUUACGGAGAGGCACUCGAGAAACCGCUCGAGCCCCCUUGAAGGUCACAAGUACAACAUCAUAAUAAGAGAAGGGAAAACAGCGUAUCAUAGAUAACCACAUCAUGUUCAUUGAUUAGAGUUUGAGCAAUAGCAUAAAGCUAAACAGUAAUAAUCCAACCCAGAUAGGUAAACAAGGACAUGGAUAACAAAAGCUAGUCAAUCCUUAGGUAUAAAGGUGUAAUGCGGGAGGUGAAUUAAAUAAUGAAUAGGACAGAGAUAGGUCAAAGGACACUUGCCUCCACCAAACGACUGCUGCUCAGGGGCUUCUCCUGCGAAUUCCUCGGGCUCUUCGACCGGAUCGUUCUCUAUGCGAUUACAAACAUACAUACAUCCAUCCACAUUUAAUACAAAAGAACAGUACACCAUACAAGGGAACAAAUAAAGUGAGUAUGCAUCAAGUAUGACAUUUGAUAUCGCAUUUGUUAUGGUUAGAAAGAAACGGGAAAGGGUCUCGCAGGGGGUUAAAUCUUAUGCGCUAACAAUCAAUUACAAUUGGUUCUUAACAAAAGAAUUCUGUUACAUAUACACUAAUGGAAACCUAAUCAUUUUAAGUUGAUCAACAUCGCACGAGAUAAACAAUUAACUACAUGAAUCAAUUAGCAUAACGGAAUUUUAAAUUAAACUUCCUAUUUCAAUGGCAUUAAUAAUGAUUAACCUACCUAAAACAAAAUAGCUAUGAUCACAGAAAGUAAAUAAAAUAAAAUAAAAAAAACAGAGGGGGGGGGGCGGUUGAACCGGCCCUAGGGGCGGUUGAACCGGCCGGGGGCAGGGCGCGCAGGGGCGGCCGAGCCGGGGCGGCCGAGCCGGCCGAGCGGCCAGGGGGGGGGGCGCGGCCAGGGCGCGGCCAGGCGGGCGGCCAGGCGGGCGGCCGGGGCGGGCGGCCGGGCGGCCAGGGCGCGGCCAAGGCCAGGGCGCGGCCAAGGCGGCGGCCAGGGCGGGCGGCCGGGCGGGGGCGGGACGAGCCGGGCGGGCGGCCGGGCGGGACGAGCCGGCCAUGGCGGCGGCCAUGGCGCCGAGCGGCGAGGGGAAGGGGAGGGGGGAUGGGGGAGGGAGGGGAGAGGGAGGAGGGGGCUCACCGGCGAGGGGCGGGCGACGGCGGGGGGGCGGCCGGCAGGGAGCGGCGGCCGAGCAGGGGGCGGCGGCGGCUUAGGGCAGGGGCGGGUAGGGGCGGCGCUAGGGGAGAGAGAGGGAAAAUGAGAGAGGGGGAGAGGGAUUGGGGGGUUUUGGGGAAAAAUAAAGGGAGGGGGCGGCAUGGGCCAAUUGGGCCCAAGGGGGGGGCGCCAGGGGCGGCUGGGCCGGCCGGGGUCGGCCCACGGCGCGGGAGAGAGAGAGAUAGAAGAAAGAGAAAGAGAGAAAAAGAAAUAAAAGAUCUUCUUCUUAUUUUCGAAAUCCGAUCUUUCUAUAUGAAUGCAUUUGCACUUUCAAAGCAAUCAAAAGAAAUGCAAGGUUCGGCAUGGUGCAUCAAACAACAUAAAGUACUUAGGGUUUUUCUUACACGGGAAAUCCAAACCGAAUCCCGCUAGAACUUUGGAAAAGGUCAAGGUUUAGCGAGGGGAAAAAGAAAAAGAAAAGGUAACGCCCGAAUUUUGGCGAGUAAAGAAAAGAAAAAAUUCAACUGCAAAAUUCGGAGCGUUACAAACCUAUCCCCCUUAAAAGAAUCUCGCCCUCGAGAUUCAGGGCUGGCUAGCAAAGAGCUCUGGGUACUUGGCCACUAGAUCAUCUUCACGCUCCCAGGUUGCUUCUUCCUCAGAGUGGUGAUUCCAUCUGACUUUGCACAUUCUGAUGGUCUUCCUUCGGGUGACUCGGUCUGCAACCUCAAGGAUUUGCACUGGCUUCUCAACGUAGGUCAAGUCCUCCUGGACUUCCAGACCUUCCACUGGCAACUGCUCUUCUGGCACACGCAAACAUUUCUUCAACUGGGACACAUGAAAGACAUUAUGCACAGCAGACAAAUUCUCUGGCAAACUGAGCUGAUAGGCCACUUCUCCACGCUUUGAGAGGAUCUGGUACGGACCAAUGUAGCGGGGUGCUAGCUUGCCUUUCACUCCGAAUCUUCUGACUCCUCUGAUCGGUGACACUUUCAGAUAGACAAAGUCUCCGACUUCGAAACUCAGCUCUCUUCUUCUUGUGUCUGCAUAGCUUCGCUGCCUCGAUUGCGCUAUCUUCAGAUUCUCUCGGACCAUCUUGAUGUUCUCUUCGGCUUCAAGCAGAAUGUCUGGCCCAAACACUUGCUUCUCUCCAGGCUGAUCCCAUUGCAACGGAGUUCUGCAACUCCUUCCAUAGAGCGCCUGAAAUGGUGACAUCUUCAAACUGGCCUGGUAACUGUUGUUAUAGGAAAACUCUGCAUAAGGCAAUCGCUUAUCCCAUCCGGACUGAUCUUGCAACGCACAGGCUCUCAACAUAUCUUCGAGAAUUUGAUUGGUCCUUUCGGUCUGGCCAUCUGUCUGCGGAUGAUAAGCUGAACUGAAAUUCAGAUGCGUGCCCAAGGCUUCAUGCAACUGCUGCCAGAAAUGAGAGGUGAACUGCGUUCCUCUAUCUGACACUAUCUUCUUUGGCACACCGUGAAGACAAACGAUCCGAGACAUAUACAAUUCUGCCAAUACUGCACUGUUGUAGUUGGUCUUGACAGGUAUGAAGUGGGCUGACUUGGUCAAACGGUCCACUACUACCCAAAUGGAAUCGUAGCCGGCUCGAGUGCGAGGCAGUCCGACUAUGAAAUCCAUACCAAUUUCAUCCCAUUUCCACUGAGGGAUCUGCAACGGUUGCAACAAUCCAGCAGGUCUCUGGUGUUCUGCCUUAAUUCUUCGGCAACUAUCGCACAUAGCCACAUGCUCUGCGAUUUCUCUUUUCAUUCCGUACCACCAGAAUUUCUUCUUCAGAUCCUGAUACAUCUUCUCACUACCAGGGUGAAUCGAAUAGGCUGUCUCAUGAGCUUCCUUAAGAAUCAACUCCCGAAUAGACUGGACAUUGGGAACACACAAGCGGUCUUUGAACCAUAUCACGCCUUCUGCAUCUUCUCGAAACUCUUUGCCUCUGCCAUCUAGAAUCAGUCGCCGGAUCUCACUGAUUUUCUCAUCAUUCUUCUGCGCUUCUUUGAUUUCGCGCUCCAAGGUAGGUUCCAAUUCAACUGUGACUCCUCGCGAAUUGUUCAGAAAUCCGAGACUCAACCUGUCGAACUCCUUGGCCAACUCAUAAGGCAUCGGACGAGCGACCAUCAGAUUGACUUGACUUUUUCUGCUCAAAGCAUCUGCCACUACGUUUGCUUUGCCUGGAUGGUAAUGAAUCUCCAACUCAUAGUCUUUGAUCAACUCUAACCAUCUUCGUUGCCUCAUGUUCAACUCUGACUGAGUGAAUAUGUACUUCAGACUCUUGUGGUCUGUGUAAACAUCGCAUUUCUGUCCAUACAGAUAGUGCCUCCAUGUCUUCAGUGCGUGAACCACUGCUGCCAACUCUAGAUCAUGGAUUGAGUAAUUCUUCUCAUGAACCUUCAGCUGUCGGGACGAGUAAGCCACAACUCUUCCCUCUUGCAUCAACACACAUCCCAAACCUGUGUAACAAGCAUCACAAUACACCGAGAAGGGCUUGUGCACAUCAGGCAAGACUAGGACAGGCGCUGUAGUCAACUUCUCUUUCAGCGCUUCAAAGGCCUCUUGACAUUUCUGGGUCCACUUGAACUCAACUUUGUUGCCUAGCAACGCUGUCAUUGGUUUCGCAAUCCUCGAAAACCCUUCAAUGAAUCGCCGAUAAUAUCCGGCCAUUCCAAUGAAGCUCUUGAUUCCUCUAGCAUCUGUUGGCGCUUUCUAGUUCAGAAUGUCUGCCACUUUCUUCGGAUCCACAGCCAAUCCUUCUUUGUUGAUUAUAUGACCCAAGAACAGGACUUCACUGAUCCAGAACUCACACUUGCUCAACUUUGCAUACAACUGGUGCUCUCGCAAUCUUUGCAACACCAUCCUCAAAUGAUCUGCGUGCUCUUCUUCGCUUUGAGAAUAAACCAGAAUGUCAUCAAUGAAUACCACCACAAACUUAUCGAGAUAAUCCAUGAAUACACUGUUCAUCAAGUUCAUAAAGAAUGCGGGCGCAUUGGUCAAACCAAAAGACAUCACCGUGAACUCAUACAAAGCAUACUUGGUAAUAAAUGUCGUCUUCGGAAUGUCCGAAGGUCGGAUCCUGAGCUGAUGAUAACCUGAUCUCAGAUCAAUCUUAGAGAACACACUGGCUCCUCUCAACUGGUCGAACAGAUCUUCUAUUCUGGGCAAAGGAUACUUGUUCUUGAUCGUGACUUCAUUCAAAGCUCGGUAAUCAAUGCACAUCCUCUUGGUGCCAUCUUUCUUUUCCACAAAUAAGACAGGGGCGGACCAAGGCGAGGUGCUUGGCCGAAUGUAACCUUUCUCUGACAGCUCAUCAAUCUGCUUCUUAAGCUCAACCAACUCUGGUCCGGAUAUUCUGUAAGCUCUCUUAAAGAUAGGGGCGGUUCCAGGAAGAAGCUCUAUGGCAAACUCAACUUUCCGCUCUGGUGGCAUACCCGGUAAGUCCUUUGGAAACACAUCUGGGAAUUCAGACACAACCUUGAUACUCUCAAUUGGAUCUGCUUCACUGCUAUCGACAGUCAUCUGAUAACAACUUCCUUUCUUUGGCUCAGGCGGGACUAACUCGGUCACCACUUCCUUUCCUAGUGGGGACACCAACUUGAUGGUCCUUUUAUCACAACUGAUAACUGUCUGAUACUUAUCUAGCCAAUUCAUCCCUAGGAUGACAUCUAUUCCCUGAGUACCCAUUACUAUAAGGUUGGCGGGAAACGCUAUCCCCCUUAUUUUCACACUUAUAUUUAAACAAAUGCUAUCGGCUCGAAUUCUACCACCGGCUGAGUCAAUUUGAAUGGGGGUUGACAUGGUAGUAAUUGGAAGAUUAUGUGCUUCUACCCAUGAUGCAGUAAUGAAAGAAUGCGUUGCUCCAGUAUCAAAUAACACUUCUGCAAUAUGGGAGUCGACUGGGAACAUACCUACUAUCAUGCCGGGGGUCUCCUGAACUGCUUCAGCCUCCAAGUGGUUCAGCCUUCCAUGAUUAUAACGCUGUUGAGGGCGAUUGCCUGAUCCAGGCUGAGGCACAUUCUGCUUUGCUGGGGCAUUGGGGCCUGACUGCUGCUGGGCUGCCUUCUUCGGACAUUGCAUCACCCAGUGGCCUUGCUCUCCACAGUGGAAACAUGCCCUGUUUCCAACCUGAGCUGGUGCUGCCUGAUUGUUCUGCUGAUUUGCUGGAACAGGAAGACGGGGUGCCUGCUGAUUCUGCCUUUGAAACUGACCUCCUGACUGAUUGCUCUGACGGUUCUGGUACUGAUGCUGAGGAUACUGCCUUUGGAACUGCUGAUGCUGCUGAGGUGGACGCUGGUUCUGCCUGAACUGCUGGGGUUGAUUGCCUGAGAAACGAGGGCGGCUGCUGCUUCCAGGCUGGGGUCCACUGAUCUUGCGCUUACGAUCUUCCAUCUCCUUGCGCUUUCUCUCUGUCAUGAUCGCUCUAUCAAUCAGGUGCUGGAAUGUCGGGAAGGUGUGGUUCAUCAGUUGGUACUGCAGAGGGUCAACCAAGCCUCUCAGGAAACGGUACUGCCGCUUGGCAUCGGUGUUGACAUCUUCAGGAGCAUAGCGAGACAAUUGCAGAAACUUGUCCCGGUACUCACUGACAGACAAUGGCCCUUGCUUGAGGGCCAGGAACUCCUCCUUCUUCACUGUCAUCAGACCUGCAGGAACAUGGUACUGACGAAAGCUACCUCUGAAUUCUUCCCAGGUGAUGGUGUCGGGGUUGGCAUGGGUGGCGAGGUAAGACUCCCACCAUGAUUGGGCUGCUCCUCUCAACAGACGAGGACCAUACAGAACUUUCUCCCUGUCAUCGCACUGAGCGGUAUGCAACUCCCGCUCCACAGUGCGCAGCCAAUCUUCAGCAUCCAUGGGGUCAGAAGAGUGAGCGAACGUUGGUGGAUGACCUCUCAUGAAUUCAGCACGCUUGUCUCUGGGCAUCUGAGGCAUCUGAGGCUGAGGUGGUGCUUGCUGCUGCUGCUGCUGCUGAAUGGCGGCCAGAGUCUGACCGAUGGCUUGAACUGCCUGAGUCUGCAUCAGAAACAUCUGCUCAAUCGACAUCGGGGGCGGGGGCGGCAGCUGCUGCUGCUGGGGCGCCUCAUCUUGCUGAUCGGCUCGCUCCUGCUGAGCACGCCUUCCUCCUCUACGCCUGUUCUCUGACAUCUGCAGAAUGCGACCACACAUCAGAACUGAUCUGGCAAAUCUUGCAGCAUAAGGAAAGAGAAUAGAAUUCUUCAACAGCACUGAACAGAUGAGCAUCUUCACUGAUCUCCAACACAGACCACACAGCUUCUCAGAUAAAGAGGAAAGUGGAAUAAAAGGUUUCCCAACUAUAUAACUAACUUUAUUAACAUAGUAGGUGAACCAAAAUGCAGGGGAUACCCACACUCUGGUAACAAUCAUUACAAAGAUCCAAACCAAACAUAGUUCAUCAUGACAAACAUAAAUGCACAGGAUAUAGCAAACUACCCUGUCUAACUAAGACUAACUAAGACUGAGACUAACGCUAAGACUGAAGCUUCUAUGUAUAUAUAUUUCGUAUUAAUUACAAGAUCCAACUCUAACGAUCUAUGGUUCUAGAGUUAUCUUGGUCUUGCAGUCGGGAUUGCCAUAAGACUGGUGUCCACGCUGAGGUGAGCGGUACGGGUGCUGAGUCCCGACGGGAGCGGGGGAACCACCAUUCAGAUAACGACGUUCCGCGCGCUCAGCCCGCAGCAGGGCGAUCUCAGCACGAGCCCUACUCAGCUCGUCUAAUGCAUGGUCCAGCUCCGUGUUUAGCACGGCGGCUAGGUUGACUGUGCUGCUCAACCUAGGAUUGCCCUCACCGACAGGUGAAACAAUCACGCCUCCUGUGCUGCCAGAUGGACGGCGGGGGUAAUACUUCAGGUCAAGACCGUCAGCUGCCCCACCGAAAACCGAGCAGUAGUGCGAAAGCGCACGCCGUGCAGCAUCUUGCAUGGCUGCUUCAGCUGAGUCCCGUUCAGAGAUAGAAUAGUGCUCUGAACAGGCCUCUGCACCCUGGAGACUGUCCUCCGGGCAGCGCACCAAGCAAGUUGCCUCCCAGCGGUCCGGGUAGACCCCGCGACUAUGCUGGUAGACCACACAGCGAUACUCGACGGACCAAGUAUGCCGGUCAAAUGCCCGACGUAGCAGGGUGUCGAGCGCAUCGUGGAAGUGGCACCCGCGAGCAGCGUCGCGAGUGAUGGGUCGAGCUACCCAUCCUUCCGGCUCAGGGUUAGCAGAGAAGUCGGUGUCGUGGCUUGAGCUGUCGUCGCCAUCUCCGUCGUCUGGGUCUCCUCCAGCAGCUACUCCAGAAGCUGGGGCGCCCAGUGGUGGUGCAGGGGGCGGCUCCAGAGGAAGCACAGGGGAGCAGCUCCUCACAGACUCUAUCUCCUGGUGGAGCGAGAAGGAAGAGCUCUGCUGCUCCUGUCGUCGACGUUCCUGCUCCUCAUGCAGGCGGUGGUGCAGUCUCUCCAAGUGGCUGGACUGUCCGGCCACGGGACGGCGAAGCGGACGCUCAGCAAGGCGGGAGGGUAAGAAGGGGAUGACUGACUAUCGUGCAGUGUGUCUAAGUCGAGCCAUCUACAAAAGACAUCGCAAGCAAAAGGGUGAGAACAGAAUUAAUAUGACCAGCAAGUAAUAAGUAAAUGAAGGAUCAGAAUGAAACACAAUUUUUUAGCAAGGUAUAAUAUAUAGUAGAACAUAGGUUUGGUCGGUAGGACCAACUUUUGAAGGGAUAUCAAAGUCAAGGAAGAGACAGAGGUCUAUAGUCCUUAGAACGACCAUUCUACUCUAGGUUAGCGGUCCUACAGUCAGCACGGCUCUGAUACCACUUAUGUCACACCCGGUUUUAGAAGGCAAACCGAAUGCGAACCAUGUACGUGCCAGGAUCAGUUAUUCACGUACACAACAAUUACAUAAUAUGGACAUCAUCACACUGUGCUCAAAAUAGUAUUAAUAAGGGAAAUAGUCGAUUACAUCAUACGUCUGAGACGUCCAUAUAGUUCUUACAAUAAAUCAAAGUGCGGAAAAGAAACGUAGAUAAACGCGGCCUUCACAGGCAGCCGACUGGGGGUUGCCGCUAACCCACACCUAGAACUCGUCGUAAUCUUGGAACUCCUGGAAGUCUCCUUCCACAGCUUCAUCUUCGCCUGAGCAGUGGUUGCAAUGCUGACAACCUGGGGGGGUUUGGUGUGUAGAGCAAGGGUGAGUACACAUCAACAUACUCAGCAAGUAUCCUGUUUGGCUGUAGUGGACUAGCUUUAUGUGGGGGUAAGUCAAGCAGUUGCUUUUAGUUGGUCAGAUUAUUAUUUACUAGUAGAAAGCCAAGUUUUAGCAUUAACCCAAGUUAUUAACCCGUUGUACCCUUUCCAAACGGAAAGAAUACCACUUACCAGCACCAUAGUCAUAACCAAAACCAUCAAUCUCAUAACCACCUGUAAACCAAAAGGUCUCUUAUCAAGUACCACUAAUCACUGGAGCUCCCUUGGCCGCUCAUAACCGUGAGCACGGCUGAUAUAUCAGUUUCAUAACACUCUGCAGAGGUUGUGCACUUUACCCACAAGCCGUGAUUCCCUCUUGCCUCGGGCCGAUCAAACCCUUAAACACUACCAAGGUGAAUAGGCAGGGUUUCACUAUGUAGCCUUUACAAAGAUUCCCCGGGGCUGUAGCCACCCGUUAGGUUUCCUAAAUGCACCGCACUCCUCCCCAAGGGGCGAACCCAAACUUGGCAGAGCGAGCCGCAUACACCGAGCCCCAUUGACGGCACGACGGCUAAGUGAACUACAUCCCGGAUCCUCUAAUUAUUCAGCUAAGGGCACCCCAUUCCACCCUCAUGGUUGCACUGUUUUCCCGGGCGGUCAUCCAUAGAACAGGUCCUUACGGAGAGGCACUCGAGAAACCGCUCGAGCCCCCUUGAAGGUCACAAGUACAACAUCAUAAUAAGAGAAGGGAAAACAGCGUAUCAUAGAUAACCACAUCAUGUUCAUUGAUUAGAGUUUGAGCAAUAGCAUAAAGCUAAACAGUAAUAAUCCAACCCAGAUAGGUAAACAAGGACAUGGAUAACAAAAGCUAGUCAAUCCUUAGGUAUAAAGGUGUAAUGCGGGAGGUGAAUUAAAUAAUGAAUAGGACAGAGAUAGGUCAAAGGACACUUGCCUCCACCAAACGACUGCUGCUCAGGGGCUUCUCCUGCGAAUUCCUCGGGCUCUUCGACCGGAUCGUUCUCUAUGCGAUUACAAACAUACAUACAUCCAUCCACAUUUAAUACAAAAGAACAGUACACCAUACAAGGGAACAAAUAAAGUGAGUAUGCAUCAAGUAUGACAUUUGAUAUCGCAUUUGUUAUGGUUAGAAAGAAACGGGAAAGGGUCUCGCAGGGGGUUAAAUCUUAUGCGCUAACGAUCAAUUACAAUUGGUUCUUAACAAAAGAAUUCUGUUACAUAUACACUAAUGGAAACCUAAUCAUUUUAAGUUGAUCAACAUCGCACGAGAUAAACAAUUAACUACAUGAAUCAAUUAGCAUAACGGAAUUUUAAAUUAAACUUCCUAUUUCAAUGGCAUUAAUAAUGAUUAACCUACCUAAAACAAAAUAGCUAUGAUCACAGAAAGUAAAUAAAAUAAAAUAAAAAAAACAGAGGGGGGGGGGGCGGUUGAACCGGCCCUAGGGGCGGUUGAACCGGCCGGGGGCAGGGCGCGCAGGGGCGGCCGAGCCGGGGCGGCUGAGCCGGCCGAGCGGCCAGGGGGGGGGGGGGGCGCGGCCAGGGCGCGGCCAGGCGGGCGGCCAGGCGGGCGGCCGGGGCGGGCGGCCGGGCGGCCAGGGCGCGGCCAAGGCCAGGGCGCGGCCAAGGCGGCGGCCAGGGCGGGCGGCCGGGCGGGGGCGGGACGAGCCGGGCGGGCGGCCGGGCGGGACGAGCCGGCCAUGGCGGCGGCCAUGGCGCCGAGCGGCGAGGGGAAGGGGAGGGGGAUGGGGGAGGGAGGGGAGAGGGAGGAGGGGGCUCACCGGCGAGGGGCGGGCGACGGCGGGGGGGGGGGGCCGGCAGGGAGCGGCGGCCGAGCAGGGGGCGGCGGCGGCUUAGGGCAGGGGCGGGUAGGGGCGGCGCUAGGGGAGAGAGAGGGAAAAUGAGAGAGGGGGAGAGGGAUUGGGGGGUUUUGGGGAAAAAUAAAGGGAGGGGGCGGCAUGGGCCAAUUGGGCCCAAGGGGGGGGCGCCAGGGGCGGCUGGGCCGGCCGGGGUCGGCCCACGGCGCGGGAGAGAGAGAUAGAAGAAAGAGAAAGAGAGAAAAAGAAAUAAAAGAUCUUCUUCUUAUUUUCGAAAUCCGAUCUUUCUAUAUGAAUGCAUUUGCACUUUCAAAGCAAUCAAAAGAAAUGCAAGGUUCGGCAUGGUGCAUCAAACAACAUAAAGUACUUAGGGUUUUUCUUACACGGGAAAACCGAAUCCCGCUAGAACUUUGGAAAAGGUCAAGGUUUAGCGAGGGGAAAAAGAAAAAGAAAAGGUAACGCCCGAAUUUUGGCGAGUAAAGAAAAGAAAAAAUUCAACUGCAAAAUUCGGGGCGUUACAGAGCGCCUGUCCCGUCCUCGUCCCCGCGCGGCCAACCUCCUCUAAGAGGGCCCUGGUCCUCCCUUUUAUAGGCGUAAGGAGAGGAUCCAGGUGUACAAUGGGGGUGUAGCAGAGUGCUACGUGUCUAGCGGGGGGAGAGCUAGCGCCCUAAGUACAUGCCGAUGUGGCAGCCGGAGAGAUUUUGGCACCCAGCUGGUGUGAUGUCGUGGCCGUCGGAGGAGCGACGGAGCCUGGCGGAGGGACAGCUGUCGGAGCGGUUGAGUCCUUGCUGACGUCCUCCUGCUUCCGUAAGAGAGCUGAGAGCCGCCGUCGUCACAGAGCAUGCGGGGCGCCAUCAUUGCCUGUCUGGCGGAGCUAGCCAGCUGGGACACCGGUCUUGUUGUCUGCGGCCCGAGUCAGCUCGGGGUAGGGUGAUGAUGGCGCUUCCUGUUGACGUGGCUGGCCUGCGCCCUAGGUUGGGCGACGUGGAGGCUCCUCCGAAGCCGAGGUCGAGUCUGUCUUCCAUGGUCGAGGCCGAGUCCGAGCCCCUGGGUCGGGCGAGGCGGAGGUCGUUCAGCAGAGGCCAGGGCGGAGUCCGAGCCCUAGGGUCGGGCGAAGCGGAGUUCGUCGUCUUCUGGGACUUAGCCCGAGUCCGAGCCCUGGGUCGGGCGGAGAGGAGUUCGCCGUCUUCCGGGACUUAGCCCGAGUCCGAGCCCUGGGUCGGGCGGAGCGGAGUUCGCCGUCUUCCGGGACUUAGCCCGAGUCCGAGCCCUGGGUCGGGCGGAGCGGAGUUCGCCGUCUUCCGGGACUUAGCCCGAGCCGAGCCCUGGGUCGGGCGGAGCGGAGUUCGCCGUCUUCCGGGACUUAGCCCGAGUCCGAGCCCUGGGUCAGGCGGAGCGGACUUCGCCGUCUUCCGGGACUUAGCCCGAGUCCGAGCCCUGGGUCGGGCGGAGCUUCCUAUGGUGCCUUUGGCAGGGCCUGACUGCCUGUCAGUCUUACUCUGUCAAGUGGCACUGCAGUCGGAGUGGCGCAGGCGGCGCUGUCUUUCUAUCAGGCCGGUCAGUGGAGCGGUGAAGUGACGGCGGUCACUUCGGCUCUGCCGGGGGGCGCGCGUCAGGAUAAAGGUGUCAGGUCACCUUUGCAUUAAAUGCUCCUGCGACUUGGUCGGUCGGUGCGACGAUUUAGUCAGGGUUGCUUCUUAGCGAAGGCAUGGCCUCGGGCGAGCCGGAAAUAUGUCCGCCGUUGGAGGGGGGCCUCGGGCGAGAUGGAAAUCCUCCGGGGUCGGCUGCCCUUGUCCGAGGCUAGGCUCGGGCGAGGCGUGAUCGAGUCGCUCGAAUGGACUGAUCCCUGACUUAAUCGCACCCAUCAGGCCUUAGCAGCUUUAUGCUGAUGGGGGUUACCAGCUGAGAAUUAGGAGUCUUGAGGGUACCCCUAAUUAUGGUCCCCGACAGUAGCCCCCGAGCCUCGAAGGGAGUGUUAGCACUCGCUUGGAGGCUUUCGUCACACUUUUUUGCAAGGGGACCAGCCUUUCUCGGUUGCAUUUUGUUCCGGUGGGUGCACGCGAGCGCACCCGCCGGGUGUAGCCCCCGAGGCCUCGGAGGAGUGGUUUCACUCCUUCGAGGUCUUAAUGCCUCGCGUAAUGCUUCGGCUGGUCUGGUUGUUCCCUCAUGCGAACUGGCCGUAGCCCGGGUGUACGGUCGGGGCCCAAGUUCUCGGGCUGGUAUGUUGACGCUGUCAACGGUUCGGCCGGAGCCGGGUUUGCGAGAGCAGCCCCCGAGCCUCUGCACAGGGCGAGAGGGCGAUCAGGGACAGACUCGUCUUUUUGCAUACGCCCCUGCGUCGCCUUUCCGCAAGGAGGAGGGGGGAAAGCGCCAUGUUACCCUCGAUGGGCGCCGAACAUGGUGUCUCCGGUGAGCUGCAAGCGGGUAAUCCGAGUGGACGUCCAUGCCCCGUUCGUUAGGGGUCGGCUAGGGGCCCAGAGGCACGCCCAAAAGUACCUGCGGGUGAUCUGCCGGACCCGGUCCCCUGGCGACGGGGUCCGAGGGCUCGAUGCCUCCCUCUGAUGGGAUUCCGUUACAAGAUCGCUCCCGCUGGUCUCGGAAAUGUCCUAGGAUACCUCGGGAGCGCAGCCCGAGCCUUGGUUAUGUAUCGAACGUACCCUUGGUCAUCCCUCGCUCGGCGUCUGAGGCGACUGUGAACCCUUCGGGGGCCAGCCUUCGAACCCCUGAUCAGUAAUGGGCGCAGAGCCCGAGUAGCCUGAGGCGGCCGUUGAACCCUUCGGGGGGUCGGCCUUCGAACCUCUGACCAGUAGUGGGUGUAGGGCCCACGUGAUCUGAGGCGGCUGUCGAACCCUUCGGGGGGCUAGCCUUCGAACCUCUGAUCAGUAGGGAGGCUCGGAGCCUGGUUCCUUCACGGGGAAGGAUCCUUUUCGGGGUAUCCCCCUUUCCCGGUCCCUGCUGCAAGAGAUAGAGAAAGAGGAAAAAAGGAAAAGGAUACGAAAUCGAACGACGCGACGUACCUCUUUUGGCGCGGUUAUUUUGGCGAAGGCGAAGCGUCGCCCGCUUUUCCUGCCAGAAGCGCCGCCUGUCCCGCCGCGGAGUUAAUGCGACGGGGCGAGUGGUUGGCGGGGCGGCCGCUGCGCGUGCGCGAGCCGUUCGAGGAACGGAUCACGGGCGCGUUGUCUUCACGCCGUGAGAGGGGGUUCUCUUGCUGCCCCCGGAUGGGAUGUGAGCUUGGCUGACGAUGUGACCGCUGCUCCCGCCCGCCUGCCACCGUCAUUACUGCCGGCCCACUUUUGGCCGCAUUGACCGCCGCGUCAGGCUGGCGCUGCUGGGUCGUGCGCCGGGUCGCCUCGAGUCGCGGUAUUGGUUCCGCAAUCGAGGAGGCGCGGUGGUGGCGCAAGUGGCGGUGCAGUUGCUUGCAUGCAGCAUCCGGCGCGCCGGUUGCGUGACGCGUGGGCCUAGGCCUCCAUGCUGGCGUGUCGGGAGUUGGAGAAGCGCGUCCACUUGGCGCGGUUGCACGCCGCCUGCGUGGCUGCCCGCCUCUUUCGCCCGUUGGUCUGGGCAAAAGUGGAGGGUCACUUGUAACCGCUGGGCGGUCGUGUGCACCACGCGUGGCGGUUUGGCUUCUUCUGUUCUGAGUCGGUUUGCAUAACAUGCGGGACCCAGCCCCCGCGCCGUAGGGGAGGGCCUUGGAGCGUGUUGGAGAAGACUCAGCCCGUGACGGUUGGGGGCGCAAGUAGGGAGAGUUGCCUUUAAAAGGAGGGCGACCCCUUUCGGAAGGCGACCAUGUCUUCUCGCUUCCUUAUGCAUCGCGUCUUUCCAUCUUCCAAGCCCCCAGAUGGGGGAUACCCGCCGUCUUUUCGCCUCAUCGUUGGAGGAACGCAACUCCGUGGGAGUUGGUACCUUUCAGCCAUCGUUCGGCUUCAAGGAUUUUCAUCAGCCAGCCCGGCUGUAUCCCCCCGCCGGCGGUCACCCGAGAUGGUGACCACCAGCUCCUGGGUGGGGAGAAGCAAGCCGGGCUGCGAUCUUGGUCCCACCCUCAGCUUCAAGGAUGUUCAUCAUCCUCGCUGGGGUGGGUGCCGGGCUGAGCCGGAGCUCUAUCUCCCGCGCGGGUUCGCGGGUCACCCUCUCUUGCGGCGUUCGAGGGAGAGGGCGCUCGCUGGCCCCGCGGGCGGCCCGGACUUCGACAACGCGGGGCUGGUCGACGGCGGGCGUCGUCACCCCCAGCGUGUCGUGCUCGUCGGCCUGGCUCCCGGUGGCCCUUUCUGCCGGAAGGUGGCUGCCGCGCCGUGUGCACGGGGGGACCGCCCAAGAUGCCGCGCGCUGCUAGGGCGGCGUUCGUGUUCUGGGGUGGUCCUGCCUUUGCACCGGGACGGCGCCUUCACGCGGAGGGCGAUGCCCCACUCGUCCGGGAGGAUUUGAGUGGGGAUCUGCCGGAGGGCUGAUGGCCCCUGCCGUCGGUGCCGAGGCGGAGGCGGCUCGAGAAGUCCCCGUCGCCGACGGGAUCACCGCCACCAUCCGCGCUUCGGGCCUCCGGUUCUUUGUACUUGUCCUCGCCCCUCGAGCGUCGGCGUGGGCGAGGGCAAGAUUGCAGCAGCGCCCACCCUGAGGCCUGCGUUGCUGUAGUUCGGCCAUCCGGAGCGGGGGUCGUUGUCGUCGUAGUCAGAGCAGGCGGCGGCGAGCCGCUCGUCAGUCUUCUGUUGCUCCGCAGGCCCACCCUUAUCGAGUGGGGUUGUUCGUACCUGCGGAGGGGGAACCGGAGUUCCGUUUGUAAUGGCACUUCGAAUGCCAUGGUUUUUUGUUCAUUGCGGCUGUCGAGGCCUGAACAUGUAUGUAAUUUUGGCACGGAGCCAUGUUUUUCCUCAUUUUCGAGCACUAAGACUCGCCUGUUGAUUAUCUGAACCGCUUCACCAAGCAUGAGUCGCCCCGUGUCAAGGUGACGAGUGAGGUAUCCGUAUCCCGGAGGCGUAGGAGUCCCUCGGCUCGGUCGGCCUUGUUGUCUGAGGCUCCUCUAGCUUAGUUAAAGGGACCCCUUGGCCGCUCUUUGACGAGCCGAGGCCAGGGGUAGCGAUAUCAGCAUGAACAGAGGCGGAGUUGGCUCGAAAAUGAAACAUGGUUGGCCGGAGCCUAGCCGGGUUGUCCGUUAGCGGGACCGACGCCGGAGUCGAUCAGCCGAGGCCUCGGGUCGGGCUGGCGCCCUUGGAAGAUGGUUGGCCGAGGCCCCAGGGGUAACCGGCCGAGCCGCCUGCUCGGGCCGGAUUCCCGGAGAAGUCCCCGGCAGCGAUUGUCCGGGCGUGACGAUGACGUCGUCCUCCAGAGUGGGGAUCCUUGGACCGCAUCGCCGUCCGAGGCUAGGUCGGACCUUGCUGAAGGUGUUACUGCCCCCUUCCAGCGUCAAGACCCGAGCCUGCAAGAUCAGAGUGUCUUGUAGCGUGUGCCUUCUGCGGCCGCCGAGGCCAGAAUACACACCCUCGCUGUGUUGUAAAGCUGCGUCUCCUUUCCUCUUGUUUCGAGUAUCUAGACUUUUUUGUCGGUAACAGGGAUGUCUGUGCGAGCGAGAGUUGCUUCUCGCGGAAGGUGAUGAGUGAGGUAUCCGUAUCCCGGAGGCGUGGGAGUCCCUCGGCUCGGUCGGCCUUGCCGCUUACGCGCACUUUCACCCGUCCAUGAGGCCCUGUCACCGACUCAGUCGAGAAGGCUCGAAGGAUCGCUUCGGCAGAAGGGCUUUCGAACGUGAAGACUUGUUCGGUCCGCGGAAUCACUUUAUCCGAACGCGAGUUACUUAUCACAGAAGGUGAUGAGUGAGGUAUCCGUAUCCCGAAGGCGUAGGAGUCCCUCGGCUCGGUCAGCCUUGGCUGCUUACGUGUACUCCGUCGUUUUCAGGAUCCACUUUUUGAAGUAGUCAGAAAGCACGAAAGAUAUUCUGGCAGAAGAGAUCUUUUUUCGAGGAAAAUUUCAACGCAGAGGGGGUUCCCCCCCUUUUAGCCCCGAGGGAGGGUCGGGCUUUGCCGGGGCGAGGCCGACCCUUCCUUGAUGACUAAACUUUGCGCGGAUGCGAGGUAUAUGAACAACUUGAAAACAUCUUAAGGGUAGAAGCGACGUAGCUGUUGGAUGUUCCAAGCGUUGCCGUAGACCUCGCCUUGACUGUUGGCCAGCUUGUACGUUCCGGGCUUCAGAACUUUGGCGAUGACGAAUGGCCCCUCCCAGGGGGGCGUGAGCUUGUGCCUCCCUCGGGCGUCUUGCCGCAGCCGAAGCACCAGGUCGCCCACCUGGAGGUCUCAGGGCCGGACCCCUCGGGCGUGGUAGCGUCGCAGGGACUGCUGGUACCGCGCCGAGUGUAGCAAGGCCUUGUCCCGAGCCUCUUCCAGCUGGUUCAGCGAGUCUUCUCGGCUAGCUUGGUUGCUUUGAUCGCUGUAGGCCCUCGUCCUCGGGGAGCCGUAUUCCAGGUCAGUGGGCAAGACGGCCUCGGCCCCGUAGACCAGGAAGAACGACGUGAAACCCGUGGCCCGGCUCGGCGUUGUCCUCAGGCUCCAGACCACCGAGGGGAGUUCCUUCAUCCAUCGCUUGCCGAACUUGUUGAGGUCGUUGUAAAUCCGAGGCUUGAGCCCUUGUAGAAUCAUGCCGUUGGCACGCUCUACUUGCCCAUUCGACAUGGGAUGAGCUACGGCGGCCCAGUCCACCCGGAUGUGGUGAUCCUCGCAGAAGUCCAAGAAUUUUCUGCCGGUGAACUGGGUACCGUUGUCGGUGAUGAUGGAGUUCGGGACCCCGAAGCGAUGGAUGAUGUUGGUGAAGAACGUCACCGCCUGCUCAGACCUGAUGCAGUUCAGGGGUCGGACCUCGACCCACUUGGAGAAUUUGUCGAUGGCGACCAGCAGGUGCGUGUAGCCCCCGGGCGCCUUCUGCAAGGGGCCGACGAGGUCCAGCCCCCACACAGCAAAGGGCCAGGUGAUGGGUAUCGUCUGUAGAGCCUGCGCGGGCAGGUGGGUUUGCUUCACAUAGAAUUGACACCCUUCGCAGGUGCGGACAAUUCUAGUGGCGUCAGCCACCGCCGUUGGCCAGUAGAAGCCUUGCCGGAAAGCAUUCCCGACAAGGGCUCGAGGCGCUGCGUGAUGGCCACAAGCCCCCGAGUGUAUCUCUUGCAGGAGUUCCUGACCUUCGGCGACGGAGAUGCAUCGCUGGAGGGUGCCCGAGGGGCUGUGGUGGUAGAGCUCCUUCUCAUCGCCCAGCAAGACGAACGACUUGGCGCGUCGCGCUACCCGCCGAGCCUCGGCUCGGUCGAGGGGUAGCUCUCCUUGGUGGAGAUAUUGCAGGUACGGGGUCUGCCAAUUUCGAUCAGGCGUGGCCCCACUCCGCUCCUCCUCGAUGCGCAGUGCCUCACCCUCGGAGGCCGAGGGUACCUCGGGUUGAACCGAGGCCGCCUCGGGCCGAGCUGAGGGUGCCUCGGGCUGUGCCGAGAGCACCUCGGGCUGGACCGAGGGCGCCUCAGGCUCGGGCGCGUCGUCGAUCUUGACGGAGGGUUGAUGCAGAUCCCGAGAGAAGACGUCCGGGGGAAUCGUUGUUCGCCCCGAGGCUAUUUUUGCCAGCUCGUCCGCAGUCUCGUUGUAGCGCCGAGCGAUGUGGUUAAGCUCGAGCCCGUAGAACUUGUCUUCCAGGCGCCGAACCUCAUCGCAGUAGGCCUCCGUCUUCGGGUCGCGGCAGUGGGAGUUCUUCAUGACUUGGUCGAUGACGAGCUGCGAGUCACCGCGAGCGUCGAGGCGCCUGACCCCUAGCUCGAUGGCGAUCCGCAACCCGUUGACCAGAGCCUCGUACUCAGCCACAUUGUUGGACGCCGGGAAGUGGAGGCGUAGCACAUAGCGUAGGUGUUUCCCGAGGGGCGAGAUGAAGAGUAGGCCCGCGCCGGCCCCCGUCUUCAUCAGCGACCCGUCGAAAAACACAGUCCAGAGCUCCGGUUGGAUCGGAGCCGUCGGUAGCUGGGUGUCGACCCAUUCGGCUACGAAGUUCGCCAAGACCUGGGACUUGAUGGCCUCCCGAGGGGCGAACGAGAAUGUCUCGCCCAUGAUUUCUACCGCCCACUUUGCAAUCCUGCCCGAGGCCUCUCAGCACUGGAUGAUCUCCCCCAGGGGGAAGGAUGACACACAGUUACCGGAUGAGACUCGAAGUAGUGUCGCAACUUCCGUCGCGUCAGGAUCACUGCAUACAACAGCUUCUGAACUUGUGGGUAGCGGAUCUUGGUUUCGGACAGUACCUCGCUGACGAAGUAAACAGGCCUCUGAACGGGCAAUGCAUGCCCCUCUUCUUGCCUCUCGACCACAAUCGCGGCGCUAACCACCUGAGUGGUCGCAGCGACGUAGACCAAGAGGGCUUCUCCGGUAGCUGGGGGCACCAAGAUGGGCGCCUUCGUGAGGAGCGCCUUCAGGUUCCCGAGAGCUUCCUCGGCCUCAGGGGUCCAAGUGAAGUGCUCGGCCUUCCUUAAGAGGCGGUACAGAGGCAGGCCUCUUUCGCCGAGGCGUGAGAUGAAGCGGCUUAGAGCCGCGAGACAUCCCAUGACCCUCUGUAUGCCCUUUAAGUCCUUGAUGGGACCCAUGCUGGUGAUGGCUGCGAUCUUCUCCGGGUUGGCUUCGAUGCCCCGCUCGGAGACGAUGAACCCCAAGAGCAUGCCCCGGGGCGCCCUGAAGACACACUUCUCGAGAUUGAGCUUGACGCCUUUCGCCUUGAGACAUCGGAAUGUCACUUCAAGGUCGGAGAGGAGGUUGGAAGCUUUCCUCGUCUUGACUACGAUGUCAUCGACGUAGGCCUCGACCGUGCGACCGAUGUGUUCACCGAACACAUGGUUCAUGCACCGCUGGUACGUCGCGCCCGCAUUCCUCAAAUCGAACGGCAUGGUGACAUAGCAGUACAUGCCGAAGGGCGUGAUGAAAGAAGUCGCGAGCUGAUCGGACUCUUUCAUCCUGAUUUGGUGGUACCCCGAGUAGGCGUCGAGGAAAGACAGGGUUUUGCACCCAGCAGUGGAAUCCACGAUUUGAUCGAUGUGAGGCAGAGGGUAGGGAACCUUCGGACAUGCUUUGUUGAGACCAGUGUAGUCUACACACAUCCGCCAUUUCCCUCCUUUGUUUCUCACAAGCACAGGGUUGGCAAGCCAUUCGGGAUGGGAUACCUCUUUGAUGAACCCGGCUGCCAUUAGCUUGUGGAUCUCCUCGCCUAUCGCUCUGCGCUUCUCCUCGUCGAAUCGGCGCAGAGGCUGCUUGACGGGUCGGGCUCCGGCCCGAAUAUCCAGCGAGUGCUCGGCGACAUCCCUCGGUAUGCCGGGCAUGUCCGAGGGACUCCACUCGAAGACGUCGACGUUCGCGCGGAGAAAGUCGACGAGCACUGCUUCCUAUUUGGGGUCGAGCCUGGAACCGAUCCGGAUCUGCUUGAAGGCGUCGCCACUGGGGUCGAGGGGGACGGCCUUAACCGUCUCCACUGGCUCGAAGUUGCCGGCAUGACGCUUCACGUCUGGCACCUCUUUGGAGAGGCUUUCCAGGUCGGUGAUGAGGGCCUCGGACUCGGCGAGGGCCUCGACGUACUCCACGCACUCCACGUCGCAUUCGAACGCGUGUUUGUACGUGGGGCCGACGGUGAUGACCCCGUUGGGGCCCGACAUCUUGAGCUUCAGGUAGGUGUAGUUGGGGACGGCCAUGAACUUCGCGUAGCAUGGCCUCCCCAGUACCGCGUGGUAGGUUCCUCGGAACCCGACCACCUCGAACGUCAUAGUCUCCCUUCGGAAGUUGGAGGGCGUUCCGAAGCAGACGGGAAGGUCGAGUCGUCCGAGGGGCUGGACGCGCUUCCCGGGAAUGAUCCCGUGGAAGGGCGCAGCGCCUGCUCGGACGGAGGACAGAUCGACGCGCAGGAGCCUGAGGGUCUCGGCGUAGAUGAUGUUGAGGCUGCUGCCCCCCGUCCAUAAGGACCUUGGUGAGCCUGACGUCGCCCAUGACGGGGUCGACGACGAGCGGGUAUUUCCCCGGGCUCGGCACGUGGUCGGGGUGGUCGUCUUGGUCGAAGGUGAUGGGCUUGUCGGACCAGUCUAGAUAGACCGGUGCCACCACCUUGACCGAGCAGACCUCUCGGCGCUCUUGCUUGCGGUGCCGAGCCGAGGCAUUCGCCGCUUGCCCACCGUAGAUCAUGAAGCAGUCACGCACCUCGGGGAACUCUCCUGCUUGGUGAUCUUCCUUCUUGUCGUCGUCGCGGGCCCUGCCACCCUCCGCGGGUGGCCCGGCCCUGUGGAAGUGGCGCCGAAGCAUGACGCACUCCUCAAGGGUGUGCUUGACGGGCCCCUGAUGAUAGGGGCACGGCUCCUUGAGCAUCUUGUCGAAGAGGUUGGCACCUCCGGGGGGCUUCCGAGGGUUCUUGUGCUCGGCGGCGGCGACAAGGUCCGCGUCGGCGGCGUCGCGUUUCGCUUGCGACUUCUUCUUGCCUUUCUUCUUGGCGCCACGCUGAGUAGAUAGCCCUGGGGCUGCUUGUCCUUUCGGAAGAUAGCCUCGACCGCCUCCUGGCCAGAGGCGAACUUGAUGGCGAUGUCCAUCAGCUCGCUCGCCCUGGUGGGGGUCUUGCGACCCAACUUGCUCACCAGGUCGCGGCAAGUGGUGCCGGCAAGGAACGCGCCGAUGACAUCCGAGUCGGUGAUGUUGGGCAGCUCGGUGCGCUGCUUCGAGAAUCGCCGAAUGUAGUCCCGGAGAGACUCUCCCGGCUGCUGCCGGCAGCUUCGGAGGUCCCAGGAAUUCCCGGGGCGCACGUACGUGCCCUGGAAAUUGCCGGCGAAGGCUUGGACCAGGUCAUCCCAGUUGGAGAUCUGCCCCGGAGGCAGGUGCUCCAACCAGGCGCGAGCGGUGUCGGAGAGGAACAUGGGGAGGUUGCGGAUGAUGAGGUUGUCGUCGUCCGUUCCACCCAGCUGGCAGGCCAGGCGGUAGUCUGCGAGCCACAAUUCCGGUCUCGUUUCCCCCGAGUACUUUGUGAUAGUAGUCGGGGGUCGGAACCGGGUCGGGAACGGUGCCCGCCGGAUGGCCCGACUGAAGGCCUGCGGACCGGGUGGUUCGGGCGAGGGACUCCGAUCCUCCCCGCUGUCGUAGCGUCCCCCACGCCUGGGGUGAUAGCCUCGGCGCACCCUCUCGUCGAGGUGGGCUCGACGGUCGCGAUGAUGGUGCACGUUGCCGAGGUGGCCCGGGGCCGCAGGCGCGGUGUUGCGCGUGCGCCCGGUGCAGACCGAGGCUUCCCGCAUGAAUCGGGAAGUCGCGGCAUGAGGUUCCGAGUGGUACCCCUACCUUCGGGAGGCAGAGCUCUCGGCCCGUCGGACCGCGGCGCCUUUGAAAGGGAAUUAGGCUUACACCUAGUUCCUAAAUAAUUUUGGUGGUUGAAUUGCCCAACACAAAUAAUUGGACUAACUAGUUUGCUCUAGUGUAUAAGUUAUACAGGUGCCAAAGGUUCAUACUUAGCCAAUAAAAAGACCAAGUAUUGGGUUCAACCAAAGAGCGAAGGGACAACCGAAGACACCUCUGGUCUGAGGCACCGGACUGUCCGGUGUACACCGGACAGUGACCGGUGCACCACCGGACAGUGUCCGGUGCACCAGAGGACUCCAACUUGAACUUGCCACCUUCGGGAAUUUCUAGAGGCACUCGCGCUAUAAUUUACCGGACUGUCCGGUGUACACCGGACAGUGUCCGGUGCUCCUCGAAAGAGCUGCCUCAGGAACUCGCCAGCCUCGGGAAAUCAGAACGCCUGCUCCGCUAUAAUUCACCGGACAUGUCCGGUGUACACCGGACUGUCCGGUGAACCAGCAGAGCAACGAAUACUUCGCGCCAACGGCUACCUGCGACGCAUUAAAUGCGCGCGCUGCGCGCGCAGAGGUCAGGCACGCCCAUGCUGGCGCACCGGACAAUCUACAGUACAUGUCCGGUGCGCCACCGGACAUCCAGGCGGGCCCAGAAGUCAGAGCUCCAACGGUCGACCCCAACGGCUUUUGGUGACGUGGCUGUCGCACCGGACAUGUCCGGUGUGCACCGGACUGUCCGGUGCGCCAUCGAACAGACAGCCUCCACCAACGGUCAAGUUGGUGGUUGGGGCUAUAAAUACCCCAACCACCCCACCAUUCAUUGCAUCCAAGUUUCCCACUUCUCAACCACUUACAAGAGCUAGGCAUUCAAUUCUAGACACAUACAAAGAGAUCAAAUCCUCUCCAAUUCCACACAAGGCUUUAGUGAUUAGCGAGAGAGAUUUGCCGUGUUCUUUUGAGCUCUUGCGCUUGGAUUGCUUCUUUUCUUUCUCACUUGUUCUUGUGAUCAAAACUCCAUUGUAAUCAAGGCAAGAGGCACCAAUUGUGUGGUGGCCCUUGCAGGGAAGUUUUGUUCCCGGCUUUGAUUUGAGAAGAGAAGCUCACUCGGUCCGAGGGACCGUUUGAGAGAGGGAAGGGUUGAAAGAGACCCGGCCUUUGUGGCCUCCUUAACGGGGAGUAGGUUUGUGAGAACCGAACCUCGGUAAAACAAAUCCGCGUGUCACACUCUUCAUUUGCUUGCGAUUUGUUUUGCGCCCUCUCUCCCGGACUCGAUUAUAUUUCUAACGCUAACCCGGCUUGUAGUUGUGUUUAUAUUUGUAAAUUUCAGUUUCGCCCUAUUCACCCCCCCUCUAGGCGACUAUCAAUUGGUAUCAAAGCCCGGUGCUUCAUUAGAGCCUAACCGCUCGAAGUGAUGUCGGGAGAUCACGCCAAGAAGGAGAUGGAGACCGGCGAAAAGCCCACUACAAGCCACGGGAGCACUUCAUCGGAAGAGUCCCGCACCAAGAGGAAGGAGAAGAAGAAGAGCUCCUCCAACAAAGGGAAGGAGAAGAAAUAUUCUUCUCACCACAAAGAGAAGAAGGAAAGAUCUUUCUCUCACAAGCCGCAUCGGAGUGGGGACAAGAAAAAGAGGAUGAGGAAAGUGGUCUACUACGAGACCGAUUCUUCAUCGCCAUCCACCUCCGGCUCUGACGCGACAUCCGUCACUUCUAAGCGCCAAGAGCGCAAGAAGUAUAGUAAGAUCCCCCUACACUACCCUCGCAUUUCCAAACAUACACCCUUGCUUUCCGUCCCAUUAGGCAAACCACCAACUUUUGAUGGUGAAGAUUAUGCUAGGUGGAGUGAUUUAAUGCGAUUUCAUCUAACCUCACUCCACAAAAGUAUAUGGGAUGUUGUUGAGUUUGGUGCACAGGUACCAUCCAUAGGGGAUAAAAAUUAUGAUGAGGAUGAGGUGGCCCAAAUCGAGCACUUCAACUCUCAAGCAACAACAAUACUCCUCGCCUCUUUAAGUAGAGAAGAGUAUAACAAAGUUCAAGGGUUGAAGAACGCCAAGGAGGUUUGGGAUGUGCUCAAAACCGCGCACGAGGGAGAUGAGCUCACAAAGAUCACCAAACGGGAAACGAUCGAGGGGGAGCUCGGUCGGUUCCGGCUUCGCAAAGGGGAGGAGCCACAAAACAUGUACAACCGGCUCAAGACCUUGGUGAAUCAAGUGCGCAACCUCGGGAGCAAAAAGUGGGAUGACCACGAGGUGGUUAAGGUUAUUCUAAGAUCUCUUAUUUUCCUUAACCCUACUCAAGUUCAAUUAAUUCGUGGCAACCCAAGAUAUACACUAAUGACCCCCGAGGAAGUAAUCGGGAAUUUUGUAAGUUUUGAGUGCAUGAUCAAAGGCUCAAGGAAGAUCAACGAGCUUGAUGAUCCCUCCACAUCCGAAGCUCAACCCAUCGCAUUCAAGGCGACGGAGGAAAAGAAGGAGUCUACACCAAGUCGACAACCAAUCGACGCCUCCAAGCUCGACAAUGAGGAAAUGGCGCUCGUCAUCAAGAGCUUCCGCCAAAUCCUCAAACAAAGGAGGGGGAAAGACUACAAGUCCCGCUCCAAGAAGGUUUGCUACAAGUGUGGUAAGCCCGGUCACUUUAUAGCUAAAUGUCCAUUAUCAAGUGAUAGUAACAGGGGCGACGACAAGAAGGGGAGAAGAAAGGAGAAGAAGAGGUACUACAAGAAGAAGGGCGGCGAUGCCCAUGUUUGUCGGGAGUGGGACUCCGACGAAAGCUCAAGCGACUCCUCCGAUGACGAGGACGCCGCCAACAUCGCCGUCACCAAAGGACUUCUCUUCCCCAACGUCGGCCACAAGUGCCUCAUGGCAAAGGACGGCAAAAGGAAGAAGGUUAAAUCUAGAUCUUCCACAAAAUAUGAAUCCUCUAGUGAUGAUAAUGCUAGUGAUAAGGAGGAUAACCUGCUUACCCUUUUUGCCAAUCUUAACAUGGAACAAAAAGAAAAAUUAAAUGAGCUAAUUAGUGCCAUCCAUGAGAAGGAUGAUCUCUUGGACUCCCAAGAGGACUUCCUAAUCAAGGAAAAUAAGAAACAUGUUAAGGUUAAAAAUGCUUAUGCUCUAGAGGUAGAAAAAUAUGAAAAAUUGUCUAGUGAGCUAAGCACUUGCCAUGAGACCAUUAACAACCUUAGAAAUGAAAAUGCUAGAUUAAUUGCUAAGGUUGAUUCUCAUGUUUGUAUUGAUUCAAUUCCCGAUCCUAGAAAUGAUAAUGAUGAUUUGCUUACUAAGAUUAAGGAAUUGAAUGAUUCUCUUGCUAGCCUUAGAGUAGAAAAUGAAAAUUUGAUUGCUAAGGCUAAAGAUUUUGAUGUUUGCAAUGUUACUAUUUCCGACCUUAGAACUAAGAAUGACAUGUUACAAGCUAAGAUUGUAGAAUUAAAAUCUUGCAAACCCUUUACAUCGAUUGUUGAGCAUGUAUCUAUUUGUACUAGAUGUAGAGAUGUUGAUAUUGAUGCUAUUCAUGAUCACAUGAUUUUAAUUAAACAACAAAAUGAUCAUAUAGCAAAACUAGAUGCUAAAAUUGCCGAGCAUAACUUAGAAAAUGAAAAGUUUAAAUUUGCUAGAAGUAUGCUCUAUAAUGGGAGACGCCCGGGCAUCAAGGAUGGCAUUGGCUUCCAAAGAGGAGACAAUGUCAAAAUUAAUGCCCCUCCUAAGAAAUUGUCAAAUUUUGUUAAGGGCAAGGCUCCCAUGCCUCAGGAUAACGAGGGUUACAUUUUAUACCCUGUCGGUUAUCCCGAGGACAAAAUUAGGAGAAUUCAUUUUAGGAAGUCUCACUCUGGCCCUAACCAUGCUUUUAUGUAUAAGGGUGAGACAUCUAGCUCUAGGCAACCAACCCGUGCUAAGUUGCCUAAGAAGAAAACUCCUAGUGCAUCAAAUGAACAUAGCCUUUCAUUUAAAACUUUUGAUGCAUCUUAUGUUUUGACUAACAAAUCCGGCAAAGUUGUUGCCAAGUUUGUUGGGGGCAAACACAAGGGCUCCAAGACUUGUGUUUGGGUACCCAAAGUUCUUGUUUCUAAUGCCAAAGGACCCAAAACCGUUUGGGUACCUAAAGUCAAGAACUAAAAUUGUGAUGUAGGUUUAUGCAUCCGGGGGCUCAAGUUGGAUACUCGACAGCGGGUGCACAAACCAUAUGACAGGGGAGAAAAGGAUGUUCUCCUCCUACAAGAAAAACCAAGAUCCCCAACGAGCUAUCACAUUCGGGGAUGGAAAUCAAGGUUUGGUCAAAGGUCUUGGUAAAAUAGCUAUAUCUCCUGACCAUUCUAUUUCCAAUGUUUUUCUCGUAGAUUCAUUAGAUUACAAUUUGCUUUCUGUAUCUCAAUUAUGCAAAAUGGGCUACAACUGUCUCUUUACUGAUGUAGGUGUCACUGUCUUUAGAAAAAGUGAUGAUUCAAUAGCAUUUAAGGGUAUGUUAGAGGGUCAGCUAUACUUGGUAGAUUUUGAUAGAGCUGAACUCGACACAUGCUUAAUUGCUAAGACUAACAUGGGUUGGCUCUGGCACCGCCGACUAGCCCAUGUUGGGAUGAAGAAUCUUCAUAAGCUUCUAAAGGGAGAGCACAUUUUAGGAUUAACAAAUGUUCAUUUUGAGAAGGACAGGAUUUGUAGCGCAUGCCAAGCAGGGAAGCAAGUUGGUGCCCAUCAUCCACACAAGAACAUCAUGACGACCGACAGGCCGCUUGAGCUACUCCACAUGGAUCUAUUCGGCCCGAUUGCUUACAUAAGCAUCGGCGGGAGUAAGUAUUGUCUUGUAAUAGUGGAUGAUUAUUCUCGCUUCACUUGGGUAUUCUUUUUACAGGAAAAAUCUCAAACCCAAGAGACCUUAAAAGGAUUCUUGAGACGGGCUCAAAAUGAGUUCGGCUUAAGGAUCAAGAAAAUAAGAAGCGACAACGGGACGGAGUUCAAGAACUCUCAAAUCGAAGGCUUUCUUGAGGAGGAGAGAAUCAAGCAUGAGUUCUCUUCUCCCUACACCCCACAACAAAAUGGUGUAGUGGAGAGGAAGAAUCGAACUCUAUUGGAUAUGGCAAGGACCAUGCUUGAUGAGUACAAGACUUCGGAUCGGUUUUGGGCCGAGGCAGUCAACACCGCCUGCUACGCCAUCAACCGGUUAUAUCUUCACUGAAUCCUAAAGAAGACAUCCUAUGAACUCCUAACCGGUAAAAAGCCCAACAUUUCAUAUUUUAGAGUUUUUGGUAGCAAAUGCUUUAUUCUUGUUAAAAGAGGUAGAAGAUCUAAAUUUGCUCCUAAAACUGUAGAAGGCUUUUUACUUGGUUAUGACUCAAACACAAGGGCAUAUAGGGUCUUUAACAAGUCCACUGGACUAGUUGAAGUCUCAUGUGACGUUGUGUUUGAUGAAACUAACGGCUCUCAAGUAGAGCAAGUUGAUCUUGAUGAGAUAGGUAUUGAAGAGGCUCCGUGCAUCGCGCUAAGGAACAUGUCCAUUGGGGAUGUGUGUCCUAAGGAAUCCGAAGAGCCUCCAAAUGCACAAGAUCAACCAUCCUCCUCCACUCAAGCAUCUCCACCAACUCAAAAUGAGGAUGAAGCUCAAGUUGAUGAAGUAGAAGAUCAAGCAAAUGAGCCAUCUCAAGAUGACGACAAUGAUCAAGGGGGAGAUGCAAAUGAUCAAGACAAGGAGGAUGAAGAGCAAAGGCCGCCACACCCAAGAGUCCACCAAGCAAUCCAACGAGAUCACCCCGUCGACACCAUCCUCGGCGACAUUAAUAAGGGGGUAACUACUCGAUCUCGGGUUGCACAUUUUUGUGAGCAUUACUCUUUUGUUUCCUCUAUUGAGCCACACAGGGUAGAGGAAGCACUCCAAGAUGCGGAUUGGGUGAUGGCAAUGCAAGAGGAGCUCAACAAUUUCACAAGGAACGAGGUAUGGCACUUAGUUCCACGUCCUAACCAAAAUGUUGUAGGAACCAAGUGGGUCUUCCGCAACAAACAAGACGAGCAUGGUGUGGUGACAAGGAACAAAGCUCGACUCGUGGCCAAGGGGUAUUCACAAGUCGAAGGUUUGGAUUUUGGUGAAACCUAUGCACCCGUAGCUAGGCUUGAAUCAAUUCGCAUAUUAUUAGCCUAUGCUACUUACCAUGGCUUCAAGCUUUAUCAAAUGGACGUGAAGAGUGCCUUCCUCAAUGGACCAAUCAAGGAGGAGGUCUACGUUGAGCAACCUCCCGGCUUUGAAUAUAGUGAGUACCCUAACCAUGUCUAUAAACUCUCUAAGGCGCUUUAUGGGCUUAAGCAAGCCCCAAGAGCAUGGUAUGAAUGCCUUAGAGAUUUCCUUAUUGCUAAUGGCUUCAAAGUCGGAAAGGCCGAUCCUACUUUAUUCACUAAAACUCUUGAAAAUGACUUAUUUGUAUGCCAAAUUUAUGUUGAUGAUAUCAUAUUUGGGUCUACUAACGAGUCUACAUGUGAAGAAUUUAGUAGGAUCAUGACACAAAAGUUCGAGAUGUCUAUGAUGGGGGAGUUGAAGUACUUCUUAGGAUUUCAAGUGAAGCAACUCCAAGAGGGCACCUUCCUAAGCCAAACGAAGUAUACUCAAGAUAUUCUAAGCAAGUAUGGGAUGAAGGAUGCUAAGCCCAUCAAGACACCCAUGGGAACCAAUGGGCAUCUCGACCUCGACAUGGGAGGUAAGUCCGUGGAUCAAAAGGUAUACCGGUCGAUGAUAGGUUCUUUACUCUAUUUAUGUGCAUCUCGACUGGAUAUUAUGCUUUCCGUAUGCAUGUGUGCAAGAUUCCAAGCCGACCCUAAGGAAGCUCACCUUACAGCCGUAAAACGAAUCUUGAGAUAUUUGGCUUAUACUCCUAAGUUUGGGCUUUGGUACCCUCGGGGAUCCACAUUUGAUUUGAUUGGUUAUUCGGAUGCCGAUUGGGCGGGGUUCAAAAUCAAUAGGAAGAGCACAUCGGGGACUUGCCAGUUCUUGGGAAGAUCCUUGGUGUCUUGGGCUUCAAAGAAGCAAAAUUCGGUCGCUCUUUCCACCGCCGAAGCCGAGUACAUUGCCGCAGGCCAUUGUUGCGCGCAAUUGCUUUGGAUGAGGCAAACCCUGCGGGACUACGGUUACAAAUUAACCAAAGUCCCUUUGCUAUGUGAUAAUGAGAGUGCAAUCAAGAUGGCGGAUAAUCCCGUCGAGCAUAGCCGCACUAAGCACAUAGCCAUUCGGUAUCAUUUUCUUAGGGAUCACCAACAAAAGGGAGAUAUCGAGAUUUCUUACAUUAAUACUAAAGAUCAAUUAGCCGAUAUCUUUACCAAGCCUCUUGAUGAACAAACUUUUAACAAACUUAGGCAUGAGCUCAAUAUUCUUGAUUCGCGCAAUUUCUUUUGCUAGAUUGCACACAUAGCUCAUUUGUAUACCUUUGAUCAUGUCUCCUUCAUAUGCUAUGACUAAUGUGUUUUUCAAGUCUACUUCAAACCAAGUCAUAGGUGUAUUGAAAGGGAAUUGGAGUCUUCGGCGAAGACAAAGGCUUCCACUCCGUAACUCAUCCUUCGCCGUCGCUCCGAGCCACUCUCCAUCCUAGGGGGAGAAAGCAAAAGGACUUCGUCUUUGGAAUAAUCUUAACUCAUUUAUUUAUGACCAAAGGAGAGGAAAGUACUUCGAGGGCUCUAAUGAUUCCGUUUUUGGCGAUUCAUGCCAAAGGGGGAGAAAGUAAGAGCCCAAAGCAAAAGGACCGCACCACCACCAAUUUCAAAGACUUCGUGUUUCCAAGAAUAUUAUCAAUUGGUUUCCUAUUGUGUUCAAAAAGGGAAGAAAGUAAUAUUUCAAAAAUGAUAUAUCAAAACCCUCUUGAACACUAAGAGGAGGAUCUCAUUUAGGGGGAGUUUUGUUUAGUCAAAGGAAAAGCAUUUGAAACAGGGGGAGAAAAUUUCAAAUCUUGAAAAUGCUUUGCAAAAUCUUAUUCAUUUACCUUUGACUAUUUGCAAAAGAACUUCGAAAAGGAUUUACAAAAUAGUUUGCAAAAACAAAACAUCUGGUGCAAGCGUGGUCCAAAAUGUUAAAAACAAAAGAUCGAUCCAUGCAUAUCUUGUAAGUAUUAAUAUUGGCUCAAUUCCAAGCAACCUUUGCACUUACAUUAUGCAAACUAGUUCAAUUAUGCACUUCUAUAUUUGCUUUGGUUUGUGUUGGCAUCAAUCACCAAAAAGGGGGAGAUUGAAAGGGAAUUAGGCUUACACCUAGGUGCUGUUUGGUUCACGAAAUGUAACGUAAAGGGUAAUGGUAAUGGUUUCUUCUCGAUUACUGGCGGUAACAAGUUUGAAUAGUCCGGUAUCAAUUUUUAGUAUGGUAUCUGAUUACGGUUAAACUAAAACAAACAUGAUUUAACGUUAUCACUUACCCAUUACGUUACAAAUAUUUGAACCAAACGGUACCCUAGUUCCUAAAUAAUUUUGGUGGUUGAAUUGCCCAACACAAAUAAUUGGACUAACUAGUUUGCUCUAGUGUAUAAGUUAUACAGGUGCCAAAGGUUCAUACUUAGCCAAUAAAAAGACCAAGUAUUGGGUUCAACCAAAGAGCAAAGGGACAACCGAAGACACCUCUGGUCUGAGGCACCGGACUGUCCGGUGUACACCGGACAGUGACCGGUGCACCACCGGACAGUGUCCGGUGCACCAGAGGACUCCAACUUGAACUUGCCACCUUCGGGAAUUUCUAGAGGCACUCGCGCUAUAAUUCACCGGACUGUCUGGUGUACACCGGACAGUGUCCGGUGCUCCUCGAAAGAGCUGCCUCAGGAACUCGCCAGCCUCGGGAAAUCAGAACGCCUGCUCCGCUAUAAUUCACCGGACAUGUCCGGUGUACACCGGACUGUCCGGUGAACCAGCAGAGCAACGGAUACUUCGCGCCAACGGCUACCUGCGACGCAUUAAAUGCGCGCGCUGCGCGCGCAGAGGUCAGGCACGCCCAUGCUGGCGCACCGGACAAUCUACAGUACAUGUCCGGUGCGCCACCGGACAUCCAGGCGGGCCCAGAAGUCAGAGCUCCAACGGUCGACCCCAACGGCUUUUGGUGACGUGGCUGUCGCACCGGACAUGUCCGGUGUGCACCGGACUGUCCGGUGCGCCAUCGAACAGACAGCCUCCACCAACGGUCAAGUUGGUGGUUGGGGCUAUAAAUACCCCAACCACCCCACCAUUCAUUGCAUCCAAGUUUCCCACUUCUCAACCACUUACAAGAGCUAGGCAUUCAAUUCUAGACACAUAUAAAGAGAUCAAAUCCUCUCCAAUUCCACACAAGGCUUUAGUGAUUAGCGAGAGAGAUUUGCCGUGUUCUUUUGAGCUCUUGCGCUUGGAUUGCUUCUUUUCUUUCUCACUUGUUCUUGUGAUCAAAACUCCAUUGUAAUCAAGGCAAGAGGCACCAAUUGUGUGGUGGCCCUUGCAGGGAAGUUUUGUUCCCGGCUUUGAUUUGAGAAGAGAAGCUCACUCGGUCCGAGGGACCGUUUGAGAGAGGGAAGGGUUGAAAGAGACCCGGCCUUUGUGGCCUCCUCAACGGGGAGUAGGUUUGUGAGAACCGAACCUCGGUAAAACAAAUCCGCGUGUCACACUCUUCAUUUGCUUGCGAUUUGUUUUGCGCCCUCUCUCCCGGACUCGAUUAUAUUUCUAACGCUAAUCCGGCUUGUAGUUGUGUUUAUAUUUGUAAAUUUCAGUUUCGCCCUAUUCACCCCCCCUCUAGGCGACUAUCAGCCUUCCAGGAGAUUCUUGAGCUCUCUCUGGAUUCGCCGACCCUCGGUGGUUGAUGGCUCCGGCAUCGCGCGGAGGAGCAUCGCUGCUGCAGCCAGGUUCUGACCGACCCCACUGGAUGCGGGUGGCGGCCUGACCCUGACGUCGUUGGCGACGCGGAGCUGGAAACCCUGGGGCAGGUGACGUAUUUCUCGGCCGGGGGUUGGCCCGCCCAUGCCUGCCCGACGUCCCGGCGGAUCGGCUCAAGCGCUCCUGCUCCUUCGUCGAGCCUGGCCUGCGCCCCGCGGACUUGCUCGAGCUGUGGGUCGUGACCCCCCGCCGGAACGGGGACCACAGCUAGCUCCCGCGGGAUGUCAGCGCGAGGCACCGGCCUAGGGAGAUCACCGUCCUCCGGCAUGCCAAGAUGAUUGCCUUCGGAGGGACCCCCUAGAUCGACGUGGAAACAUUCGCGGCUUGGGCCGCAGUCCUUGUCGUCGAGGUUGCGGCUACCGUCGGAACAGUCGGAGAGGCAGUAGUCACAUGCGGUCAUGAAGUCCCGCAUGGCACUAGGGUUGCCAAGUCCAGAGAAAUCCCAACAGAUGUUGGGGUCGUCGUCUUCCUCGGACCCGGAGGGCCCAUAGGUCGAGACGUCCGUCAGCCGGUCCCAAGGCGAUCGCGUGCGAAACCCCAGAGGGUUUGAACUCGCCUCUACGAGAGUGCCCGCCAAAGCAAGGUCGCUAGGCGGGUUGAGGCUGAAUCUAAAUGACGUAGGAUGGGAAUCGGUCGGUACCUUUUGGUCGACGAACGGCGAUGAAGUCACGUCGGGGACUGACUGCACCGUCAUCUCAGGUACGAGGGUGACGCCCAGCAAGCCUUCCGCGAGCGUUCUGGCGUCGUCCGCUUGCUCGGGAUUGGCGUGUCGCGGGGAGACGGCGCUCGCCUUCGUCUCAAACGCGAGGUCGAUGCCCGACGCGCCCCCCGUUGGGGCGCUAGGGACGUCGACUCGCUCGACAGCCGACGAGGCGCGGCCUCCCGCUUGGCCUUGGUUGCCCCGCCUCCUCCUCCGUUGGCGGGGGAGAGGACGGGGCGAGCUCGAAUGUUGUUCUUCCACCACGCGGGGAAGACGUCGUCGAUUCCGCCGUCGGCGGGCGGGCCGUCGGCUGCCACUGUCGUUGUCGCGCGGCGGUGGAAGGAGUAUCAUGUCGUAGCUGCCGUCGAAGGACAUGAACUCAAGACUCCCGAAACGGAGCACCGUCCCGGGUCGGAGAGGUUGCUGGAGACUGCCCAUCUGGAGCUUGACGGGAAGCUGUUCGUCAACACGCAGCAGGCCCCUACCUGGCGCGCCAACUGUCGGCGUUUCGAGACCGGGGGGUCCCUCGGGCCGACGAGUGAGUGUCGCCGCGUGCCCCAGCCCAGAUGGGUCGAGCGCGUGGGCGAGCGCGAAGGGGGGAAAGGAGCGAGGCGGCCGGAGACCGGCGUGAGAGAGGUGGGAAUCCCGCGGCCUUCGUGUUCGUCCCGCGCCCAGGUCGGGUGCGCUUGCAGUAGGGGGUUACAAGCGUCCACGCGGGAGAGGGAAGCGAGCGGCCCCGAGAGAGCGCCUGUCCCGUCCUCGUCCCCGCGCGGCCAACCUCCUCUAAGAGGGCCCUGGUCCUCCCUUUUAUAGGCGUAAGGAGAGGAUCCAGGUGUACAAUGGGGGUGUAGCAGAGUGCUACGUGUCUAGCGGGGGAGAGCUAGCGCCCUAAGUACAUGCCGAUGUGGCAGCCGGAGAGAUUUUGGCACCCAGCUGGUGUGAUGUCGUGGCCGUCGGAGGAGCGACGGAGCCUGGCGGAGGGACAGCUGUCGGAGCGGUUGAGUCCUUGCUGACGUCCUCCUGCUUCCGUAAGAGAGCUGAGAGCCGCCGUCGUCACAGAGCAUGCGGGGCGCCAUCAUUGCCUGUCUGGUGGAGCUAGCCAGCUGGGACACCGGUCUUGUUCUCUGCGGCCCGAGUCAGCUCGGGGUAGGGUGAUGAUGGCGCUUCCUGUUGACGUGGCUGGCCUGCGCCCUAGGUUGGGCGACGUGGAGGCUCCUCCGAAGCCGAGGUCGAGUCUGUCUUCCAUGGUCGAGGCCGAGUCCGAGCCCCUGGGUCGGGCGAGGCGGAGGUCGUUCGGCAGAGGCCAGGGCGGAGUCCGAGCCCUGGGGUCGGGCGAAGCGGAGUUCGUCAUCUUCUGGGACUUAGCCCGAGUCCGAGCCCUGGGUCGGGCGGAGCGGAGUUCGCCGUCUUCCGGGACUUAGCCCGAGUCCGAGCCCUGGGUCGGGCGGAGCGGAGUUCGCCGUCUUCCGGGACUUAGCCCGAGUCCGAGCCCUGGGUCGGGCGGAGCGGAGUUCGCCGUCUUCCGGGACUUAGCCCGAGUCCGAGCCCUGGGUCGGGCGGAGCUUCCUAUGGUGCCUUUGGCAGGGCCUGACUGCCUGUCAGUCUUACUCUGUCAAGUGGCACUGCAGUCGGAGUGGCGCAGGCGGCGCUGUCCUUCUGUCAGGCCGGUCAGUGGAGCGGUGAAGUGACGGCGGUCACUUCGGCUCUGCCGGGGGGCGCGCGUCAGGAUAAAGGUGUCAGGUCACCUUUGCAUUAAAUGCUCCUGCGACUUGGUCGGUCGGUGCGGCGAUUUAGUCAGGGUUGCUUCUUAGCGAAGGCAGGGCCUCGGGCGAGCCGGAAAUAUGUCCGUCGUUGGAGGGGGGCCUCGGGCGAGAUGGAAAUCCUCCGGGGUCGACUGCCCUUGUCCGAGGCUAGGCUCGGGCGAGGCGUGAUCGAGUCGCUCGAAUGGACUGAUCCCUGACUUAAUCGCACCCAUCAGGCCUUAGCAGCUUUAUGCUGAUGGGGGUUACCAGCUAAGAAUUAGGAGUUUUGAGGGUACCCCUAAUUAUGGUCCACAAUAAUUAGUUUUUUUAUUAACUGUAUUUUAAUAAUAUAUCUAUUGGAUGUUAUAUUUUUUGUAUUUUUUUAAAAUUUUAGUUAAAAUUUAAACCUUCGUAAAAGUUAGAGUAAUGUAUAAUUUAGAAUGGAUUGAAUCCUUAUUACUGUUUGACGAUCUCUGUGUAGUAGUAAAUAAUAUGGGGGAAAUGUUAUCUUGUUCGUGUCGACCUAAUAAUUUUAAGGGAGCAGUAGCAAGUGGGACAAAACGAUUGAUGUCAUGCAUGAGCUACCCUACCCUUUCCUGCUACACUUUUUUGAUAAAUGCAAUCUGUCCUGCGUGCUGCUCACUUCCACGUGUUCAAUUUGGACGCUAAUCAUCAUCACGUACUACUUACUGUUCAGUCAUCCCCUAUGCAAAGUCAUUUACAAAUUUACCAUUCUUAGGUCUUAAGCCUUGUUCCGUUAUUUAAGUUCACAUGGAUUAAAUGAAAUUGAAUAAAUUAUGAAGAAUUUUGACUUGUUUGAUAUUUAAACCUAUUUAAUCUCGUCCAAUCCAUAUGGAUUGAGAUUAAAAUAAAUGGAGUCCGGCACUACUACAGUAAUAUUUUUUUAGAAGCGGCUUGUCCUAAAAUUCGAUUUUUAGAGACAGCUAUGAACUCAAGUCAUCUUUAUAGAUAUAUUUUUUCUAGCUGUGUGUGUGUCUCAUUAAAUUUUAAAUAUCAAUUUCUAAUUUUAGUAUAUAUAUUCAAAUGCAACAAUUUGAGAAGUCUAGAAUAUUACUAUGCAUAUGGACAUUGCAAUCGAGGUAUGUACAUACUCCCUCCAGUGCAGUAAAGGUAGUCGUUUAGGACAUGAUUGUGCAUACCAAGGAGUGAUUAAUUAUCAUAGAGUUUUCCCUGUUUGCCCUAUUAAAUAGGGAUAUGGGUGCAUUAACGUCACUAAAGCAAUCAGGCUUGAUUGGUUGCUGCAGCAGCUCUAAGGCAUUCUAGACUGGAGGUCUUAAGUUUGAUUCCUCUUAAAUGCAUCUUUUUUUGCAAUUACUAGGGGCAACAACGUCCAAAUCCCAGACCCACGCGCGCUAUGACUUCUUUUUGUGCACGCUCGGUCACGCGCAGGAUGACUUCUCUCGGUAGUUGUGACUAGACUAGCAGUAAGAGGACUGAUAAAGUUGCUCACACAGUACCUACACCUACAGCUGUCAUAAAGAUGUCUUAGGCCCCGUUUGAUUUGGUGGUCUAGAAAUUAGACCAUCUAUUUUAGUCUCAUUUAGUCUCUAAAUUUACAAAACGGUAGAACUAAAACAGUGACUAAACUGUUUUAGUCUCUAGUCUCUAAAGAGAUGACUAAAAGGGACUAAAUCAUAUAAAUUCCACUUUUCGCUCCUCCUUUAUUUUAGUUACACUAAUGGCGGGAGAAUUCUAAGGGUUAUUUUGAUUCUCUUAUUCAUUGAAUGUGUUUUGAAUAACUUUAGUCCAUAGAACGAAACAUGAUAGCGACUAAACUUUAGUCUCCUAACUAAUAUCCUAUUUGGUUCCUUUAGUUCAAGGACUAAAGUUUACUUAGGAGUCUAAAGUUUAGUCCCUACCUUAUUUGGUUUUAGGGACUAAAACUAUUCAAAAUACAUUAAAUAAAUCAUAAGAGGACUAAAAUACCCUUAACAUUCUCCCGCCGUUAGUGCAGCUGAAAUAAAGGAGGGGCAAAAGGUGGAAUUUAUAUGGUUUAGUCUCUUUUAGUCACCCCUUGAGAGACUAGAGACUAAACAUCUUAGUCCCUUUUUUAAUCCCACCGUUUGCCAAUUUAGAGACUAAAAUAGAGGGACUAGUCCCUCAAAUCAAACAUGGCCUAAACUUUACUCCUUGUGCUAAGUAACCAAACGGCCCCUUAGUUCAAAUCCAAAGUAAGCAUCACAUUCAUGGACCGCCACGUUUGUACUGUAGGUCAUGUGUGCCCCCUCGUCCCUACUCUGUUUAAUUUUAGGGACUAAAACUAUUUAAAAUACAUUAAAUCAAUCAUAAGAGGACUAAAAUACCCUUAGCAUUCUCCUGCCACUAGUGCAGUUGAAAUAAAAGAGGAACAAAAAGUAGAAUUUAUAUGGUUUAGGCUCUUUUAAUCACCCCUUGAGGGACUAGAGACUAAAACAGUUUAGUCCCUAUUUUAAUCCCACCGUUUAUCAAUUUAGAGACUAAAUAAGACUAAAAUAGAUGGAUUAGUCCCUUAAACCAAACGAGGCCUAAACUUUACUCCCUGUACUAAGACUGUCUCCAGCAACGUCCUCUAAAAUUUAUCCUCUAAAGUAAUAUUCUCUGUCCUUUACAGAACACUCUAAAGGAUUCCAUCCUCUAUAUCUUCAUCGACUCCAGCAGCGUCCUCUAAAAUUCAUCCUCUAUAUCUCAUCCACUUUAAUAUGCCAACUUAACAAAUUGAAUAUAUUAUUUUACUAAAUCAGAACCGUCGUUUUUUUGCUUCGCAACGUCCGGAGCAUUUCGUCGAGAACCUUGCACGCGAUAUCCCACCACCUUGGCCAUGGCUACAAUUUGGACCACCUCCUGCUGCUGCUGGCUCAACUAUCCGCGCAUGGGUACAGUUAGGAGCACCUGCUGCUGCUGCGCGGGGUCGUAGGCAUGGGUGCCGCUGCUGGCUCAACUGUGUGGACGUUGCUCGGAGACGAGGACACCCAUGUGCGCCGAUGGAUAGCGGGUGAACAGCAAAACACUAGAUUUAGCGGUGGUCGGACAGACGCUAUAUUUUAGCGAAUCUUUUACCGUUUCUUGCUAGGGCGGUAGCGAACGACGAAAAACUCUAUAUAUAAAGUUGUGGAUCAUUUAGUGUCUCUUGCUGGAGACAACCUAAGGAAUCAAACGGCCCCUUACUUCAAAUCCAAAGUAACCAUCACAUUCAUGGGCCGCCAUAUUUGUACCCCACAUACACCCCACCCCACUAGACUAGUCUAGCAGACUAGCAUUAAGAAGACUGAUAAAGUUGCUCACACAUUACCUAUAGCUGUCAUAAAGAUGUCUUAAAUUAUUUUUACAUUCGAUCAAAUGUCUAGAAACUAGCACGAAUAUUUAUGACAUAAGAGUAUCUAAAAAUAUAUCUAAUGAUAAUUCGGUAUCAUAAAUUUUAGCAAUAAUUCGGUGAUAGCAAUCUUUUAUAUAAGUUUGAUUGCACACAAAAAUAUUUAAUCUAAAACAACUCUGAAAUUAAGGAUUCAUUUGAGUACAGGAUGGUGCUUUACCCGAGACACUUGCUCAUUCAUUGAUUGAUCAGCGUGGGCCACAGUUCCAGCCCAUGCAGCGGCAACACGUAGCCGCGUACUCGUGGAACACGAACUGGCCAUUAUUAUCUGCCCACGCUGGCAAAAUUGUCUGUAGUAGACAUGAGCGCCUCUAACUUGUCGUUGUCUGAAACGACAAAAGUUUGCAAUAAUGAUGAGAUGGCAAGGGAACUAAAUACAGUAAUCUGUAAGAGGUGUACAGUAGAUGAUAGAUUCAUAAAAAAAAAUAAAGUUUACUAAAAGGUUAAAGGGUAAUUUGAUGCGGUGGAACUAGAGAUGUCCAAACGGGUGGGCCGUGCCGGCCCGGCACGGGCCCGCCUUUGGCCCGGCACGUUUCGGCCCGGCACGUUUCGGCCCGUUAGGUUGACGGGCCGUGCCGGGCUAGGCCACCGUGCCACAUCCUAGGCCCAAGCACGGCCCGCACAUAGCCGUGCCGUGCCGGGCCGGCCCGCAGCCCGUUAAGGCCCGCCGUGCUUUGACCGGGUGGGAAGAAAAAUAAGUAAAAAAAAAGACUAAAAACAAACUUUGCUAGGAUUUGAACCUUGGUUGGAGGGUUUAAAAUGCUUAGUUGCACCACUCUAGCCAACUAAACCAAACUUAUUUUGUAUCUAAACUAUUAAAAUUGCUUAUAAUAUACAAAUAAAUGCACUGGAAAAUAAAAUAAAAAACCGGGCCGUGCUCGGGCCAGCACGGCGUGCCACGGCAGCGGCCCAAGCCCGGCCCGACUAACGGGCCGUGCCGGCCCGGGCCCGUCAACCACCGGGCCGUGCCGUGUUCGUGACGGGCCAAAAUCGUGCCGUGCCACGGGCCGCCCGACGGGCACGGCCCAUUUGGACAUCUCUAGGUGGAACUAUGUUUAGAAAUUAAAAACAUGUAAAACAAUCCAUAACGGACCGAGAAAAAUUAGUUUGCCUAUUUACUAUCUUCUGUCGAUUCUUAACUGAUGCUCGUUGCCUCGUUGGAGAUGGAAAUUAUUAAAUCAUCGACGACCAACAGAAAAUACAUAUCUUUUGUUAGCUAUACGCAACCGACAUAAAUUACCUCCGGUCAUGCUAACUUUCAUCGGCUUGCGCCUCACAGAAGGAAAAUAGCUAACUUAGAUCGGCUAAUAACCCAGUCGACGGAAGUUAGCUCUAGUCGCACUAACUUUCGCUCGCCAAUUUAACUGACCUAAAUUAAUGGCUUGCACCAGUAAUAAAAUAUGGUUUUAUUUAUUUCCCAUAAAAAUCAUAUAAAAUUUCAUUCAUACACAACACACAAAAUGGCACAAUUACCACUUUAUUUACAACUCAACAAACAACAUUGGCAUAAACAACCACAUAAAUAUUCAUAAUUCAAAUGUCUUACCACACACAUCUCACAACUAUUUUCUCACAUCACAUAUAAAUACCCAUACUUCAAGCCAAAUUACCACAGCCGUACGUAUUUCAUGGAAUAUAAUCUUCAAUAGCCAUCGCACGGAUUAUUAGAUUUUUGGCUACUACCUCCAAAAGGGUCACCAAAUAUUGUAAUUACAAAUGCAGUUCUAGCAUCCCUCGGCACCAAUACAUUGACCAAAAUAUGCGAUUAGCAAAAAAUAUUCAUUUUCCUGCAUACCAUGAUCAACCUAAUGAUUGACUAGUUUCCUGUUUAUCCUGUCCUUGGUUACCCUUUUGGGAUUUGGCUAUUAUGACUAAUAUUGUGCUAGUACUUUACUUUCAUCAAUGAACAUGAUGAGAAUACUUUAUGACACGAUGUUGAUAUUCUGGAUAUGAUGGUGAGCUUGUGGCACUAAAGGGGACUCGGGCUAUUUUUCGAGUACCUCUCCGUAAGGACCUGUUCGUUGGAUGACCCCCCCCCCCCCGGGAAAACAAUACAACCAUGAGGGUGGUAUGUGAUGCCCUUAGCUGAUUAAUUAGAGGAACUUGAGGUGUAGUCGGCUUCGUCGUUGUGCCGGUAAUGGGGUCCAGGCACAGUACUUGUUCUGCCGAGGCUAGGUUCGUUCGUUUUGCUUUUGUUAGUCACCCCUCCUGUGGGGAGAUGUAUUGUGUUUAUCAAACUGAAAAAACCUAACGAAUGGCUAUGACCUCUAGGGAAUCUUUGUAAAGGCCACAUAGUGAAACCUUGCCGACUCAUCUUAGGAGUGUUUAAGGGUCUGUACAACCUGAGGCAAAAAGGCAUCAUGGCUCAUGGGUAAAGUGUGCGACCUAUAUAGAGGGUUAGAAACUGGUAUAUCAACCGUGCUCACGGUUAUGAGCAGCUUGGGGAGCUCCUUUGAUUAGAGAUAUUCUGGAUACCUCGAUGAUGAUGGUUUAAUGAUGAUGAUAACUAUGAAUUAUUGUAUUUCCUCUUGGAAGGAGUACCUUUUAGGAUAAUAACUUGGGAUUAUUGUUAAAAAUUGGCUCUCUACUAGUAAGAAAUAUCUGGCCAACUAAAAGUAACCGCUUUAAGCUUCACCCUACAUACAACUAGUCUACUUUAGCCAAAUGGGACAUUUACUGAGUACGUUGAUGUGUACUCACACUUGCUAAAACACCAAACACUAGGUUGUCCCCAUUGCAACCUCUGCUCAGGAGAAGAUGAAGGCAACAUAGAGAACUUUUAGGAGUUUCAGGACUUCGAUGAGUUCUAAAGUAGAUUAGCGGCAAAUCCUCAGUCAGCUGCUUGUGAAGGCCUUAUCUUACUAUGUUUUGUUUAGCACUUUGAUUUAUGUUUAAGUUAAGGACUAUGUGAAUGUUUCGGACAUCAUGAUGUAAUAAAAUAAUACUCCUUUCGGCUACUAUUUUGAGCAUUGUGUGAUGAUGUCCAAUUAUGUAAUCGAUGUGUACGUGAAUUUCUGAUCCUGGUACGAACAUGGUUCGCAUUGAGUUUGCCUUCCAAAACCGAGUGUGACAAAACGAGACAGAUAUAGACGAAUACAAUGUCAUCCCAUAUCAUACUCUAAUGUAUUUCUAUUGGAUACAUGACCGUGUACGAGUAGUUAAAAUUCGGGACAAAUAUAUGAUGGGAUCGGGUAAUAAUUCAGGCGGGUAAGAAACAGAUAUCAGAUAUUAACCGGGUAGAUAACGGAUAUUCGUCGGAUAGUUCGUCCCGAUAAUAUUAGUUGCCCAACCGUCAAACAAACAAAUAAAAUGAUACGUAAGCAUGUACAUGAUAGCUCAAAUAUAGAAAAAUAACAGAUAAAAUUGACAUCAUGUAGUUUAAAGUUACUAAUCACAAGGACAUUAUAAAACCAACAAUACAAAAAAAAACGGCAACAUAUCCCCUAUUUUAGGCAUAAUAGGUUAAGUCAUCUGAUUAUAUAAAUUGAUCAAGCUUAAGAUAUUUUGAAUCCCCAGGGAAGACAAAUUAUAAUUUGGCAUGAAGAAAGUACUAAAUUAAAAAGGCAAGAUGUUUCUUAUUAUCGUGAGAAUUUCAUAAAUUUAUAUCUUUCUUCUGGUAUAUUUACUAGCGAGAAUUAACGUGUUGUUGCCUUGUAGGAACCUCUGCUUAGUAACAGUAAGAUGAGAUUUGUUUGAUUUUUUUUUUUUUUUGAAAAUAGAUAAUAGCAUAUUUCGUUUGCGGAGGUCGCAAAGUGAAUUGGGCCAGAAGGCCGCAAGAGCAAGGCGCCAGGCACAAGGCUGAAGGCACAAGGCAGACCCGGAGAGCAAAAACAAAGCGCAGGCGCGCAGCGGGUACCCGAUGGUCAGAUACUUACUUGUAUCCGACUGUCCGACCUAGGAUAUUUGAGUGUUUAUUAUCUGAAUACUAUCCGUAUUCGUUCUGAUAAAAAAAUACACAUAUCUGUAUCCGAAAUUCGAGUUAUUUUACCAUCCGUAUUCGAUACCCGACUCCGAUAUCUGUUCCGUUUUCAACUCUAACAGAUGCAGACAGUCUUAUAUUAGCAUUGGUGUUGAUAAAAAGAAAAACAAACAAACAAAAUGUGUCGAUUCCAACCAUCAUAGUUUAAAUCUGUUGGCAGUCAUCUUGGACAGAAAUAGGUUUAUACAACUAGUGUUAUGACAGAAACACGAAAAGCAUGUCAAUCUUUGAUAUUUUUCGUGGAUUUUGCCAUUGACUCCCCCGUACACAUGCAUUACAAGCUUGUGAGCGACCCAAUAGACAUCGUUUAGCGUCUUUUUUUUCUUAAAUUUUUUUCAAUAGAGAAAGCUUUAUUAAUCUUAGACAAUUACAUUAAAAUGAUAUAAGAGUACUAACAUUUUUUUUCUUCAAUUUCUCACACAAGUGAAAACAAAUAUAUGUCCAUAUCAUUUUCAAGGACAGUGCCAAUUUUUUCUUACAAGACUUUGUGAUUGUUUGGUUCCUAAAGCAUCACAACAUGUCUAAACUUAGUUACUCGAAUUGGAAAACUAACUUUUUAAACAAAAAAGAUUAGACAAGUUCUAAUCGUCUUAGGCAGAAACUAAACAAGCCCUUUAGUUAUGGAUGGAGGUGGCGCAAUGAAAUGGUUGGUUAGCAACACUCGUACCAGUAGUGCCUCCAACAAACAUAAGUUAAAUUGUGAAAGAUCUCGCUGGGAAUUGGGUCAGUCCGUAGGUGGCGCAAUUGAGGCCGAGAACGCCCAAUUUUUUUGGCUAUGUUGUACCACAUAAAGUUUAUAUCUUAUUAAAUUAAAGUUAUUAAACAAUACGAGCAUCAUUUGACCAUAAAAAAUCUAAAUAAAUAGCUUACUAAAUUAAAGAAAUUAAAUAAUAUAUGUUUUAUUGGGCUCGUGCUCGUGCUGGCCCAAAAGGCUCGGUCCAUAUUCCCAACACUAGUUCUAGGGCAAAAAGACAACCAUGACUUCAUAAAAAAAACGUACAAGGUAUUUCAAAGAUUAGAUUUAGAAGAGAGCCCAUAAAUGAAAUAAUUUCUUAGAGACUUAGGGCAUGGUUUUAUCAAGUACCUUUAUUUGGCUAUGAUACAAAUUGCGUAGCCAUAUGGCUGGUACAUUUUAUCAUAGCCAAAAGGCCAAAAAUGAAUGAGUUAAAAAGAAGUCCGACUCCUGUUUUAUAGCUCGCUCGUUUUGGUAAUAUAUGAGAGCGUUACGUGUGGCUUCCUAUCGUUUUGGACUUGGACGGUUUCUUAUGACCCAUCUGUGGUGUAACAAUCUAUUGAACUCAUUAUUAGACGAGAAGCGGGAGGAAAGGAAUAGAGCUACGCGCUUAGUAUGUGACGCACGACGUAUGGAACUGGUGCUUUAAAGAACUAGAGAAAAGUCAAAUAACAUAUACUUUGGUCCAUCAUUUCUCUUAUAUCACUAAUUGCUAGAACAAGACUAUUGUUGGGGACUUGUUCUCAAACACUAUGAAUUAAGAACAAGGCAACAUAAAAUAUAAUUCACAUAUUUUAUUAUAAUACAAUGUAACAUGAAAUAUAAAAUAUAAAACAUUAGAGAAAGAUAUACCAAAAACUGGUAAUAUAAUUCACAUAUUUUAUUAUACAAACCUAAAUAUUAAACAAUAAUAUUUAGGUACAUUUAUACCUUCGUCUUGACAGAAAACAAUAAUUCCAGCGUAACGUGUUCGCGAUUACAAGAUUGCGUGAACAGUACAGGGGUACUGUUCACAUAUUUAUAGGCACAGGGCGCAGCCUGUGUAAAAUUAAAUUUAUGCCCUUUACAAUCGACUACAAUGAUGACACAAAACGCCAUGGGUCUUUAAGUUAUUUCAUCUUUAAAUCGGUUCACCCUUUUGUCUUGAGAUCUGUCACUGUGCCGAAGCUUUAUAGGUGAUAGCUUCGGCGCUGCUUCUGAGAAGAUUUGCCGAAGGUGUUCUCUUGCUUUAGGAUCUUCGACUACGAAGCAUACCCCCAACAGUAGCCCCUUCGCGGUGCUAGAUCGUUUUUCGUAACGAGCUUGAUCCGUGAAAAGGUCUUCUAGGCUUAGGGAUGCCAAAGAUCCGAAAAACAUCUUCCCUGAGCUCGUUGCCGAGAAACGAUUAAAAUAAUCCGCGCACGGAGUGGCCCCAUCUUGCAGCAGUUACGCGCGUCCUGGCGAUUCACCUUCUCGGACCCUGUGGCCCACCGUUCAGUGAGUGAGGGUGACUGUUUGUCUGUUGCGGAAGACCUUGGCGAUCCACCUUCCCACCUGCGGCACUAUAUAAAUAGAUGGGUAGGUGUGUAAUUACCACAACAUUCAUUGCUAUUGCACUGUUUUUCUGCCAAAAUAUUGACCAAAGUCGAAGCUUGUUUGCUGCAUCUCCAACCGAAGCUGUUUACUUUGCUCAAGCUUUGUAAAAAGAAAGAGCUUCGGCAAAGUAAAGAAAAUUUUUCAACUUUAUUCAAAAAACAAGAAAAUCAUCAGAUGGCCAGAGUUCGCUCCACAGCUAGGGUUACGCGCGACGGAGAGGAAGCCGAAGGUGCUAAAACUGCCCCAAUCUCCGAAGUGAUGCAACGGUCAGGGCUAGUAGUGCCGGAGGAUGCACCUUCUACUGAAGCUGAGCAGGUUGAUGCUGGGGAAGUUGAAUCAGAAGAUGAUUAUGGUGUAGCGCCAAGUAAACCCAGCCACCUGGAUUUCGGGAAAUCCACCAUCUCCGAAGGUGAUCUGCCUAAGAUGUUGAAUUUGGGCUACUUCAAUGAAGCGAAGAAAGAGCUGAUUCGUUUCGGUGGGGACGAGACUACUCCGAAGCCAGGAAAGGAUGAAGUAGUGGUCUUUAAAAGCUUUUUUAAGGCUGGUUUGAGAUUUCCUUUGAACAAGAUGAUUGCUGAUGUAUUGAAUAAGUUUGGGAUCUACCUUCAUCAGCUAACUCCUAACGCUAUCGUUAGGCUUAGUGUUUACAUCUGGGCUCUUCGAAGCCAAGGGGUGGAACCAUUUGCCGAAGGUUUCUGCCGAGCGCACGAGCUUCAUUACCAGACCAAGGCUAGAGGAGAUGGGCUGCAUGAAAACUUUGGCUGCUAUAAUUUUGCCUACCGCAAGAGUACAAAAUUUCCAGUGAUUAGUUACCGAAGCAAGUGGCCAGCUGGCUGGAAGUCUGAGUGGUUUUAUGUCAAGGUUGACGAAGAUAAGGAGAAGCUAGUCCAGAGUCCGCUAGAAUUAAUCUUCGGAGAAACCAGACCCCAGUGCAACAUGUCACCAGGGAGUCCAAGUCAAAUUGCUCUGGCCGAAUUUAGAGUUAUUGCGGAGCAUAUCGGCACUAGGGACUUAGUGCAAGAAUUUUUGGCCUUUAGAGUGUUCCCAACUUUGAAGGAGUGGGAAAUGCCGAAGCUGAAGGGAGAAAAGAAAAAGGGGGAAUUUGUUCGGUUACCUUAUCAUUACAAAUUCAAGAAACAUUUCAAAGUGCCUUGCCAAGAGUGGCUGGACACAAUUGAAGUAAUGUGCAAUGAAAUACUCGGCAAUUAUUCUAAAAAAGAAGAUCAAUUGAUGACUGUGGCCUUCGGCACCCGUUCGAAGCGGAGGUGAAACCGAGUAAUGGAUGCUCUGGACUUCGAGUAUCCUGACUAUGAGCGGCUAGACAAGGAUACCGAAGGUCAAAAGAGGAAAAGAGUAGCUGGUGCUCUGAAAAAAGACGAUGAAGAACAACCGAAGAAGAAAAAGUUAGAGCCUAAGCCGAAAACAGGUGUUUCGAAGAAGAGAAAAGAUACAGCUCCGAAGCAGAAAGCAAUUGAUGAUGAAGAAGAAUCUGCUGCAACACCCUCUGCUACCGAAGUAGAGGAAAUCUUAAAGGUAAUGACUGAAUCUUUGUCUGUCAAGCUAAGUCCACUCGGGCCACAUCUGACGAAGCUUUUUCAGAAGGAAAAGGAGCCCGCGAAAACGAAGAAAGCAGCUAGGCCAAAAAAGCAAAGAAUCAUUACAGUGACGGAAGCCAUCGAAGGGACACCACCACAAGCUUCAGCUCCGAGGGUCCCAGCCAUUGAGAGCACAACAACUGCCGAAGCUGCACCUUCGGAAGCCACAGCUACCGAAGAUACCAGAGCCGAAGAUAUUCAUUUAGAAAGCACGAUUGCUGAUAUAGAUAAAAUACUGCUAGACAUGGCUGCAGAAGAAGCUGCCGUAGCCACCAAAGAGACUACGGCCCCAGAGCCUGAAAAAGAGAAAGAAAUAACCGAAGACACUUCGGAAGAUGAAUUUAACUUUCAAAAGUUAGUUGGUCAAGAACUGACAAAGGCUGAAAAAGAAGAGCUAAAAGAAUAUGCUAUAUCUUGCGGAUAUCGGCCGGGAGCUCUUCUCUUCGGUGGCAUUGAUGACGAAAGGUUGGGCUGCGUUCGAGAUCAGAUCGGUGCGAAGGUUAUCGGUACUCUAUCAAAGAGUAUUGGCUUCCCGAAGCUCAAUAGAUAUCAGCCGCUACCGACGACAGCACAUCGUCGGUAGUUUAUUUUAUUCCAAUUUCAAGGUAAACAACUUUUUUCUGACUUUUUUUGUUUUUAAUAGCAAAGUUGUUUUCUAACGAAGGUUGUUUAUGUGCAGAGUAUGCUGCUGAGCAAAGCUUUAAAAAUGCAGCAGGAUUUGGAAGAUAAAAAACAUGAGGUUAUAAUUGAGAAUUUAGAGAGCAAAAUAAAGGAGCAGUCAUCUGCUAUUGAAAAGAAAGACUUCGAGCUUCAGACAACCGAAGGCUUAUUGACAGAAGCUGAAGCUAAAAUAACAGAAUUAAGUACGAAGCUUCUCUGCCAAUCAGAACACUUUGAACAAGAAAAGCAAGAGCUUAAUGCAAAAUUUGAGGUCGAAGUCCAGAAAAAUGCAGAUUUGAAAAAAUCAUUGACAAGCCUUCGAAACAAAUAUUUGGAAUUCAGUAAUCGAUGUGUUCAACGGCUGAAGCAAAUCUUCUAUUCAGUUGGAGCCAGCAGCGAAAAAUUUACUCCUUCGGCCGAAGACCUGCCAGGGGCCUUUGAACAUAUCGAAGGUGAAAUUGACGACCUUGAUGAAGUUAUUGCUGGACAUGGUGACUUUUGUGCCCUGGUAGCUUCUCGGGGCACAGCUGUUGCCUUCCUAAAAUCUGGCUGUGACCAUGGAAAGGUUAUCAAUAGACCCACUUUCAGCCUGUCACCAGCAGAUCUGGAUAAUAUUCCCAACCUUGCCCAAAGCAUAGCAAAUAGAUUUGUAAAACUGGUAUGGACAAAGGGUGGACGAAGCAAAGCUGGUGAUGAGGCUCGGAGUCAUCUUAAGCCGGUAACAAAAUCAUACCUUGUGCUUACCUCUUCCUUCGAACUUGAAUUUUGCUUACAAUACUUUAAUACGUAUAGGAUGACGAAGCCGAGGCCGAAGCUGAGGAGUAAAAAGACGAAGCUCCAUGGAUACUGACGAAGCUUGAAUAGUCUGUAGAAAAAGCUCUAGAAACUCUUGUAAUAACUUGUGUAAAGAAUGGUGUAAUUAAAUUUUACUUCGUGGACUUUGUCCAUACCUUGUAAUAUAUUCUUACCUUUCCAUCAAUGUAUAAAGUGCUUUGAUGUGAACGAAAUUAGCAUUUUUGAGCCGGAGGCGAAAAACACGUUCCCUUCUUUUCGUACACAGCUAAGCAUAAAACUGCUUCUUUUUCUGUUUUCCGAAGCCUUCUCUUUAGAGCCGAAGCAACUGCCUGUGUUAUGAUGAUGAUGGUCCUAUGUAUGUCUAAAUGAAUGUUUAUGAAUGCAAAUGUAUGAUGUAAUGUGUCGUGCAAAUGAAUGUCCAAACACUCAUACGAAGCUUUAUUCACAACCUUCAUUCCCUAAGGAAUGACUGAAAUCUCUUUUUGAUGCAAGCUUCCCUUAGGAACUUCUUCGCCUUUUAUUUCGGCGGUAUCAGCGUUGACUUUUCGCUCUAAGACUCCCUUAGGAGCUUCUUCGCCUUCUAUUUCGGCGGUAUCAGCGUUGACUUUUCGCUGCAAACUCUGCAUUCCCUUGGGAACGACUUUUGAGCAGAAAACUUACGCUGCGCUCCCUUAGGAACGACUUUUUGUAGCUUCGUCGUGCUCUGCAUCCACUUAGGGACGUCUUUCGAGCUUCUCCCUGUUUUUUCUUUUCUCUUUGCACUCGAUGGUGCAUGCUCAGCUUUUACAUUUACAUCUUUGGGGGAAAUUGCCCUUGUAGAGCUGAAAUAAGAAAAAGAGAAAUUACAUGCUAUGGUCCCAUUAAAAACCUUUCUCCCCCUUUGGAAAGGAAAAAGGUGUAAUAUGAAAAAAAAGAUUACAUCAAGCUACACAUAAUAUCGCUGAAGCUCAUCCGCAUUCCAAGAUCUAGGAAUGUCGUUGCCGACCAUGUCCUUCAAUCUGUAUGAACCGGGUCUUGACGAAGAUACUACCAGAAGAGGUCCUUCCCACUUUAACUGUAGCUUGCCUACUGUAUCUGGGUUAGCAACUCUUCGAAGUACCAAGUGCCCUGGCUUGAUAUUUUUAACCAAACUUUUCUGUCACGCCAUUUUAUUGUUUCGGCUUGAUAUUUAUUGAUAUUCUCCACAGCCUAAAGCCUGAUCCCUUCUAUAGCAUCUUUUGCCACAGAAUAAUCAGCUUCGUCCUCCACCGAAGCCACUGUUCUUAUUGAUCCAGCUUUAGCUUCUUCUGGGGUUAUUGCUUCGUCAUCAAACAUCAAUUUGAAUGGUGUAAAGCCUGUUGACCUUGACAUUGUUGUAUUAUGGCUCCACACCACUUUGAUUAAUUCAUCUGGCCACUUUCCUCUGGGCUGAUUGAAGAUUAACUUCAUUAUUCCUGUCAUUAUAAUGCCAUUAGCUCUUUCGACAAGUCCAUUUGACUCGGGAUGUCUAACCGAUGCAAAAUGAAUCUUCGUGCCAAUUUGUUCACAAAACUCUUUGAAAGCUUCGGCAUCAAACUGUGUUCUGUUGUCCACAGUAAUAGCCUUCGGCACUCCGAAGCGACAAACAAUAUUUUGCCAGAAUUUUUUUUGAAUGGUGACCGAAGUUAUUGUGGCUAAAGGCUUUGCCUCAAUCCACUUAGAAAAGUACUCUACUGCCACCACAACAUAUUUUAAAUUUCCUUGUGCUGGUGAAAGUGGGCCUAGCAAAUCAAGGCCCCAUCUUUGCAAUGGUCAAGUGGGCUGUAUUAACUGAGUCAGAGACGAAGGUUGUUUUUGAUCUCUUUCACAUUUUUGAUAGCCUUCACAUUUUUGGACUAUUUCUGCUGCAUCCGAAGCUGCCUUUGGCCAAUAAAAUCCUUGACGAAAAACUUUUCCCAGCAAGGGCCUAGAUCCGAUGUGAGAUCCACACAGGCCUGCGUGUAUUUCCUUCAUCAAUUCUAUACCUUCAGCUCUGGAUAAACAUUUGAGCAAUGGAGAACAGACUCCAUGUUUGUAUAACUCCCCUUCUAUUAUUACAUAUGGUCGGGCUCUUGCCUCUAUUCUCUUGUUAUAAGCUUCGUUAUCUGAAAGGCAGUUACCCUGGAGAAAAGAUAUAAUCUCGGUUCUCCAAUCUUCACUAUGAACAGGAGAUAUAUUAAGCACUGCUCUUUCAAUAAGUUCCACCGAAGGUGCUUUUAUUGUCUCAAAGAAUACUUCUGAAGGUAAAGGCAGCCCCUGUGCCACUGACUUGUCUAGCAGAUCAGCAUGCUCAUUUUCUCCUCGUGGAAUAUUCUUGACAGAAAACCCUUCGAAGGAAGCUUCAAGCCUUCGAACUGUAUCCAAAUAUUUCUCAAGCUUCGGAUCUCUUGCUUUACAACUUUUGUCCACAUGACCAGAAAUAACUUGGGAAUCAGUUUUGAGAACAUCCCUUCUUAUCCCCAUUGCCUUUAACUUUUCGAAGCCCCAAAAGUAAAGCUUUGCAUUCAGCAAUAUUAGUUGUGCAGCUGAAAUCAAGUUUCACUGCAUAGCAUGUUCUAACUUUGGAAGGUGCAACUAAAACAGCAGUUGCACCUGCCCCGAAGGUCCCCCAGGAAACGUCGCAGAACACUGUCCAAGCUUCAACAUCUUUACUUGCUUCUUCUUCCUGAGCCCCUAGCGUCCAGUCUGCGAUGAAGUCUGCUAACGCCUGGGACUGAAUCGAGGAUCUAUGCACAUAAUCAAUGCUGAAUUCGUUGAGUUCCGCAGCCCACUUUCCAAUCCUUCCAGUAGCUUCUCUGUUCCUCAUAAUAUCCUUCAAAGGCUGUGAUGAAGGAACAAUUAUAUGGUAUGCUUGAAAGUAGUGUCGAAGCUUCCUGGAGGCCAUUAAGACAACAUAUAGCACCUUCUCCAAUUAUGUAUAGUUUUUCUUUGAUAAACUGAGAACUUCAGAGACAAAGUAUACUAGGGCUUGCUUUUUAGUUUGUCCUUCAAGCUUCUCCUGGACAAGUGCCACACUUACUGUAGAGUGCGAAGCUGCUACGUACAACAGCAGAGGAGCCCCUGGCGCGGGUGGAGUUAGCGUCGUUAGAUCUAUCAGAUACUGUUUCAGCUCUUCGAAGGCUUUCUGCUGAGCUGAUCCCCAUUGAAAGACUUCGGCCGACUUCAGUACCUCAAAGAAUGGUAAAUUUCUCUCUGCUGAUCUAGAUAUAAAUCGAUUCAGAGAUGCCAGUCUUCCUGUCAGCCGUUGAGCCCCCUUCUUUGUGCUUGGCGGCUCCAUCCGAAGAAUAGCUUCGAUUUUAUUUGGAUUAGCUUCGAUCCCUUUUGUUGAAACUAGACAACCAAGGAAUUUCUCCUUCUUUACUCCAAAGACACACUUUUCUGGAUUCAACUUCAGGCCAGCUUGCCUAAAAUUAGCGAAUGUCUCCUGCAGAUCAGCAAUGUGAUGUUCUUGCUUCGUGCUUUUUACUAUGAUAUCAUCAACAUAAGUUAGCACAUUUCUGCCUAUCUGAGAAUGAAGGACUUUCGCUGUCAUUCUACUGAAGCUUCCUCCAGCAUUCUUGAGCCCCUCAGGCAUCCGAAGAUAACAAUAUGUACCACUAGGUGUUAUGAAGCUUGUUUUUGGCUCGUCUUCCUUUUUCAUCCAAAUUUGAUGGUAACCUGAAUAACAAUCUAGUAGAAUCAUGAGCUCUGAUGAAGCUGUUGCAUCUACUAGAGAAUCUAUCCUUGGUAAUGGAAACUCAUUCUUCGGACAAGCCUUGUUGAGAUCAGUAAAAUCAAUGCACAUUCUCCAUUUACCGUUGGCCUUCUUCACCAUAACAGUGUUAGCUAGCCAUUCUGGGUAUUUUACUUCUCUGAUGACUCCAGCGCUAAGAAGUCUUUUCACUUCAUUCUGAGCACCUUCGGCUUUGUCAUCAGACAUUUUCUGAAGCCUCUGCUUUCUGGGUCUGAAGGAUAGAUCGACAUUGAGCGCGUGUUCAAUGACAUCCCUGUUGACACCACAAAGAUCGUUGGCGGACCAUGCGAAGACAUCUUUGUUGUUAAACAGAAACCUUGUUAGGUUUUUCUCCUGUUCCUCAGACAAUUGAGAUCCCAACAACACCUUCUGCUCUGCUAUAUCUUCACAUAAGAGCAUGGGUUUCGGCUGAUCGGCCACAGCAGCCUUCUCCCUUCUGUACUUGUUUUGCUCACAGGCUUCGGCUCCAUCUAUAUUAUGGAUUGCUUUUGAAUCUGUCCAGUUUCCUUUGGCCUUUCUAGCAGCUUCCUGACUACAUGAAUAGCAAUAGACCCUUGAUCCGAAGAUAUCUUCAUGCAAAGAUAUGCUGGAUGAAGAUUUGCUUCAAAAGCAUUGGGUGUCCCACGACCAAUGAUUGCAUUGUAGGGGUACUCCAUGUCGACAAUAUCAAACACAACUUGCUUAGUCCUUGUAUUGUUGACAUAUCUGAAGGUCACUGGCAUCGUGAUCUUGCCGAGCGCUACAAUCUGCCUUCCUCCGAAGCCACAAAGAGGGUGUGUAGCAUCAUGAAUCUUAUCCUCUGGCUCUUGCAUCUGUCUGAAGGCCUUAGCAAAUAUAAUAUCCGCUGCACUGCCUGUAUCAACCAGAACAUUAUGGACCAGAAACCCUUUGAUAACACAAGAAAUAACCAUAGCAUCAUUGUGAGGGUAAUCCUUAAGCUGAAGGUCCUCUUGGGAGAAGGUAAUCAGGAUGUGGGACCAUCUUGACUUGAUGAAGGGUCCUUGCACCCCAACAUGUUGUACCCUUCUCUGUGCCUCCUUCUUCUGCUUCUUGUUGACCGGCUCUGAGCAUGAACCGCCUUUUAUCGGAAGUACCAGCUUCGAAGCCGAAGCAGCUCCAGCUUGGUUGUUGAAAAAAACCAUCAGCUCAAAAAGUGGAAGUGAGUUCACCGGAGGUGGGCGCCAAUGUUGGGGACUUGUUAUCAAAUGCUAUCAAUUAAGAACAAGGCAACAUAAAAUGUUAAAUAUUAAUACCCUUUGUCCGCUGGAGCAUUAUCUCCCCAAGGAUUUAAUGAACUUCGGACGAAGGCCAUGAGCAAAGUUUCACGAAGGUCACACCUUCGUGAUCAGACUUAUAAUACAAUGUAACAUGAAAUAUAAAAUAUAAAACAUUAGAGAAAGAUAUACCAAAAACUGGUAAUAUAAUUCACAUAUUUUAUUAUACAAACCUAAAUAUUAAACAAUAAUAUUUAGGUACAUUUAUACCUUCGUCUUGACAGAAAACAAUAAUUCCAGCGUAACGUGUCCGCGAUUACAAGAUUGCGUGAACAGUACAGGGGUACUGUUCACAUAUUUAUAGGCACAGGGCGCAGCCUGUGUAAAAUUACAUUUAUGCCCUUUACAAUCGACUACAAUGAUGACAUAAAACGCCAUGGAUCUUUAAGUUAUUUCAUCUUUAAGUCGGUUCACCCUUUCGUCUUGAGAUCUGUCACUGUGCCAAAGCUUUAUAGGUGAUAGCUUCGGCGUUGCUUCUGAGAAGAUUUGCUGAAGGUGUUCUCUUGCUUUAAGAUCUUCGGCUACAAAGCAUACCCCCAACAACUAUUAUUUUAGAGACAUUUUUUUGAAAUGAACGACAAGAGAGCUACCGAAAAAUAUAUUAGAAGAGAAAGUAAAAUACAAUUAGCAUGCUCCUAAGGGACAACCACACCCUGAAACAAAAAAAACAAGAAAAAGAAGAAAAAACCACUAAAACAAUAUGGAAAGAAAAUUUAGGAACUCAUAGCUAACUUGAACGGGUCCGCAUCCUCUUUGAUGAUGAAAGCAAUUUGAAGGGGCUGACAGAUUAAUUGUUGAAAAAUUAUUCUAUUUAUCUCCUUCCAAAUAUUCCACCAAAUGAGGCCAUCAAAAUCUCUUCUACUAGACCUCGGGACUGUAGACCUACAUUUUCUCCACCAUUUGAUAAGAGACUCGUCUUGACGAAUAGCUGGUAAAUAGUUUAGGUUGAACUAGCUAGCUAGCUGAUUCCAAACCUGUCCUGAGAAACCACAAUAUUUGCAGAGAUGAGUCGAUGUUUCUAGCGCAAUGUCACAAAGCUUGCAGAUUGGGUCAUGUGGCCAAUUCCUUUUAGCCAAGUUGUUAGCGAUUAAGAUUUUCUUUCGAAGGAGGAUCCAAGCAAAGAUCUUAAACUUUGGCUCUGAUUUAGCUUUCCAUAUCGGUGUAAUAUUAAACCUUUUAGAUCUUCCAGCAAAUUGGAUUCGAUAUGCACUAGAAAUGGAAUAAUCACCAUUGGACGUUUAUUUCCACAUAAUUUCAUCCUCGACGGAUUCAUUUCUAUUGAUUGCUUGAAUUUCCUCUCAUAAGGCAACAAAUUCUCUUACAAGCUGUUGCGUUGUGAUCCCAUGAAUGAAGGUGGGAAACCCAGGAGAGCUUUCUGAAUGUUCAUGUUCUUUCGUCUAGAUUUACUAAAGACAAGAGGAGCUAGGUUUUUUGGUGCUUGUCCAUUUAACCAAUUUAAAUGCCAAACACUACAGGAAUACUGAAGAUUCCCGUCGUCCAAGUUAAUUCCCGUCGGCCUUUGCUCUGGCCGACAGGAAUUAGUUAACUCCCGUCGGCUACUGUACACAGUAGCCGACGAGCCUUAGGUUAACUCCCGUCGGCCCUGACGUAAGCCGACGGGCAUUAGUUAACUCCCGUCGGCCUAUACACUGGCCGACGGGGAUUAUUGCUUUAUGGAGGCCGGCGGACAUCCCGCGUGGCUCAUUCUCCUCUCUCUCCGCUGUCUUUCCAAACCGACACCCCCACCGCCGCCAACCGCCGCCCCUAGCUACCCUGCCGGCCCCCAGCGCCCCCCCCCGCGAUGGGUGUCGCCCCCAAUGCCACUGCCCCGGAGCGCCGCCCGCCCCUAACGCCGCCGCCCCGGAGCGCCGCCCGCCCCCAAAGCCGUCGCCCCGGACCGUCGCCCGGCUCGCCCCCAACGCCGUGUCCCGGAGCGCCGCCUUGCCCGCCCCCAAAGCCGUCGCCCUGUAGCGCCGCCUGGCCUGCCCCCAACGCCGCCGCCACCGAACCCCUCCCGGAGAGCCGCCGCCGCCCCCAACCGCCUCCCCGAGCGCCGCCGCCGCGCCAAAGCGUCGCCGCCGCCCCGGACCGUUGAGGUAUAUAUAUUUGUGAAUUAUUGAAUGUAAAUGCGAGUGUGAUUGUUAAAUAUGUGUAUACAUGUUUAUUUUUGUCGGUUUUUAUGGCCGACGUGAGUUAACUUUCAUGUGAUUAGAGUUAGUUUAAUAUCACAUGUGAUUAGAGUGUGAUUAGAGUUAGUUUAAUAUCACAUGUGUGGCUUGAUGUUAGGUAAGUAUUAAUUCUAUUAUUAUAAUAGAUUUAACUUAUGCUAUUGAAUUGUUGAAUUUGAUGUUAUUUAUUGAUUAGAUUUAACUUAUAAUAUUAGGUUGUAUGAAGGUUUCGAUAUUGAUAAAUUUAAUAUUAUUUAUGUAUAUAUAUAGUUAUUUAUGUAUAUAUAUAGCUUUACUACUUACCUAUAGAUGUAUGUGUGACAUGUAGAAACGUGAUUGUCUCACACACACUCUUUACUCGUACACACAACCGCAAUAAUGGGUGAUAGACGUGAUUGGAUGUAUAAUGGUUUCAAGAAGGGUUGGUGCCACACAAGUGAAUGGUUUACCAAGACGCAAAUGUUUCUGGACCAUGCAACUGCUUUGUCACAAAUAGAUAAUAUUAGGUGUCCAUGCAAUAAAUGUAGAAAUAUGACGAGCCACACCAAGAGGCAGGUCACACUACACCUGUGCUCACAUGGUUUCGUGCCAGGCUAUAAGGUCUGGUAGCUCCACGGUGAAGAUGUUGAACGAGCAAAGCAGCUCUCCAGGAGGGUAUGCUAUUGAAUUAUUAUAAUAGCUCUAACUUAUGAAAUUAUAUGGUUGACACUAAAUUGAUUAUGCAGUAAUCACAAUUUUUGAAUCACUUAUAGAUACUUACUCUUCGACAGAUUCAUUGACUCGUCGUCGGUGAGAUCUCAGAGGAAGGGUUCGUCUUCCCGUAGCUCAUGCUCUCGUCGACCGAACGAGUAGGAGUUGGAGAUUAUGAGGAUGCGUGAAGAGAUAUGACAACAACGCGAAUUUAUGGAGGCUUGCAAUGCACAUACCCAAGCGAUGUAUCAAGUGAGUAUACAUAAUUCGAAAUCUAAAUUAUUAUAUUUCAAUACAACAUCUUCAAUAGUAAAACAUAUGUUUAACAGUUAAUGCAGCAACAGGGCAUGACAACAAAUAUUCCAUCGCCACGUGGAGAUAGGGUACGUUUGAUAACUCUCGAUUAAUUUAUACACUUGUAUACUUUUUGAUAUUUGUAUUAAAAAUGUUGAUAUUUGCUAACUUGCAUAGGUUACGCCUGAAGCGGUGGUAGUGGGUCUGAUCCCGCAGGGACUGGAUUUGUUGACUCCCUCUUCGCGUUCCCUCCUCCUGGUGGCGGAAACGGUCAAAGCUCUAACCACCCAAGUGGUGGUUAUCUCUAAACACUUGAACUCGUGCACACUAUGUUUCUUAACUCGUUGACGUUAUGUUUGUGUAAACACUUGAUCUUAACUCGUAUUUGAAAUGUUUGUGUAAACACUUGAUCUUAAGUUUGUGACGUGUGAAUUUUAUCAAUGCAUGUGUUUGUAAUGUGUAUGUUCUGUGUGCUGAUAUAUAUGUUUUGUGUGCAAUUGUGGAGAAAUAGUGACCUGAUUUGGUGCUUUUGCAGCAUUAUAGGUUAAUCCCCGUUGGCGCAGUUAAUUCCCGUCGGCUAUGGUAAAAUCGACGAGGAUUAAAAAUUAAUCCCCGUUGGCCUAGUUAAUUCCCAUCGGUUGGACCAGGCCGACGAGAAUUAAGGCUUAUCCCCGUCAGCCCACGUGGCCAGCAAAAGUUAAGGCCAAUUCCCGUCGGUUGGACUAGGUCGACGGGAGUUAAGGCUUAUCCCGUCGGCUAGUCCUUGGCCGACGGGAAUUACUUAUUCCCGUCAGCUAACGACGGGAAUAAGUUUAUCCUCGACACCUGAUGGCCAUCGGUUUGAUGCCGACGGAAGUUAGCCAGUUACCGACGGGAAUUAGUUAUUCCCGUCGGUUUAUAGGUUAUUCCCGUCGGUUUUUAGCCGACGGGAAUUAACUGGAUUCCUGUAGUGAAAAGAGGGUUUUGUUGCCAAUACCAGUAGUAACAAUCGUGGAAGCGUGGAAUAAAUCUCUAUCACUUUUGUUGCAAGGGAUCUCCAAGUUUUCCCAGGGUCUCUCGGUUUGCUUCCAUUUAAACCAAUACCAUCUUAGUCUCAGAGCCCUAGCGAAUCGCUCUAGGUCUAGGAUGCCCAGUCCCCCUAAGUCUUUUGGUGAACAGACUGUUGGCCAAUUGACCAAGCAAUAAUGGCCACCAUAAACGUUUUCUGGUUACAUACCUUUACAUAAGAAACUUCUUUGAUAUCGAUCAAUUUUUUUGAUAAACCAUUUUUGAAUAGGGAAAAUAGUGAGGUGAUAAAUAGGUUGCGCCGAAAGAACUGUCUUUAUCAAAGUUUCGCGGCCUGCCGAUGAUAGGAGCUUCCCCUUCCAUCCUUGAAGGCGACUUCCAAUUCUGUCGAUUAGGGGUUGGACAUCGAUGUGCAACAGAAGGCCUAGGUAUAGAAACUUUGCAAUCUUAACAGGGAAGCUUUGCUGGAUUUUAGCUACCGUAUUCUCUGAGCAGCGAAUUGGAAAGAUCUCAAUUUUGUUCAGGUUGACCCUCAGCCCCGAGCAACACCCAAAGAUAUGAAGGAACCUCCUCAGACGUGUGAGCUCCUGCUGACUUGGAUUUGCAAAAAUAGCAGCAGCAUCAGCAUUGAGAGAGCAUCCCAAACACAGUUGUCUUGAUACAAGUUAUAAGUCCAAAGCUUGGAUAAUUUUGCUAACUGUUGGUCAGACUUUACAAUAACUCAAAUUUUGUCUGGUGAACAUAUGCUUAUCAAGGGAGUAUAGUAGUUGAAACAUGGUGACGUGAUACACGUGGUUUUGGUUCUAAGAAAGAUGCUCGACGUGAGAUAUAUAUAAACAUAUCUUCAUGGGCCACCAGCUGUGUCUCCCGCUCUAUAAAUAGCUGGCCUGCUCGCUCGAUCAGCCAUCACCGACUCACACUCACACAGCAAAUACCCCACAAGGCCACUCCAAAGACCUAGUAGUGGAACCGAAGAUGUUCGGGAACAUCGGAAAGAUCCCCAUCAUCGGCGACCUGACGGGCAGCAACAAGAAUGCGCACCUCAAGGGCAACGUGGUGCUCGUGCGCAAGACCGUGCUCGGCUUGGACGUCACCAGCAUCGCCGGCUCCCUCCUCGACGGCAUCGGCGAGUUCCUCGGCCGCGGCGUCACCUGCCAGCUUAUCAGCUCCACCGUCGUCGACCCUAGUGAGCAGAGCACCCCUCCCUUCCUGCCUCCUCCUUGCCUUCUCAGCUCUCUUACAUGCAUCAGUAAUGAAGAGGGAAAAAAUGUCGUUUUCAAGAAAAGAAAAAAAAACAGAAAGCGACAAAAUUAAAUUAUCUACGGAUGGAUGCUUGAGACGAACAAUGAGGAAAACGACGGCAGAUGAAUCCACUUUAAAUCUACUAGCACAGUAAACCGGAUCCAGACAAAGAACGGACCGUGUUUUUUUAGCAUAGCAGUAGUGCAUUUCACACGUUGGUCGUCUGACGGCGACGCUGACCGGCGCGCGCGUGCACCGUGCAGACAACGGCAACCGCGGGAAGUUGGGCGCGGAGGCGAGCCUGGAGCAGUGGCUGCUGAACCCGCCGCCGCUUCUGUCCAGCGAGAACCAGUUCCGCGUCACCUUCGACUGGGAGGUGGAGAAGCAGGGCAUCCCGGGCGCCAUCAUCGUCAAGAACAACCACGCCUCCGAGUUCUUCCUCAAGACCAUCACCCUCAACGACGUCCCCGGCCACGGCACCAUCGUCUUCGUCGCCAACUCAUGGAUCUACCCGCAGUCCAAGUACCGCUACAACCGCGUCUUCUUCUCCAACGACGUGAGUCGUUAGUAGCCCGUCCGUUGUCCAUUGGCAAACCAACCUAGGAGCAGGGUCAUCAGCUGGCAUGAACACGCGCAAUCUCCUUCUCUACGUACACAGACGUACCUCCCCAGCCAGAUGCCGGCGGCGCUGAAGCCCUACCGCGACGACGAGCUCCGGAACCUGAGGGGCGACGACCAGCAGGGCCCGUACCAGGAGCACGACCGCGUCUACCGCUACGACGUCUACAACGACCUGGGCCUGCCUGACAGCGGGAACCCGCGCCCCGUCCUCGGCGGCACCAAGGAGCUCCCCUACCCGCGCCGCUGCCGCACCGGGCGGAAGCCCACCAAGAGCGGUACGUGCGUCGUCCCCGGCCGAUCCAUGCGUCCCCGUGCCACCCCCUCCCUCUCUGCUUUCGUUUCCCCCCUGUCCUAACCAACCAACGUUGGUACGACCGACAUACAGACCCCAACAGCGAGAGCAGGCUCACGCUGGUCGACGGCGACGUCUACGUGCCGCGCGACGAGCGCUUCGGCCACAUCAAGAAGUCGGACUUCUACGGCUACGCCAUCAAGGCGCUGGUGAACGCCGUCAUCCCGGCAAUCCGCACCUACGUCGACCUGUCGCCCGGCGAGUUCGACUCCUUCAAGGACAUCAUGAAGCUGUACGAGGGCGGGAUCCAGCUGCCCAAAAUACCAGCCCUCGAGGACCUGCGGAAGCAGUUCCCACUCGAGCUCGUCAAGGAUGUCCUCCCGGUCGGCGGCGACUACCUCCUCAAGCUCCCCAUGCCGCAGAUCAUCAAAGGUCGGUCGAUCGUCUCGUCUCUUCGUGCAAAUCCGGAAUUUGUCUUUAACUCCUCGGAGUCUGGUUACCGAUGCCGUCUCGACUGUUCUGUUGUGGCUAUGCAGAGGACAAGACAGGUUGGAUGACAGAUGAGGAGUUUGGACGGGAGAUUCUCGCCGGCGUGAACCCCAUGCUCGUCAAGCGUCUCACGGUGAGGGAACACGAUCAGUUCUCAACCUCAGCUCAGCUGUGCACUGAAGUUCCUCGAGUUUAAUUCUGCCCGUGUUUUCAGGAGUUCCCUCCGAGGAGCAGUCUUGACCCGAGCAAGUACGGCGACCACACCAGCACCAUCAGGGAGGCGGACCUCGAGAACAAGCUCGAGGGCCUGACGGUGCAGCAGGCGCUGCACGGCAACCGGCUCUACAUCCUGGACCACCACGACAACUUCAUGCCGUUCCUGGUCAGGGUGAACAGCCUGGAGGGCAACUUCAUCUACGCCACCAGGACCGUGCUGUUCCUGCGCGGCGACGGCACGCUGGUGCCGGUGGCCAUCGAGCUGAGCCUGCCCGAGCUCCGGGACGGCCUGACCACCGCCAAGAGCACCGUGUACACGCCCAAGUCGACCACCGGCGCGGAGGCGUGGGUGUGGCACCUGGCCAAGGCCUACGCCAACGUGAACGACUACUGCUGGCACCAGCUCAUCAGCCACUGGCUCAACACCCACGCCGUGAUGGAGCCGUUCGUGAUCGCCACCAACCGGCAGCUCAGCGUGACGCACCCCGUGCACAAGCUCCUCCUGCCGCACUACCGUGACACCAUGAACAUCAACUCCAACGCGCGCCAGAUGCUCGUCAACGCCGGCGGCAUCUUCGAGACCACCGUCUUCCCGCGCCAGUACGCGUUCGAGAUGUCCUCCGUCAUCUACAAGGACUGGAACUUCACAGAGCAGGCUCUCCCUGACGACCUAAUCAAGAGGUUAGCAUUGCGCAGUGACGCUGACGCCAAUACCCAAUAUUUACAUUGGAUUGCAAUCACUAAUAAUGUGCGAUAUCUGCAGAGGCAUGGCGGUCGCAGACCCGUCGAGCCCGUACAAGGUACGGCUGCUGGUGGAGGACUACCCGUACGCGUCGGACGGGCUGGCCAUCUGGCACGCCAUCGAGCAGUGGGUGACGGAGUACCUCGCCGUCUACUACCCCAACGACGGCGUGCUGCGGGCGGACGUGGAGCUGCAGGCGUGGUGGAAGGAGGCGCGCGAGGUCGGGCACGCCGACCUCAAGGACGCGCCCUGGUGGCCCAAGAUGCAGACGGUGGCCGAGCUGGUCAAGGCCUGCACCACCAUCAUCUGGAUCGCGUCGGCGCUCCACGCGGCCGUCAACUUCGGGCAGUACCCGUACGCCGGGUACCUCCCGAACCGCCCGUCCGUCAGCCGGAAGCCGAUGCCGGCGCCGGGCAGCGACGAGUACGCGGAGCUGGAGCGCAAGCCGGAGAAGGUGUUCGUGCGCACCAUCACCAGCCAGUUCCAGGCCCUCGUCGGCAUCUCGCUGCUGGAGAUCCUGUCCAGCCACUCCUCCGACGAGGUGUACCUCGGCCAGCGCGACACCAAGGAGUGGACGUCGGACGCCAAGGCGCAGGAGGCGUUCAAGCGGUUCGGCGCGCGGCUGACCGAGAUCGAGAAACGCGUCGUCACCAUGAACGCGGACCCUCGCCUCAAGAACCGCAACGGCCCGGCCGAGUUCCCCUACACGCUGCUCUACCCCAACACCUCCGACACGAAGGGCGACGCCGCCGGCAUCACCGCCAAGGGCAUUCCAAACAGCAUCUCCAUUUGAGUUCUGUCUGUCUGAGCUGAGGACGUACGGUCG
This 201029-nucleotide long non-coding RNA is filed under the name Zea mays. RNAcentral describes it as "long non-coding RNA (ZMAY_LNC001907)". Lineage: Eukaryota; Viridiplantae; Streptophyta; Magnoliopsida; Poales; Poaceae. The record is from RNAcentral.